CCAGAGACCCUCAGAAACGCAGAGAAUACUAUAAUCAAGGAAACAAAAACCGAACCGAAGAUCCCCGGGUCCAUAACCGCCACCUCUCCGCAGCUAGCACCCCAAACUCUUCAUCAACCACCCUCCCACGCACAAGCACUGUGUGGGUCAACUAAAGUCAACACUCGCCCAACAGAAAGUCUUCAGAGCAAAAACUCCCCGGAAUUUCCCAGGAAAGGGAAGCCAUAUCCUUGAAUUUGAAUGCGUUGGAGAGGAUUGGCGGUGCCGCGGAGCAUAGAGGGAGAGUUUGGUUACACUGGCCGAGCAAACAGUCCCAAGUGAAAAAGUCCGGGGAUUUUCCGGGAAAACGAACCUAUAUUCGUUGAAGUUGAAUUUGCAGGAGAGAAUUGGGGGAGGGGGAGAUAGGAGAGGAGGAGAGUAGUGGUUGGCAAUGGCGGAGAGGGAGAGUCAAAGGGGGCGAUGGUGGCGAAGGGUGGAGGAAAAGGUUGGAAAAUUGAAAGUAAAUGGUUGGGAAAAUGAAAGGAAUUAAAUAAUAAAAAUAGUGGUAUUGAGUGAUGUCUCAUAAAAUAAAUAAAUAAACCGAGAAAGAGAAUGAGAAGGAAGACCAGUAACCCGGUCAAAGACGCCCACCUGUCAUCAGUCCACCCACUGCCGCCGCCUCUAUGAGAAAAACCCACACCACCCAGGAGCCUUACUUAGUCAGCACACCCUGCGGUUCCACAGCAUUUACGCACUCACUGCCUCCACCAAAAUAUGUGUACAUAUUUCUUUUCUAUUUUUUUUUUCUUUCUUUCUUUCUUUUUUUUUUUUUUUUUUAGUCUUUCAUUCAAAUUGUUUGUAUGAUUUUUUUUAAACACAUGUAAAUAAAUGCAAAAUAAUAAUAAUAAUAAUAAUAAUAAUAAUAAUAAUAUUUACGUUAUUAUUCCCAUCAUCUCUUUUACCAUAUGCCCAUAUGGCAUGAAACCAUAACCCCAGUAUCUUCUAAAGAUCCAUCCAAACAACUCCUGGAAGAUGGUAUACAUUUGUUUCCCAUAUUAAAUGGUACAUCGUUGUUACCACAAAACGUAUUAACGGUAUGUUUCAAAACACUUUUUUUUAUAAUUUUUAUUUUUUUAUAAAAUAGAGUUUGUUGAAAACUUAUUUCAAAAACUAUUCAAAGCUUGUUUGGAACUAUUUCUCAAAGUAGCUUCUUUUUACCAAAAUUUGUUUUUCAAAUUCGAAAAACACUUCUUAAUAAUUUUUUGACAAACAACAAGUUUUUGAAAGCUUGUUUUGAAAACAUGGAGAACAUAUUUUUGUUGUUUUUAAAUGUUUUUCCUUAUUUUUUAAGAUCUAUUUUAAAAAUAAUUGUAUAAAUAUAAAAAAUAUUAAACAUAAAAUACAAAGAAAAUAUAUUUUUAAGAAAUAUUUAAAAAUACAUCAAAUAGAUUAAAAGCAUUCUAAUUUAUGGAACAAAUUUUUGUUCUAAAAAAUAUUAGAGAACUAUUUAUAAAAACAAUUUUCAAAAACUGUUUUUUGAAAACUAUUUUUGAAAAUAUUAUCAAUCUAGUCAUAACAUUUUUAAAUGUUUUGAUUUUUUUCUGAGAAUUUAUUAAAUUCAUGUGAUUAAUAUAAAUGUACUUUUAAAGUUUUAUUAAAUAUAAAAGAAGUUUUUGUAUAAGCUAAAAUAGAACUUUUACAAAAAUCAAAAUUCUCCUAUAAGAUAUCAUGGUGUCUCUAUUAAGAAUUCCUGUUGUCACCAACUUUCAUAAACAAUGACCCAAUCCACAAGGAUAUGUGACCAUGCACCCUGGGAUCUCACUUAUAGGUCAAAGUCUCUUAUUGACUUUGGUACAAACUUAACAUCCUCUCAAGGUUGAAAGUCCAUACAAUAUAGUAGCUCAGUGAAUUAUGACAAUUGAUACCCUUACAUCAUGAUUCACCAUAAGUUCUAUUCAGUGUGCAUCACAUACACUAGUACACUCACAAUGGGAAAAUUAUCGUGAUGACCAAGACAAGUUAUCCAUCUAAUUAGGAGGUAGAACACUAUUGGGAUUAAGCCCCUAAAAGAAAGACAUGAUGUAACGAAGUCAGACUUGACUAUCUUCUUACUAUCCAUUUUAUGCAUUGAAAUUAAUUUGAGCAUUCAGUCCAUAUCUCUUACAUUAUACAUGACUUAGGUGCAUUAGGAGUUGCACAAAGGAUAUAAGUCAUUAGUUUCUUAUAAGUAGAUAAUUUGUUUAUAUUCAGUUCAUGGAUUUGGGCAAUCCAAUAAAGGUUGUAGUACACUACCUCCUAAUUGGAAUGAGACUUGUCUUAGCUGUCGGGAUGAGUUUCCAAUAGUGAGCACACUAGUGUAUAUGAUGCACACUAGACAGAACCUACAUUGAAUCAUGACGUAAGACUAUCAAUUGUUAUUGAGCUUGUGUUGAAAUCAACAUGAGGCUUUGACCUAUAAGUGAGAUACUAAAGUGGUCAUAUAUUCUUAUUGAUCAUUGUUGAUGAAGGCUGGUGGUAACAAGUAUUCUCAAUAGAGGCACCAUGAUAUCUCAUAGGAUUGAGACAAUGUGUCCCAUUGGGUGAUCCAAAGGAAAUGUGAUCACGAAAUCUAUGAUUGUAAUACUUCCUUUAGUGGAAUUUAACAUAUGCUUCUUAGAGUUAGAGUAUGCUAGUUGAUUACAAAAUAAGUAAGAUCUAUAACUUAAGAAUUUGAUAAGUGAUCUUGGUAGGUGAUAGCAUUACCUUAUUAGGUUACAAACACUAGUUUAUAGGGAGUCUACAUACAAUGGACAAUAGGUCACAUACCCAAGCUUUGUCUCGUUGUUAUUUACAUAAGGGUGCUAGCAUGUAGUUGAUUCUCUUUAGUGGAAUCUUGAAUCAACUUCAAAAUUGGAUUAUGAAGGAGCUAAUACUCCUAUGGGUCCCAAUAGUUCCCAUUCUGAGCUCAUAUACCAUGAUGACAUGUUUAUAAUGGUUGGAUUGGUUCUCAGUUCAUUUUUAUGCAUAAUGGCAUUUUGGUAAUUAUGCAAGGUUCCACAGGGGAUAAUAAACAAGUUCUUUGAAUUGGGCUAAUCAAUUAAUUAGAUGACCUUGUGUGGCUAAUUAAUCAAUUAAGAGCCAUUUUGAGUUAGAUCAAGUGACCCAAGCCUUGGUGGCUUAAGUCAGUUAAGCCCAAUAGGGGAACCUUAUAAAUACCUCUUAGGGAUUAGGAUUCCCAUCACUUUUUAGUGUAAAAGUCGUCUUCCACCUCUAGAGAGAGAAAGAGAGAGAGCCUAAGAUUCCUUCCUUCCAAAACCCACACUUUGGAGUGUCAAGAUCAUGGUUUAAGUCAUUGACUAGAAUAUCUUGGGUGUAUGAGACCUAUAAGCAUAUUCUUCACCGCUAGGAAUUGAUCUGAGAACAUCCAGAUCUAGGUAUGAGUUUCAAAUCUCUAGAUCUUUAUUCUAAAAUGGUUUUUGAAGCCAUUUUUUUCGUUAUGUUAGAUCUAAAGAUUCUUAGGAAUAGAUGCAUGCACCCUACGAAAUUCAGGGAUAGGGAAUCGAGAAAUUCAAGGUUCCCAACAACUGGUAUUAGAGCCCUAAGAUGGGUUUUUUCAUGUCAGAUCUGUUCCCAGGGUGUGCUAACUUUAUUUUGUAGGGUAUUCUGAUUUAUCCCAUGGCCUUAGGGAUGAAUGUCUGUGGGCUUUCAAUAUAACAUGAUGGUUAUAAUUAUGAUUAGAUUCUUUGUUUUCUCUAGAUUAGGUUGUAUACCCCAUAAGGGGUAAAGGAUUUUUAUUUCAUUGUAAUAAUAUUUUCUUUUCAAUAGAUGAGUUAUAAGCUCCAUUAUAGGAGCAUAAGAAUUUUUAUUAUUGUAAAAACUUCAUCUUUUUAUUUCCAUUUAUGGUGACCCAAGAGAAAAGAAAGAAUCUUUUUUUUUUGUAAUCCUAUGGUGAUUUAAGAAAAAAAAAAUAUUCUUGGAAGUUCUUGUUUUGAGAUCCAUGGGAACACAACGACAUCAACUUUAACUUAAAAUUGGGACUAUCUCCCAUGAGUUUAUUAGGGUAAGCCGCAUAUGGUUUUGAAGCUUGGGAAUUUAGAGUGUCAAGAUUGUGGUUUAAGUCAUCGGUCGGAAUAUCUUGGGUGUAUGAGACCUUCAAGCAUGUUCUUCACAACUAGGAAUUGAUAUGAGAACAUCUAGAUCCAAGUAUGAGUUUGAAAUCUCUAUAUCUUUAUUCUAAAAUGGUUUUUGAAGCCAUUUUUUUUCCAAUGUGUUAGAUCUAAAGAUCGUUAGGGAUAGAUGUAUUCACCCUACGAGAUUUAAAGAUAGGGAAUGAAGAAAUUUAGGGUUCCCAACAACUGGUAUCAGAGCCCUAAGGUAGGUUUUUGUGUGUUAGAUCAUCUCUAGGGCAUGCUAACUCUAUUUUAUAGGGUAUUUUGGUUUAUUCCAUGGCCUCGAGGACAAUUAUAUGUGGGUUUUCAAUAUAACAUGAUGGUUAUAAUUAUGAUUGGAUUCUUUGUUUUCUCUAGAUUGGGUUGUACAAUCCAUAAAGGGUAAAAGAUUUUUAUUUGAUUGUAAGAGGUUUUUUUUCCCCUAAUAGAUGAGUUGUAAGCUCCAUUAAAGGAGCAUAAUAAUUUUUAUUAUUGUAAAAAUUUUAGUUUUUUACAUUCAUCUGUGGUGACCCAAGAGAAAAUAAAGAAUCUUGAAGUUUCUUUUUGUAAUCCUAUUGUGAUUUAAGAAAAAUAAAUAAAUAAAUAUUCUUGGCAACAUGGUGGCAUCAACUUUAACUCAAACUUGAGACUAUUUCUCAUGAGUUUUUUGAAGCUUAGGAAUUCAUGAAUUCAAUGCUUUAAAUGGAUCACAAUUCAAAGUUGAAACAAGGGAGAUAUGACGAAUUGAAGCAAGGCUGCACAAAGAGCAUGAUAACACAAUGAUGUUGACUUUGACUCAAAAUUGGGGCUAAGUCCCAUGAGUUUCUUAGGGCAAGCCAUAUAUGGUUUUCAAGCUUAAGAAGUUGGGAAUCCAACACUUUAAACGAUUUGCAAUUUGGAAUUGAAACAAGAGAUAUAGUCGAUUGAAGCAAGGCUAUGCAAAAAUCAAGUUGUUUUAGGAUUAAGUUCAGGCCAAAUUGUUUUUGGUUGUUUGGUCAUUUUCUUAGGCUCAUUAUUUUGUGGUAAUUGGGUGUUUUAGGGUUUUUCAAUUUUUACUAAACUUAAUCUUUGGCUAUAAGGCUAUUUUAGUAAUUUGGAUUUUGUCAUAAUUUUAAUUACCAAAUAUGCAAUAAAAUCCAUAAAGGCCAUGAGAAAUAUUUCUAUUUAAUUAUUCCCUUGUUUUUAUUAUAUGUUAUCUUUAUUAAUUACAUAUGUGACCCUAAAUAAUAAUGGUAUUAUUAAUUAGAAAUAAAUUUUUAUGAAUUUUUCAAAAUUAGAUAACUUAUUUAAAUUGGAAUGUGCAUGGUUAGAAAAUUUUAUUUUAAGAAAAAAUAAAUUCGAAAAGGAUCAAGAACUUUAUUUCCCUUUUAAAAUUAAUUUUUAGAGAUUUUAAUUUUAUUUAAAAUCUUCUCAAAUCUUUGAGAUCUCUGAGAAUAAAAUCUUUCUUUUAAGGAAAAGCUUUUAUUUUCCAAAUCUUUAUAAAAUAAUAUUUUUCUUAUUUUGCAUAAGAUUUUGAAAUUAAAGAAAAUAAGUUAAUUUUGGAAAUUAAGAUAGAUAAUUUAUAAUUAAGAAAGUUACCAAAAUAAGUGUUUAAACUGUUAGCCCAAUGGUUCUCCUAAUUGUGUUUUGAUGAUAACAAAUCAUGGUUAAGUUGUUAAUUGUUUUGAAUUAAAAAGAAUUUCAGGUUUUAGUUAAAAUUCAAAAGGAUAUUCAAGAAAUUCAUCAUAGGACCCAAUGGAUGCAAGAUCAACACAAAUGGAAGACCCUUUAAUCAUAGGAAAUAUAUGUAAGAUGAAUACAUGGGUGCACUUAGGAUUUUCAUAUCUUUUCAUGCAUAUUUAAAAACUUGGUUUAUGCAUCAAAGUUAAAUUUCCAUUAAAACCCGAGUUUUAACAUAUGAACCUUAGGCAAAUCGUUUCAAAUUUUGCAUAUUCAUUGACCUAAAGACCUUACUUAAGUGUUAGAAGUAAAAAAAAAAAAAAAAAAAAAAAAAGAUAGGUUUUUGAGCAAAAAAUAGUGAACCAAUCGAGGCACUGGACAAUCGACUCAACCGAUUAAGGUACCAAUCAACCAGUUACACUUUCCCGGUCAAGGUCCGGUUGAGAGAUGCAAAAAUCUUCUCUUUUUUCUAGUAGCCUUGCAUUUUCGAUUAAUGGUUAUGCUUUCUUGGUCGAGGCCCGGUCAAGGCUUAAUGGUCACCUAUCAUGCAUUUAUUGCCUAACGGCUAGUCAACUGGUCAACCCCUUGCUCGACCGAUUGAGGCUACUUUUUGGCAUUUUGGCUCCCUAGGUUAGAAAUCUAUAAAUUGAGAGCUUCACUUCAUUUAUGAGCAUAAGAACAACUGCAUUUAUUUGUUUACCUACCUAUUCUUCAUAAAAAAACUCUCAUUCUUUUCUUAGUGCAUUAAAUCUUCACUUGCAUAUUCCUUAGUGCAUUCUUGUGAUUCUUCCUAGUAUUUGAGUUGUAUUUGAGCCCUUGCUGAGCUAGGUUGAGAGAUUUAAAUUUUUUAUUUGAGUGUUAGAAGUUUCAAGUGAGUAGAGACUUGAAGGGAUUGUGUAAGAACUCAUUGGAGUUAGAAUCCAAGUGUACAGGUGUUGGAAGCUUGGUUAAAAUUUCAAGUAUAGUGGAACCUUCACUCGUUUAGGAGCUUAAGGAGAGUGGACGUAGGCAAGGGGUGUCGAACCAUUAUAAAAUCUGAGUUUGCUUUUUCUAACCUUAUUUCUUUAUAUUUGUGCUCUUUUGCUUAAAUAUAUUGUGUUUGAAAAAGAUUUUUUUAAAACCCAAUUCACAUCCCCCCUCCCCCUUCCUCCCCCAUUUCUUGGGUAUUUUCCUAAUUAAGAUUAUUCUUUGUUUUCUUAAUUGGUAUCAGAGUUAGGCCUCAUGUUUAAGACUUAAUCGUCUAAAAGGAAAUGACUAAUCCAUUAAACUUAUCUCACAUUGAAAGUUUUGCAACCAAUAGACCUCACUUUUUUACGGGAACUGAUUAUCCCUAUUAGAAAACUAAAAUGACUUGGUUUCUACAGUCAACCAAUUUAGACUUAUGGGAUGUCAUUGAAGAUGACCCAACUAUUCCUUCAAGACUAGUUGAUGGAGUCACAGUUCCAAAACCCAAACAAGAAUAGGAUGAGCGUGAUAAAAUAAAUUUCCAAUUAAAAGUCAUUUAUACUUUGUAAUGUGCUAUAGAUAGAAAUGAAUAUAAUAUAAUUUGUCAAAGCAAAUCGGCUAAAGAAAUUUGGAAAUUAUUUGAAGUAACUCAUGAAACAAAUCAAGUUACAGAGUCAAAAAUCAAUUUACUUGUUUAUAGUUAUGAAUUGUUUUUUAUGAAAGAUAAUGAAACUAUUGUUGAGAUAAUCACCAGGUUCACCGAUAUUGUAAAUGGUCUUAAAGCCUUGAGAAAGACCUACAAGGAAUUGGAAAAGGUGAUGAAGAUCUUGAGGUCACUUCCAUCAAAGUGGGAUGCAAAGGCCACCGCAAUUCAAGAAGCCAAAGACUUGACCAAGCUACCUUUAGAGGAGCUCAUAAGGCCAUUGAUGACAUAUGAGAUCACUUUGGCAAAGAAGCAACAAGAAGGAGAAGACAAAAAUAAGAAGAGCAUAGCUUUCAAGGCUACAACUAAGAAAGAAGAAGUUAAAGAAAAAAAGAAAGUGAAAAAGAUGAAAACUAAGCCUUCAUCACAAGAAAGUUCAACAAGUUCACGAGGGGUGAAAAGUUUAGAGGAAGAAGACUCACUUCUAGAAGAGACUCCUCUAAAAAGGAAUCUUCAUCCAAUGGUGACAAGAGAUGAAAUGAGAAAAGAGACUUGGUGUGCUUCAAGUGCAAGAAACCGGGACACAUUAAAUAUGAUUGUCCUCUCUACAAAAGUGAAGCCAAGAGGAGAAAUAGGAAGAUAAUGAUGGCAACUUGGAGUGAUAGUGAAGAUGAAUCCUCCAAAAAAGAAAAUGAAAAAGAAGUGGCAAACAUGUGCUUCAUGGCAAUAGAUGAACUUGAUGAGGUAAACUUUAACAUUAGCUAUGAAGAUAUACAUGAUUCUUUUGAAGAGUUGUAUGAAGAUUUUGAAAAACUUGGUUUGAAAAAUACUUUUCUCAAAAAGAAUGUUCAACAACUUGAAAAAGAACUUGGAUAAGUAAAAGAAUUUUUUUCAAAAUUUGAAGAUUCUAAAACUUAUCUUCAAAAAGAGAAUAAGAUUUUAAGAAAGAAAAAUGAAUUGUUGAUCUUCUCUCUUUCAAUCUUUUCUUGUGGGCAAAAAUAUUUUGAAAUGAUCUUAGCUAGCCAAAAAUGUAUCUUUGACAAACAAGGGCUAGGAUUCAAAUCCUUAAAGAAUUAAAAGUAUUUUAAGAACUAUUUUGUAAAGGAAUUCACAAGUGCAAGUCUUUACGCUACUUGCAACUUUGGUGGAAGAGGAAGACACAUUAUUAGCACAUUCUCUCUAAGAAAUGGUUCUCAAAAGAGUUUAAAUGCAAAAGAUGAGAAGAUUUGGGUUGAAAAAUCCAAGUUCACUAACACUCAAGGACCCGAAAAGAUAUGAAUACCUAAAUCAACUUGAGUUAUGUGUUGUAGGGAUCAAAGAAAGACAAGUGGUUCUUGGAUAGUGGAUGCUUAAGACACAUGACCAAAGAUAAAUCCGAGUUUGUCUUUCUUUCAAAGAAAAAUGGAGGAUAUGUUACCUUUGGAGACAAUGCAAAAGGAAAAAAUCAUUGGUCAAGGCAACAUUGGUAAUGACACAUCCUCUCUCAUUGAAAAUGUUUUAUUAGUAGAUGAUUUAAAACAUAAUCUUUAAAGCAUUAGUGAACUUUGUGACAAAGGUUUUAAAGUGAUUUUUGAAGUAUCUCAUUGCAUUAUCAAGGAUAUUCAAAAUGAUAAAACCAUCUUCAUGGGCCAUAGAUGUGAUAAUGUUUACACUAUAAAUAUUUAAAAAUAUGAUGGUCAUGAUAGAUGUUUUUCAAGCAUGCACGAUCAAAGUUGGUUGUGGCAUAGGAGGUUAGGACAUACUAACAUGGAUCUCAUUUCACAACUUAACAAAAAUGAACUUUUUAGAUGCCUUUCCAAAAUAAAUUUUCAAAAAGACAGUUUGUGAAGCUUGUCGAGUGGGAAAGCAAAUCAAAAACUCUUUUAAAAACAAAAACUUCAUUUCCACUAUUACUCCACUUGAGUUGUUGCAUAUGGAUUUAUUUGAACCUUUGGGACACCAAGUCUUGGAGGAAAAUCUUAUGCUUAUGUUAUUGUGGAUGACUUCUCUAGAUACACAUGGAUGUUGUUUUUAAGCCAAAAGAAUGAAGCCUUUUAUGAGAAUUCAAAGUUUUGCAACAAGGUUCAAAAUGAAAAAGGUUUUGCAAUUACUUGCAUAAGAAGUGACUAUGGGAGAGAAUUUGAAAAUAUUAAUCUUGAAAAUUAUUGCAAUGAGCAUGGAAUUGACCACAAUUUUUCAGCUCCUAAAACUCCUCAACAAAAUGGGGUAAUUGAAAGGAAAAAUAGAACUAUUCAAGAAAUGGUAAGAACCAUGCUAAAUAAAAACAACUUACCAAAAUAUUUUUGGGCCAAAGCGGUUAACACCUCUUGUUAUGUUUUAAAUAGAAUUUUAUUAAGGCUCAUACUUAAGAAAACUCCCUAUGAGCUUUGGAAAAACAAGAAACCCAACAUUAGCUAUUUCAAAGUCUUUGGGUGAAAAUGCUUUAUUUUUAACACCAAGGAUAACCUUGGAAAAUUUGAUGCAAAAUCGGAUGUUGGAAUUUUCCUUGGUUAUUCAACUUCAAGUAAAGCUUUUAGAGUUUUCAACAAAAGAACUAUGGCUGUAGAGGAGUCCAUCCAUGUUAUUUUUUAUGAAUCUAACAAUUCUUUCCAAGAAAGAGAGAGUGUUGAUGAUGAUUUAGGUUUGGAGACCUGCAUAGGAAGAUUGAAAAUUGAAGAUAGAAGACAAUAAUAAGAGAAGGAAGUGAAUCCUAAUGAAGAAAGAUCACCAUUGGCUCUACCCCUUUCCUCAACAAGUGCAAGGUGAAUCAAGCCAAGACCUUCCUAAAGAAUGGAAGUUUGUCAUCAAUCACCCACAUGAUCAAAUUAUAGGUAAUCCAUCUAGUGGGGUAAGAACUAGAUCCUCUCUUAGAAAUAUUUGCAAUAAUCUAGCUUUUAUCUCUCAAAUUGAGCCUAAAAAUAUAAAUGAUGAUUUAGAUGAUGAAAAUUAGAUGAUUGCUAUGCAAGAAGAGAUAAAUCAAUUUGAAAUAAGUGAAAUAUGAGAAUUAGUACCAAGGCCUUCAAAUCAAUGUGUUAUUGGAACUAGAUGGGUUUUUAGAAAUAAAAUGGAUGAAAAUGACAUAAUUGUUAUAAAUAAAGCAAGGUUAGUCGCCCAAGGGUUUAAUCAAGAAGAAUGCAUAGAUUAUGAAGAAACCUUUGCCCUUGUAGUUAAGUUGGAAGCCAUUAGGAUGCUACUUGCCUUAGCAUAUUUUAAAGACUUUGUUUUAUAUUAAAUGGAUGUGAAAAGUGUUUUUUUUUAAUGGUUUUAUAAAUGAAGAGGUGUAUGUUGAACAACCACCUGUCUUUGAAAAUUUUAAUUUUCCUAACCGUGUUUUUAAACUUAAAAAGACACUUUAUCAUUUGAAACAAGCACCUAGAGCAUGGUAUGAAAGAUUGGGCAAAUUUAUUUUAAAAAAUGGUUUUUAAAUGGGUCAAAUUGACACAACUUUCUUCAUAAAAACCAAAGAAAAUGAUAUGCUCUUAGUACAAAUAUAUGUUGAUGAUAUCAUUUUUUGUGCUACUAAUGUCUCUCUUUGUGAAUAAUUUGCUAAGUGGAUGCAUAGUGAGUUUGAAAUGAGCAUGAUGGGAGAGCUCAACUUCUUUCUUGGACUUCAAAUCAAGCAACUAAGGAAGGAACCUUCAUCAAUCAAGCAAAGUAUAUUAGAGAUCUUCUCAAAAGGUUUAACAUGGAGGAAACCAAGACAAUGAAGACUCGAAUGAGCUCAUUAUGGACCUGCAUUUUUCAUGUGCAUCCCCACUUGUUGGUGAGACUCGCAUUUUUAAGUGAAAAAACUAUUUUUUGAAAAGUUGGAGUUGUCACUUAUUUUAUUUUAUUUUAAAAGGGAAAAUAAAAUAAGAAAGAAAAACCCUAAAAAAUAUGACUCCAUAGUUUUGGAAAAGCAUGUCUUCGAAAAGCCCGAGUUUAGGUCCGGGGAUCAAACUACCUAUUAGGAAUGUGCCUAAAAGAGAUAGCACCCCUCUAAGCCUUAAAGAGGUCUCUACUAGCUAACUUGAGGGAAGUAUGAUAAUUAAUCAAUUGAUUAUGGAUACCUAAAUAGGUUAAAGUGAUUUUAAAAUUAUGUUAAUUCUAGCAUGCUAAAUGAGGAUUCAAAUCACAAUCAUAAAGAAAGGUUAGUAUGCGUACUUGGAUUGCUUCUUAAGCGUUAUCACAAGAUAUCAAAGUUAGUUUGACAAUAUAGUACAACAUACCUCAUGCAUUCAAUCCAUUCAAAUAAUCAAGCAAUAAAUCAAAGCAAUCAAGACAAUAUCAAACAUGAGAGUAUUCAUACACAAAGUUUGCAUAUUUAAAAAAUUAAAAGAGCAGAGGUGUAAGGGACGUACCUGGAUAGCACACAUAACUUACAAUGUGCUUGCAUAUAGCUAGAGAGGGUUAGCUCACAAGUAAUAACAAAUAACUAUGACAAUAAACCCUAAUAUACAUGGUAUAUAUCCAACUCAAAUGAAAUGGUUUGAGUCUAAAGAAACAACAACUAUCACAUAAGACAUGCAUACAAACUCAUUGUUAAAUUUAAAUUAAUGUUCAAGAUAGCUAUAAGUAUCAAAAUUAGUAACUAGGACAAAAACAUGCAGCAAGGGGUAGAAUAGUUGCAUUCACUUAAAAAAAUCCUAAACAAGUAUCUAAAAACAUUAUUUUGCCAUGAAAAAAAAUAAAAUUGAACAACAUCCUCAUUAUGUCUACAUUAGAGAAUAAAAGCUAAAACCAAGUCAAGAUAUGCCAAACAAUACUAGGUUAAAACAUAAGUUAAACAUUAUACAUAAUUUCCAGUAUGCUAUCAAAAUUGAAGCUUUCACAAAACAAAUGUUAAAAAAAUAUUUAGGAUGCGAAUUAAAUUGCAAAAAAAAAAAAAAAAAAAAAAAAAAAAAAACCAAUUCUAGGGAACAUAUACUACAUAUCUAGUCUAUCAUCCAUGUGGCCAAUCAAUCAUUUAAAUAACAAAUUUAAACAAAAAUGCCUAAAAUUUCCAACAAGUCUAGAACUGGGCAGAAAAUAAUGACAUGCAUAUACUGAAUUUUAAAAAACAUGAAAAAGUCUCCUAAAAUCAUACAAAAAAUCAUACACAUCAUUUAAAGUGUCUAAAUGACAUAAAAAAAAAUAAAGCCAAGGUCAGAGAGCACUCAAAACUAUUUUUAAAACACUCAAACUCAUUAGUUGUCCAAAAUCAAUCAUGUAUAGUAGAUGCAACUUUGAAAAAACAUAUCUCUCUAGAAAACACAUAUUUCAAUAUUGUAGGUGUCAAAAUUCAAUUUCAGGAAGUUAAAAUUUUACGAAAAAUAUCAAAACAAAUUUACAGAGUCAUCUAAUAAUUUAUUUUCUCAAAAACAUUUCAAGUGUCCAGAAUUGGGUGAAAACAAAAUCACCUGAAAUUCUCAUUCAUAUCUUCCAUUUCAAAAUUGUUUUUUAACUCAAGAAAAGUUCUAAAUUCAUGUUCAUGAUGCCAACACUAUCAUACGAUCAUUAGGAAAAUUUUAGAAACAUCAUAAAUAGGUCAAAUCAAAUUUUCUUUUUAGAGAUGCAAUAAGUUGAACAAGCUAAUGAUAAAAGGCUUUUAAAAAAUGAUUUUAUGUAGGGAUUCCACCAAUUCCCCAAGUGAUAUACAUAAAUCUAACCUAUGGAUUCCCAUCUAUUUGGGACUAGAAGCUUGGAUUCAUGUUUGACUCAAAACUAAAUUUUUAUUGAAAAUAAAAAUGUGCAAACUGAAUGAGAUAUAGUUGCAUUUUUUUGGAAAAAAAAAAGAUUUCGAUCCUAAAGAUCCUAGAUGAAUUUUUAAAAUAGAUUUUCAAGGGGAUCUUUUGAGAAAAGCAUUUUCUUUUAAAACGAAAGAAAUUAAUUUGAAAACUACAAAAUAUAAGAAACAAAAUACCAAGCAAAACAAAAGAAAACAAAAUCGCAAAGUAAAAUUUUUUACAACUAAUGAAACUAAAGUGGUGAGAUAGGGACCAAUCAUCAUUAUUUUCCGAUGGCCUCCGAAGAUUAAAUUUGACAAAAAAAACUACUAGACCAAUAAACUAUUAAUAUUUAGAUCAAAUAAGCUAAUAAAAUAUCCAUCAAGAAUUAGCAACUAGGAUUCAAGAAGCACAUAAAUUAAGAAUAACAAUCAAGAAUUAACAUAAAAUCAACUAAAGACACAAAUGCCGUUAAACUAAAAAAUAAAUUAGGACUAUAUUAAAUCAUAAUUAAACUUUAUCUAAUGGGAUUAAUUAAACUAUUGUAUUAAAAUCACAAACACAUUCAAGGUAAAGAACAAAUUAAAACUAAAUUAAAUUGUAAUUAAAAACAUGAACUUUAUUUAAUAUGAUUAAUUAAACUACUGAAUUACAAUCACAAACACAUCCAAACAAAAAUUAAAAUUAAAAAUAAAUUAUAACUAAACUAAAUCAGAAUUAAAACUAUAAACUUUAUCUAGAAGGAUUAUUUAAAUUAAUAAAUUAAAAUUACUAACACAUUAAAACUAAAAGAUAAAUUAAAACUAAACUAAAUCGGAAUUUAAAAAAAAAAUGAAUGUAAUCUAACAAGAUUAAUUAAACUAAUGAAUCAAAAUCACAAAUACAUCCAAACUCAAGAAUAAAUUGAAACUAAACUAAAUCAGAAUUAAAAAAAAACAUGAACUUUAUCUAACAGAAUUAUUUAAACUAAUGAAUUAAAAACACUAACGCAUUUAAACUAAAAGAUAGAUUAAAACUAAACAUGAAUUUAAGCAAAAUUAAUGUUAUGAACUUGAUCACAUGAAUUAAAAAUAGACCUAAACUAAAAUUUAAACUUUCAAUAUCUUUGCAUGAAUUUAAAAAACUAAACCAAAAUUUAGGCUUUCAAUAUCUCACAUGAAUUAAAAACAAACAAAAAAACCAAGAUUUAAGCUUCCUCAAUUUAAUACGAAUCAAAAUCAGGGCUAAACAAAAAAUUAAGCUUUUUUUAAUUAAAUAUAAAAUUAAAAAAUAAACUAAAAUAAAAUUAACUUACUUUUUCCAAAUAUGAGUGAGGGCUGCAAAGGGAUUUUUUGCAGUACAAGCCUAUGCGUGGUGCUGCAAAAAUGGGUUGUGUCUGCUUUCCAAUGCUGAGAUGCAACCGCCUUUUUUCCUCCCAAAAAAAACCUGGUGCUGUUCUUUAAAAAAAAAAAAAAAAAUCUUCAUGAUCCCCUUUGAUUCCUCCCACUUGUGUAGCCUUCCAUUGCCUUUUUAUCUCCUAGUGCCCAACUUUCCUUAAACUCUCCCAAAUCAUGAUCUCCUCUUUCCAAACUUCCUUUUCAAAAUUUAGAACUUCUCCUUUUUAUUUUCAAAAAAAAAAAAAAAGAAUGAUUUUCCAAUCUAAAAUUAAUCUCACACUUAAAAAAAAAAAAAUUGAUUUUCCAAUUUAAAAAAACUAAAUCUCAUUUUUUUUUUAAAAAGAAUUCGGUGUAAUUUUAAAACUUAAUUUCAAACUUAUCCCCUCCUUUUAGAUAAACAAUAUGAUUUUCCAAUUUAAAACUUAAUCUCUCACUUUUUUAAAAAAAAAAUAUCUGAUUUUCCAAUUAAAAAAAAAAAAACUAAAUCUCAUUUUCAAAAAAAAAAAAAAAUCUGAUGUCAUUUUAAAACUUAAUUUCAAACUUAUCCCCUUCUUUUAGAUAAAAAAAAAAAAAUAGUUUUCCAAUUUAAAACUUAAUCUCUCACUUAAAAAAAAAAUUGAUUUUUCAAUUUAAAAACUAAAUCUUUUUUUUAAAAAAAAAAAAAAAAAAAAUAUUCUAAUGUUGACCCUUUCUUUUCCAUUGGUAAGUUUCCUUGUAAAAGCAUCAAAUUUAUUAAAUUAAAUAAUUGAAUGAAUAAAUAAAUUAGAAAAUGAUAAAACAAUAAUAAAUAAAUAAGUUAAUUAAAAAAUAAAAAAUAAAAGAAAUAAAAAGAAGAUAACAAAUAAAAAUAAACUAGUGAUCAAUAAUAAUAAAAAUAAGAAUAAAUAAAUAAAUAAAUAGAUAAAUAAAAAAAAAGUCAUGCAAGCCAUGCAACCAUGCAAAUAAUGCCUAAAAGGUGACCUAAGUAUACUUAAAGUGGGCCUAGGUGAACCUAGAUGGGCUUAAGUGACCUAGGUGGGCCUAAUGGGUCUAUGGGUGUCCAAAUGGGCCUAAGUCGGCAUGGUAUGCCUAAAUGGGUCUAGGUGAACCUACAUGGGCCUAAGAGUGCCUAAAUAGGCAUAAGAUGCCUAAAUGGGUUAGGACGUGCCUAAGUAACCUAAAUGGGCCUAGGUGAACCUAGAUGGGCCUAAGGUGGUGCCUAAUAAGUCAAGUGUGCCUAAAUGGGCCAAGUAUGUCUAAAUGGGCCUAGGUGAGCCUAAGUGGACCUAAAAUGUGUCUAAGUGACCUAGGGCAAUCGGGAAAGUGUCUAAGUGACCUAAACAUGCCUAAGUGUGCUAUCCCAAAAGUGUACCUAAAUGAGUUAUCCUAAAAAAAAAAAAAAAAAAAAAAUCCUAAAUCUAACUCAGGGCUUCCAAGGGUCACAAUGAGGGGCCAGAUAAAACCCUCAACCAGAGUCUCUAAAGUGGCUCAAAAAAGGUAAGUUGUAUGAAUAGCAUUGAGCCACAAGGGAAUCGCUAUGGUGUACUGAAAGAACACCUAAUAGAGCAUGUGCUAAGAGGACAAAAUGGAAGAUCUACACUCAUCCAUCAAGCUUGAUAAGGAUGAGAAAGGUAAAUCCAUUGACCUUACUAUGUAUAAAGGCAUGAUAGGUUUUUUGCUAUACUUGACUACUAGUAACCCGAUAUUUUGUAUAGUGUAUGCUUGUGUGCUAGAUUUCAAUCUUGUCCUAUAGAAUCUCAUUUGAGUGUCAUAAAAAGAAUUCUUAAAAAUUUGAAAGGAACAAUAGACAUAGGCUUAUGGUAUCCUUUUUCAUAAUGGAAAAGACGGGGUUGAAAUAUCUAUUAAUAUUUCUACAAGGAGUAUUUUGAUUGAUUUACCCAUUCAAAGCAAUUUACAUGAGGGGUUCAAUUGGUACACGCAAGAAAUAGGCUAAUUCAACAGUUUUUUGUUCCAUUUCUAAUGGCACUAGCACUUCCGCGUAAUAACUCUUUGGUUUUUCAUAUGCCGAUUUUGUCGGUUGUAAGGUUGAAAGAAAAAACACUAGUGGCACAUGUCAUUUCUUAGGACACUCACUUGUUUCAUGACAUAGUAAGAAACAAAAUUCGAUAGCUUUGUCAACGGAGGAGCCAAAUACAUAGUAGCCGGUUUAUGUUGUGCAAAAAUUCUUUGGAUGAAAUAAACACUUAGUGAUUUUGGUUUAUCUUUUGAGCAUGUUCUUAUUAAAUGUGAUAACACUAGUACCAUAAGCAUAUAAAAAAAUCUUGUGCAACACUCUCGAACUAAGCAUAUAGAGAUUAGACAUCACUUUCUUAGAGAUCAUGCACAAAAAGGUGACAUAACACUUGAAUUUGUGAGUGUUGAAGAUCAACUUGUUGAUAUCUUUACAAAGCCUCUAAGUGAAAAAUAAUUUGCUAAUAUUAGAAGACAACUAGGGGUGAUUUCUUUAUGAUCUAAUGCUUGCUUAUGAAUGCUUGAUGUCAUGCAUUCUGAUUACUUGAAUUUCAUAUCAUAUGCAUCAUAUAGACAUAUGCUUAGAAAAUGGUUAUUUUUUGACGAAAAAUAAAAAUUCCCUUAGCAUUGGACAUAAAAAAAAAAAAAGAGGGGAAUUCAACUGGAAAAGGCAAGGAAAUGAUCAAGAAUGAAAAUGUACGCAAAAAUGGAAAGUCAAAAAGCAUUGACCAGGUGGUUGACCAAUUGAGGACUAAUCAACGAGUUCGUCGAGGUUGGGAAUUUUAAGACCCUCCCACGCUUCAUUUUCUGCAUCGUUUCCUCUGGUUCUUCAAGGGGUUUUGUUGCAAUAAGGGUCUAGAAGAGGUUUUGGGGUUAUUUCUUGCUGAUAGAGCUAUCUUGGACACGAAUUUACAAGUCUAGGACGGAUUUGGAGGUUAGGGUUUUGGUUUUUGGUUACCUACUCUCUCCACCCGAGCUUCAUUUCAUUUUUCCUUAUUUCUUUUAGACUUCCAUGGCUUCUAGACAAGAGCCAAAUGCAACUAAGGCUCAGGGCAAGCGCCCUAUUGAGUCGCCACAACCAAAGGUACACCAAAAUAUGCGUUUUGACACCGCCUUGUUUAAUACCGUAGAGGAGUGCCAACAGUACAAACAACAUUUUUUCUCACAGAUGUGUAGUUUUGGGGAGAAACACCAACUUUACUCAGCUUCAGCACUUUGGAUUUGAGAGAUUGUUCACUCAGAUGGGCUAAUUGUCGACUAUUACGAUUUUUUAGCCGAUUUUUUCGAAAUCAUAUCCACUGUUAGAGGAGUUGAGAUUCACCUAGACCUAGAGAGCAUUUGUUGUAUCUUUGAUGUUUAUCCUAUUGGACUCAGAGUAUAUGAGCCCAAGAUAUGGCCCACUGUGCUAGGAUUUGAGCCUAGAGAGGCUAUUCAAAGGAUUUGUGAACUACCAGAUACCCAUGGGAUGGGCAAACCCUCAAUACACAACUUGACGGUCAUCAGUAGAGUGCUACAUCAUAUGUUCUGUUUUAUUUUCCUACCAUAGGGUGGACAUUGAGAUGAGGUCUCCUAUUACGAGGCAUUCCUUAUAAAUUCUAUUCUAACUAGGAGAUAAAUUCAUUUGGGAUAUUUGAUUAUGAUACACAUGAUUGCAUGUUGCGAGAACAUGACUCAUGUAUUCCCCUAUGGUCAUUUCCUUUCCAGAGAAUUCAAGGAUGCCAACAUUGACCUUAGUGGAGAGACGAACUUUGAGGCCCCUAAUAUAUAUGACACAUAUGAUGAUCAGUUUAUGGGAAGAAUGAAAUUUGAGAAGGCUCUAGAUGGUUCUUGGAUCAUAAAAGCAAAGAAAACACAACGAUAGGGACAGGUACACCCUGGAGUUGAGGAGGAGGUAGAGAUUUGACAGAUGAAGGGUGAAGUAGACCCUCAGGAUGGCCUAGACCCUCAAAGUGGGCAACUCAAUAAGCCCGAGCUUGAUAUUUCCCUACUUCAAACUGAGUUGAUGAUGACUGAGCAUGUUUUUACAAAGGGACCGUCCACUCAGCCAUCAUACACCGAGCCCACUUAUACUGAGAUGCCAUAACCUCAUGCACCUCCUGCUCCUGAUCAUACUCCUUGGAUGGAUUUAUCAUCUCAGAUCAGCUCUCUUGGUACUCACAUGGAGGAGCUUGCAAUUGUUAGUGACACUCGCUUCUACUCUAUGGAGAAUAUGAUAGACUAGCAUCAUAUUGGGUUCACUUCUCAGUUUGAGUAUCUCCAGUAGAGGAUUGAUCAUAUUGAGGAUUGCAUGGAGCGUCAACAUGAGGAGAUGAUGGCCUACCUGCGUUCUGUGUUUCCACCUCCACUUUCUCAACCUUGAUCGUUAGUUGGAAACCUCAUUUGUCCAAUUUUUAUGUUGCCAAAGGGGGAGAUAUUUUACCAUCUAGGAGGCUAGAUAUAAUAGGCUCAUACAUGCAUAUCAUUCUUGUGACAUACACUUUUUGGAUCAUAUACUGCUUAUCUUUAGAUAGUGAUACAUAUGAUGUACUAAUUGAUACACUUGACAUAUAAUAUAUGAUAUGCCUAUGUAUUUGAUGACUUACAUUGGAUGUUCCUUUUUGCAAUACUCUCUAACAUGUCUUGAUCAUCUUGCUUUAAAUUCUUAAAUAUUAAUUGUUGAUCCAUGAUUGGUUUAAGGGAGAGAUUCUUUUUCCUCAUAGAUAACCAAGGUUUGUCAUCAUAAAAAAAAAAAAGGAGAUUGUUAGCCCAAGGGUUUUCCUAAUUAUAUUUUGAUGAUAACAAACCAUGGUCAAGUUGCUAAUCGUUUUGAAUUAAAAGGAAUUUUAGGUUUUAGUUUGAAAAUUCAAAAGGAUAGUCAAGAAAUUCAUCAAAUAACCCAAUGGAUACAAGAUCAAGACAAAUGGAAAACCCUUUAAUCAUAGAAAAUAUAUGUAAGAUGAAUGCAUGAGUGCACUUAGGAUUUUCAUAUCUUUUCAUACAUCUUUAAAAACUCGGUUUAUGCAUCAAAGUUAAAUUUCCAUUAAAACCCAAGUUUUAACAUAUGAACCUUACACAAAUUGUUUCAAAAUUGGCAUAUUCAUUGACUUAAAGACCUUGCCUAAGUGUUAGAAGUAAAAAUGAUAGAAAAUAUAGGUUUCAAGCUAAAAAUGGUGAAUCGAUCGAGACAUUGAUCAAUCGGUUCAACCGGUUAGGGUACCGGUCGACUAAUUACACUUUCCCAAUCGAGGUCCAUCGAAAGAUGCAAAAGUCUUCUUUCUUUUUCCAAUAGCCUUGCAUUCCCAGUUGAUGAUAAUGUUUUCCCGGUCGAGGUCCGGUCAAGGCCUAACGAUCACCUGUCAUGCAUUUAUUGUCUAACAAUUAGUUAACCAGUCGACCCUCUGCUUGAUCAGUCAAGGCUACUUUUUGGCAUUUUGGCUCCCGAGGCUAGAAGUCUAUAAAUUGAGAGGUCCACUUCAUUUAUGAGCAUAAAAACACUUGCAUUUAUUUGUUUACCUACUUGUUCUUCAUCAAAAAGCUCUCAUUCUUUCCUUGGUGCAUUAAAUCUCCACAUGCAUAUUCCUUAGUUCACCUUUGUGGUUUUUCCUAGCAUUUGAGUUGUAUUUGAGCUCUUAUUAAGUUAGGUUAAGAUAUUUAAAUUUGUUAUUUGAGUGUUAGAAGCUUCAAGUGAGUAAAGACUUGAAAGGAUUGUGUAAGAGCCCAUUGAAAUUGGAAUCUAAGUGUAAAAAUGUUGGAAAGCUUGGUUGAAGUUUUAAGUAUAGUGGAACCCUCACUCAAUUAGGAGCUUGAAGAGAGUGGACGUAGGUAAGGAGUGCCUAACCAUUAUAAAAUCUGACUUUGCUUUCUGUAACUUUAUUUCUUUAUAUUUGUGCUUUUUUUUGCCUAAAUAUAUUGUGUUUGAAAAAUAUUUUUUUAAAAACCUAAUUCACCCCCCGUCUUGGGUAUUUUCUUAAUUAAGAUUAACCUUUAUUUUCUCACAAACCUUAAAAAAAAAAAAAAAAAAAUCAGUAUUCUGAUAUUCUUAGUAAAUUUUCAUGAGAAUUUUUUUCUCAUAUUAUUUAUUUGAAUUGGUUGUUGCUAAUGAGAAUGUUAUUCAUUUUUAAACUAUCCACUUGGUUAUGUAUAGGUGGUUCUCUAGGCUUCUCCCCACCCACUCCCACCUCCCUUUCCCAAGAAAAGGAGAAUUACACCUAUAUAGUCCUCCAAUCUCCUCUCCCUCUAAGAGGAUGAGGAAACCAUUUAGUUUGAAUAUAGGUAGUUCAAGGAUAAAGAAUAAAAGAAAAAUUCUUUUAGCAUAAGAGUCUUAGUUUAAAAGAAAAAUAACAUAUUUGGAAAAUCUCAUGAUAGAGAAUUUAUAAUAAGAAGGGUUGUCAAAAUAUUUUUUGGAAACUUUUAGUAAUUUAAUGGAGACAUAAUCCAAAAUGCAUUGUUUAAUUCCUUUUAAGGACAUAAACAUAUUUGGAAGUUUUUUUAUAGAGAGUAUAUUAUCCAUUAAGAAAUUACUAAAAAGGUUGUGAUUUUGGUAGUACUUAGUGAAAUAAAUUAUUAUGAAGUUUCCACGAGAAUAUUUAUUGCAUUGGAAUGGUGUAAGGAUAAGGAAAGUAAAUUUUUAACCAAUUUUGAAUGUGAGAAGUUGAAGUUCCUUUCUUGGAUAAGUCACUCUCAAGAUUUUCAAAAUCUCAUAAAUUGGUAAUUUCCUUAUUACACAAGAGUUUCUAAUUUAGAAAAUAAAUAUUUUGAAAAUUUUUGUUAGAGAUAAUUUAUCAUUAAAAGAUUAUUAUCAAAAUGCUUCAUAAUUUGAUGGAAAUAAAUUUCUUUGAAACAUUUGCUAAAUAAAACAUUUAUUAAUUGGAAUUGUAUAUAGAAUGAGAGGUUUAGAAAAAUAGAUUUAAAAAUUUUGAGAGUAGAUAUUUUAUCAAAAUUCAUUUUGAAAAAUAUUCUUAUGGAAAUUUUAAAAUUUUCAUGAUUGACAUGCUCCUAUUAGAAUAGCUUUCUAAUUAGGAAAUGAAUAUUUUUGGAAAUUCUCAAAGUAGAUAAUUAUAAUUUUUAAUUCUAAAGCAGAAUAUGAGGAGAUGAAAAAAUGUUACAUUUAAAACAAUUUUAAGAAUUACUUACGGUUUCACAAUUUUAAUAAUUUUAAGAUUUAUUUAUUUUUGACUUGAAAUAGUUUAAUAUUAGGAACUAAGUUAGAAUUGAGGGAAAUUAAAAAAUAAAAAAUAAAAUUGGAAGAGGGUAUGAAAAAUCCUCACAUUCUUCGUAUCUUUCUCAGAUUCUUCAUACCCUCCUCAUUUUACAUUCUUUUUAAUUAUAACAAUUUUUCAUAUGAAGUUAUAAUAAAAUAAAUUAAUAAAACAGUAUUAAUUUUAAAAUAUUAAUUUGUUAAAAAUAAAAUUACAAUAUUAAUUACUCGUGUUGCUACAAUAUAGGGAUUGUUUUUAAUUUUAAGAAUUAUUUGUUCACUUCAAAUUAUUGAUAGAAGAUUUUAAAAUAAAUUAUAAGAUUAUAAAUGAUUAUUUUGACAUGUUUUAGGGUUAUAAGUUUGUGUAAUAAAAUAAAGGGAAAGUGAGAUUUGAUUCACUAAUAUGAAAAUAUUUGGUAAAAAGAACUCCAAAUAUUUUAAAUUAGUAUUAACUUCAUCUAUUUAAAAAUAAUUUAAAAUACAUGCAAUUUUUAAUGAGUUAUUCAAUUAUUCCCAAAAAUGUCAUUUUACUUGUUAUGUCAUUUAAAUCAAUUGACAACUAGACUCCUCCAUAUAAAUGUUUUCAAACAAACACCACGUAGGAUUCUUAUUUUAGUUUCCUAAAAGUUUAGGAAAUAUUGUGCAAAAAAAUCCUAUUUAAAUAGGAUUAAUACAUAUAUUUUUUAUUACAUAGAAUUUUAAGAGGAAAUAUUGUCAAACAAAUCCUAUUUAAUCAUAAUUACCAAUUCAAAAAGUAAUAAUGUUGUUUAUUAAAUAAUAAAUAAUAAAUUUAAUAAUAUAUAAUUAUUUUAAUUAUGAUUAAUUUAUUUAAUAUAAAAUAUUUAUUUAUUUAUUUUUAUACUAUAUAUCAAAGUACAACCAUAUUGUAAAACAUUUUAUAUCUAAAAAAAUCUUACAACAAAUUUUAUUCGCUAUUAUAUUAAACAAUUGUUAAUAUUAUAUAAUAAAUAUAAAUUUAUUAUUGGUUUAUUUAUUAUCAAGAAUAUGAAUUUAGUUUUAACUUAUUACUACUAUAAUAAACUCUUUUUUUUUUUUUUUUUUUCAAAUUCUUACUUUACAAUGUUUUUAGAGAAAAAAAAAUCCCAAAUAAUAAAAUAAUAAAAUAAUAAUAAUAAAAAUAAUAAUAAUAAUAAAAUAUCUAAAAAGAAGGAAAAUAUCUACAUAAAAGAGUCUAGUUAUCAAUUGAUUUGAAUGACAUGACAAGUAAAUGAGCAUUUUUGGAAAUAAUUGAAUGACUCAUUAAAAAGUGCAUGCAUUUCAAAUUAUUUUUAAAUAGAUAAAUAUAAUACUAAUUUAAAAUAUUUAAGAUUCUUUUUUCUAUAUAUUUUUAUAUUAGUGAAUCAAAUUCCACUUUUCCCUCAAAUAAAUAGCAAUUAUUAUUUGAAUAAAUUUUUUUUGUUGGAUAUUCACUAUAGAAAUGUGUAAAUAUAUUUUUUUUAAAUUACAUUUUUUCCCCAUAAAUAAUAUCAAUUAGAAAGAAAAUAAGUUUGUUGUAACAAAUGUUUAAAAAAUUUACACUUAAACAAAAUGUUUGAGUUAAAACAAUGAUUUCCUUAAAUAUUGAAAAAAUAAUAUGAUUUAAUAAAUAAAUUUUCUUAUUUUAACAAUCAAAUCUUCAACUUUAGAAUGUCUUGAUCACCACAAAAUUCUUCAAAUUUCUCAUUCAUCACUCCAUUCUCAAACCCUCCUUUGAUAUUCUCCAUUCAACUUUGGUAUGGAAAAAAACAAUUCAAAUGGAAAUAAAUUUCCGGAAUCAUCACCAAUCGGACUUCCAUGUAAUUUGGAGCGUCAAACAAGUAAGCAUCCAUAAUACUAUUUUUAGUAUAUUUUGGUGGGUCACAAUAAAUUUGAAAGCUUAAUAAAUGAAAAUUCAAAUUCUUACAUUAUAAUGUUUCUAAAGAAAAAAAAAUCAAAUAAUAAAAUAAUAAAAUAAUAAUAAUAAUAAUAAUAAUAAUAAUAAUAAAAUAUCUAAAAAAAAGGGAAAUAUCUACAUGAAGGAGUCUAGUUGUCAAUUGAUUUGGAUAACAUGACAAGUAAAUGAGCAUUUUUGGGAAUAAUUGAAUAACUCAUUAAAAAGUACUCAUAUGUUUUAAAUUAUUUUUAAAUAGAUGAAAAUAAUAUUAAUUUAAAAUAUUUGAGGUUCUUUUUUUCUAUAUAUUUUCAUAUUAGUGAAUCAAAUCUCACUUUUCCUUAAAAUAAAUAGCAAUUAUUAUUUGAAUAAAUUUUUGUUGUUGGAUAUUCACUAUAGAAAUGUGUUUUUUUUUUUCAAAUUAUAUUUUUCCCCAUAAAUAAUAUCAAUUAGAAAGAAGAUAAGUUCGUUUUAAUAAAUGUUUAAAAAAUUUACACUUAAACAUGUGAGUUAAAACAAUGAUUUCCUUACAUAUUGAAAAAAUAAUAUGAUUUAAUAAAUAAAUUUUCUUAUUUUAACAAUUAAAUCUUCAACUUUGGAAUGUCUUGAUCACCACAAAAUUCUUCAAAUUUCUCAUUCAUCACUCCAUUCUCAAACCUUCCUCUUUGGUAUUCUCCACUCAACUUUGGCAUGUUUUUCAUUUUUCAAACUACGGUUGAUAGGUGAGUUAAAUAGUAUUUUAAAUUUUUUGUCACGUUUAGCAAAAAAAAAAAAAAAAUAUCUUAAUUGGUAUCUAAAUACUAUUUUUGGUAUAUUUUGGUGGGUCACAAUAAAUUUGAAAGCUUAAUAAAUGAAAAUUCAUUUGUAAGAAGUAUAAUAAAGUGAGAAACAUAGGAUUGCAUCCAUAAUACUAUUUUUAUUUAUAUUUUAUAGAAAUAUUGGACAAAAUAUUUUCACUUAAAUUUGUUAAUUUUUUUUGUUUUUUUGUUUAUAAGUUGAAAUACCAAUAAAAUAGUUUACAUUUUACAUUUUCUAUAAUUUUAAGAUUAAUUUUGUAAACUUCAAAUACAAUAUAUAUAUAUAUAUACUAUUUUCAAUUAGAAUUGACAUAAAUUAUGAAAAAAAACAAGUAAAAUAAAAAUAAAUUCCGAGAAUCAUCACCAAUGAGAAUUCCAUGUAGUUUGGAGUGUCAAACAAGUAAGCAUCGACAUAAACCUGUUUCUUUUGCUUUAAUUUCCUUCCUUUUUCUUUUUCUUUCUUUCUUUAAAUGCCUACUUUGGAUUCUUGUCCGUUUCCUUAGACCACAAGAAAUUCUCUUCAUUUGUACAAGAAAAGCCUUACGCCGAUGUAAGCAAAUAUUAAUUGUGAGAGUUGGGAGAUUAGGUUUUUACAGCCAAAAUGUCAGCAGAUAUUCUUCAGUUUUUGAAGAACAAAUUCAUGGAUGAAUUGGAAGAAGCAGAGGAGGAACACCCUCCACCUCAUGACAUCCCCCUCCAUUCUUAUUUUCUACAAAUUCGAGAGGUUCUGAAAGCUAAAAGCAUCAAGCCGUCGACAGGAAUGAAGGAUUGUCUUUACGACCUCAGCAUUGCAUUGACCGACUGCGUGCUCUUCCUGGAGAAGCGCAAAAUGAAAAUCAAAAAGGAUUCCUCACAAGGGCAAGAGCAAGAGCAAGGGCAGGGGCAAGGGCAAGGGCAAGAGCAAGGGCAAGGGCAAGGGCAAGGGCAAGGGCAAGGGCAAAGGCAAGGCCACUACUCUCUGCCUGAGCUAUGGUUUCUGUGCAAAACAAAAAGGAAGCUGAUUCACAUCAAGAAAAAGCUGUUUGUUGCUACAAGCCACCCAGUAGUACCAGAGCAGACUUCCCUUUCUGCCGUCACGGAUGUAGCCACAACUUCUUCUUCUUCUGGCUCUUUAUCAUUUGAUGGACCAAUGAUAUACGGUUAUAGUGAAUCUUACUUUAGAGACCAAGUCAAAAAUAUAGAAAAAUUGGUUCUGGGUACAAGUGAAUUGGAUGAAGAAGGAUUUAGUAAGGAAAUUGGAAUUGUGGGGAUUGGGGGUUGCGGUAAGACCCUUGUGGUCCGAAUGGUUUUCGACCGAAGUCGUAUGGCCCAAAGAAUUUGGAUCAAUUUACAAGCGAUACAAAAAGGAGAAAUAGAUUUUAAGAAGAUUCUCAAGGCUAUGCUGAAGCAGUGUGAUGAUGGGCAAAGAGAUUUUGUGGAUGGUAGUGUGGAGGUGGAGGAGGAGGAGCUAUUGGAGGCCCUCUGCAAAGCAUUGUGGAGUAAGAGUUAUUUAUUAGUGUUUGAUGGAAUUUGGGAUAUCAACCUGGACUGGUACUUCAGGUUAAAGGAGAGACUCCAGUGGUGUAACAAAUCAAAUCAGAGCAGAAUCAUCAUCAUUACAACCAGACUCCAUGGCGUGGCUAAGAGGAUGGUUGGGCCCAAUAAUUUAUAUCGUAUGCAGCCCUUGUCCAAUGAGGUUAUUUGGGACCUCAUUACGUGGACUGCAAGUUCUCUUCCUCCGGAGCAUCCCAUUGUGGUGAAAAUGAAGGAUGAAAUGAUAUACCAUUCUCAUGGUCUCCCGUUAGCUGCAACAACGUUCUACUCUAUUAUGGAGAACCGAACCUAUGGAGGGGAGUAAGUUUCUAUGCUUUCAGCUUGAUUUUUACAUGUGCAUGCCUCUGCUUUGAUUUUCACAUUUUUCAUAUACUAAUCACAUGUAUAUCAUAAUCACAUUGUUGGUAUAUAUAUAUAUUUAAGAUUUUUUGAGAUUUAAAUAAGAACUUGUUUACAGUAUAAUGUAUUGAUUAAUACUCUAGAUUUUAUAUAUAAAUAAGCAAUCAAUUACCAAAUAACGUAUUAAUUUAAAUACGUAUUAAUACUCUAGAAAAAGAAAACUUAAUCAUGAGAAAAAAUGUUUUGUUUUUAAUUUAAAUAAAGAUAAUAUUUUAAGGAAAAAUAACUGAUUUUUAAUUUAGAUAGCAUAAUAUAUAUAUGACUAAUUAAGUCCUUAUUUUAUAUUAGUAUUAUUUUAAUUCUUUUUUUUUUGCCAUUCACGUGCCUAUCAUGGUUUUCUUUUUAAAAGAUUAUCCUUAUUUUAUUUUAAACUUCUUUUUUUUUUAAAUAAAAAAUAAAAAAUUCUAAGUGUUUUGAAUGGAAAAUCAUAUUCACAGGGCAAAAAGCACUCUUGCCUAAUUUUUUAAUCUCUACAUGUUUUUUUUUCUUUCAUAUUUCUUUUACUUUUUUUUGAAAGCUUUUUAUACUUUUGUAACUUCCUUUUUUUCAUUUCUUAGAAAUGUUAAAAUAACUAUUUUGAUACAUUUUUUUUCAGUAUUUAUCUAUAAUGUUUUUUUUUUUAGUUAUAAAAAUUAUCUUUUAAAAUUUUUUAUUUCAUUUUUCCUAAAAUUUCUAAGAAUUGUGUUUACAUACAUAACAAAAAGAAUUUUUGCCUCUUUUGUUGAAUUUUGUUUUGAAUUACUUCAAUUUAUAAAUAAUAUUUUAAAAGAUUGAAUUUGAAAAUUUACCAAUUUAUAGUUUUGAAUUGUGAUUGAAUAAAUAUAUAAUUUAUAUUUUAUUAAAUUAAAAAUAUUUUAUUUUAGAAAAUUUAAAAUAUAUAUAAAAAAAUUAAAAUCAAUAAUAUUUAUUUUUUCAUAGUUUAUAUAAAGGUAUUAAUAUUUGAAUUUUAUAUUAAAAAUGGAAGAUAUAUAUGGCGUAUUAUUUAAUAAAUUUAAAAGAUGUUAGAUUGUUUUAGUUAUAUUAUAAGAAUUUUUUAUAAUCCUUAACAUAAGUGAGGGAUUUAAAUCAUCUACUCUAAUGAUCCUGGGGAUUAAAAGAUGUUUAAAACCCUCAUUCAACCAUACUCAUGGCUUUCCAAUUCCUAUUUUCAUAUACUAAACGUGUAUUAACUGUGGCAGUUGGGAUGACAUACAUGAGUUAGUACGAGAAAGGAAACUAGUAUUUUAUGUAAUGAUCAACCCCAAAGACGAUGCCAAUCAGGGGAACGAUUUGCUCCUAUCUCUUCGUAGCAUCUGGGGCACAGAAUCAUUGGUUAGAUUUUAAAGCACCCUCAAGAUUGAUUCAGAGGAUUUGUUUUAGUGCUGCUUUGAAUAACUUUACUUUUCAGGUUCCUGACAUUUCAGAGGUUGUUCCUCAAUUCCCAUUACAUCACAUUCAAAAGGCUUUCGGAUUGAGAAGUGAGUCUGAGGUUGUAGACAGAAUGAGGAUAUUGGUAAGUUGAGUAGUUGUGAUCUUUAAGAUUUAAUCUUGUCUCAAAUUUCAAUUAUAAGCCUUCCUUUGUACCCUCAAAACGCACCUGGGAAUUGUGACUCAAUUGGCCCCAAUUUGGGCUUCGCCUCUUAAGAAUUCUAACGGGGCGUCAUUCAAACUCUAGUAAUGCUAGGAAAAAAAUAAAACAAAUUGUUAAGCUCAAACUCAAACAUAAUUUUAUCUCAUCCGACCCAUACCUUAUUAAUUAUUUCAAAUAUUCACAGAAAACUAAAAUCAUAAAUCACUCUUAAUUACUUAAAUUAUCUUAUAUUCAAAUUUUUAAUCCACUUAAAAUAUAAAGUUGCUUAUGUUAAUUUAAAAAAUUACAAAAAAAAAAUUAUUAAUUAGCAUAGAAAAUUAAUUUUUGUAUGAAUCAUCAUUAUUCGAGUUUGUCAAUAAUUAUAAAAAUAGAGAUAUAAUUAAAAUGACAUAAGCGAUAUAAGUGAAUAUGACACGAGUGAAAUUAAAAAUGGAGAAUUCUCUCUAAUUGAAUAAUUAUUUAUUCUAAUAAAAUAUUAAACAAAUUCAUUAAUUAUUAUAUUAAAAUCUUUUUUCUUUUAUUUAUCAUAAUUACUAUAUAUAUAUGCUUCACUAGGUUUUUGGUGGUGAUGUUACAACAAAUCGGGUUUUACAAGCAGUUUGUGAUAUGGAACUCCAUCCGACACCGCCAAUUGGUGUGAUGCCUUUGGGAACACAAGUUAACAUUUCAAUUUCUCUUGGAUGGGUAAUACAAUAAUUAUCAUCUUUUUCAUAUAAGUUGGUAGCUUCAUCCUAUUUAUAUUACAUAAAGAGAUAACGCAUAAGUUAACUACUUGACAGGGAAAUCAACUUUCUGAUACAGAUUCUAGGCCUGUAUUUUACCUUCCUAAAUUAUAUGAUGCUGAAGAGAUAUUGAUAGACAGGUAAUAAAGUUUGAAUGUUACUAACAGAAUGAUAAUAUAUAUAUUACCAAUUGCCUCACUAUAGUCCUUUACCUUUGAGCUUCAAUGUGAUCAACAAUUAAAAAAUAGCAUUACUCCCUUGGCUGAGCAUUUGGUACAUAUUCAAAAUUUUAUUUUGGGAUAGAACCAAUCUAUUUAAUUAUGAUUCAAUUCUUCUUAAUCCACCACUCAUGGUCCGAGAAAAGAAAAAAAAAAAAGACUUCCAUUGGUUAUUAUUAUGUAAAAAGAUGUGCCUUCUUAAUUCCUUCCAUUUUGGUUGGUGACAUGCUCCAUGUCCUGGCCAUUUAAACCUUGACGGCCCAAUUGCUUGAUCUUCAAUAACAUCUAUCUAUCUCCUCAUUAAUGUGGUUAGAUAUCUGCUACAUUAACCUAAUUUUAGUUGGUUCUAAGCUUGGAAAAUUAUAGUUCUUUGCACUUGAGCCACAAUUAAUCUGUUAGUCUAUUGAAUUAUUAGCUAGAAAUGGAAGUUUAGCUUGUAACUUAAUUUCAAGUCAUAAUUAAUUGCAAGUUAGGAUCAAAUAAACCUUUUAAAGUCAAUAAAAUAUUUAAUAUUUCUCCUUGAACAAAACCUUAGGCAAUCCACUUCAUUUAUAUAUAUAUAUAAUCACUUGUUUCUGACUAAAUAAUUCCAUAUUAAGCAUCCUUCAAAUUGGAGCACCAUUUUGGUGCAGCUUUUGGGCUGCCCAAAAGCUCUUUUUGAUUCUUGAAGUGCUCUAUAGUGUUCUCUAUUGCACUCAAACUCCAAAACACUUUCAAGUACAAGAUUUUGGAAUUGAAAAGUUCUUUCUAGUGGGAUACUUUUGUGGAAGUCUUUUUAAUGAGAUAGGUUUCAAAAAAAAAAUUAUAUUAAAUAGUACUCUCUUUUGAUUUUUUUUAUAUUAAAUAAUACUCUCUUGUUUAGAUAGAUUACUUCACUAAAAGUUACUAAAAUUUAUAGUUUAAUACAUUAUGAAUGCUUUUGCAUUAAUAUGAAAUUGUGGAUCUGUCUAGACAUUUCUUGACUAAAGAGCAUUAAAAUCAUGUGAAGAGCGGGUUGACUUUCCAGUUUUUUUUUUCGCUUAAUGCAACGUACAAAGCAUAUUGGCUUUCUUUUAAUUAACUCAAACACUGAUCUAGUACUAACUAGAACCAUCUUAAAGGAAAUCGAUCUGAACUCUUUAUCAUCUUGAUCAAAUUCUAUCAAGUUUAUCUUUUAUCUCUCUUUGAUACACACUUUAAUAAACAUGUGUGUAUCAAAUCCUUACUCCCUGUCAUAACUUCCGUUGUGCACCACACUCCUAAAAUAUCAUUGUUACCUUUGUGCAUCACAAUCUUGUCAUGUGCCAUAAUCCCAUCAUGUGCUAUGUACUUAAAUCAUUUAAACACUUCAUCAUUGCUACCUUUUAGGAUGUAAUAAGUGUACAAGAGAAGCUAUGGUUAUCUUGGAUAACGAAACCACAUUUCUUGUAUCACAUUUUGAUGAGAGAACAAAUUGACUCUACUUUCAACUAUAAUUCUUUCUAUACUCUACUUAUGUGUGUUAUUCCCUUUGUCUCUUCUAGAAUUCUCAAUUUGAGCUUUGAUACCAAUUUGUCAUACUAGUGAAAGCUUUAGUGCUAAUAUAUUAGUGUUAGAAUACAAAGAUAAAAUAAACAACACACAACUGUUAGAAUACAAAGAUAAAAUAAACAACACACAACGGAAUACAAGGUUUUAACAUAGUUUAAAAGCCAUGCCUAUAUCUACUAAUAAGAGAAAUCAUUCUACUAUAUUAUAGGAAAUAUUACAAAAGGUAGAAAAAUAUAUACCAAUAUUAAGCCCUAAAAAAUCUUAUAUUUCUUUGUUCUUUAUAUCCACAUCUUGAAUCUUGAACCUUCAUUUCACUAGGUGUUUUCUUAUUAUCCUCAUAUCUCUAUCUAGCAUGUAGGCAAACCCAUUUCAUCCUAUUACUUUUUCCCCCAUAUGACCUAGAAUAUUUAUAAAGACAUUCCUAGUAAUUUUCCUUAUUCUAUAUAUAUAUAUAGAUGUGGAAUCUUGAACCUUCAUUUCACUAGGUGUUUUCUUAUUAUUCCUCAUAUCUCUAUCUAGCAUGUAGACAAACCCAUUUCAUCCUAUUACUUUUUCCCCCAUAUGACCUAGAAUAUUUAUAAAGACAUUCCUAGUAAUUUUCCUUAGUCUAUAUAUAUAUAUAUCAACAUAGGAAAUCUUCUAUAUAAUAUUCUUCAUAGAAAUGAGUAUAUAUUAAUUAGAAAUUUGAGUUACAUUCCACCACCGACUAAGGUAUACAUUUCAUAAUAGAAGAUUACCAUUAUUACACAUUCUUAAAUAAUUGGUAUUUGAUUAGUUUGAGUACUUUGUUUUAUGGUAAUUAAGAAUUCACAUUCUUGUUCUAAUUCUUGUUGGAAGUUUCCAAGGGCCAAAUUUAAAUGAUUUUAUUGUAUGUUACUUAUUGCUAAUAUAGUUGAAUUUAUUCCAGUUGGAAUUUUGUAGUGAGGACAUCAAUUCCAAAUUGUCUUGAGAUACCGAAUACUCUUCAUGUUCGACAUGUUUCCGAAGACAACUUAUUACACAUGGUAAUGUUUUGUCAUAUAGCAUUUUUUAAAUUUACAAAAGAAUAAAUAUGUUGCUUGCAAAUUGAGAACUUUUCUUUUGCACAAAUAAUUAAUGUUUUAGUUUUCUAUGAUGCAUAUGCUUUGGGAUCAUUAUCAUUUUUGUAGUUGUAUCAAUAUUUUCUAGUAAAUUUAUUAACUUAUAGCAUAAAAUUUGUAACUAUAAUCAAAGUAAAAAGCCAAGCAAAAAUAUGCUUGGACCAUCAAUCAAUGGAGUUAAAGUAACAUUAAAAGGUUUAAUAUAUAUAAAUAGAUAUAGCUAAUAUAAAAAUCAAUUAGCACAAUGGACUUACUAAAUAUUCAUACUUUUAUGAAUAUGUCAAAAAUUUAAUCAUGAGUACCAAGGUACUUCAAUUCCACUUCUUCAUUAUGCAUUUUUUUUAAGAAAAUGAUAUCUUUUUGUCAAUUUUUUUGUUUUGAUCAUAGAAUAUCAUAUUUUUUACCAAUGUAGAUGCUAAUUUAUGGUCCAUGUGGAUCUUAAUUGGUUUUUCUUAUAGCAUGUUAAGCUCUUUUAUUAAAAUUUUGUCAAAUUACCUAACAAACACAUUGAUUGAUGUCAAAUAUUGUAGGGACAACAAAGUAGAAAUCAAAUUAUGUCUGAUAUUUGCAUCAAUUGUACUCUCCAAUCACUCAAUUUUGUGCUACCUUGCAUAUGCUCAACUUUCUUACAUUUUUUCUCUAUUUUUUAAUGGUUUGCAACUAUUUUGAGUGAGUAAGUGCAUGUAAAGGAGCUUAGUCAAAGUAUAAAAAUGGAGUGAGAAGAGUACAAGUACAUGAAAUAGAGGAAAGAAUGCACAAAGCCGUUUUCCAUUUUGGGCCAAUGACCCAUGGUGCACAAAAUUGCAACCUCCCCAUUGCUUAUUGCCACUUUGGGUGCCAUAAUUGGUCCUACGAGCCAUGCUUCCUAAAGGUGGUGUCCUCUUUGUUAAAAAAAAUUGUUUAUGCUUGGACACACUUUUUUAGCAUUUUUCUCCUAGCCUUUAGAUCUUUGGGCUUAAGAUGCCUCAACAUGUCUCUACGUUAGGACAACCUUGGAAUGGUAUAAAUAUCCCAUUUUGCAAUUGUAGAGGGGUUGGUCUUCUCCUUCGGAAGGCCUCUUUGAUAUAUUUCUAGGGUUUAGAUUUCUUCAUGUUUUAGUUUAGAUUAAUGUAGUCCCCCUUUUGAUGUAAUCUUGCUUUGGAUGUUUUCCUCUAUCUCUCGCUUCUGUGCUUGGAUAAAUUUUGAUAAAAAUCAAGUAUUUUAUAUUUUUAUUCUCUUUGUGUAGAGCACAUGGUCAUGAGGAUAUUUAGUAACAAUAUUAUCUUGAAAAUAUCUAUCAAAUACUAUUCCAUACUCUUGACCCUUACUACUUUAAGCCAUACAAAGCUUUUUUUACAAUUCAAAACUUUAUUUUUGUUUCUUUUUACGUUAUAAGCCAUGAUUUGUUUCAUAUAUAAUUUUUCUUCAUGAUAUCCAUUUUAAAAAAUUGAUUUUGAUCACAGUUUAAAUAAAAUUUCCUUGUAUUUUAAUCUAUUAAAGAAAUUAUAACUUAUGGUUUCUAUAGAUGGUAACUAAAUAAAAUUACAACAUCAUGAUCAAGGAUUAAAAUAUCAGAAAUUAUGAAAAUCUCAAAUUUUAAAUUUUACGAAAAUAUUAGGAAAUAUAAAAAAUAUUGAACAAAAAUUUGGAAAAAAAAAGACAAAAAUUUAUGAAAAUUACAUAAAUAUGAAAAAAAAAAACUCAAAAAUGGUAAAAUAGAUAAUAAUAAUACACAUGGUAUCAGAGCUUAUUCUAGGUUAUUGGUGUGCUUGGCAAAAACUUUGAGUGCCACCUAUCCUUAUUUUAAGUUUUUUUGUGGUGUUUUGAUUCCUCGGGUUUCAUUGUUGAUUUCGUUUUUAGUUGGUUCAUCUCCAUUUAUCACUACUAUUAUGUUUGAAAUAUUGGACCAUACUCCCGCUAUCAGUUCUAUUAGGGCAACAUUGAAAGCACUACUAAGCCAAACCAUGAGGGAACUAUAGAACUUCCAAGCUGCUUAGCACCUUAUUGAAAAGAAAUAUCUUCAAUAGUCUUAGUUGGUAAGGAAAACUGAGUCAUUUGAUUGGCAUAGGACUAAAGCUUGGAUAUCCAAACUUUUAGAGCUGGAAUGAAGAGGAUUCCAUAUCAUGUCUUGGUUAUGGAAUUCAGUGUCCCUUAAAAUUAGUGGAACAUGUUUUUUACAACAACUAGGGAGGUUUACAAAGUCAUUCGACAAACCUAUUCAAAGGUUUGAGAUUGUACUCAAAUUUUUUAAAUCAAGGUGAACAUUUCAACUAUAAAACAAGGAACCAGAUUUGUAAUUAAAUUUGCCAAUAUUAUGAAGAAUUUGUGAUAGAAAAUUGACUACUACCAUAACAUUCAAAAUUAAAUGUAGUGAAGAUGCAAUAGUGCAAAAAAAAUAUUAUAGAAAGAGAAUGAAUUUUUGAAUUUCUUGUUAGGCUCAAUGUGGAGUUUGACCAAGGGCAAGUCUAAGUUUUGGGAAAAGAGGAGCCUCCAUCCAUGAAUGAAAUCAUCUCCAUCAUUCGUGCUAAAGAAAAUAAGAGAAGUGUGAUGCUCAAACUGUCUUUUAUUCAUGGUUCUACAAAGCCACACAAAUUCAACCCAAAUCUUGUUAGAGAAACUAGACCUUCUAAUGAGUUGGUAAAAAAUCUCAAUCGUGAAGGACUUUGGUGUACUUACUACUAGAAGCCCCAACACACCAAAGAGAAAUGUUGGAAACUUAAUGGAAAACCUUAAAACUUGAAUUGGAAUGUGGGAAAUAGAGCAUGGAAGAAACAUAAUCAAGAAAUUAUGGCAAAUUGUGAAGAAAGCCCUCGAGAAAAACAUAGUUUCAACAAUGAAGAAUUUAGAAAACUAAACAAAGAAGAGAUAGAAAGGUUAAGAUAUUUUUUGGUACUUUGAAUAAACAAUCAAGUAUGUGUUCUUUGACACAAACAAGUUUUCUAUUUGUCAUACUUUUAAGGGCCUUAGAUUUGUUCUUCAUUGGCUCUUGGGUCAUUAACUUCGAAGACAUAGACCACAUGACCUACUCUUCUCUUAAUACCACAAAGCUCGAUUUAAACCAAUUCUCAAACAACAAUGAAUUGGCAUCAUUCUGCUAACACUAGUCUAGAAACUAUUGUUAUAAAACCAUUGCAAGUUUACUUAAGGAGAAAAAUAACCACCAUUAAACCCACACAUAGUCAAGAGUCUAAACCAAGGCUAGACAAUAGUUUUAUCUCUCCUAGUACUUCAAAUGUUGACAAUGAUCUUGAUUUACCCAUUCCGUUUAGGAACAUUUUCUAUCAUUAUUUAUGUCAUUUAAUAACUUCUCCCAAUCCCACAAAAAUCCUCACUCAUUUGUACAGCAAAACCACUCCACAAAACCUUUUUGAGGCACUUAAUAAUGAGAAGUAGAGACAAGUCAUGUGGGUAAGAUAGAGGCCUUACAGAAAAAUAGAACAUGGGAAAUAAUAGAGAUGUCUAAGAGGAAGAAACCAUUUGGGUGUAAAUGAGUAUAUCGAAUAAAGUAUAACUAAAAAGAUAUAAGUCUAGGUUAGUAGCAAAAGGCUAACACAAACCUAAGGGGUUGAUUACCAAGCAACCUUUUCUUUCAUAGCUAUUAUGAAUAUCGUAAGGGUGUUAUUAUCAUUGGUGACUAAUCUUAGUUGGAGCUUACAAAAAUUUGAUGUAAAACAAAAAUGAAUUUUUGCAUGAGGACUUAGAAGAAGAGAUCUAUAUGGAAAUUUCUCCAGGAUUUUACAAAACUCUUGGUAGAACCAAUGCGUGAAAAUUAAAGAAAACCUCAUAUGAAUUAAAACAAUCUCUAAGAACAUGAUUUAUGAGAUUUUCUAACGUGAUGUUGGCAAUGAAAUACAAAGUCAAGGUGACCAUACUUUGUUUAUUAAGCAUUGGACUUCAAAGGGACUGAUAACUUUGUUCGUAUCUAUGGAUGAUAUUAUUAUGAUUGGUAAUGAUCCUAGAGAAAGGGAGGCUCUUUGACAGUAUUUAACUAGAGAAUUUGAGAUUAAAGAACUUGUUAGAUUGAAGUAUUUCCUAAGAAUCAAUGUGGCUCAUUCCAAGAAGGGUAUCUUUGUUUCAUAAAAGAAAUAUGUGAUUGAUAUUCUUAAAAAAAAAAACCAAGAAACUUGGAUGUAAGCUAGUGGACAACCCCAUAGAACCAAACCAUAAAUUAGUAGNNNNNNNNNNNNNNNNNNNNNNNNNNNNNNNNNNNNNNNNNNNNNNNNNNNNNNNNNNNNNNNNNNNNNNNNNNNNNNNNNNNNNNNNNNNNNNNNNNNNNNNNNNNNNNNNNNNNNNNNNNNNNNNNNNNNNNNNNNNNNNNNNNNNNNNNNNNNNNNNNNNNNNNNNNNNNNNNNNNNNNNNNNNNNNNNNNNNNNNNNNNNNNNNNNNNNNNNNNNNNNNNNNNNNNNNNNNNNNNNNNNNNNNNNNNNNNNNNNNNNNNNNNNNNNNNNNNNNNNNNNNNNNNNNNNNNNNNNNNNNNNNNNNNNNNNNNNNNNNNNNNNNNUUCGAGUAAUGACUCAUGGAAAUUUGUGAAUUGUAUGGCUAAGAUUAUUUUAAAUGAUCCUAAAAUCAAGUAGAGAUACCCUAUGAGAUUCUACUGUGAUAAUAAGUCUGCAUUCAACAUCACUCAUAAUUAGGUACAAUAUGAUCAAAUAAAACAUAUGGAAGGAGAUUGACAUUUCAUAAAGAAAUAAGCUAGAUAGUGGUUUUAUUUGGACUCCAUAUAUUGAGACAUGUGACCAAAUUAUAGAUGUUGUAACUAAAGAUUAGCUAAUACCAAAUUAUAGACAUGUGUUUGAAGUUUAGGUCCUAUAAUUUAGGAUUUUUCUCAUUUUAGGACUCUUCUUGUACAACUAUAAAUUAGUUAGGACUUUUUCUCCUUUUAGGACUCCUCUUGUAUAAUUAUAAAUUAGUUAGAACUUUUUUCCUUAAAACCCCUUUAUGUACAAUAGUAAAUUAGUUAGUAAGAGAUUUGAAUUACCAUGUAUGUAAGGAAUUUCUAACUUUUUUUGAAGAGGUUUCCAUUCUCUCCUAUGCAUCCUUAAUGGCCUCACAUGUUUCUUGAGUAAGGAUUAAAUUAUCAUUUAUUGCCAAAAUUUUAGAUGAAAUAUCAGCUCUCUGUGGCAAUGCAAAAAAUUUCACAAUUUUAUUUUCGACUAUUGAAUUUUGCCACUUUUUUCAGUUUUUUUUUUUUUUUUUAAAGUUUAGAUUAAUUGUUGAUCAAUUGGUGAUUUUUUUAUCAUAUGUCACCACAUCAAUAACACCUCUAAAAUAUAAAAUCUCUCUUGUAUGAAUUGAUUUAUAUACUUCAAACUCUAGUACUCACUAUGACUUUAAUGUAGUUGUUCAUGCAUACUUUUAGAGGAAUCAAUUCUACUAUCAUUUAAGUUUGCCCAAAUAUUAACUUAUUAGGAUUUAGGGUUAUUGACAUGGAAAUUCCUACAGAAAAGUAGAUUGGGAAAACGUUGUAGAGCAUAACAAAACUACAUUAGAAUAUUACAACUUUAGAGAAGUGGCCCAAUUAACUAUGGAGAUAGAUCUUAGAAUCUAUAAGGUACACAAAAUAAAACCUUAGUUAGCAAUAAUGAAAUGCUAACAUAGUUAAUCAAUAUAUUGGAGCUAUAUAUAGAAAUUCUUUAGAGACCAUAUUGUCAUGCCAAUAAUUAGGUGUGACCUAACCAAGUUAUUUCUACCAAGGUUCUUCUUUGCUACACUCCAAUGCACGACAAAACUAUCUAAUAUUUUCCAUUCUACCAUAUUUAGCUUACCUCAACAAUUGAUAAGAUUUUAUGAACUUUUCUAAAAUACUACUUUUAAGAUUAAUAAAAUUUUAUUUUAAUAGAUGAAACACAUAUUUCAAUGGGUGAAAACAUUUUUAUACUCUUUUUUAUUUGCUAUGGUACCUUUACUAUAAAAUAUAUCAUAUUAGUUGUGAGAGUUUAAACUUGCUCCACCUUUUUUCGCCAAAUAAGUCUAGAUAUUGCAAGUUAUGUAUAUGGGAGAGAGAUUGUGAUCUAUAUCAUAUAAGUUAAAAAUGUAUAGUUCACAUUUUCUUUACUAGCUUCAUGGUAGAAUUUUCUUUUAUUGGUAAAUUUUUUUUUUCCUUUCUCUUUUUUCCUAGUGGGACUCCAACCUAUAAUCAUUUAACUUUGCUAAGUGAGUAACUCUCCUUAAACAUCCAUAAGCUUUAAUUUCUUCUAAAGCAAUCUUAAAUUUAGAAUAAUCAUUUAUUAAUAAAUAUGUCAUUAUUUGAAUUAAUACUUGAAGUGGAUAAGAUCGCUUAACUUAUUAAUUUGUACUUCUUAUGAUGAUAUUUUACCAGGGAGGUGACAAAGAUCUUUGUGGAAGAUUUUGGAACUAUCUUAUAAUAGGUAAUGGGUUUAAUUUUCUUGUACUUUUUCUUUUCAUAAAUAUUGUGCAAUUCAUUAUAAUAUAAAUGUUGUUAGGAAACAUAAGUUGAAAGAAAUUUAAUAGUCUUGAUAUGAUAAAACUACCAAAAGAGAGACAGGAGAGGGAAAGAGGUAGGUAGUCCAUGAAUUAAUCCUAAGUUCAAACUUUAUUACCCCACUACACAUGUGCUCGAAAACAUAGGUUUAACUAUUGAGCCCACUCUGGCUCAACAUAGCAACUUAAUUGGUGUAAAACACCAUGAGUGUUGCCUUGACCGUAGAUAAUCCACUAAAUAUGAAAAUAUGGUAUAUUAGAUUUACUUAGUUGAAUAAAUACNNNNNNNNNNNNNNNNNNNNNNNNNNNNNNNNNNNNNNNNNNNNNNNNNNNNNNNNNNNNNNNNNNNNNNNNNNNNNNNNNNNNNNNNNNNNNNNNNNNNNNNNNNNNNNNNNNNNNNNNNNNNNNNNNNNNNNNNNNNNNNNNNNNNNNNNNNNNNNNNNNNNNNNNNNNNNNNNNNNNNNNNNNNNNNNNNNNNNNNNNNNNNNNNNNNNNNNNNNNNNNNNNNNNNNNNNNNNNNNNNNNNNNNNNNNNNNNNNNNNNNNNNNNNNNNNNNNNNNNNNNNNNNNNNNNNNNNNNNNNNNNNNNNNNNNNNNNNNNNNNNNNNNNNNNNNNNNNNNNNNNNNNNNNNNNNNNNNNNNNNNNNNNNNNNNNNNNNNNNNNNNNNNNNNNNNNNNNNNNNNNNNNNNNNNNNNNNNNNNNNNNNNNNNNNNNNNNNNNNNNNNNNNNNNNNNNNNNNNNNNNNNNNNNNNNNNNNNNNNNNNNNNNNNNNNNNNNNNNNNNNNNNNNNNNNNNNNNNNNNNNNNNNNNNNNNNNNNNNNNNNNNNNNNNNNNNNNNNNNCAAUUGCUUUUUCAACACUUUUGCAUAUAAUUUCCAUACCAAAAAUGCAUCCUUACCUCGAAUUUGAUGACUUUUUUACCUUCCUAAACUCAAUUCUAUAGUAGCUCAAAGUUUUUUUAGUUGUUAAGACCUAAGAAUAAAUGCAUCUUAAUUAAUAAGAAAUGGAAGAAACUAGUCAAUAUAAAACUAAUACAUCAAUAAUAUCCUCCUUUAAUAAUUUUGUGACAAAAUAAAUAAUUAUAAUGAGGCUCCCCAUAGUCUCAUAAAAACCUUACUAAAUCCAAAACAAGUUCUAAUCUAAACUAGUUAUUAUGCUUGCAUGUCUCUUUAUAAUCUAUAUACUUAAAUAAUAUACAAGUAAAAAGCAUAGAAUGGCCAAAAAUAGAAUAAAUAAAAAUACAUAAAUACAAUCAAUGAACUCAAAUAACAUUUUUACAACCUUUUACUCCUUUUUUUUUUUCACAAAAAUGAAAAUAGAAAAAAAAAAUGCAUGAUUAGGCACAUAAGGAAAAUAACCAAGGAAAGGUCUAUAACAUGCCUGUGUAAAUUGGAGCAAUAUCCAAUAUACAACCUAACAUGAAUCAGAGAGUAAAUAAAGUAACAAAAGAUAAUCCAAAAUACAUAUUGAGAAAACAAAGGCUAUGCUUAGUUAAGAAAAACACCCAAAAGGUGGGGUAGGGGGGUGAAUUGGGUUUUUAAAAUCUUUUCAAUCACAACAAAUUCAAACACAAUAUAAGCAAAAUAAAGAGAUAGAGUUUAGAGUUAUAGUGGUUCGGCAUUUCCUUGCCUACGUCCACUCUCCUCAAUCUCCUAACCGAGUGAGGGUUCCACUAACUUGAAGCUUCAACCAAGCUUCCAAUCUUCUUACACUUGGAUUCCGACUCCAAUGGGUUCUUACACAAUCUCUUCAAAAUUCAAACCUCUUGAAGGCUUAGACACUCAGAUUUUUACAAGAAAUGAUCCCUCAACCUAGCUUAAGGAUAGCUCAAAUACAAGACAAAGCUAGGAUGACACACAAGAGUGCACUAAAGGAUAUGCAAGUGGUGAUUUAAUGUACUAUGAAAGAAAUGAGAGCUUUUUGAUCAAGAACAGAUAGGUAGGCUAUUGAAUGCAAGUGUUCUCUUAUCAAUAAAUGAAGUGAAGCUCUCAAUUUAUAGGUUUCUUAGCCCGGGAGUCAAAAACAGCAAAAGGUAACCUCGUUCGGUCGAGCUAGGGGUGACCGGUUCACUAGCCGUUGGAACAUUUAAUGCAUGACAGGUUACCGUUGCCUCGAUCAGACAUCAACCGGAUCUUGACCGGUAAGAGAAUCCCCUCGAUCGGGAAAAGAAGGCUAUUGGGAGCGAGAGAAACUUUUUGGCCUCCCUCGACCGGUCUUCGAUCGGACGAGCACAACCGGUCGACCAGUUCCUCAAUCGGUUGAGCCGGUUGGCCAUAAUCUUGACCCAUUGAGCCUUUUUGGCCCCGAAAACCUAUUUUUUUUUAAUUCCUUUCUUUUCUAAAACUUAGUCAAGGUCUUUAGGUGAAUUAUUAAGCCAAUUAUAAAACAUUUUGCCUAAGGUACAUUAGUUAAAAACUCAGGUUUUAAUGAAAUUGAAGUUUUAAAGAAUAAACCGAGUUUUCUAAGUUGCAUGAAACGUAUGAAAAUCCUAAGUGCACUCAUGCAUUCAUCUUACAUUAGUUUCCUAUGAUCACAAGUCUUCCAAGUGUCUCGAUCUUGUAUCCAUUUGGUCAUUUGAUGAAUUUUUGAGUUUAUGCCUGAGAUUCUUAACCAUUAAACAAAUUAGUCACUUAACCAUGGUUUGUUAUCAUCAAAACCCGAUUAGGAGAACCCUUGGGCUAACACAUAUAGAAACUCUCUUUCUCUCAACCUAAUACAUUAAGAAAUUUAGAGAUCCAUGUUAGGAAGAGGAAAAACAUGGGUACUCACUCCUCUGAUCACAAUGAAGUUCAAAAUAAGUCCUCAAAAAUUCCUUAUUUUCACGAGGAGGUUUAAAUAAUUUCUUAAAUUCCUAAAAAUCAAGAUUCAAAACUUUUGAACACUUUUGGAAUAUCUAAACACUAACAAGGAUCAAAAUUUUCUAUCCAAGAAAUUUCUUAAUACUCAUAGAUUUAUAAUUUUUUAGAAACUUAGCCCUAUAUAUAUAUAUAUAUAUAUAUAUAUCUUGACAACAAAGGCAUGAUAAACUAUGAGCGGAAUCAAAACAAUUUUGAUUUCAAGAAGACAAAAGAUUAUCUAUAUUUAAAAAAGUAAAUAAAACAUUAGUGAAAAAACUAAAACUUUCAUUUUCAAGAGAUGGAACUAUUAAACACAUGAAAUUCUCAUUUCAUCUCUCCUUACUAUUUCAACCACUUAAUUUAAAGCCCUAAAGUAGAACUCAUUUAAUUUAAAUUUCAUCUGGUCAGAUGUUUAUUUAACAUUACUUAAUUUCUUUCACAUAGAUAUACAUACAUAUCAUGUGAUUUUAGAAUUUCCCCAAAAUUUUAAUCUCUGCUCUUAAUAAUUUCUAAUUUCUGUAAAGGCCAUAAGUUAUAAGCAUUAAUCACAAACAUUCAUUACACCUUUACCAUAAAUUUUAAGGAUUUUUCAACUUUUGCAAGUGAUAGCUUUCAAGCUUAGAAUAAUGAAACUAAAUUUAGAAUUUGCUAAAAGUAGAUUUUUCACUCCCAAAAUUAUUUUAAUAUUUUUAAAAUCACAAAUGAAUGAAUUAAACAUGAUGAACACUCUAAGAACCCAUAAAUUAAGUUGAAGAAAUAACCUAGUUUGAUUCCUUCUGAAAACUAGGAAGAAAUAGAUUCUCAUAACUUUAAAACUUUAGGAACCACUUAAAUCACAUUAUGAAGUAUUCAAAAAAAUAUUUACUCUCUAGAUCAAUUAUAAUGUUUCUAAUCAUGGACGGAGAUAAUAAAUUCAAGUCCAUCUACCCUAAAUUCCAUGAAAUGCCGAAAAAUUUUAAGAAAACAAUAACUUAGAGUAUUUUAGAUCUUCUAAGGAAUAUGAGUCUAGAUCUUAGAACCCUAAAAAAAUUUCUCCCUUAAAUUCAAAAGCCUAAAAUCUAAAAGAGAUACAAUCUUAAUCUAGGAUACUAAUCCCUAUGGAUUUCCUAAGGUUCUCAAAUCUAAGAGCAUCUAAGGGAUAAGACACUCCAUAAAGAAAAUUACUUCAACUAAGCAUCAGGUCCUAAUCUCAUAAAUUGAUAAGCUCACCCUAAAUCUUACACCUAGACUCAAUAAAAACUAACUAAAAACAAAUUUUGAAAUUAAAAAUAAAAUAAAUAAAAUAAAAAAAGACAAAAAGACUUAAGAACUCCUAAAAUUGCAUAUUAUAGGGAUAAAUGAUGAAACAUUAAAACUAAACCCUAGGCUAUAAAAAAAAUAUGAUAACUAAGAGGAAGCUCCCAAAGAUUUCCUAGAGGAUGAAAUAGUAAGAGAAUUUGAAGAAAUGGACUUAGAACUCACUAGACCUAAACCUUGAGGAGUAAUUAAGUCAUCUUUCUUGAUCCAAAUUUAUCUAGUCUUAUGAUUAAUGCUAUAUUAACCUUUCCCAGGCAUAAAUUGAGAUUUACUCUCCCUUUUAAUAUUCAAGAUUUGAUUGCUAAAGGAGUUUGACUCACUCAUUAGCCCAUUGACAUGUGUUUAGAAGUUUUUGAAGAAACAACCAUAGCACUUAUUGCCAACAUGUCUAGAUCUAUUGCAACUUUGUCUUUUUUGAGGUUGAUUCCCUAGAAGAGUAACUUUCUUUAUCUUUCAUAAAAGAAGUCUUUCAUUCAUAGGAAUUUUAGACUUAGUUAUGUAACCUAGGUCUCUUUUAUCUCCAAAGCCCUAAUGUUUUUAUGUCAUUUCAUUUAAGAUCUUAGAGUUAGAGUGGAAGAUUUUAUUUUGACUUCCUAAUUUAUUUUUCCAACCAUGUCAAUUUAAGAUUAACGACUUAUUAUUUUCAAGAACAAUGUGAAAUUUAAAUGCAAAGAACUUAAUUUUACUAAGAAGAUUUUGAUGUUCACUUAUUACUUCCUUGAUAUUGCCAUCCAUGUCAACUUUUUUAUAUUCAUAGGAAUUUAAUUUUUCUUUCAAAUCAAUUCUCUCAAAUUCAAGACGUUCAAUGAGAGUGAUCAUUUAUUCAAGAUCUUCUAUAAUUUCAUAUUCUCAAUCUUUAGUUCAUAAUUCUCAUAAUACAAUGUAUUGUAUGCCUCUUGGAGGUUAUCAAAAUCUAAUUUUUCCUCACCACUUGAUUCAUGGGACUAUCAAUUUUAGAGGAUGUGGGAAGUGAGACACUAGCAACAAGAUUGUCGUUAUCUGCACUUUCAGUUGAUCCCAUGGGCUCAUUAUCAUUAAAUUCAGAAUCACUUUAAGUCACUUGCAAUGUUUUCUUUUUUCUUUUGUUUUUUUAGGUGUAGGGCAACUAAAUCAAAGUGUCAUUUACCCUUAUAGUUGAAACACUCAACUUGAGACAAUUUUACUAACUCCUUUUUUUUUUUUUUUUUUUUUUUUUAUAGAAAGAUUUCUUUCUUUUUUUAGCCAUCUUUUGUGUUCUUAUUUUGUAUUUUCAUAAAAAAAUUUAAAUUUUUUAAAAAAGGUUGAAAUUUUUUAUUGAGUGAGAACAUGUUCACUCUCAUCAUUAUAAACAUUCUUUUCUUUUGAGGAGGUCUUAAAAGCUACACCUUUAGAUCUCCUAGGGGAUGGUAGAGUCAUCUCAUAGGUUUAAAGAGAAGUUGCAAAUUCAUUUAUCAAGUCAUAUAUUUACUUUGCUUUACUGUAGAAACUUUAGUCUAAAUCUCUUUGGGAGAGAUCUCAAGAUUUUCCUAACCAAUUUGGACCCAAAGAUCUCAAAAUUAAUAAUAUCAUUGAGUUCAAUGUAGAACUCAAAGAAGGCCUCAUCAUAUUUCAUCUUAAUGUUUUCAAACUUAGCAGUCAACAUUCAAAGUUUAGACAACUUCAUAAUGGAAGUGUUCUUAUGACUUAUUGCUAAGGUAUAACAAGCCUCUUUAACACAUUUGCAAGUGUCAAGGACUAAUCUCAUUGAAAAUAUAAUAAAAGGCUUUGACAUUCACCUUACUCUCUUUAUUAUCCAAUUUAUCCUCCUCUUACUUGGGUUUUAAUUCAAAAGGAUUACAAUAUUUUAUUGGGGUAACAACGAAACUCAAUUGUGUUCCAGACAAGUUCUUCUAGUAUUUUCUAGACGAACUCCAUUUUAGCUUUCUAGUGAGGGUAGUUAUGCUCACAAAAAAAGUGGAGGACAAUUAAUUUAAGUACCCUCUCUUCACAGACCAAGACCUGUAAGAAUUGUUCAAAACUUGAUUUUUAAAACCAACUUACUUUAAUACCACUUGAAAAAUGAAUUUUGUAGUCUUAAUAUGAUAAAAAUAUUUUUUGGAGAUAAUGGUGUGAAAAGGUAGUCCUUGAAUUAAUCCUAAGCUCAAACUUUAUUACCAAUUUUUAGUUUGUCCUUUUUUAUUAAUUAUUCAAUGAGAGCUUAUCAAUCCCAUGGAUAGAUGAUAAAUAAAAUCAAUCACCCAAAAUCACAUGGAUGUAACAUAUAAAAACCACCUACCUACUAUGACCAUAAUUUUCAUGCUCACAUGCCUUUAGGAUCACCCAAGGGAAUACAUUGUCUCAAACUUAUAAGAUACCAUGGUGUCUAUCUUGAGAAUACUUGUUUUCAUCUAUCUUAGAGUGUGUUUGGUUGUGAUUUUAGGAAACAUUUUUAACUUUUUUAAUACUUUGAAUGAUAAAAAAUUCAAGUGUUAGAAAGGUUAGAAACGUAUCCUAGAAUCACUAUCAAAUGGGCUCUUGAUCAACAAAAACCUAAUCCACCUAAGGGUCUCACACAUAGGUCAAAACCACUAAGUGCCUUAACACUAACUCAAUAUUCUCUCAAGGUUGAGAACUCAUAUAGCAUAGUAACUUGGUGAAGUCAUGACUACUUGAAACUCAAUGUCAUUAUUCACCAUAGGUCAUGUCCAAUGUGUAACCAUACAUACUAGUGCAAUCACCAUGGGAAACCUCAUCCCAAUGACCAAGACAAGUCAUCCUUCCAAUUAGUAGGUGGUGUUUUACAACCUCAAAUGAAUUUCCUAAGUCCAUGAAAUAGUUGUGAACCACUUAUCUACUUGCAAGUAGCCCAUUCAUGACUUGGAAUUUUCUAUGCAACUCCUAAUGUACCCAAGUCAUAUAUAAUGCAAGUGAUAUUAGGCCUGAAUGUUUAACACGAUUACUGCACAAACAAGAUAGCAAAUAGGAGACCAGAAUCAUCUUUAAAUAAUAAUAAAAUUUAUUUAUUAUUAUAUCAUGUCAUGAUUUUUAAAGGCUUUAUCCUAACAAGAUGGAUGCAAAUAUUCCAUUGUGAUUAAAGUCCCCUAUGAAGAAAUAUGUCAUCGACCCCCUUAAAAAGAGAUAAGAAUGUUGUACUACCAUAAAGCUAUUGAUACCUUAAUUAAUAUAGAGAUAGUGAUGACUUCCCUAUUGAUACCAAACAUACUAGAGGCUUUUAAGGAAAGUUUAUCGAUAUGUUGUAUAGUUGGCUCACACAGUGCUUAUACUUGUAAGGGGUUAGCCAAUUUAUAUAUGCACAUGGGAGGAGAUCUAUGGAUGACAUAUACUUGAUUGUGAAUGGAAAAAUCAACUAAUUAUAAAGAAUAAUGAGAGAUUACAUAUGCACAUAUGUGUGUAUAAAUACAUACACUUGAAGUCAACUCUAAGAAAAAAUCUCUUGCUUAUUAAAUAUGAUGAUUUAUAAGGGAAUUUUGUACAUUUGUAGAAAUAGAAUGGUGGAGUUGUUAUUAAUAAAGACAAUUUUGGAUAUGGUACUUAUGUUGAGAGAGACUAAGUAGCUUAGAAGAGAAAGUUAUUUGGUUUCCCCUAAUCCCAAGGUAGCUUUUAUAAAUAAAAACACUCAUGAAGCAUGUAAGAUAUUUUGUUUGAGAUUUUUUUUUUUUUUUUUUUUUUUUUUUUUGUGGUGAAAGGGCUUUUCAAUUAAAUUUUUUUUUUAUAAAAUUUUUGUGGUUAUAAGUUUGUCUUGCUCAAAAUCUAAUCUAGAAUGAUUGAAAUAAACAUAUAUAUACUAAUAAAUUAUGAACUCAUCUAGAAAAAGUCAAAAUUUGAUUUAAUUUGAUUUUCAUUUUUUUCACAUUAGAAUCAACUUGUUGGUGUCUUGGUUAAAAAUGCGAGUAGUUCUAAUUUUUCAUACUACACUUGAGAAGCUAGCUAUGCAUGUUUAUAGUUCAUUUUAUAUAGGUGGACAAAUUUAUGUUAUUAUUCUACUUGAAUUUUCUCAUUGUUAAGUCAUCACAUUUCAUCAUCUAUAGUACAUACUUUGGUUUUCAAUUUUAAACAAGUGCAAAAUAUGAUUUUAGUGAUGAACAAUUCACGUUGAGUCUUCUUCAUGGGAUGAGUGUUUAUAUUCAAGUAAUAAUUUAUCACCCUUACCUUUAUCCAAAUAAAUUUAGGAAUAUUUUAACUUUUAGGCACAAUGAGAGUACAAAUGAUAUUUAGUUCCUUGUGCAUUAGAUCACAUACAAUAAGAAUAAGAUGAUUGUUUAUACCAUAUGCCUUAACUAUAUGAUAUUAUAUCUUUCUUAUAUUUGCAUUAGGGUUGGAUGCUCAAGAAUUGUUUGAUGCUUCUCACUUUAAAUCUUGGCCAAGGUAACUUUUUUAGGCAUAAUUUCUAUCAUUGUGAUAUUAUUAUAUUACUAUUUUUAAUUAAUUCUCUAUGCUUUAUAAUAAUUUUUCCGAUUUAGUGUAAUAAUCAAGGGGUAGAUGUUUACUAUUUGGAAUGCUUUGUGAUACAUUAUUAACUUGCUAAUUAAUUUGGAUGGAAUGAUAGUAAAAGGUAAGAACGUUUUUAUUUUCUAUAAAGACCAUACCACAGCUUGAACUUCUAAAGUUAGUGGAAAAUGAACUAAAAACAUGUGAAUCAAUGAUCGUAUGUGUUGCCAACAAUUAUUUUAUCAUUAAUAUAGACUACCACUAUAAAUAUUAGUAAGAUUUAAAUAUAUAAUACAAUACCCUUGAAUUUUGUGAGUUCAACUAAAACUUGAGAUGAAUGGGUACGAUUGAUUUCUAUAAANNNNNNNNNNNNNNNNNNNNNNNNNNNNNNNNNNNNNNNNNNNNNNNNNNNNNNNNNNNNNNNNNNNNNNNNNNNNNNNNNNNNNNNNNNNNNNNNNNNNAAGGUGACUUAUUAAGAGUGUUCAAGCAUUUCUAAUUGGUUAUGGUAUGGAUCAUAUAUUUUUCCCAUAAUUAUAUUUAAAAGUGUAGACCUUACUUACUAUAUUAAUAUUAUUUUUUAUUAUUUGAAAAAAGCAUGAAAGGAAUAACUUCAUUGAUGCAGGAACAUUGCUCUACCUAUAAGUGUUAAAAUCAAGGAUCACCAACAUCAAUGGAAGAAAUUAAACUUACCUCAAAGGUAAAUUAAUGACAUUAUUUUCUACCAUUUUUGUCAUGAGGUUGACAUACAUUGUAACUUCCAUCUUUGUGUCACCCCAUCUUAGGAUUGGUGUCACAUGCAUAUGUGCCUCUAAAAUAUAAGAUGAGACUGAAAAAUUAUCUAGAAUAAAUAACGAAGAUGUGAUGAGUAUCCAUGAAUCUCUGCCUUAUUUCUACCAUGAAAAUGAAGAAACAUCUUACAAUAUUGGAAAAUAGAAAAAGGAUAUUGCAAGGAAAAAGAAAUGAGUUUAGCAUUUUUUUUAAGAAUAGGCAUUAGUCAAACCUUUCAUCUAGAGUUGAUUUUCUUUAAAAUUUGAAUUUGAAGAAUGUAAAAUGUUCAAAGAAUAAGUAAAUGUUAAUGAAUAUUAGAUAAAAUAGUGAAGCUUAAUGAAGAUUUGGGAACAAUUAUUAGAGAUUAGCUAAAAUACUAAAGUUGAGUGAGGAUAAGGAAGGUCAAAGUAAUUUAUAGAAAAGCAAGACCUAUAAUUUUUUAAUUCAUCAAUAAAAUUUUAAAUCAAAAACUAAAAUGGAUUGUGACCAUCCUUAGAAAAUCCAAACAACAAGGUUGAUCCCUUUGUGGAUCAUUUUUCAUGCUCAAUAAUAAAAGCAAAUGAUGAAAUGAUUUUCAAAUGUUUUUUGUUAUUUACUAAUUCUUCAAUACAUCAAUACUAGAUAGCCUCCUUAACAUGAAUAACAAAUAUAUUUUCAGCUUUAUAUCUUUUUCAUUUAAAAAGAACGGUCAUUGAAAAUAUCAUCCUCCUUGACAUGACCAUACAAAAUUUAAUUACAUUAUAUCAUGCAAUGUUAUUUUUUCGGACUUCCACUUUUUGUAAUUGAUCUAUUGUUAGCAUUUAGUUCUCAAUUGAAUGAACAUCAAUAAUAUUUCUAAUUACUUUUUUCGUAUUUAUAGCAUAAGGUCAAUUGUUUGUCUUAACAUGCCUAGCUUCCCUGGUGGACUAGACCCUUGGGGCAAACCAAAUUUUAGGAGAAAAAAAGAGGUGAGCUUUUGAAAGUCUUGUUUUACAUUAAAAGAAAUGAAUAAUGGAAACAUUUUUUUUUUCAGUUUCAUUCAAGCUAACUUUAUCUUUCUUAAUUUAAUUGUUUUAUUGAAAAUUCUAAUGGGGUUGUAAUUUGCAGAGAAACUUUACAUCAUCUUUUGUAGACGAUGAACUUCUUGAGAUAAUUGGAUUUAGAGAUUCAUGGCAUGGGGAAAUUUUUCUUCCUUUGAAUGACCAUGGGACUCGUCUUGCACAGGUUAGUUCUAUGCAUGUAUAUAUUUUUUUUAAUCAAACCAGGCCUAAAACAUGUCUAAAAUUGAUCAUAUAAUUUUUGUUACAACUAUAUGUUAUAAUAUUAAUAAGUAUUUAAAGUUUUAGUUUUAAUAUAUAAUAGUGGUAGUGAUGAUGAAACUAAUAUGUUAAUAAGAUGCAUCUUCAAAUAUCAAGUAUAGACUAACUUCUGUUUUUUCUUCUUCCUCUUCUUUGUUUACUUCUCAAUUCAGGCACACCAAAUUCGCUUUGAGCUUCACAAAGGGGUAGCUAAGCAUAUUGACAUGAAUUUUGAUGGGACAAGAUGGAAACAACCUACCCCUAUUGGUGAUGACAACUUCCUGAUUGAAAUCUCUUAUUCAUGUAAAACCAAAAUGCUUGCAACUUCAGCUUCAAAAUGCAAACACAAAUCUAAGUCCUACUCCAAUUAAAUCUUUUCAACAGGGUUGAAAUCUUCAGUGAGGUUUUCAUGCUAAACCUUUAUAUGAGGAUAACAUGAUAAAAACUUUAUAUGUAUAUAUAUAAAGCCAAAAAUAUUUGAUGGGUGGAUAUUGAUGAAAUUAUAUUUCAUUUAAAUUUAUAAAAUAUAAACACUUUUAGGUUUCCUUAUAUAAACUUCUUUGUUAUGGUAUUGAUUUAUAAAUGUCGAUUAUACAACCUUAUGAUGGAUAUUUUAAUGAUUUCAUAAAAAUCAAAGCAAGCACCACAUGAGAGAAACUCUGAUAGUCAAGAUGAAGCUACUAUUGUACCAAUUUAUAGAAAUGCCAACUUCACAACCAUAUGAUUGAAAAAGUAAACUAUAAGAAAUCUUGAAUAUGAGAGAAUUCUACAUAACCAAGAAGUUCUUCACAUAACCAUUUGUCAUUGACUUUGACUUUGGAUAUUUGAUUUCAUUUAUCACAUACCUAAAGCACUUACUAACUUUGAAAACCCAUUUCACAACAUUAGUUUUAUGUUCUUUUGUAAUAUCAAUCACUUUUCAUUAGCCAUUUUGACAGGGUUUUAUAUCAAAUUGUAGAUUUGGCUACAAAGUUCAAGUUUUUAUUUAUGAAUUUUAUGCAUCUAACUUGGUAGGUUAUCAAUUGUUGGGAUAGAGCCCUUAGAAGUAUGACAUGAUGUAUUUAUGAGUUUUUAGAUUCACUUUACUAUCUCACUUUGACAUUAUGGUUUAUUUUAGCAUUCAAGACUACAUUAUUUGUAAUAUACAUGACUUAGGUGCAUUAGGAGUUGCAUAAAAAAUUGAAGUCAUGGUUCCUUGUAUUUUGAUGAGUAGUUCACACUUAGUUCAUGAACUUAAGCAAUUCAUUUGAGGCUGAAGUGCACUACCUCCUAAUUGGAGAUAUGACUUGUCUUAGUCAUUAGAUAGGUUUCCCAUACUGAGUGCACUAGUGUGUAUGGUUACACAUUAGACAAAACCUAUGGUGCAUCAUGAUGUUAGCUAUCGAGUAGUCAUGAUUUCACCAAGUGACUAUGUCGCAUGGUCUCUCAACCAUGAUAGAAUAUUGAGUUAGUUCUAAGGUCUUUAUAUUCCCUAUGGAUUGAGUUACUAUUGAUUAGGAUAGGUAGCAAUAGGUAUUCUUAAGAUAGACACCAUGAUAUCUCAUAGGUUUGAGAUAGUGUGUCCUCUUAGGUUAUCUUAAGGACUUGUAAUCAUGAAAUCUGUAGUCAUAUUAAUUCCUUUAGUAGAGAUUGACAUAUGCUCUUUGUGAGAUAGAUUAAGUCAAUUAAUCAAGUGAUAUGAGGAUUUGGGACUCAAGGAUGGUAGAGCUAAUCUUGAGAGAGUGAUGGCUUUCACUACAUUAGAUUAUGGAUAUCGGCUCAAAGUCCAAUGGAUAGUAGGUCACAAACCCGAGGAAUUUAUUAAAUUAGCUUUAAUCAAUUUUCAUCUUAUGUAAUGUCAUAGAUUAUUGGAGCACAAUUGACUUUCUUUAAUGGAAUAUUGAGUCAACUUUAUAAUUAGAUUCUAAGAGACUCGGUAUUUUCCUAUGGGUCUUAGUGAUCCCCGCUUGAGCUCAUAAUCUUUGUUGGCAUAAAGUUUUAAGGUUUUAUGAAGAAUUGAUCAUUUAUGUGUAAGGACAUUUUGGUAAAAAUGAAAGAUUGCUUAAAAAUUUAUGAUUAAUUAUUUUGAGGUUUUUUUUUUAGAUUAGAUUAAUUAAUUAAUAAUUUAACUUCAAUAUGAAACUAAUUUACAAUUAUUAAAAUUAUACAUCUAAGUUAAUUUGUCAUUAUUCUUAAACUUUAUAAGUAACAGUACUAAUUGAAAUUAAAAUUAAAAUUGAAUUAUGCAUAUAUAUAUAUAUAUAUAUAUAUAUAUAUAUAUAUAUAUGAUAUUAAUUACACAAAUCACUUUAAUUUAACUUUAAUAUAAAACUAAUUUACAAUUAUUAAAAUUAAAAAUCUAAGUUAAUUUACUAUUAUUCUUAAACUUUAUAACUAGCAUUACCAAUUGAAAUUGAAAUUUAUUAAAAUUAAUUUGACAUUAAUGUUAAAAUUAAUCAAAUUAGACCAUUAAUUUAAUUUCUUUAAAAUGAUUGAAAACAUAUUAAUUAGAUAAUAUCAAUGAAACUAUUGUAUUUUUCACAAUAUAAUAUUAAUAUAUUACUAACUAAAAAUAAAAUUGAACCAUGCAUAUAUAAAAGUACUAUUUAUUAUAACAUACCUUAGUUAGCCUUGAAUUGGAGUUAAUCCACAAAUUCAACACCAAAUUCCCAAAAUUAAAGAAUUUUGAGAGAAAUUACAAAUAACUAUUGGAGCAAUAUAAGAUCAAGAACCUUUCAAUUCACUUGUGCAUGAAAUGGAAUGAAAUUUAGGUAUUUAUAGAAAAAAAUUUGGUCAAACUAGUCUUGGAUGGUCAAAAAACCAUUGCCUUUAAAUUCUAACCAUUGGAUCAAAAUUUAGAUGAAAUAUGGCCACUAAAUCUUCAUCUAUCUAUUGGAAACCCAUCCUAAAUGUUGGAUCAAGUCAAGAUUCAUUUUCCACCCUUGGAUUAUAAAUUUGACCGUUGAAGGCCUUCUUAAAAACAUGAGUAAAUUUUAGCCAUUGGAUCACCUUGGGUGAAAUCUAGCCAUUGAUUAAAGAAGGGAGAAGCACUCGAAACAUUGCUAACUUUUUGAGAAAAAAUCAUCUAAAUAUUAUAGAUUUCUUGCAACUAGCCCGAUUCUUGGCGAUGAAUUGUCUAUUUUAUCGACCACACUGAUAUAUCACUGAUAACCCGACUCUUGGUAGCUUGGCAUGUAAGGGUAUCAACAAAAUUUAUACCUAAGGUCCUUACACUAAAGUAGCAAAGCUACUAUAGCAUAGUGGCUCUAGGAUCGAACACUGGGAAGGGUUUUUACUUUAACUGGUGAAGUUCGGAGGAUGGAGUGAACUUUUCUUAAUAAAAAUUAGGUUAAGAUGAAAACAUAAAAAGAUAAAGGUGUUGUAAACUAAACUAACAUGAAAAUAGGUUAAAAGAUGGAAAAAGAAGUUUCUCAAAGCUUUGGAUAGCCAUGCUUAACUCACUGUGUAAAAAUGGAGAUUUUGGGACUUUUCACCUCGAGUUGAGGAAGUAACUAAGGUGAUGCUUACUUCCCGAACUGGUAUGAGUUUAACAACUGAGUUUUAGUCAUUGAAAACUUACAAAAAGGGUAGCUGAACCUCAUAAAUGCUCUUUUAUUGGUAUAGGUCAUCUCCUCGACUUGCAAUACAAUGGCUCGUAGGAGAUAACUAAUGAACGUCAGUGGAUCUAACAAUAAGAAUCCACUGAGACCAAAAUGUUAUCAAGUAUUGGCCAUUCAAAGUAAGUCAGAGGGAUUAAAAGCUUUACUUUGAAUGAAAACAUUUAUGACACUCAGCUAUUUACAUUUAUGGCUUGGAAAUCUCCAUCCUGACACGGGAGCUUCACAUGGCAUCCAUUACUUCAAGAAACUAAAAGGUUUUAGCCUCUCAUUCUUGGGGAUUUCAUCCACCAAGGAUGUUUGGCUACUAAGAAAAUGAGAAAGAAAAGAGAAAAGAAGCGUAUGAACAAAAGUGCUCUUAUAACUUAUAAAGUUACAGGUUACAAGAUGAUCGUGUCUGAGGCUCUUCACCUCUAUUUAAAGACAAUAAAAAGCUAAAUUACAAGAGCUAUUACAAAAGCAACCUUUUCAUUGGUUGAUUACAAGGGUAAAAUAGGUAUUUACAAAGCUAAAAGUCAAGCAAAAUAUCUUGGAGAACCGGCAAUGGAAUAUCAUCAACAGCGUCUGAAAACAAGGGAUUUCAAAGGCAUUUCGCAAGGUGGUUUCUUCAUGGUGCGAAAUGGCCAAAUUUCGCACCAUGAGGAAAAUCCUUACGAAAUUUUGGCAAGGUGAAAUUCACCUUGCGAAAUUGAUCAUUUGGCAAGUGAAUUGCCUCCCCUUGCGAAAUGGUGUUCCCAUUGCUUGUGGUCGUGUUUCCACUUGAAAUUCAAGCCUGUAAACGUCCAAAAUCCUUGCUUAACUCGCCCAAGUAGCUCCUCCAUCAAUUGGCAUGCUUGAAUUGGUUCAUAAGCUAAUGAAAAACAUGUAAACUUGCCACUAAAAAUGGCUAGAACUAAUUACUAAGGAGCUUAAUGAAUUAAUUAGGUUAAAUGAAUAUGAUUACUACUCAAAGGUGCUUAAAACCCUUAUAAUUAGGUCUACAAAAUAGCACUUUUUGAUAGUAAUCACAGCCCCCAAUCGACUCAUUGCUAGUCCCUUAGCAAUGGAGGAGAUAAAAACUAAGCAAACAUAAUAAUAUACAUAAAAGAUGUCAUGCAAAAUACUCCAAAAAAUAAUUGAGUGGCAUGACUGAUAUCAAAACACAUCUCACAUGGUGAACUAAAGAUAUGAAGAUUCAAAAUGCAAUAGGAGUUGUCAAAGCUAAAACUUAAACAAAAAGUACAAAGAGUGGAGAUUAUGCAAUUAAGUAUCAAAAGAAUCUCUACUGUCAAGGUUCCGGAUCAAACUCUUCCAUAAUGAGCUAAGUGUUAAUGAGAUUAGCUUCCGGAUAUAGUAUGUACAACUAUCCUCUCCCCCCAACCUAAGCUUUUCUCGAACUUUGGCAAAAUUAACCAACUCUUAAUAGGUUAAGAAUGCACCUUCUUAUUCACAAUUCUUUUUACUCACUAAACUUAACCAAUUCACCUAUGUAGCAAGUAGAGGAUCGAUGACUCCCAACCAAUCAAGGUUUAGGGCAUCGGGUUUUAAAGGCUUUCGCCACCCCUUCGGAUCAUGCUUAGGUUUCAAGGAAAGAAUAGAAGCUUUUUAUUAUUAUUAUUAUUAUUAUUAUUAUUAUUAUUAUUAUUAUUAUUUUAAGACUCAUUGGUCUUUUUGAGGUGUCCCAACACUAUUAAAAAGAGGUUAAGUAAUGAACCAAGUCAAAAUUUUCCUAAGCUUAGAGGGUGAGAAAGUUUUACAUCAUAUAUCCGGGAUCUAAUGUGCACGGUGUGUGUAAAGCUUGAAAUGGAAGAAAUAAGUUCGAAAUCAAAGAGGGCUUCAAUAGAUUAUCAACUUUGAAAGCAUAAAACAAACUCUAAGACUUAAGUAAUUAAGUUAAAACUUGACUUAUCUUAUUUUAUUUUGAGAAAUUAUCUUUAACAACCAUAGAGAAUGAAACAAAAAAUUUUGAAAAAGGUCAAAAAAUGCUAAAUCAACAAAAUAACUAACUAAAAUACGAAAUACUUACUUCCUCAACUCUCCCCCCAACCGAGAUGAACAUUGUCCCCAAUGUUUCUAUCGAAAAAGACGAGGAAUGAAUGAUAUACCUUAUGGUGAUGUGGUAUUCAAGGCGUGGGAGUGCAUCCACAUGAUUCAAAAACCAUAAGAAACGUGAGAGAGGAAAUAAGAUACAAAAAAUGAUGCUUAUAUAAACUGAGAGAGUUGAGUACAAGAUAUAAGCAUGAGGUACAUACAAUCUCAGAAUAUAAAACAUGUAUCAUAUACAAAAAACAUAUACAAAAUGGAGAUAGAAAUAUCCAAUCAUGGAUGUGGCUCCUGAGGUCGAGGAGGUGAUAUGCCCAGGUGAUGGUGGAUCUGAGAGAGCAUGGCGGAGUGCUGGUCCAGGAUAGUUGUAUGCUGAGCCUGAAUAGCUGUAUGCUGAGCCUGAAUAGCUGUAUGCUGAGCCUGAUGUGUCUGUAUGGUAUCCAUCUGUCGUCUGAUGGCCUGCAUCUCACGGACUAAGGUGGCCUGAGAGGCGCUCAAUGAGUGAAAGGACGACAUGAGAGCUCUGAACUCUGUAGUGGAGACAGUGAUGGAUGGCCUGGCUGAAGACUCAGCAUAGGUUGGAGCAGGAGUGACUGGUGGUGUGGGAGUAUCAGUAGUGCAAGUCAUUGGAGAAGGUACUGAAGAAGAAGGCUUUGUGGUAUGUGGGUCCUACUCUGGUGAUGUCUGUAUUGUAGGUGCUGAGGCUGCUGGAGAAUCGGGAGGCGUUGGAGAAGCUGGAGGCGCGGGAGCUAAUGGUCUAGGGAUACCCUGGUCCAUGGGUGAGCGGUCUAAGAAAUGGGUCCAACUCUCACUGGUAAAGAGCUCUUGACAAUGAUGACGACGCUCUAGGUGGGGCUGAGAAGGGUAUCCCAUAUCCUCUAAGACCUGAGAGAUCAGCCUUGGAAAUAAGAGUGGAAUAGUACCAGCUUUGCGUAGGCGCUUCCUAUGCACCUUCUCCUCAAAAUAGGUAAGAGCAGUCAUGACUAGAUGGUGGGGUCCAAAGUAGAAUCCCUCAGAGAUGCGAUAAAGCGCAUCUAGGAUAGCACUUCUCCUUUGGACGACAUGCUGGAGUGGAAAAAGAUUGGUGCGGAGCACCAAAUUGAUAAGUAACAUCCGUGGAGGAAGCUCCCUCCUCAAAAUGGUCCUACCAGUGACUCUACCUCCUGAUAAGGUAGACACCAUGUCGGGCUCUGAAUACUGAGAUCAAUGCCGGAAGGAACCAAGGUCCUCAGGGAUAGGCGGAAAAUGCAUAACGGCGGCUAUAUCUCGGGCCUCUAAAAUACCAUGCUGGCCAUCAAUAAAAAAAUAAAUGGCUAUGGGGUCCUGGACGCCUCUAGUAGUCAUAGUUUGGUAGAAAUCUAAGACUACCCUAGGGUAAUAGAAGGACCUAGGAGUCAUAAAUGGCUCGAUGUGGUACCUCUGCAGAAGGCGGUAUGACUCCUCUAGCUCUGGUAAUAGGCGGAGAGUCUCAUGCUCCAUACAGAUCUCAUCGUGAAAUGGCCUAUCUCUGAUAUGAAGUUUGAAAAUGAAUUUAAAAAGAAUCAAAUCCUUGGUAAGCAUGAAGAAAAAAUUUCGCAAGGUGAAAAUUCACCUUGCCAAAUUUUCGCACUGGUUACUCCCCUUAAAAACCAAUCCCGAGAGGUUGCAUUUUGAUAUUUGCUUUGAAAACAAUUUCGCAAGGUGAAAAAUGACUUGUGAAAAUUUUCGCACUGGUUACUCCUUGCGAAAGUGCAAUCCCGAGAGGUUGUAAAUUGCAUCUUGCCAAAAUAUGCAUUUCGCAAGGUGAAAUUCACCUUGCCAAAUUUUCGCAAGGUGAAAUUCACCUUGCCAAAUUUUCGCAACUCACUUUUUGAGUUGCGAAAUGGGCUUUUAAGCUUGGACUUAGAUAUAUUUCUCCCCUAUUUCACCUUUCUCUCCACAUUUGUGAGCUUGUGAGCUUUCGUACCUGCUAUUGGACAUCAAAGCUCCAUUAAAAACAUAAAAAAUCAAAAUCAAAACUAAGAAACCUAAACAAAAUAUGUGCAAAAGUAUUAAAAAUGCAAAGUAAACAAGAAUGUAAUACUAAAAUUAAAACAAAAAGAGAUGAGCACUUAGCUUUUCAUGCUAAGCUCAUCAACUUACCACACUUUCUCAAGGAUGUGAUGGGUCAUGGAGGAUGAGUACCUCCUUGUCACGGGAAAAUGGCUCGAUGUAGGGCUUGAGUCUUUGCCCAUUUACCUUGAAGGUCUUUGCACUUUUUGAGUUGAGUAACUCAAUUACUCCAUGUGAGUGUACUUGGUGGAUGACAAAAGGCCCUACCCACUUUGAUUUGAGCUUUCCCGGAAAUAGGUGAAGCUUAGAGUCAUAUAGCAAGACUCUUUGUCCCUUGAAAAAUUCUUUCUUGGUCACCAACUGAUCAUGCCAUCUCUUUAGCUUUUCCUUAGCUAUUUUUGAGUUGAGAUAGGCAUCAUUUCUCAAUUCCUCAAGCUCAUUCAAAUCCAAACUCCUCUUUAGCCCAACCUUAGUUAAAUCCAUGUUGAGCUUUUUAAUGGCCCACCAUGCCUUGAACUCAAUCUCAACGGGAAGAUGGCAAGCUUUGCCAUAAACAAGACGGUAUGGUGACAUCCCAAGGAUAGUCUUAUAAGUCGUCCUAUACGCCCAUAGGGAAUCAAUGAGCUUAACAGACCAAUCUUUCCUAUUGGUGUUCACCACCUUCAUCAAGAUGUUCUUAAUUUCCCGGUUGGCUAGCUCUACUUGGCCACUCAUCUGAGGAUGAUAAGGUGUAGCUACCUUAUGCUUAAUUCCGUACUUGGCCAAAAGAGCUUCAAAGGGCUUGUUGCAAAAGUGAGUGCCUCCAUCACUGAUGAUUGCUUUAGGCACUCCAAACCUCGAGAAGAUGUUUUCUUUUAGGAACUUGAGAACCACUUUGUGAUCAUUGGUUCUACAGGGUAUAGCUUCAACCCACUUUGAAACAUAAUCAACUCAUACCAAGAUGUAGGAGUGGCCAAACGACAUAGGGAAAGGUCUCAUGAAGUCUAUGCCCCAAACAUCAAAAAGAUCCACUAUCAAGAUGGGGUUCAAAGGCAUCAUGUUUCUCCUUGAAAGCUUGCCUAGUCUUUGGCACUUAUCACAUCCUUUACUUACCUCAUGGGCAUCCUUAAAAAGUGAGGGCCACCAAAAACCCGAUUGAAGAACUCUCAUUGCCGUCUUUUGAGAGGCAAAGUGGCCUCCACAUGCAUUCCCAUGGCAAUGAGAUAGGAUCCCAUGCUUCUCUUGUUCAGGCACACACUUCCUUAUAAUUUGGUUCGCACAAUACUUGAAGAGAAAAGGCUCCUCCCAAUAAUAUGCAUGGACCUUGGCAAAGAAAUUCUUCUUGUCCUGAGAGCUCCAUUCACUUGGUAUUUCUCCCGUGACCAAGUAAUUGGCAAUGUGUGCAAACCAUGACACUUUCUCCAUAAGCAUCAAGGAUUCCUCAGGGAAAUCAUCAUUUAUGGGAAGUUCAUGGGUGUCAUGAGCGAUGUUGAGCCUUGACAAGUGGUCAGCUACCACAUUCUCAACACCUUUCUUAUCUCUGAUCUGGAGGUUGAACUCUUGAAGCAAAAGUAUCCACCUAAUCAACCUAGCCUUGGCAUCUUGCUUGGUUAGCAAAUAAUUCAAAGCUGAAUGAUCCGUGAAUACCACAAUGGAAGACCCUAUCAAAUAAGCUCUGAACUUAUCCAAAGCAUACACCACAGCAAGUAAUUCCUUCUCAGUGGUGGUGUAAUUCCUUUGAGUAUCAUUCAAAGACUUGCUUGCAUAGUAGAUCACAUAAGGUUUACCAUCUUCUCUUUGUCCCAAAACAGCCCCAAUGGCAUAAUCACUUGAGUCACACAUCACUUCAAAUGGCAACUCCCAAUUUGGUGCUCUCAUAAUGGGCGCUGAUGUCAAGAAUUGCUUAAGAAGCUCAAAACUCCUUUGACAUUUAUCAUCCCACUCAAACUUGGCAUCCUUCACCAAUAAUUCACAAAGAGGUUUGGCAAUCUUGGAAAAAUCCUUUAUAAACCUCCUAUAGAACCCGGCAUGCCCAAGGAAUUGCCUUAUUCCUUUUACAUUGGUGGGAGGUGGCAACUUCACAAUUAGUUCCACCUUAGCUCUAUCUACCUCUAUACCCUUCUUUGAGAUUACGUGCCCAAGAACAAUACCUUGAUUUACCAUAAAAUGGCACUUCUCCCAAUUGAGUACGAGGUCUUUCUCUAUGCAUCUUUUCAAAACAUCUUCAAGAUGUGACAAACAAUCCUCAAAAGAAGUCCCAUACACAGUUAUGUCAUCCAUGAAGACUUCCAUGAUUCGUUCAACCAUGUCACUGAAGAUGCUAAGCAUGCAUCUUUGGAAGGUAGCAGGAGCGUUGCAUAAUCCAAAAGGCAUCUGCCUAUAAGCAUAGGUGCUGAAUGGACAAGUGAAGGUAGUCUUCUCCUGGUCCUCCACAUCAAUCUCUAUUUGAAAAUACCCGGAAUACCCAUCCAAGAAGCAAUAAAAAGGAUGCCCAGAUACUCUCUCAAGGACUUGAUCCAUGAAAGGUAAAGGGAAGUGAUCAUUUCUCGUUACUGUGUUCAAUUUCUUGUAGUCAAUGCACACCCUCCAACCAGUUGUGAGGCGUGUGGACACUUCAUCUCCAUUUUCCCCCUUGACUACGGUUAUCCCGGACUUCUUUGGAACAACUUGGGUUGGACUCACCCAAGUGCUAUCUGAAAUGGGGUAAAUGAUGCCCGCUUGAAGAAGCUUCAACACUUCAGCCCUUACUACCUCUUGCAUAUGAGGAUUCAAUCUCCUCUGUGGCUGACGAGUUGGCUUAGCUUCCUCCUCCAUAUAAAUAUGGUGCGUGCAAAUCAAUGGGCUUAUCCCCUUCAAAUCAGAAAUUUGUCAUCUGAUGGGCUUCUUGUGCUUUCUAAGGAUUCUUAGAAGAUUGUCCUCUUGUGAAACGGUUAAAGAAUAAGAAAUUACCAUCGGGGCUUUAUUGCCUUCCUCCAAGUAAGCAUACUUCAACUCGGCAGGAAGGGUCUUCAAUUCAAGCUUAAGGAUUGCAUCCUUAGCUUCUUUCAUCUCUUCCUCAUUCUUGAACAAAGGGAGGAUCACUGGCUUUUGUCUCCAGUUUGACAUAACGACAUUCAUUCCCAUGGGUUCAGCUAACCCAUCAUCAAGAUCUUCAUGGAUUUCAUCUAGAUUCUCUUCAAACUGAUCAAGCAUACUCUGAUUACAAUGCUCCUCCACCAGGGUAUCUAUCAUACACACUUCUUCUGGGUCCUCAUCUUCUUCAGGAUGGAUGUGCUUUUGACAUAGAUGGAAGAUGUUGAGUUCCAAUGUCAUAUUACCAAAAGUGAGUUGCAUGACCCCAUUCCUACAAUUGAUGAUUGCAUUGGAUGUUGCAAGGAAUGGUCUUCCAAGGAUGAUUGGAACAUAGUUGAUCCCUUUGACAAUGGGAUCCGUAUCAAGCACCACAAAAUCUACUAGAUAGUAGAAUUUGUCAACUUGAACCAAUACAUCCUCUAUUACCCCCCUAGGGAUUUUCACUGAUCGGUCAGCUAAGGAUAGGGUGAUCGAUGUUGGCUUGAGUUCUCCCAACCCCAGCUCCUUGUAUACAGAGUAUGGAAGCAAGUUAACACUUGCCCCCAAAUCAAGCAAUGCCUUCUCCACUUGGGUUCCUCCAAUAUUGGCUGAGAUUGUAGGACACCUCGGAUCUUUGUAUUUGAUUGGAGACUUGCAUUGGAUUAUAACACUCACUUGCUCGGUUAGGAAGGCUUGCUUUGUAACAUUGAGUCCUCUUUUCACAGUGCACAAGUCCUUCAAAAACUUUGCAUAUGUGGGUACUUGCUUGAUCAUAUCAAGUAAAGGAAUAUUCACCUUCACUUGUCUUAGCACAUCAAGAAUCUUAGAAGCAUUCUUGAUCGGUUUCUUCCCACGCAAGGCUUGAGGAAAUGGAGGAGGCAUGUGCUUCUUCAUCAUGCCUUCCUUUAAAAGAAUUUGAGGUUCCUCAUCCAUGCUAGGAAUGAUGCUUUCUUUCAUCUGAACUUCCUUUCCCUUUUGUUCUUUCUUCUUUUCUUCUUUUCUAUCAGCCUUGUCUUCUUUGACUUUCCUCUGAUCAUGCUCCGGCUGAUGCACUUCCUUACCACUUCUCAAAGUGAUAAUAGCUUGCAUGUCCCUCACCUUUGAAGAAUCCUCAUCUUUGGAUUCCACUUCAUUUAUCCCCUUAGGAUUUUGGUGAGGCUGAGAGGGAAACUUCCCUUUCUCAUUGACAGUGUUCAAAUUUGUGAGUCUUGAGAUGGAAUAUUGGAUGUUGUCAAUUUUCUGAGACAACUCAUUAUGCAUCCCAUCUAUCUUCUUGUUCAAUGUACUCUCUACGUUGUCAAUCUUCUGAUUUAGUUGAGAGUUGAUGGAUUUUUGCUCACUCACAAAGUCACCCAUAACCUUGCUAAGGCUUAUGAGUGCUUGCUCAACUGAGGAUUGACCUUGACUCUGUUGGCUUGAUUGGGCUGGUGACUGAUAUGGGUUUGGCCUUGGCUUCCAUGCAAAGUUUGGGUGGUUUCUCCAGCUAGAGUUGUACGUGUUGCCAUAGGGAGCAUUUGAAUUUGGCUUCCAUCGGCCAAUCAGGUUAGCUUGUUCCCCGAACAUUUCUCUUGCUGCUGGAAUGGUGGGACAUUCUUCCACCAUAUGUUCAAAUGACUGACAUAUGGAGCAAGGAUUGGCUUGUUGUUGAGGUUCUGAAAUAGCUUGUGAUUCAUGCCCGAUUGGUGUCUCAGCUGAUUUGUGUCUAGCUGGUGCUCCUUGAUUGAGGGAUUAAUCAACAAAAUUUAUAACCUAUUACACCAUAUACUAGGGUAGCAAAGACAAAGCUACUAUAGCAUAGUGGCUCUAGGAUCGUUCACUGGGAUGGGUUUUCACUUUGCAAAUGAUAUUAAUUCAAAGCUGAAUUGGUGCCUUUUCAUUUCAAGGUUAGCUUUAAAAGAAAACAUAAUCUUUAGCAGAAAAAGGUUUGGUUUUAAACUAACCAAAAGUAGUAACUGAUUUUACUUACAAAGAAAAAUGUUUCUUGGAGUUUCAGAUCACUAGGCUCAGAUUCCUCAUACAAAAAGGGAGUUCCGGUCACUUGUUUCUUUUCCUCGCAUUAGAGAAUUAACAUAUAGUUAAUUCUCUAACCGGUGUUGUACAGAUGCUUCCCAUUAAUGGGUUCAAACACUAAAUCCCUCUCACUAAUGCACCUUGCAAUGGCUCAUACCUCUCACCUAGCACUUGCCAUUCAAGGUGAUCUUUAACCUUGGAUUACCCGUCAAAAGCUCGCAAGAGAUAACUAAUGGAUGUCUCCUUGAAGUCCAAAAGCUUACCAAGUGUUGGCUAUUCUAGAAAAUCCUACCUUCAAGUCACCUCCCAGAGGCUCGCAAGAGAUAAACUAGUGAAUCUCCAUGGACGGAGAUCAUUUGCCUUACCAAGUGUUGGCCCAGGUGAUUUAAAGGCGUUUUAAGUUAACUAAAAAGAUAAAAACCAUUAACGGGUCACACUUUCUCUUCAUUAAAAACUAAAACAACAAAACUUCCAAUUUAUGCAUGUGGAAACUUACCCGGCUUUCCUCACUCCAAGAGACAAAAAGCCUAGCCCCUCAUCCUCUAAGGAAAAAUCCUCAGAGUUUGUUUGGCUAGCAAGAAAACUAAUGAGAAAAUAAGAAUAUAUAUGAAAAACAGAGCAAGUGCUCUGUUCGUUGAUUCUAUAUAUGAUAUAUCUAUCUAUUACAUACUUCUAUUACAGUGGAUGCAAGGGAAUAUAUAUAGAGACGUUUUUCCAACCUUCCUAACUAAGAAAUCUUAUGGUUGGUGGAUUACAAGGAGAGGAAUGGAAAUUCAUACAAAAAUAUCUGAAGAAAAACAUCCCAAAGUGUCGGUCGCAAAUAUCGGGAAGCACUAAGGACCAUUUCGCAGGUGAAAACGAGGUCUGCGAGAUUUCGCAGACAUCCAAAAAGGGCUGCGAAAUCACUUCGCAGCAAAAGGUUAUUCUCGCAGGGCUACGAAGUUGGCUUUCAUCUUGAGGUGCUCAGCUUCCAACUUGUGGCAUAUAUCGGGCAACUUCAGGAGGGAAUCCACAACACUGUACAAAAAGGCUGCGAAAUCAUUUCGCAACAAAAGGGUGAUUCCGCAACACUUUUGCAAAAUGCUUUCUUCAGCUUAGAGUGAUUGACUUGCAAUGGCUGUAACUCCUUCGUUUCAACUCCAAAUUGCGCACCGUUUGAAGGAUUGGAUUCUUGACUUCCUGAGCUUUGAAAUGGUAUAUAGCAUGUAGAAAAUGGACUUGGGAAAGUGCUCCAAAAGUGAAAAAGAAGACUGCAGCUGCUGUCCUCUAUUUUCUUCACUCUGUUUUCCUCUCUCCAGUGCUCUUUCCUUGCAUACUUUGAACGACUAAGGCAAAGGACUAUGAGGCUCCAAAUCUUGGUUUCUUCAUGAAUUUGAGCUUCCAAAAGCUUUUCCAUGAACUAUAUACAGCUCUCCCUCAUUCUUGGAUUGCUUUGGUGAUCAAAAAGCUAUCAAAACACCAAAACUUAACACAAUUUGAUUAGAAUUGAUUGCAAGGGUCCUUAACAUGUUAAUUGGGUUAAAAGGCAAUAACUACUACUCAAAAGUGUUUAAAAGAGUUAAUUACAAGCUAUCAAAUAGCACUUUUUGAGUAGUAAUCAGCUUGGACUUUGUGAACUUUUCUCAACUCCAUUUCCUCUAUUUUUCUAGCCAUGGCAGCUACCUUGGCUUUCAUCUCCAUGUCUUCACUCAGAUUGUACAUCCCCCCUCUUGACAUUUGCUGAACUGGCCUUUUCCCCAUUUCUCUGCUAUUGGGCUCAUCCCAUCCAUAGGAAACCUCUGAGACAUAACUUAGGAAAUCCAUAGCCUUCUCAGGGUUCUUGCUCAUGAAAUCACCCCCACACAUUGUCUCCAAUAUCUGCUUCAUUGAAGAUGACAUGCCAUCAUAAAAAUAGCUCACCAAAAGCCAUGUAUCAAAGCCGUGGUGAGGACAUGCAUUGAUGGCCUCCAUAUACCUCUCCCAGCAUUCAUAAAUUUUUUCAUUCUCACGUGCUGAGAAGUUGGAGAUUUGUCUCUUCAAUCCAUUUGUUCUGUGAGUAGGGAAAAACUUCUUCAAAAAAUCAGCUUGAAGUUCUGUCCAUGUUCUUAUGCUUCUCGGCCUCAAGGAAUUGAGCCAUAUCUUGGCUUUGUCCUUUAAUGUGAAUGGAAAGAGCUUCAACCUCAUAAGCUCAAUAGUUGUUCCCCCUUCUUGAAAAGUAUUGCACACAUCUUCGAAUUCCUUUAUGUGCGCAUAUGGAUUUUCACUUUCCAUCCCAUGGAAAAUAGGAAGCAAAGGCACGAUGUGUGGCCUGAUAAUCAAUUGCUCUGUAGGAGGAAUGAUGCAAGAUGGUGCACUCAUCCUCGGAGGGUGCAUCAUGUCCCUCAUGGACCUAUACAAGUUCGGAUCAUUCUCCUGCCCGUGUUGUGAAUGUUGAUCCUCUAGCUGAUUCUCCAUGACUUCCAAAAUAAUCUCUAAUUCAGUAGCUCGUGGAGUCUCUAUCCGCACUAACCUUCCCUCUUGGUCUCUAAUCCAAUAGGGCAUGCACGGAUUCAGCUGGAACAAAACAAAUAAACAAAACAAAGAAAAAGAAAAAAAAAACAGAGCAUGCGGAAGGAAAAACAGAGUAUAAAAAACAAACUAAAAAUGAAAGUUAAAAGCUAAAAGAAACUUAUCUAAACUAAGUUAAAAAUAUUCUAAAACUAAAAUAAAAAGUUAGUAAAUGAAAAAUGAGAUAGAAUUCACCUCACUCAUGAGAAGUCUCACAAGUUACCUCGGGCUGAUGUAUUCACAGUGAAGUAGCACCUUUCCCGGCAACGGCGCCAUUUGAUAACCCGACUCUUAGUAGCUUGGCAUGUAAGGGUAUCAACAAAAUUUAUACCUAAGGUCCUUACACUAAAGUAGCAAAGCUACUAUAGCAUAGUGGCUUUAGGAUCGAACACUGGGAAGGGUUUUUACUUUAACUGGUGAAGUUCGGAGGAUGGAGUGAACUUUUCUUAAUAAAAAUUAGGUUAAGAUGAAAACAUAAAAAGAUGAAGGUGUUGUAAACUAAACUAACAUGAAAAUAGGUUAAAAUAUGGAAAAAAGAAGUUUCUCAAAGCUUUGGAUAGCCAUGCUUAACUCACUGUGUAAAAAUGGAGAUUUUGGGACUUUUCACCUCGAGUUGGGGAAGUAACUAAGGUGAUGCUUACUUCCCGAAUUGGUAUGAGUUUAACAACUGAGUUUUAGUCCUUGAAAACUUACAAAAAGGGUAGCUGGACCUCAUAAAUGCUCUUUUUAUUGGUAUAGGUCAUCUCCUCGACUUGCAAUACAAUGGCUCGUAGGAGAUAACUAAUGAACGUCAGUGGAUCUAACAAUAAGAAUCCACUGAGACCAAAAUGUUAUCAAGUAUUGGCCAUUCAAAGCAAGUUAGAGGGAUUAAAAGUUUUACUUUGAAUGAAAAAAUUUAUGACGCUCAGCUACUUACAUUUAUGGCUUGGAAAUCUCCAUCCUGACACGGGAGCUUCACAUGACAUCCAUUACUUCAAGAAACUAAAAGGUUUUAGCCUCUCAUCCUCCAAGGAUGUUUGGCUACUAAGAAAAUGAGAAAGAAAAGAGAAAAGAAGCGUAUGAACAAAAGUGCUCUUAUAACUUAUAAAGUUAUAGGUUACAAGAUGAUCGUGUCUAAGGCUCUUCACCUCUAUUUAAAGACAAUAAAAAGCUAAAUUACAAGAGCUAUUACAAAAGCAACCUUUUCAUUGGUUGAUUACAAGGGCAAAAUAGGUAUUUACAAAGCUAAAAGUCAAGCAAAAUAUCUUGGAGAACCGGCAGUGGAAUAUCAUCAACAGCGUCUCAAAACAGGGGAUUUCAAAGGCAUUUCGCAAGGGGGAAGAUGAAAGGUCCAAAUUUCGCAAGGUGCCUAAAUCCACUUGCGAAAUUUUGGCAAGGUGAAAUUCACCUUGCGAAAUUGGUCAUUUGGCAAGUGAAUUGCCUCCCCUUGCGAAAUGGUGUUCCCAUUGCUUGUGGUCGUGUUUCCACUUGAAAUUCAAGCCUGUAAACGUCCAAAAUCCUUGCUUAACUUGCCCAAGUAGCUCCUCCAUCAAUUGGCAUGCUUGAAUUGGUUCAUAAGCUGAUGAAAAACAUGUAAACUUGCCACUAAAAAUGGUUAGAACUAAUUACUAAGGAGCUUAAUGAAUUAAUUAGGUUAAAUGAAUAUGAUUACUACUCAAAGGUGCUUAAAACCCUUAUAAUUAGGUCUACAAAAUAGUACUUUUCGGUAGUAAUCAAUCACCGAUAUUAUCCGAUUUUUCCAUCGAUCGAGCUAUCAAUGAGGAAUUUCACUUUAGGGGCCUCUAAUAUCCAAAAUAUCAACGAAAUAUCAAUAAUAUUUCAUGACAUUUCAAACCUCAAUCCUAUCCCAUCACUAAUUAAACAUGGGAUAGGAUAUGAUAUCCUUUCUCUUAUCCUAUCCCAUGCUAUAUCUAGCCAACCAAACAUAGCCUAAAAGUUUUUGUAUACACCUAACCUAAUUUUGGGAUAAGGAAGGGAGAGAUUCGAGUAUGUCUACAAAGAUCGCAGGAUUUUCAAGAUUUGCACCAUUCUCUUCUUCAAUUGGAAUUUAUUUGGGAACAUCCAUUUCAUAGGUAAUAUUUUUUAGCACCUAGAUCUAGAGUGUUAUUGUUUUUAAUGCUUUCAUUGCCUAGAUCUAGUGUUCCUAGGAAGAUAGUUGCAUGUACCUUGAUGAUUCAAGGCUUGGAAUGGAUUUUUCCAAUUAUUCCAAUAUUUUACACAACAAAGAGGAUCAAUCACCUUCAAGUCAUGCAUCAAGUUUUCAAUACAAUAAGCACCUUCAACUAAAGUUGAAAAAUGAGUUGAAGGGAUAAAUUACACAACCUAGUAGAGAAUGAUUUUAUGUUAAAAUUUAAGUUAUAAAGUGCUAAGUGAUGUAUUCAAUAAGUAUGUACAAUUAGUAGCAUAACAUUUCAAAUCAUAUGGUAUCAAUAAUAGCACCAUAAGCAUCAUCAACCAAGGAAAUUCAAAUACACCAAUCUCACAAUAGCAUUGGCCAUUUAAACUUGUAUUUUAGGGACAUAUAUCUAUACCCCUACUAUCUAACUAAGAUCUUCCAAAAAUAUGUUUUAGAUCUUUCACUCUAAGGUACUUUACUCUUCUUUCUAUAAGGGCUCUUACCCAAGAACUAUUGCUCCUUCAUUCAUUCACAAGUGCACCUAAAGCAAUGCUAAAAUCAGUUUUUUUUUUUUUUUUUUUCUAAGGGCUCUCACCCAACAAUCAUGCCUCCUUAAAUUAUAAGGCCAACCUUUCCUUGGUGUCAAUCUCUAUUUUUUUCUUGUUUUUUCCAAUUCUUAGUCACGUUCAAUACCAAUGCAGGAUUCACCAUUUCCUGUGCCCUAAAGCACCAUCUACAAUACUCACCAUUUACAAUGUUGUUUAUGCAUGAGUCUUAUGCUGGAGUUAGUUAUUUGCAUGGUUUGAAAUAUUAAUAAACACAAAUAUAUUGGAAAAAUAUUGAUGGAGAUUUUGACAAAAAUAUGGCUGAGACGAAAAUUAUGCAAAAUUCAUGGAAUUAUUUGGAAAAACUCCAAAAAAAAUGAUAAAAUAAGUAAAAAUACACACAUUAAAGUUAUUUUAUAAGUGUAAUUGAUAUACGUAUGGUUAAGGAGAAAAAUAUCGGUAAAAAGGGAUAUAUCGGUCUUAAUAAUUAUUUAUUUAUCUUAUCAAAUUAAUUUUAAUUUAUAAAAUAUUAGAAAUUCAUUAUUAUUAUUGAUAUAUCUUAGUAUUUUUUUUGAAUAAAUUUGUAUUUUUAAUAUUUUAAAAUAAAAACAUUCGAAAUUAAAUAAAAUUAAAAUGAUAAAUAUAAAAAAUUUAAAUGUGAAGUGAUAGUGUUUUUCAAAAUAGGAUUAAUGAGAUAAAUGAUAAUACAUUUAAUAUUAAAACUAUAAUUUAUUUAAUUCAAAUGCAUUAUAAAUGAUGAUACAUAUAUAAUUUUUAAAAUAUUUAUAUUUUUAUAUUUAAUUAUCAUAUGAAUGAUAUAAAAAAAAAGACUUGUUAAGAAAAUUAUAAUAAUGAUUUUUAUACUUUCAUUAAUCAAUUAAUAUAAAAUAUAAAAUAAAAUAAUUAGAAUUAAUUUUUUUUAAUAAUGAACUUCAAUAUAUUUAUUGUAAACAUAUAUUUUAUAAACGUGGACUUGGCCUAGUGGUAACCAAGGUUCAACCCAAGCCUUUUGGCCUAUGUUUGAACUUAUCGAUCUGUCGACCGACAUAAGCGAAAUAUCACUGAAAUUUCGUAACAUUUCAAACCAUGAUUAUUUGUAUAUAUGUAUCACAAAGUCCAGCACAUGACCCACAACCCACAAUGCAUCUUAUUCAUAUAUUUAAUAACUUCAUCAAACAGUCACCAACUUUGAAUUUUAACAUAUUAACUCCAUUGAGUAUAACUACCCAUUAAUAUCAUAAUUCAUAAGGAUUAAUAAAAGAUAUAUCUCUUCCUUCAUAAGGAUUAAUACUACUUUGUCAUAGGAUUUUAUAAGUUUUAAACUAAAAUCUUUCCUACUUGUGAUGAAAAUUACCAAGAUUCGCUAACUUAGAGUUACCUAUUCUAGCUUCAACCUUACUAGCUUUAUGUUAUAGCCUAAAAAAUUUCAUAUAGGAUAAAGAAAAAGAGAAGAAAAACUUAUCAAAAUUAGCCUCCCAACCUUUUAUAUCUCAGUCAAAGAGGUGCAAAUAAGAUGUUAUUAACUUAAACAACCCUUAGGUUUCCUUUGCAUGUGAAUGAUGAGUGUCCCUUACUUCAUUUUGCAUAUGCCACCAGUAUUUGCAUUAAGGUUUAUGUAGUUAGGUUGAAAUGAAGGCAAGUGGGUUGUUUCCAGCCACACAUUAGCGGUAAUGUUAUUAUGUGCUUAUAGAAUGUUUAUAACCUUGUGUCGGAAUUCCCUUAGGCUAUAUUUGGUCCCAUAAAAUUUAAGAGAAAAUGUAAGGAGAAGAAAAUAAAGAGAAAAAAAUAGAGUAAAGAAAAAAUGAAAGAAAAUAGAAUAAAAAAAAAUUUAAGCCAAUAAAUUAUUUUGAUAUGUUAUUUCAAACCUAUUUUACUAAUUUUCCUUCAUUAUAUAAAAAUUAAAUAAUUUUAAAAUACGUAAAUUUCUAAUUAAUUUUAAAUAUGUUUUUAUUUUAUUUUGUAUUUUUCAUAGUGAAAUCAAAUAUAAGAAAAUUAUUUUCUCUGAUUUUUUUUUCUUUAGUGCUUUCCAAAACCAAACCUAUCCUUAGGAAUUUGGUUGUUACCCUCUUUGUACAUAGGACAAUCAUAGAUGGUAAAGAUGAUUGAAUCCUUGCAAUAUUAAAUGGACCAAGGAUUGUUCUAGCUUUUAAUUGUUCUAGCUUAACACAUAAAUGUUUAAUAUUAAAUGGACCAAGGAUUUAUCAUUGCAUUUCUUUUUAAAAUGAUUAAACAUUCGUUGAGGUGUUGGAUUUUUUUUUUUUUUUUUUUAACUUAAUUCCAAUGGAACUUAACUUAAAACUAAAUAGUACUUAAUAUUAUUAAGUAUUAAAUUGUUUAUUUUUUAAUAUUUUAUUUUUAUCGAGUAUUAAGUUGUUUGUCUUUUAUAUGCUAAAAAUCAACAUCUUAAUGUAUUAAGAAAAAUAAUUUUAAAAUUAAUUCUUAUUUGAUCAAAAAUAAUUUAACAUAUUUCUAAAAAUUUUAAAAUAAUAGAAAUUAUUUUAAAGGUUAUUGAAGUUGAAGCAGUGGAAGAAGAGAAAGAAGGUGGUGGUUCAAGUAAAGUGAUGAAAUAAUGGGGAGACUCGUUAUGAUGACAAGGAUUGGGGGUUCAGAUUUUUGUGUGGGUUUAAAAAUGUUACUUUUUUCAUUAAAAGAAAAAUAAAUAUUUUGGUUUAAUUUAUUCAAUGAAAAAUAUUUAAGAAUAAGUAAUAAAUUAAAUAAAAAUUAAAAAAAAAAUUUAAAAUCUGAAAACAAAUUAUUUUCAACAACCAGUAAAACAAAAAAAACAAAUGUCCUAUAAAACUUUAACAUUUCAAUUCAAUCUUAUCUUUGAUAUUCAUAAUAACGAUUGAUUAUCCAGUAGAUUAUCAAUCAUUACUAGUGAAUUUAUUUCAAAUAUUAACUUCAAAACUUGCUUUCAAUAUUAAAGAUUAACCGUUAUUGAAAAGGUGUAUAAUAAUGUUCUUUUUUGUUUAGUUAAUCUUUUCUUGACUUAAAUCCUUUCAAAUUUCAACUUCCUUUCAUAAAUGAACUUCUAAACCAAAACCCCACUCGAGAAAUUACCGAAUAACAAAGAAUUGAAUGAUUUAUCUUAAUAAUGGAGUAAGACAAUUAGCAACUAGACUAAACCGGUGUAAUAAACCUUACUAGCCUCAACUAUAAGGCCAACAAUAAUCUAUUUAAGAAAUUCUACUUAUUAUUUAUAUUGUAAAUGAUCACUUCCUAAAAUAGAGCAUCUUGUGUUAUUUAUUUAUUUAUUUAAUUUUAAAUAGAAAUUAAAACUAAAUAGUGUUUAAUAGUAUUAAGGAUUAAAUUAUUUAUUUUUAUAAUAUUUUAUUUCUAUUAAACAUUAAAAAAUAAAGAAAAAUCAAUAUGUUACUUUUUUUAUUUAGAAAAAGUCAAAUAUUUUAAUUUUUUUCUAUUCAACCAAAAAUUUAUAAUAAAUCAUGAAAAAGUAAAUAAUAAUAAUAAUAAUAAUAAUAAUAAUAAUAAUAAAACACUUGUAAAAAAUAAAUUGUUUUCAGUAAAAAAAACUAAAAAAACAAACAUCCUCUUACUAAAAUUUUGGGUCAUUCGUAUCUUAGUUUUAUUCAAUUUUUCUUUAAAACAACUUUGUUAAUUUGUGGUCAAUUGAAUUGUUAUGAAAUUAAGGUGGUUUGAUAUAUUUUUAGUCAAUAAAUACAAGAAACUUUUUAAAUUGAUUUUGAGUAAGAAGUUGGAUUUGAGUGUUCCAAAAACUAAAGAUCGAAAAGGAAAAAAGAAAAAAAAACAAAAAAGAAUUUUUCAAUCAAAAUAAAGUCAAAAUUUUCCACCUUAUAUCAAUACAAAAAUUUUCCACCUUAGUUAAUCUUUUCUUGACUUAAAUCCUUUCAAAUUUCAACUUCCUUUCAUAAAUGAACUUCUAAACCAAAACCCCACUCGAGAAAUUACCAGAUAACAAAGAAUGGAAUGAUUUAUCUUAAUAAUGAAGUAAGGCAAUUGGCAACUAGAAUAAACUAGUGUAAUAAACCUUAAUAGCCUCAACUAUAAGGCCAACAAUAAUCUAUUUAAGAAAUUCUGCUUAUUAUUUAUAUUGUAAAUGAUCACUUCCUAAAACAGUGCAUCUUGUGUUUUUUUUUUUUUUCAAAUAGAAAUUAAAACUAAAUAGUGUAAUAGUAUUAAGGAUUAAAUUAUUUAUUUUUAUAAUAUCUUAUUUCUAUUAAAUAUUAAAAAAUAAAGAAAAAUCAAUAUGUUAUUUUUUCUAUUUAGAAAAAGUCAAAUAUUUUAAUUUUUUUCCUAUUCAACCAAAAAUUUAUAAUAAAUCACGAAAAAGUAAAAAAAAAAAAACACAAAUAAAAAAUAAAUUGUUUUCAGUAAAAAAAACUAAAAAAACAAACAUCCUCUUACUGAAAUUUUGGUUCAUUCGUAUCUUAGUUUUAUUCAAUUUUUCUUUAUAACAACUUUGUUAAUUUAUGGUAAAUUGAAUUGUUAUGAAAUUAAGGUGGUUUGAUAUAUUUUAAGUCAAUAAAUACAAGAAAUUUUUAAAUUUGAUUUUGAGUAAGAAGUUGGAUUUGAGUGUUGCAAAAACUAAAGAUCUAAAAGGAAAAAAAAAAUCAAUCAAAACAAAGUCAAAUUUUUCCACCUUAUAUCAAUACAAAAUGAAUCUCCUUUUUUUUAUGAAAAAAAGAAAUGAUAAGUUGAGGCACAAAUACCUCUAUUAAGAAAGAUUGUCGCCGUUAGAACUUAUAAUUCAAUAAUAAGCCUUUGGAAUUUAAUUUUUAUUCUCAGUCAAACAAAGACUCAUAGCCUUUAAUCAACCCAAUGUUGAAUUUUAAUGGAUUGAGGUAAAACAUUGCUCUUGAAUCAAAAGAGAUAAAACUCUAAUCUAUAGAUAUGAGAUAAGAGAUCAGAGAUCAUAGCAGUUGGUCCCACAGAAGCCAACCCUUGACCAGGCAUUUUAAGCCAGCCAACCCAACAAAAACUUGUUUUUCAAUAAAUUAAAAACAGCAGAAUAUUAAGUUCAAAUUAAACUCAAUUAAACUUGGGUAUUGAUAAUUUGCUUGUCUACGCUGAGAAACCAUGCAUUUUUUCCGCCUCUACAACACACAGGAAAACAGGAAGAAAUUUCAAAAUGGAAACUUCAUUUGGAUUUCAAAAUUUUGAUUUGAACAAAUUGGGGCCAAAUGACAUAUUUUUGAGAAUUUGCUUUAACUCUCUCAACUUAUUGUAGUUCAAUUUCCAUCUUGAUCUUUACCCUUUUCAUUUGAAGACCAGCAUUUUUCUGCUGGAAGAGUACUCAAAUCCUCACAUUCAAGGAGUGUUUCAAGUUUCCCACAUGAAGCACAUGCAGUCCUAAGGCAACUUUUCGGGUUCCAAGCUCAUCAACAAUGCUCAAAUCCUUGCAAACAUCCACCUUGAACCUCACCAGGGCUUCAGCUUUUGCAGUCACAAAGACUUUCUCAAAGCCCAGUAAGUGCUUCUGGGGUGAGUUGUGUACUGAUGGGGGAGAAGAAAAUAAGAAAACUGUAUGACUUCCGCUUAUGUUUCCCGCAUUGUUGACUCUUAGAUGGAUAUCAAAGGCUAAAUUCUGGCAACUUUCCUGCACAGCGUCCACAGACUUGCAUUUUGAUGAGUGACAACUGUGACCCUCCUCUAUGGGGAUGGAGACUGAUUUAGGUGCUUGAAUAAGGUGGUGGUUGAACUGGGUGUAGCUUAGUCCAUCUCCAAAUGUGUAAAUGGUUUCCCCAGUGUAAAACCGGUAAGUCCGACCAGGAUAGCCACUGGCAGGAUCUGGUCUCAUAUUCAUAUUUGUCAUCGGAACCUUGUCUACAUACGACUGAGGAUACCAUGUCGUGGGUAGCCUUCCACCUGAAAGAUAAUGAUUCAUGGUUAUAAGACUUAUACCAAAAUGAAAAAUGUCUGAUAAGUUGAAAACUAAUCCAAGGAGAGAUGGACUUACUUGGAUUGUAAAAACCAAAGAUCACAUCUGCUAUGGCAGCUCCACCAGCUUCACCAGGGUAACCGACCCACAGGAUGCUUGUAAUUUUGUCAUCAUUUUUAGCAAAUGAUAUAUCGAAUCCCCCUCCAGACAUUACAACAAGAAUCACGUUUCCUUUGGAUGCCUUGGCAACUUCUGUUAUCAAAAGUGGCUGCUGUCCUGGAAGCUGAAUGUUGACCCUGUCACGGCCCUCCGCCUCUAUAGAUUGAUCAAUACCGACUAUAAGAACCGUGGCAUCUGCUGCUGCUGCUAUUUUCUUAGCUUCGUCUAUUUGUGCAGUGCCACAUGCCACAUUGGAGCAUCCCGGCAAAUAUGUAGUUGCAACCAAGGCCGUUAGGCCCUGCAAAGGGGUUGUAUAUUUACCUGGGGUGCCUGCAAAACUUUCCAAUAAUAUCAGCAAAAGUAACAACACUUGAAUCAUUUGGCCACAUGGCUAGUUGAGGAGAAUGCAGAGAUACAUAGUGAGAUUGCACUAAUCAUUGAAUACCUUCAUAGUUUCCGAUCAUUGUUUUGGUGACAUUGGCAUUGGGUCCUAUUACUGCCAAGGUUUUGAUGGCAGUGGGAGACAGAGGUAGGGAUCCUUUGCUAUUCUUAAGUAACACGAUCCCUUGCCUGGCGGCUUCCCGAGCCAGCUCUUGGUGCUCUGAUGCUCACACAUCUUUUGGACCAAGCUUCCCAUAAAUUGCCUUACUUGGGUUGCCAUCAAAGAAGCCAAGUCGCAUCAGUGUAGCAAAAUUGUUGGAGACAGCUUUAUCAACUGCAGACUCAUCCACAAGUCCACCUUUCACUGCAGCUUCAGUGUGUUGGCCAAGGAAAGAUCCACAGUUGAGGUCCAACCCUGUUGCACUUCAGCAACAACACAAACCCCUUUAUCAACUAACCACUAAGCAUUUCUAUUUGCGUAAAUCAUACUAUUUAGUAUUGUUCAGAGUCAAGAAUUAUGCUGUAUUAAUGUACAUGAAGCAAUAAAUUUAAAGAUGUAAGCAGUGAAGUCACCUGCCAAUAUAGCCUUGGCUACAGCCUCCUCAGGUGUCUUGGUGUAGUGUUGAGAAUUGUAGAACACAUCUACUGAAUCACAAUCCGAAACUAAGUAUCUGCAGCAGCCCAAGAUUCAUGUAAAUAGCAUUAGCUCAGCCAAACUGUAAAUGGUAUUUAUAGAUUAGGUAGAACUCAUAANNNNNNNNNNNNNNNNNNNNNNNNNNNNNNNNNNNNNNNNNNNNNNNNNNNNNNNNNNNNNNNNNNNNNNNNNNNNNNNNNNNNNNNNNNNNNNNNNNNNCUUCCCAUUAACUUGGUUGUAAGAACACAUAACACUGGCAACAUUCCCAUCAAUAACACAGCUUUUGAAUGGGGGUUGAAAUGUAUCAUCCAUAUCUUGGUUUGUCACCUAACUCACCCAACAGAAUAUGCAAGAGUGUUGGUAGUACAAAACAGAAAUAUUAGUGAAAUGGAACAUACUUCAAACGAAAAUUACCACUGCAUUGAAGUGGAAGCAAUCAACUCCUUUCCAAUUAUCCAAAUCAUAGGCAGUAUAGUGUUUGCAGCAAGCAGCAACCUUAAGCCGGUCAGGGCUACCAUCAUCGCUUUGUUGCAGGCCUCUGACAUAACCUGAUGCAUACUUGCUUGAAAGCAGUGGGUCCUCUCCUGGAGUCUCCUGGCCUCUUCCCCAUCUGGGGUCUUGGAAUAUGUUGACGUUUGGGGACCAAAAUGUCAACCCUGCUAAUCCAACAUUGUACAUUGCUCUGGCUUCAGUGGAAACCACCUGCUCAUGACCACUGAUAUCAUCUUUCAAGCCAUUAAACAGAUAAAAAUUAGCUGUAAUUAACUUCAAAAGAUCUGGGUAUUAGAUUUUCCAGCACAUUAUACAGUACAGCAUCCCAUUAAUGUUGGGAAAUUGUCUACUUCAUACGUUUUGCAAAUGAAGCUGGAAGUCAUCCACAAAAGUCCUGUUGCAGGUGGAAGUUUUCAGGUAAAUUUAAAAUUCCACCUACUUCCUGUGACCAACCAUUAAAAGAUGAUAUACAUCUCUGGAGUAGAAAAUUGCCUGGAAACGGCAGAAAUACAUAAUUUCGAGCCCAAUAACUAUGGCUUCAGCUACUACAUCUAAACAAUUAUUUCAAUCAAUUUGAGAAAAAUCCUCAGAUUUUUUUAUUAUUUGAUAAUCUGUUUCACUAGUGAAUCAAAUUUAAGAUACAGGGGUGAACAGAGCAAAACCACAAUCCAAGUCCUUAAGACAACAAUAAUAGCAUAAGCAUAAUCGAAAUCCACAAACAACAAAGACAGUCAAAAUCUAAUCCAAAAAGUUCCCAAUUGGCCGAGCCAAGGAUCAUCAUGUAAAAAGCUUAUCCGAAUAGAACCCAUUAACUAUAAAGAAAUGAAUAAAGAACGCAAAAUAUGGUAGCCACUUGAUGUAGUAAUUGUUUAUGGUACACAAAGACAUGGAUAUAAUCGAAGACUAGACCUCCUUGUCUUGUUCAUGUGAUCAGGGGCUCCUUUUUUCUAAAGAUGGAAACAGAACUGAAUAUAUAGCAUACCUUUCUCAACCUCAUAAAUUUACUUACAAUCUUUGUCCCCCACCAAAAAAUACCCCAAAAUGCAAAUAUAAAUCCAACCCCAUUACUGAAUCCAAUUGUGGAAGCAAGCAAAUGUGCUCAUAUGCAAUUUCUACUAUCGAAAACCCAUAUCCAAAAUCAAGUUUUUGAAUCAAAAACUCAUUAUCUGGAAGAUCAAACAUUGGAUGAAGUGAGAGGAAAACAGGGAGAGGAGAGAAAUACUAGUAAAGGUUACCUUUCCAAUGGCUUCAAAGAGAGAUGCAUAGAAAGAGGCCGCAGGGAGGAUAACCUGAGGAAAGCUGCUGGCUCCAGGGACGACACUGUUGAAAUGUGUCCCUGGACCCACAUAAGAAACUCCAUGUAACGCCUGAGACCACCACUCAUACUUGGGAAUCCCAAGCCUGCUGACACGGGAAGCACUGUUCACCAAGAACCCAAUCUUCUCCUCCAAUGUCAGCCUCUUCACCAAAUCUGCGACCCUUGCGGCGUGUCCAAUGAAGUGUUACAGAACCCAAACUGCCCCAACGUGGGGUUCUUGUCAACAUCACAGGAAAAAACAGGGGAAGACUGGACCAAAACCCACUUGGGGCUCAACAAAAAAUAAGAGAAGCAAGAAAGAAAGCAUAGGAAAACAGUGACCUUCGGUGCACUGUUGAUUACAGAAGCCUUUGAAGAAUUUUACACCGAGCUUAUCUUGAAUGUAGUUUUAGUAGCAAGAGUCAGUUUCUCUUAUAAUAAAUUGGGUUUUAAACGGAUGUUUUUUAGCAGCCCGUGAUGAAUAAUGGGAGGGAGACACUGAAACUCAAUUAAAUGCGGUUGUUUGCCUGACCAGAAAGAAAGAGAAUCUAGUUGCUGCAGUUUGUAAAUCAUAUAAGAGUCCGUGAAUGAUCAAUUUUCCUUCUUUAAUUCAUUAAUUAAUUAACGUUUUUUUUUUCUCUCUUUUUCAGAGGACUGCAUUGUAUGGAGAAGCCUUUUUUGUUUGUUUGGAAGCUCUGUUUGGUUGGAGCAUGCGCAUAUACUCACGAGUCGUAUACACGGUUUUUUUGGAUUUUACCAUUACUCACGCGUGAGCUACAAUGGCUACAUAAUAGCCAAGCUGGAAGUGAAAGAAGAAAAGGCUUUUUCUGAUUUGGGGUUUCCAAACAUGGCCUUAGAGGAUGAGUAAACGUAAGGGGAACACCUAAAAACAAAGGCUCCCACAACUAUGACAUGGAAAAUUAGUACAAAAAUUGUGAAAGUUUCUGAAAAGUCUAUUCUGAAAAAAUAAAAGACUUAUUUUCAAAUAAUUUACUUUAAUAAAAUGGUCUACCUUGCAAACCCAAAAAACAAACAAAAGAAGAGAGAGAGAGAGAGAGAGAGAGUAAGCUUGUUGGGCAAUUGUUUUGAAAAACAGAUUUUUGUUCUCAAAAACAGAUUUUUGUUCUACACAACAAAAAUAAAAAUAAAAAAAUAUAUUUGACAACUAAAAACUAUUUUAUAAUAUUUUCAGUUAUUUUUUUUAGGCUUGUUUUAAAAAAUAAUUUUAAAAAUAUAUAAAAUAAUUAAAAAUAAAGUACUAGAUAUAACAAAUAUUUUUAAAAAUAUUAAAAACGGGUUAAAGAUAUUUCAGGUUCGAAAAUAGAUUUUUGUUAUAUAAAACAUCAUAAAACAAAUUUAAAAAAUUGUUUUUAAAAACUAUUUUUCAUAAAUAUUUUUUAAAAAAAUUUAUGAAGAGUUUUCUUUCAUUUUUAAAAUUAAUUCUUAAAGAUUUUAAUUUUACUUAAAAUCUUAUCAAAUCUUUGAGAUCUCUAAGAAUAAUUUUUUUUUUUUAAAAAAAAAAAGCUCUUGUUUCUCUAAUUCUUUUUAAAAUAAUAUUUUUCUUAUUUUUCACAAGAUUCUAAUUUAAAGAAAAUAAGUUAAUUUUGGAAAUUCAAUAUUGAUAAUUUAUAAUUAAAAAUUUUACCGAAAUAAAUUUUCAAAUCUAAAAAAAAAAAAAUUGUAUUUUGGUCUUCUUAGUAAAUUUUUAUGAGAAGUUUUUUCUAAGAUUAUGUAUUUAAAUUGGUUGUUGCUAAUGAGAAUGAUAUCCCUUUUGAAACUAUUUACUUGAUUGUGGAUAGGUGGUUUUCCAAGAUCUUCCCCUUAGAGAAGAAGGAAACCGUUCAAUUUGGAUAUGGAUAGUUCAAGGAUAAGGAAUAAGAGAGCAAUUGUUUUAACAUAGGAGUUCUAGUUUAAAAGAUAAAUAAUGAAUUUGGAAAAUCUCAUGAUAGAGAGUUUAUGAUAAGAAGGGUUUGCUAAAAUAUUUUUGGAAACUUUUAGUAAUUUAAUGGAGGUAUAAAAAAAAUUUGAAAAUACUUUCCACAAUGGAUUGUUUAAUUCCUUUUAAGGACAUAAACAUUUUUGAAAGUUUUUCAUAGAAAAUAUUUUAUCAAUUAAGGAAUUACUAAAAAGGUUGUGAUUUUGAUAGUAUUUAAUGAAAUAAAUUUUAUGAAGUUUCCAUGAGAAUAUUUUUUAGAUUGGAAAGGUGUAAGGACAAGGAAAGUAAAUUUGUGAGGAAUUUUGAAUGUGAGAAGCUAAAGUUCCUUUCUUGGAGAAUGCGAGAUAAUUUAUCAUUAAAAGAUUAUUACCAAAAGGCUUAGUAAUUUGAUAGAAAUAAAUUUAUUUGAAACAUUUUCUACAUAAAAUAUUUAUUAAUUAUAAUUGUGUAUAAAAGGAUAACUUUAUGAAAAUAGUUUUAAAAUUUUGAGAGUAGAUAUUUUAUCAAAAUUUAUUUUGAAAAACACUCUCAUGAAAAUUUAAAAUUUUCAUGAUUGAGAUUCUCCUAUUACACUUGCUUUCCAAUUUGGAAAUAAUAUUUUAAAAAAAUUCUCAAAAUAGAUAAUUUAUUCAUUAAGGUAAUUACUAAUGAUUUAAAAUGCUUUUAUCUAUCUUAAAAGAUUAAGUGGGAGAGGGCUUUAGCCAAAGGAAUCAAAGGAUAUGGAGUCUCCAUUAGGAUGAGAUUAAACAUGUUUAUAAUGGGAGCAACCACUCCACUGGUGGGGUUCCUUACUUGGUGACAUUGAUAGUUCAAGGAUGAUGGUUAUACAUUUAUUAUUGGAUAUGAAGUGGUUGAAUCACCCACCACAAUCCCACUUGCAUAAUCUAUGCCUCACUUGCAUAGUCCGUGUUGAUCUUGCCUUUAGAUACAUUUCAUGGUUAAGGUAGUGAGAUCAAUCUAAGAGGGUCUCUAACUAGUAAUAAGAUUAUGACUUGCCCAUUGUAGGCUUGAUUCUUAUGAUAGUAGGAUACUUUGCAAAAGGAUAUGUAGUUUGAAAGUACUACAUUUUUGCUAAAUUAAUUAUCAAUUGCCUUGAAUGCUUAACUAUCUCAUAUGAAUGGUUUUAUUCUUUGUUACAGAUAUCAUUUGGGUUAUUUAUUAUCACUCUUUUUCUCACUUUGGACCAAGCUCAACUAAUCAUUUGAACUUAAUUUUAUUCUAAAUAUAGUAAUUAAUUGUAUAGAAGCUAGUUUAGGUACAACUAGCUAUUCCUUACGAACUAAACUAGCAAAAUGAAAGAGUGGUAUAUCAAGGUGGUAUUAAAUGGAUCAAAAAACCAAGUAUCUAAUACUUGGAUCUUUGGAUAAUGUGUUGCAAUAGCAAUGCAUGCCUAUUACCAAGGAUUUUGAUAUUUUCUUUCUAAUCCACAAGCUAGAGGAUUUUGAUAUUUGGUGAUGAGGAUAUGUCAACUUAGACAAGCUACCCUUAGAACUAUUGUGAACACCAAAGUUCAUAUGAUCUUAAACCUUGCCAGUUUCAUUUAGAAUGGUUAAGGGGAUUCUCAAAGAACACAAGGGUGUUCAUAUGGGAGUCAAAGUUGUUUCAAGAUCUUCUACUAAGAAGAAUAACAAUAACACUAAAUAAGGAAAGUUCAGGAGAAGGAAUAAGAAAGUAAGCUCAAGGUUAGUUAAUUCCUUUGUGACUUUUUAGGACACUAGAAAAGGAAUGCCUCAUUCAUCUAAGGAAAAAAGGAAAGUAUAUAUCAUUUUGUCGCUAUUGAAUAUUUAGUAGUGGAUUUACCGUUUAUGGUGAAUAGAUUCCAAGCCUACUGUUUGUAAGUCUUUACAAGGUAUUUAACAAGUGAGAAGGUUAAAGGAUGAAAUUAUACUUAGCUUAACUUCAAUUGUAAGGAUAGUUGUGCAGGUUAAUGGGAAGUAAUAUUUUUUUCUUUUAUAUGUAUUCCAUAUCACUUUACCAAGUAAUGAGAAUAGUCAAAUCUUAGGAUUGAACUUAGUACUAAUUAAACAUUUGGUAUCUAGACCUAGGUUAUAUUAAUCUAAAUAGGAUCCAAAGACUGGUCAAGUCUAAACUCUUUGAUAUAAGAAAAUCUUCGAGUUUGUAUAACCUAUAUAGAUGGUAAAAUGACUAAGAGGACUAGAGCCAUGAAAUGUUUGGAGUUAGUGCAUACUGGCAUGAAUGGAACUUUUAGUGUCCAUGCAUGGGGAGGGUAUGGAUAUUUCAUCACUUUUACUGAUGAGUACUCUAGGUUUAGAUAUGUUCAUCACUUUUACUGAUGAGUACUCUAGGUUUAGAUAUGCAUGUGUAUAGGAAGUCCAAUGCCUUGGAUAAAUUCUUUUAAUCUAAAGUAGAAUUGGAUAACCUAUAAGUAAACAUAUCAAGCACUUUAAUUAGAUCGAGGUGGUACACUUAGUAAGUUUGAGUCUUUUCGUUGGAGCACGAGAUUAUUUCCCAUUAACGUGUACCAAGGUCUCCAUUACAAAUUGGAGAGGUGAAAAGAAGAUAUCAAACUUUGAUGGACAAUAGUGAUCAUGUAUAGACUUUUUAUUAUUUCCCAAAUUCUUUUAGGGAUAUGUCUUACAGAUUAUGUAAUACCUCUUUUUCUUUAAGAGAUAUAUUAGUUUAUGAGAUAUCCAAGAGGAUUUUAUGGAUUAUUACCUUUACAGUCAGAAUCAUCAUAAGGUGUUUAUUGAUACAAAUGUUAGAUUUUUUAUGAAGACUAUAUGAUAAGAAAUGAGGCAAAAAGUGAUAUAGAUUGAAUGAUACAUUAUAAGAUAGUCUCACUUUUGCACAAGAUACUAUGGAUCCAAAAGGAUAGAGACAUACCAUUCCUAUGAUUUCUAAUACAACAGUACCUGAUCAUCAUACUUAGAGGUUUAUAUCCCACAGAUUAUGAUGAAGUAUGAGUGAUUUUUGUGCUCAUUCUUAGCAAAGAGCUAUGAGAGGAUAAUUAGAAUCUUUGUAUUCUAACGAAGUUUGGGUUCUUGUAGAAGCACCUAAAGAGGUAAAAUCCAUAGGUGUAAGUUGGUCUACAAGAGGAACAAAGGAGUAGAUUAUGGAAACCUAAGUUUUAUGUAGCUAGUUUGUAGCUAAAGGUUAUAGUUUGAAACUUUAGUUCAACUAUGGAAAACCUUUUUAGCAAUAUCCAUACUCAAAUCCAUCAGAAUACUCCUAUCCAUUGUAAUGCAUCUCAUUUAUGAGAUGCAUCAACUAGACAUUUUCAUAGCAAAGAGUCUUGUUUGUACAAGAAGGCACAUGGAAGCAUGGUAAUGCUCUUACAUCUUGUAGGUAGAUGUCAAACUACUCAUUUUUGAAUGAUGUUAAGAUAUUUUCAUGAAUUAAGAUCUAUUUGUCUACUUAGUUACAGACGAAAAUCUAGAAGAAAAGCAAUAUGUUCUUAGGUUUAAGUUCCUUUAAGACUACAGGAAUAGGAAAAUUAAGUUAUAUCACCUACAUUGAUGAAUAUUUGAUCAACUACAUGAUGCAGAACUCCAAGAAGGGUUUACUACCAUUUGGUUUUGGAGUUGUCUUUCUUAGGAUCAAUGUCCUUAAACAUCUUAGGAGAGAGAUCUCAUUAAUGCAGAAUCAUAUGCCUCUGUAAUGGGUAACCUUAAGUAUGUGAUGCUAUGUUCUAGGCUAGAUAUUUACCUUGCUGUAAGAAUGGUAAGUAGAUAUCAAUCUCAUCCAUGAUUAGAGUCUUGGGCGAAUGUUAAACAUAUAUUCAAGUAUCUUUGGAGAAUAAAGGGAUAUAUCCUUGUGAGUCUUACAAUGAAUUAGUACUCCUUGGGUAUUAGGAAUUAGACUUUCAGUUUGAUGAGGACUCUCACAGGUUUAUCUGUAGGUAUGUGUAUACUCUAAAUGGUUUUUGUUACUUCUAAAGCAACAAAGGAAGUUGGAUGGCUUAAGAUGUUCCUUAUAGGAACUAAGGGUAGUUCCCUUGGUUAUAUCAUCCAAUAUCUUGUUUUUAAUAACAAUAGGUUGGUGGCAUAGUCUAAAGAACUAAAGUGUCAUUGGAAGAGAAAACACAUAGAAAUGAAGUACCACCAAGCCUAGUGAGAUAUUACAGAGAGACGAUAUGACUAAGAACAAAUUCUUUUUGUAGUGGUUAGUAUGCUUUUGGGGGCUAGUGAGAGUUUAUUGAGAUUGAGCCCCUAAAAUUAAGACAUGAAGUAAAAAAAAAAAAACUUGACUAUCCCUUUGCUAUCCAUUUUAUGCAUCAACAUUGAUUUGAGGAUUUAACCCAUAUCUCUUACAUUAUUCACUACUUAGGUGCAUUAGAAGUUUCAUAGAGGAUAAAAGUCAUGGUUUCCUUGUAAGUAGAUAAUUUGUCUACAGUUAGUUAAUGGAUUUGGGCAAUCUAGUAGAGGCUAUAAUGUACCAUCUCCUAAUUGGAGGGAUGACUUGUCUUGACCAUUAGGAUGGGUUACCCAUGGUGAGUGCAUUGGGGUAUAUGAUGCACACUAGAUAGAACCUAUGAUAAAUCAUGACAUAAGGCUAUCAAUUGUCAUAAUUCACCAAACUACUAUAUUGCAUAGACUCUAAACCUUAAGACGAUAUUGAGCAUGCACUGAAAUCAACAGGAGGCUUUGACCUAUGUGAGACCCUAAAGUAGUCAUAUAUGCUUAUGGAUUGGGUCACUAUUGAAGGAAGUUGAUGGGAAUAUGUAUUCUUAAUAAAGGCACCAUGAUACCUCAUGGGAUUGAGACAUCUAUCCCCUUAGGUGAUCCAAAGGACAUAUAAUUAUGAAAUCUAUGGCCAUAGUACUUCCUUUAGUAGAAUUUGACCUAUGCUCCUCAAAACUAUAGUAUAUUAGUUGAUCUAAUAAUAAAUGGGAUUUGUAAGUCAAGGAUUUGAGAGGCAAUCAUGAUAGUUGAUAACACUACUUUAUUAGAUUACAAACACUAAUUCAUGAGAGGUCUACAUGUAGUAGAUAAUAGGUCACAGACUCGAGUUUUGUCUUAUUGUUAUUUACAUAGGGUAUUAGAGUACAAUUGAUUCUCUUUAGUGGAAUGUUGAAUCAACUUCAGAAUUGGAUUCUAAGGGAGCCAAUACUCCUAUGGGUUGCAAUAGUCAUUGCUCUAAGCUCAUAUAUCAUAAUGACAUAAUUUAUGAGGGCUGGAUUAGCUCUAGGUUCAUUCUUAUGCAUAAGGGCAUUUUGGUAAUUAUGUAAGCUGCAUAGAGGAUAAUGAACAAGUUCUCUAGAUUGAGCUAAUUGAUUAAUUAGAUGGCUAUAUGUGGUUAAUUAAUCAAUUAGGACCUUUUUUGUGCUAGAUUAAAUGAAUUAAGCUUUGAUGGCCUCAAGUCACUUAAGCCUAGUAGGGGAAUCCUAUAAAUACCCUUUAGGGGUUAAGGUUUCCAUCAUUUUUUGGUGUAAGAGUCGUUUUCCACCACCACCACACACACACACACAAACACACACACAACCUAAGAUUCUACCUUCCAAAGCCCACACUUUGGAGUGUCGAUAUAGUGGUUUGAGUCAUCGGACGAAAUAUCUUAGGUGUACAAGACCUUUAGGCAUGUUUUUCAUUGCUAGGAAUUGAUUUGGGAAGAUAUAGAUCUAGGUAUGAUUUUCAAAUCUCUAGAUCUUUUUCUAAAACGGUUUUUGAAACCAUUUAUUUCCAUUUUGAGAGAUCCCUGAGGAUAGAGGCAUGCACCCUACGAGAUCCAAGAACAAGGAAUGGAGAAAUUUAAGGUUCCUAGCAUGCACUAUAGUCUUAAAUGGAUUGCCCAAAUCAAUGAAUCAAUUGUGGACUACUCAUCACUUUAUAAAGAACUCAUGAAUUGGAUCUUUUAGGCAGCUUCUAAUUCACCCAAGCUAUAACCAAUUGAUGCAUUAUGGGAUAAUAAAUAGGAAACUAAGAAACAUAGAUAAAUAAAUUUAUGAAAGAAUCUUAAUAUGUUACAUCAUGUCAUGCUUUAUAGGUCUCAAUCUCAAUAGGAAGUAGAAUGAAAGAGGUGGGGGAAUAUCCACCCAAAAGAAAAGGAAAUAAGAGAUAAUAUAAGCAUAGAAUGAAUGAAUGAGGUGAGGGGAGAGAUGAAGAGGUUAAUUGGAAAGCAAUGUCUGGAUGGAUGAUGAAUCAUUUUCGAAAGUUAUGAAGCCAUUUGAGUAGGGAGAAUACUUCAAUUUGGUUUUCAUUCCAAAAUUGAUUUUAAAGAACACUUGGAUUUAAACUUUGAUGUCAUUUGGAGUUAACUUCAAUUUUAGUUAAGAAUUUUGAUUUUCACUUCGAUUUUGGUGUUGUAGGAUGGAACAUGGAGAAUUUGCAUCCUAUUUUGGACCAAACAAAAUCAUAAUUUUGAUAUCUAAUUCCAAAAUCAAAAUUAGAGAUGGUAAUAGUGCAGGUUUGGGAUGAGGCACCCCUACCCAUUCUUGUCUCAAUCAUAUAAUUAUUUCUCAUCCUUGUUCUAGACUUAGGCGAGGUAAGUUGAUGUCCCACAUUCCCAUUGGAUAGCUCUAACAAUACUCGACUCACUUUGUUAAAAUUUUUAAUUUAAUUUUUUAAGUCAUUUUGUCUGAAAUUUUUUCAUUAUUAAAUGAGAUUUCUUUUUGUUACUUUAAACACCUCUAGUAAUUAUACUUUUUAUUUUUUAUGUACCUCUAAUAAUUAUACUUUUUAUUUUUUAUAUUUAUAUUUAUCGAGUUUGUAAUUGUAUAAUUUGUAGAAAUGUUAAUUUUUUGUUUUUAAAAAUAACAAAAAAUUAUAAAAGGAAAUGAAACAUAUAAAAAAUUAAUCUUUUAUUCAAUAUUUCAACAAAUUACAUGAAAUAAUAGGGAGAAAGAAAAGAUGAGAAUUGCAUCACUAUAGUUUGAGUAUAUCCUAACUAGGUUGACACCCACCUAACUAUCAAUCAUAUGCAUUACUCAAUUCCUUUUGAGACCAUGAGUGGUGGAUUAAGAAAACUUGAAUCAUAACUUAAGAAGCAAAUUAGUUCUAUCCCAUAAUAAAAAUUUGAAUAUGUACUUAAUGCUCAGCCAAGGAAGUAAUGUUUUUUUGUUAAUUGUUGUUCACAUUGAAGCUCAAAGGUACAGGACUACAGUGAGGACACAAUUCCCAACUACUUUUUCAGGGUACAAAGAAGCCUUAUAAUUGAAAUUAGGGACAAGAUUAAACAGGUGGAAAAAUUUUAGCUUGAAGAUCACAAGUACUCAACUCACCAGUAUCCUCAACAUGUCUAGAAGGUUAGAAUCGUUUCUCUCCCUCAUAUUGAAAGUCUCACGAACGUCAUCCAAUGGCAGUUGAGGAACAACCUCUGAAAUGUCACAAACCUGAAAAGUAAAACUAUUCAGAGGAUCGUAACAGCAGCACUAAAACAAAUCCUUUGAAUGAUUUUUGAGGGUGCUUUAAAAUCUAACCAAUUCUGUGCCCCACAUGCUACGAUUACAUACAAGCAAAUUGUUCCCCUGAUUGGCGUCUUCUUUGGGGUUGAUCAUUACAUAAAAUACUAGUUUGUCUUCUUUUAGUAACUCAUCUAUGUGCUUGAAACUGCCACACUUAAUACACGUUUAGUAUAUGAAAAUAGAAUUGGAAUAGACAUGAAGUGAACAAAGAUAUGAAAGAAAGGAAUUGAAAUCCUAAUUAGCAUGGAUUUUUCUAUUCUUUUCCUAUUCCUCAUUUGAAAAGUAAUCCAAACCUAUCAAUGAAUGAAAAAUUGAAUAGAUUUCUCAUCACUAUUCCAACAUUUUAAACAUGUGUUUAAGGUUGUUUUUUUAAUUAGUAUGUGGAGAAUGUCUUACAAUGAUCACAAGUUAGUACACAAUAAUUUUAAACUUAGGGUUACUUUUCUUCACAUGUCCUAAGGCUCGGUAUAAAAACACUUGGUCACUAAUGGUUUAAAAUUUAGUACCCCUAUAAAAUUUCUCUUUUAGAGGAAUUUUAGAUCGAAAGAUUUUAGGUAGGUGUUUAAAAAUUUUCUAAAAAAUAAAUUUAUUUUCUAAAGAGAAAAUUUUAUAAAACGAAUUUUGAAAUAUGAAACCAAUAAUGGCUUUAUGUAUUAACACUAAACUUAAGAUUGUGAUUGAACAAAAAAUAUAAAUAUUUAUUAAGAUUAAACUCCUUCUCCAUCCCAUUAAUCCUCCUUUCUUAAUUUGGCAUGGAUAAACUCUAUAUACCCACAAUUAGAGUACUAAAAGGUUUCUCAUGGACUACUACUAUCCCUCACUUAUGUUAAGGAUUAUAAAACAACAAAAUAAAAUAUACCUGCCUUAUAAAAAAAAUCUUAUAAUAACAACCAUGUAAAUAAUAUAACUAAAACAAUAUAAUAUCUUUUAAAUUUAUAAAAUAAUAGGACACAUAUAUAUAUAUAUAUAUAUAUAUAUAUAUAUAUAUAUAUAUAUAUAUAUAUAUAUAUAUAUUCCAUUUUUAAUAUAUAUUUUUACAUUUAAAUAUUAAGUAUUUUAUUUAUUUUAAUAUAAAUUGUAAAAAUUAAUACAUUUAUAUAAAAAUAUGAAAAAUAAAUAUUAUUGAUUUUAAUUUUUUUUAUAUUUUAAAUUCCUUAAUGCUAUUUUAAACUUUAUAAAAUAUAAAUUAUAUAUUUAUAAUGUUAUCUAUUCAAUUGUAGUUCAACAUUGGUCCUAUCAUUGAAUCGGUUAACUUUUCUAGUUCAAUACUUCUAAAAUAUUGUAUAUAAAUUUAAGUAAUUCAAAACAAAAUUCAACAAAAGAGGUAAAAUCUCUUUUUGUUAUGUGUGUAAACACAAUUCUUAGAAACUUGAUGAAAAAUCAAAUAAAAAAGUUUAAAAGAUAAUUAAAAAAAAAAAACUACAUAUGUGAAUAAUCAAUUUUUUUUUUUUUAUUGAGAGGAUAAUUUUUUAAAAACAUUAUAGAUAAAUACUAAAAAAAAUGUAUCAAAUAAUUAUUUUAACAUUUCUAAUAAAUGAAAAAAAAAAGUUACAAAAGUAUAAAAAGCUUUCAAAAAAAGGUAAAAGAAAUAUGAAAUAAAAAAAAAUGUAAUUCCAAGUAGGGAUUAAAAAAUUAGGCAAGAGUGCUUUUUGCCUUGUGAAUAUGAUUUUCAAUUAAAAACACUUAGAAUUUUUUUUGUUUUUUAAAAGUUUGAAAUAAAAUAAGGAUAAUCUUUUAAAAAGAAAACCAUGAUAGGUACAUGAAUCAAAAAAAAUUAAGACUUAAAAUAAUACUAAUAUAAAAUAAGAACUUAAUUAGCCGUAUAUAUUAUGCUAUCCAAAUUAAAAAUCUGUUAUUUUUCCUUAAAAUUAUAUUUAUUUAUUUUACUUAAAUUAUAUAAAAUAAAUAAAUUUCUCAUGAUUAAGUUAUCUUUUUUUUUAAAUUUUAUUUCACUAUAAAGAAAAAGAAAAUAAAAAAUUGAUAAAUAUUAUCUAUCAAUCAAAAUUUAUUCUAUUUAACUUUAUUUCUCUAUCUUUUCUAAUUACUUCUUUUGCAAACCCAUAUACUAGUAGUCAUCUUCAAGAAUAAUAAUGUUCAUAAUUAAUUAAAAAUAUGUCUUUAUUGUGAAUGCCAAUGAAGGAAAAUUCUAUAUCUUAAUGUAAAUAAUUUGAUUUUAACAUUCAAUAUAAGUCAUUGAUUAAUAAAAUAGUAAUAAUAAUAAUAAAAGAAAGACUAGUUAAGGAAAGUUUCUGUCUCCUUAGCUUGCUCAUUCAUCUCCUCUUACUCUAUUUUCUACAUGAAAAAAAUUCAAAAAUACUUGCCCGCAAUCUUAUAAGUUUUUUCCUAUUUAAAUUGUAUCUUUCUCCUAAAUUUUGUAGUCUCCAAAAAAUCUGAACAAAAGUCCAAAAAAAAAAAAAAAAACACCCACACAAGCUUCAAUAAUUUCUCAAAAAUCAAAGAACAAACUAAAAAAAUACUAACUAAAUAAAACCACUUGCAAAAAUAAAGUGAAAUUAUUUAAAAUUAUAAAUUAAUAGACUCUAAUGAAAUCACUUUUGGAAAAUAAUUAAAAUAAUCUAAAAUAUUAUAUUUCUUUUUUUUUUCCCCUUUUUAUAUAUUUUGUAUUAUUUUUUUCCAAAGGAACAGUACUACAAAAAUUGAAAUUAAUGACACUUUAUUUUAUGACGCUUUCUAAAAGUGUCAUUAUUGAGGGUAUACAAUGACGCUUAUAAGAAGUGUCAUAGUUGUAUUAUUUGUCUUGAUACUUAUUAUAAGUGUCAUUAUUUGAUGUCAUCUUUUUCCUUAUAACUGUGUAUAUAAUGACGCUUAUAAAAAGCAUCAUAGUUUUAUUAUUUACCUUGAUACUUAUUAUAAGCAUCAUUAUUUGAUGGGUAUGUAAUGACGUUCCUGAUAAGUGUCAUAGUUGUAUUGACUUUUAAAAUUUUUGUUUUUAAGUUAACUUAUACAAGUUUUGAUAUUAGAAUUUUAUUCUAUAAAUUAAUUAUGGUAAAUUGACAUUAAUAUUAAUGACAUAAAGUUGCUACAUUAAGGUUUUUUUAAAAAAAUUGGAUAUAAAUAAAAUAAAAUCCUAAUAAAUUAUUUUUUUAUUAUUUGAUAUUAAUUUUUUUAUAGUUUGUAUCAAUACAAUCUAUUUUCAUAAACUAUUUUUCAUUUUUAUUAAAUUAGAAAUUAUCUUAUAUUUCAUUUAAAAAUAAUUUGUUAAUUUAUUUGUGGACCACAAAAAAGUGGCCUAUUUUGAGCACUUGUUCGGGCCUUGGGCCACAUUUAUUGGGUUUAACCCUUUUAUUUGAGAAGGUUUUAUAGUUAAUGAAUAUAAAUUUGAAAUUAUUUAACUAAAAUGAAAUAAAUUAAUAUUUAAAUUAAUUUAAUGAUGAUUAGACUCACAAUAAAACUAAAUGCAAUAAGAAUAUUUAUAAAAAUUUUCUAAUAUUUAUGGGAAUUAAGCUCAUUCUAUUAAAUUAGUUUUUUUUUAAAAUAUCAAUAUUCAAAUUAAACCAACAUCAACCUAAAAUAUCAAAUAAUUAAAUAAUAUAAAUUCAUUAUGAGUUCAAUAUAUAAAAAUUAUUAUUGGAAGAUGAAAUAAAGAAUACUAUUUUUAAUUUAUUGAAAAAGGACAUGCAUGGUAUUUUAGAAUUUGUUAUAAAGUCUCCAUUGAAAACCUUAACUUUUGGAAGACAAGAAAGAAGGGAGAGAGCCACGGUUUUUAGUGAGAAAGAAGAGAAGAGAGAAAAACGCAAGUUUUUCUCAUCAUGCCCAGAUUUCAUCAAAGGUCCGAUCCCACUUCGUCCAUGGUCCGAUUGAGCUGAAAUUUGGAGGAGAGUUUCGUGACUCAUUUAUCUUCAAUCUGAACGGUGAAGAUCGGAUUUGGAGUUUCGGAAAGUCAUUAUAAAGAGAGAGGAGAAGAGAGAAAAACGAAGGUUUUUCUCAUCAUGCCCAGAUUUCAUCAAAUGUCCGAUCCCGCUUCAUCCGUGGUCCGAUCGAGUUGAAAUUUGAAGGAGAGGUUCGUGGCUCAUGUAUCUUCAAUAUUAACGGUGGAGAUCGGAUUUUGAGUUUUGGAUAGUCAUUAGAGAGAAAGAGGAUAAGAGAGAAAAACAACGGUUUUUUACAUCAUGCCCAGAUUUCAUCAAAGGUCCGAUGCCGCUUUGUUCAUGGUCUGAUUGAGCUGAAAUUUGGAGGAGAGGUUCAUAAGUCAUUAAUCUUAAAUUUGAACGGUGAAGAUCGGAUUUGAACGGUAAAAAACUUCAUUUUGACACUUUUUAAUCAUAUAUUCUCAAUUAUAUGAUAAGUAAAAAUAGUAAUUCCAUUAAUAUUUUAUAUUUUAAUAUUUUGCAUAACCUAUGCAUGAAUUACCUCAUGUUUUAUUGAUUUCACAAGUUGGUUUGAGUUUUUGUGGUUUGAUUUCAUUUGGUUCAAGUUAUACCUUGUUAUUUUGGAGCUAGUUUUGGGAGUGAAAAAUGGUGAUUCGUUGAAGAGAAGAGAGGCUGUGAUUUUUCUUUUAGGAGAGUAGAAGUGUGAAGAAAGGGUGGGAAUUUUCUAGGUAAGAGGAAACAAGAGAACAAGGGUUGUUCAAUUAAAGAUUUUUGAUAGAGGGAGGGAAGAAAAUUGAGGGAAGGAGCUGUGAGAGUAGGAGAGUUGUUUUGGGUGCUAGGCAAAAGGCAAGAAGUGAGAGUUGCUCGGUUAAAUAUCUUUGAUAGAAAGAGUGAAGAAAAUGAGAGAAGGAGUUGUGAGAGAAAGAAAGAUAGAGAGGAAGACAUAUGAAGACUAUGUUAAUUUGUUCAUGGAAAGAUUGAGGGAAGGGUUGAAAGAGGAAAAAAAGAAGGAAAGAAAAUAUAAGAUUGUUUGGUUGUUCAUGGAAAGCUUGAGGAAAAUGGGAGAAAGAGGAAAAAGAGAAGGAAAGAAAAUGUAAGAUUGCUUGGUUGUCCAUGGGAAAAUUAUUAAAUUUAAGAUGAAUGCAUAUUUCCUACCUCUAUUCAAUGAAAAUUAAGAGGAAAAUCUUUAGACAUUUUUUCUACCUUUUUCCUUAACAUUUUUUUCUUACAUUUUCCCAUAAUAUAUAAAAUUUCCCUUUGAAACUUUAUUUAUGUUUUGUUCUUUGGAUUGUAUAUUUGAUUUUUUGUUUUUUAGGUAGAAGAAUGAUGAAUAAAAUAUAUUUUAUUGGAGAAAAUCAACUAAUAAUGCUCUUUACAAUUUAGUUCUUGGUAAAUAACUCAAAACCCCAUUUAGAAAUUUAUUUUUCUAUUGCUCUAGAAUCACCUAAACUAAAAUAANNNNNNNNNNNNNNNNNNNNNNNNNNNNNNNNNNNNNNNNNNNNNNNNNNNNNNNNNNNNNNNNNNNNNNNNNNNNNNNNNNNNNNNNNNNNNNNNNNNNGUUUCAAAGGAAAUUGAUUGGCCAAAAGACAAGAAGUCAUAAUGUUGAAGGAGGUAGUGAUGCCGAAAAUCAUGAAGAUUACAUCAAAGUCAUUUGGAGGAUGAUCUUAUUUUUUAUAGAAUAUAGAUCUUAAUAGUUGUUGCACUAAUAUUUGUUCUUUUGUAGAAUUAGAAAUUGUUAUUGAAAUAUUUUGAUAUAAUUAAUAAAUUUGUAUGUAAGUAUGAAGUUACAUUAAUAGUUUGAUGUGUCAUUGAUAAAAUCUAUUAAAGAUGACACUUCUAUAAAUGUCAAGAUUGCUUAUUUCAUAAAAAUGAUAUCACUAGAAAAUGUUUAAAUAUGACGCUUCUUAUGAGUGUCGUUGUUAACAUUAUCCAAAUAUGAUGCUUCUUUAAACGUCAUUGAAAGUAUUUAUCAAAGAUGGCACUUCCUGAAAGUGUCAUUGUUGCCUAAGACAUACAAUGACAGAGGCGAAGAGGACGCUUUAGAGAAGCGUCAUCUGUUACCUUUCUUGACGCUUAAAAAACGUCAUUGUUUCCCAUUUUUCUUAUAGUGGAAGAAAGUUGCUACCCAUUAAUGAGAUAAUCGCAUUAUUACACAUAAUUUAACCCAUUAAUAUAUCACUCCAUUUGGCAAUUGAUUUCUUAUCUCAAUCAAUACAUUAAUAGUAAACAAGUUCUUAUUUAAAUCUCACAAAAAGUUGCAAAAAAUCUUAAACAGAUAUUUUGAUUAUAAUGGGUAAAUAUAUAUACCAACAAUGUGAUUAUGAUUUACAUGUGUUUAAGAGUAGAAAGAAUGUAAUUGGUGUGGGAAGCUCACCUCUGUCUCCCAAGCGUUGUCCAAUGCAAGGCAUAAGUGUGUAAGAGUCGUGUAUUCUUGUCUAUCUGGUUUGGCCUUAGGGUACCAGACGAACACAAAAACAACCGGGCAUUGCAUACGUUGCCUAAUAAGCAUUAACUAUGAUAGACAUUAAGUGCCUUGAUUGAUACAACCGUUACGAGGCUAAAGUGCUAGUUUUUAUGGCUCAUUAAGGUGCGAUAGCCGUUAUGAGCCAACAAUCAUUAACAUUAAAGACAAUAACACGCAAUCAAAGACACCAUUAAGACACUUGAAAAUACGUUACAUUUGGGAAAAAAAUAAAUAGCCACUUUUGACCACAAGAAAGGUAUACUACCAUUUUUUUCAAAAAAAAACCUAUCUUGCUUAAGUGUUCACUCUUUGACUUAAGCUUCGAAGCAACGUGCUCGAAAAACCCAUAUUGGCAUUCCUUUGUGCAGGUUGAAACAUCGUCUAAGUCUUGGAGGCUAGUCGAACUCAAUGUUGUUGGUUGUGCACCAAUAUUGGUGUCGUUUGUGGGAAAAGAAUACAAAAGCCUAAAAAAACACGAUGGCUAAUACACCUCUUGCAACUCAAUCAACCAAUGUUUAUAAGCGAUUCCAAGUUUGGCAAGAUAGAAUGGAAAGAAAGCAAGAAAAGUAUGAAUGGUGAAUGCAAUCCUUGUUUCGUCAAGCAGAACAACUAAAGCAAGAAAACCAAGAGCUAUAGGCUCAAUUGCCCAUGGGACAUCGUUUGAAAAGUCGUCGCACCCCUAGACAAUAGACAACUUUGAGAUGAGAUUAAAGUUAAACAGAGAGAGCUUCUCAAUAGUUCGUUAAGACAUCUCUACAAGUGGAUGAGGAAUUGUUUUCCAGCAGUUCCCCAACAUUACCUAAACUUGUGCAUUCCCCAACCAAUCGAACUCAAGCAGAAGAGGUUGUAAGCUCUAUUAGAGAAAAACGCAAAAUGGGUUAAAAAUGGGGCUUACAUCUCUCAAAGGCCUUAAAAGCACAUCUUAGAACUUAGAAGAAAAGAGUGUCAGCACCACCACUCAUGUCGAAGGCCCUAAAGGCACAUUUGGGCCAACCGAACAAUGAGACAUCACCAAGCUACCUACCUUAGCGCUCAACUCUAGAAUUGCCACCAGUAAAUGACCCGACAACGAAGACCCCACUUGGCUCCAUAAGUACACGGUUGGAUAACACACUUUCCACAUCGUUUGGCCCUCACAUCAUUGACUACUAACCAUCCAAAGGGUUCUUGGUGCCCAAGUUUACCAUGUAUGAUGGGACAAACGACCCUUUUGACAAUCUGAUGCAUUAUCGACAGUUGAUGAUGUUGGACAUUAACAACAAUGUGUUGCUAUGAAAGGUCUUUCCAGCCAGCCUUCAUGGUUUGACUCCCAUAGAAUUCUAUUAAUUCCUUCCAAGACAUCUUAGAGGCCUUUAUAGGCCAUUAUUUAUGUUCUACUUAGCAAAAGCAUAAUAUAAGCACCCUAAAGAACAUCAAGAUGCAGAAGAAUGAAUCACUAAAGGACCUCAUGAAGCGGUUCGGGCAAGUAGUGGUCCAAGUGGAGUCUUAUAGCAUGAAUGUCAUUUUACAAAUCUUUAAACAGAGCAUCAAUCCAAGCACCCCAUUUUUCGAGUCCUUCACUAAAAAGUCGCCUACGUCAAUGAACGAUAUGUUCAAAUGAGUGAACAAAUAUGUCAUGCUUAAGGAUGAUGUCUAGGCAAAAUCUUAGAAAAUCCUGGUCAUGAACUAGGUAGCCAAAAACAAUAAGGCUAGGAGUUCAAAGACUUCAAAUGGCCAAGUGAGACAAGACCACCAGAGGCAAGAAAGGUAGUCGCGACGAUAGCCACUCAGGCUCACCCCCAUUGACUGUCCCGUAUGAAAGAAUCCUCCAUUUGAUUUGAGAGCUGCAUGAGUUCAAGUGGCCAGAGCCUAUCAAAACUGAUCCAUCUAGAUGUGAUUGGAGAUGGCAAUGCUUUUUUCAUAAAGAGCAUGGGCACACCAAAGAAAAAUGCAAAAAUUUGCAUUACUUAGUGGAUAAACUCAUAAAAGUCUAACAUCUCAAGCAAUAUGUCUGCACCAUUGGAAACACUACAACGAGUUCCUAUUUCCCUCAUGGCACACCGAAUAGUGAUCAAUUACAUUCAUGGGGAACUCAUGGACGACAAAUAUCAUUCCAAAUGGCAAAGGAGGAGAAUGGUUCGCUCGGCCAUAGUAAGGGAAAGAGUGAGUGCAAUUCAGUGAAUGUUCACUAUUGAAAGUGCUCGGACAAUUGAUGGCCUAAUCACUUUCCCUUCAGUUGACUUUAAGCAGGUGAUUUUGUCACACGAAAACGUCUUAGUGUUAACACUAGGAAUCGAUGAAUUUGACGUGCGAAGAAUCCUAGUCAACCUGGGAAGUUCUAUUAACUUAUUGCAAAUGUUAGCUUACAAGCAAAUGGAUACUCAUCAUCUUCCUUAGAAAAUAUUGGCCAAUUUUUGUUUGAAUUCAAUGGGGCCACCACAAUCUCCCUAGGCGACAUUGUACUUCCCUUCCAAGCCAUCCCAACCAUUCUCAAUGUAUAAUUCUCUAUAGUAGAGGAUCUGUCACCCUACAUCGCCAUCAUGGGGCGGUCAUGGCUACACAAAAUGAAGGUCAUUCUAUCUACCUAUCAUAAGAUGGUAAACUACCUGACAGAAAUUGGGCAAGUGGAUUUGCAUGGAAACUAACUAACUACUCAACAAUGUUAUCAAGUGGUAAUAAAAUCCGGGCAUACUGGCCCAGCUGAAGACGAACCCAAGUCAUCAAUAAAAGAGGGGCAAUAACAAUUAUAAGACUAGGUCAAGGAUAGGGAUCCGUUGGCAAUUGACCCAUUGCAAUAGUUGUCUUUAUAAAAAAAAGAUGACCAGAUGACUUACGUUAGUUCUCUACUAAUUGAGGAUGAAUGUGAUCAUCUUGGCAACACGCUUCGCAAAAAUAAGGACAUCUUUGCGUGGAACAUGCCUGACAUAGACCUGGUAGUAGUCUUUCAUGAGUUGAACAUCCUUUCUGUUGCAUGACCUGUACAACAGAAAGUCCAUCAUUUCCAUCCAGAUCGUCAAAAAAUUAUCUAAACAAAAAUUGAAAAACUACUAAAAGUAGGAUUUAUCAGGGAGAUGACCUAAUGUGGUGGUAGUACCCAAGAAAAGAGGAAACUUGUGGGUUUGCAUAGACUAUACGAAACCGAAUGAAGCUUGCCCCAAAGAUAGCUUCCCAUUUCUCUGCAUGGAUUAGAUGGUAGAUGUCACUGCCAGACAUAGAAUGUUUUCUUUUCUUGGUACCACUUGAUACUAAUGUUUCCACCUAAUGAGUAGAAAAUGACUUUCAUUACACCUUAGGGGUUUUACUGUUAUAAAGUCAUGUCGUUUGGGUUGAAAAACGUAGGAGCUACUUACCAAUAGCUAAUAACCUGCAUCUUUAAGCCUUUAAUAGGUCGAAUGGGGAAAGUAUAUAUCAAUUGCAUAGUCAUCAAACACUAAACUCGUUUUGAACACCUCCUCCAUUUGGAAGAAGCAUUCGACUUCAUGCACAAGUACAACAUGAAGAUUAAUCCGCUAAAGUGCGCAUUCGAAGUAAGUGUGAGAAAGUUUCUCGGAUUCAUGGUGACAAAAAAAGGGAUUGAAGUAAAUCCGGUUGAAGUUAAAGUGGUGUUAGAAACUCCUACUAAUGUUCUCCAAUGAGUCAAUGCAUGGGGAUAAUUCAUCCCACGAUCCUCUUGUACUCCCAAAAUUGCUCCUCAUGAUGUACAGGAUGAAAAACACAUCAUCUCCUCAUUCAAUUUCCUCCUGAAUCUCCUAGAAUACUCCAGAAAAAUGCUCUAUAAUGAGUGACCAUUAUCUUCCUGCAACGUGAUAGUCUCCCCUUGAUGCCUUGCUAGUGACCUGUGUUCUCUACGAAAUUUUGAGCUUCUAAAAUUCUCCUCCAAUGUAUGAUAAUCUGUCUACCCCAAGAAGAGUCCAUAACCCCCUACUAGAGCCUUCUAGAGAGCCUCUAAAAAUGCGUGAUCUCUAGCGUCACCUCCCCACAUGACAACCCUCACUAACUUCAAAUGCAUGCAUGCCCCUCACAUAAGAAUUAUCUAGGAUGUGUGGUGAUCACAAUGUUUUAUGUGGGCAUGUAAUGGUGCUUUUUGGUACAUCUAGUGAAGGUUCUCCCAUGUUGCUGAUAGUGCCCCUCAAAAUGGAUCCAUGUAUGGUGAUGGGAAUUCUAUAGAAGACACGUGAUGCUUCUAUCAUGGUAAGAUGAUCAUCCACUGAUGAUAUUCUCCUCGUGAGGUUCCCAAUAGUGGUGUACAUGGAUCAUUGUGUCUUAAAAAAAAAUGGAAUCAACCUUGCACAAUUUCCCCAAAAAGAUAAAUAAGUUAGUAGACUAAAUAAAUAAAUAUAUAAGUAUCAAUUCAUGCAAUUAGGAAAAACUAAAAUCUCAACUCUCAUGCAAUUUUCUAAAAAAAUGAAUAAGUAAAUGAAUAAAACUAAUAAAAUAAUAAUAAUAAUAAUAAUAAUAAUAAUAAAAUAAACUAAACUAAAAAAAUCAAACACAUGCUAGUCAUACGAGCCAUGCUAUCAUACUUGAAAGGUGACCUAAGCAAGACUAAACAAACCUAAGUGAGCCAAGGUGUGACAAAAUGGGCCUAAGUAAGUCUAGAUCGGCCUAAGUGAGCCUAAGUGGGCCUAAGGUGUCUAAAAUGGGCCCAAGUGAGCCUAGGUGGGCCUAAGUGAGCCUAAGUGGACCAAGUGCACCUAAAAGCUAUCCUAAAAAUGAAGAAAAAACCUUAAGUCUAAAUUAAGGUUGCCAAGAGCACAAUGAGGGGUCAGAUAAAUCCCUCAACUAAAGUCUUUAAUGUGGCUAAAAAAAUGUAAGUAGUAUGAGUAGCAAUGGGUCACCAAGGAACUACUAUGGAAAACUAGAAGUGAACUUAAAGACAUGUGCUAAAGGGACAAAAUGGAGGGUCUACAAAUAUGCCCUCGGUAGAGAUCAUGAGUGUAGAGAAUGUGAGUUGAAAUACAAAAAAUGAGUGGAACGAAGUGAACUGUACCAAAGAACUAAAAGGAAAAGACCAGAAAUUUUGUCCUAGCACAUGAAGUGGCAAGGUCAAAAAAUGGGGUUGCAAUGACAAGCGUGGGAUGACAAUGAAGGGAGAAACGUGUAUGAUGGGUAGCAUAAAGAUGGAAAUGGAUGAAAAAAAAUGACUCAAGGUCAUGGAUGAGAUGAAUGACUCUGGGUCAUAGAUGAGAUGAAUGACUCUAGGUCAUGGACAAGUUGAACGACUCCAGGUCAGGAAUAGGAUAAACAAAUCUAAGUCAAGAGCACGAGACCUUAAAUAUGAAGGAGGACUCUAAGUCGCAGAUGAAAGAAAGGACUUUACAUUAGGAACUCUAGGCUUUAGAUGCUAUGAAUGACUCUAGGUCAAAAGCUUAGGGCUCUAAAUGCUAAUAAUGACUCUGGGUCAUGAAUGAAAAUAACAACUCUAGGUCAUAAAUAAGAAGAAUGACUUUAGGUUGUGAGAUCGAGGCUCUAAAUGCUAAGAAUGACUCUAGGUCAUAAAUAAGAUUAACGACUUAGGGUCGUGAGCUCAGGGUUGUAAAUGCUAAGAAUGACUCUAGGUCAUGAAUGAGAAGAACAACUCUGGGUCGUGAGCUCAGGGCUCUAAAUGCUAAGAAUGACUCUGGGUCAUAAAUAAGAAGAACGACUCUGGGCCGUGAGCUUAGGGCUUUAAAUGCUAAGAAUGACUUUGGGUCAUAAAUAAGAAGAAUGACUCUGGGUUGUGAGCUCAGGGCUCUAAAUGCUAAGAAUGACUCUAGGUCAUGAAUAAAAAGAAUGACUCUGGGCCGUAAGCUCCGGGCUCUAAAUGCUAAGAAUGACUCUGGGUCAUAAAUGAAAGAAGAACGACUCUGGAUCGUGAGCUUAAGGCCCUAAAUGCUAAGAAUGACUCUGGGUCAUAAAUAAGAGGAACGACUUUGGGUCAUGAGCUCAAGGCUCUAAAUGGAUUGCCGAUCAGGAUGCUUUCCGGCUCAUGGUGUUGAGUAGAGGCCACUCGUAAGUGGCUAGAAUGAUGAAAACAAAACAUCUCAGGGAUGUGAAGGAUACAAACGACUUCGGAUUGUGAGCUCAGGGCUUGGAAUGCCAUGAAUGACUUUGGGUCAUAAUACAAUGAGUAACUCAGGGUUAUGAUGAAUAGCUUAGGGCUAUCUAAACAGCUCAGGGCUAUGAGCUCCAGGCUCAGUGACUGAUCUGCUAGAAGGAGAGUGCGAUACGCAAACUCCAAGUCAAACCACUCAUGGGUGACCAAAUGAUGAAGGCUUAGCUCAGGGCUGGAAAGACUCUGGGUCUUAAGAAAAUGAUAGCUCAGGGCUACCAGGCUCAAGGCUAUAAGACUUAGGGUCUAGAAGAAGGAUAACUCAAGGCUACCAGGCUCAAGGCUUAAGAAGAGAGUGAUAACUUAGGGCUAGGAGACUCAGGACUUAAAAGGAUCGAAUAAAAAAAACUAACUCAAAAGUGGAUAGGAAGUAAAUGAGCUCAAAGUCAUAUACUCAAAAUGCCAAGGGUCGGACUACUAAACUUAAGAAGGGAAAUAUGCCCCAGUAUCUAGGGUGCUUGCACUACUGAAACAACUAGUAAAUCAAUCAUUAGCUGAAAUCAAUGGGUUAGAAACCAAUGCAUCAUCACAAACCUCUGAAAAAUCUAAAUUGAAAGAACUUUCUAUGUCUAAAAAGUUGCUCUGUCGAUGAAUCUCAAAAGGUAAAUCUCAAAGCGUGUAUAUCAUGGCUCAUCUAAAAGAAAAUCUCAAAGGGCACAAAACACUGCUCAUUUGGAUAAUCCAAUCUGCAAAGUAACAAUGGCAAAAACAAUCUAUUUCAUGAGCAUCUAGCUAAAUGAUCCACCCAUGCUUUUCGAGUGAAACCUGAUGUGAUCCAUCUCUAUCUGAACAAAUCUAUGUAGGGAGGUCCUGAUAUAGUCAAUCGUCAGAAGCUCUAGACUAGUACUUAAUCUAAAAUUAAGUUGGUCAUUGUCUUAAUCUCAAGAAUACUCAAAGAAAAUGGGAAAUAUGCCCCAAUAUGAGAUCUGAUGUCAGAGUCAUAAGGUAAAUAAGCAACAACGAUCAUCUAUCUAUGUACCGCUACCUGAACAUAGUCUCGCCAAGGAGAGGGGAAUAUGCCCCAGUAUGGUUAUCUAAUGUCAAAAUCAUGAGGUAAAUAACUAACAAUGAUCAUCCAUUUAUGCACAAUCUCAUCAAGGAGAGUGGAAUAUGCCCCAAUAUGGAUGUCUAAUGUACAACAAAGAAUCCGUCAAAAUCAAUCAAACAUCUCUAUAACCAUAAAUAAGGAUAUCCAUACCGUCCAACAACAACUAGGAACCUCAGAGAAAGAGGAAAUAUGCCCCAACGUGGAUAUUUGAUGCAUGACAAAAUGAUGAAUCUGAUAUCAUCAAUGAAUUGUCUCCAAACUCAAAAAUCCAUCAAACAUCAAUAUGCUAAGCAAGAGAGAGAAACCAAAUGCUUCCAAAAGUAUCUCCCGUAAGAGAAAACAUAGUAACGACUAUACUUCAACCAAUCUACAAAAGCUCAUCCAAGUGAAAACUGUCAAAGAUAAUGUCUAAUCUCAUGGCCUUAGGGUGGUCUUAAGACACGAGACGUAACAUAGGCCAGGGUGAAAAGGCAAAGAAACGAAAGAAAACUAGGCUCAAAUAUCCAAUGAUCAAACCCAUACCCUCGUGUAUAGUGUACAAUGCAUAGGAGAAUCUCAUGAACAUGUGAACUUAAGAGGAGUCGAUGAGAUUAUUGAUGGUGAAAUGAGAAAGGAGGAGAAAUGGUCAAACCAUUAGCAAGUCAUGUAAAUGAUGUGAAGAAAGGUGUCAAAUCGGGAGGGUAUAUAGGUGUUGGAAUGGCACGAAAAAGGGAAUAAAUAGUGGGAAAGAAGUGAUGGGAAAUCAAAUGAAGGUAGUGAGAAAGUAAAAAAAAUGAAUGAUGAGCAACACAUAUUAGUACAACAGAGGUAAUCAUAUCACCCAUAAUGGAGUAGUAGAGAAGACACCGAUUCAAAGACCUUAGUGAAAGGUUACUGAACUCUCAUACCUAUAAAGUAUAUCUACUCUGAUCCAAGAAACAAAUGAUCUAACAAAACUCAAAGCUCUCAUGAAAAACUCUCAUCCCUCUAACUGUAUAAUGAAAGUGACUCAAGGAGCGAAAAGUCAUCAUGGAAAACUCUCACAAACCCUCAAUGAUAAACCCAAUAAACAAUGCUCAAAUAGCAACACAUGCUCAAUGGAGUAGGAUAUCAAGUACAAACAUAUCACUGCGCCGUUUUUUUUUUUUUUUUGUAUGUGCAUAUACCCUAGUCAUCAAUAAAUCAUACUCCAAUGAGAAACUACAAGGAAUGAAUAAACUCUCUCAAAUCACUGAUGAACACAUGAAACCCCAUCCCAUGAGACAACCUCUCAAGCUAAAAUCUCUAAAUCAAUGCCAAAUGAUGGAAUGAAGGGAGUGGUACAACUACCCUAUAUGUAUCAAUAUGUGAAGAAUCAUCAUUCCAAGUGAAGAAAAUAUGAAAUGUAGCGACCAAUGAUAAAAGCCAUGAUUGAGAUGAAAAUAUGAAAAUAAUGGAAUGUAGUGUACAAGGUGAUGAAGUGAUAAUAGCAAGGAUGAGGAAGAUAAGCCUAUAAGUCCAAAGCUCAUGAGACUUUCCUAGCAAAGCGUAACUAUACAUCAAAGGGCCCCAACCCGGGUAUAGAAAAGAAAAGGAUAUAGCAUACCAUAUGGGGCUCAAUGGGCUAGCAAUGGUCUAAUAUAUCAAUAAAGAUGAUAAGGUGUAAGGCUAACCAAAAUGAUGGUCACCCAUCAUGCGACCAUAAUCUCAAACGUAAUACUUCUUCAGCUGAUCCACAUUAGUAGGCUUUGAAAACUGGUUUCCAUCUAAGUCAGUCAACCAUGUAGCCCCUUUUAGAGUCAACUCUCGAAUAACCUAAGGCCCACUCCAACUAGGUCUGAACUUUCCUCUGGGGUCUUCAACCAAACCUCUGAGAAUCCUCAAAACCAAAUCCCUUUUUGGUAAUGGUCUGGGCUUAACCCAUUUCUUGAAGGCACGAGCCAUCUUUUUUUAAUAGGUCUGAACAUGAUAUGUUGCUCUCAAUUUCCUCUCUUCUAAAAGGUUAAGCUAAUCAAAUUGAGCCUAGGUCCACUCUAUCUCAGAAAUCUGUUGCUCAAGGUUUACUCUCAAUGAACCUAUCUCUGUCUUGACUAGCAAAACAACCUCCAUACCAUACACUAGAGAGUAAGGUGUAGCUCUUGUAUAGGUGCGAAAAGAGGUACGGUAUGCCCACAAUGCAAAAGGGAGUUUCUAUGACCAAUCUCGAGAAGUCUCAACCAUUUUCCUCAAAAUCCUCUUAAUGUUCUUAUUUGCCGCCUCUAUUGCCCCAUUAGUUUGUGGCUUGUAUGCAAAUGAUCUGUGAUGCUGGACAUUAUACCUCUAUAACAAAGUAUCUACCUCAGCUCGAAAGUGCACCCCUCUAUCUGAAAUCAACUCAUGAGGAACCCCGUAGAGGCAAAUAAUGUGUGACUUGAUGAAAUUGGCAACUCUAGUAGAUGUCAACCUUGCAUAUGAUGCAGCUUCCACCUAGUUGGUGAAAUAAUCUAUGGUGACUAGGAUGAACUCAUGACCACUAGAAGAUUUUGGUGAAAUCUUCCCAAUAAUAUCAAUACCCCAUACUGAAAAUGGCCAUGGCGAGGUCAAAACAUGUAACUUUGAUGGCGUUGUGUGAAUGAGAUCACCAUGAAUCUGACACUUUAGGAAUUUCUAAACAAACUGACAACAAUCUGUCUCCAUAGUCAAUCAGAAAUAACUUGUCCUCAUAAUCUUAUGGGCUAGCAUAUGUCCUUCCAUGUGUGGACCACAAACUCCUGUGUGAACCUCUCUCAUCAUACGGCUUGCGGAAUCUCGAUCUAAACACAAUAGAAGUAUGCCAUCAAUUGAUUGCCUAUAUAGGGUCUCUCCACAAAUCACAAAUCUAGUGGCUAACCACCUUAGUGCUCUCCAAUCCUUGGUUAUGGCUACCUCAAGGUAUGUGUCAGAUCUGAGAAACUGAUAAAUGUCAUGAUACCAAGGUAGAUCAUCUUGGACCUCUAUCUCUCCAAUCAAACAACAAUAGGCAGGUGCAGACCUCAACUCAAUUAGUAAUGGAUGUACAACCACAUCAAUCGAAAUGUCUACAGAAGAAGCUAGAGUAGCUAAGGCAUCAGCAAACCGGUUCUGCGCUCUAGGCAAAUGAACAUAUCUCAAGUCAUCAAACAUCCCAACCAGUAACUCUAAAUAAGUGUGGUAUAGCCUAAGUUUUACAUCCCUAGUCUUCCAAUCUCCUUGAAUUUGUCUAAUGCCAAGCUUUAAUGUAGUCUCUAAACCAAGGAUAUAAGCUUCAUACUCAACUAUAUUAUUCAUGAUAGGAUGUCGAUCAGAGAAUGCCAAACGAACGAACCUCAGAAUAUGAUCACCCUAAAGGGAUAUCAACAUAACACCUAUCCCAUACCCUGACAAAUUGGUUACACCAUCGAGGUUCAUGCACCAUCCUGAUAAGUUAGUCAUAGUAACAAACUCCUCAUUUGGAAAAUCAUCAUCAAUUGGUCUAUUCUUAGAUGUUGGUAGUGAGGCUAAGUGAUCGACGACAAUACUUCCCUUAAUAGACUUCUAAGAAACAUACUGAUUAUCAAACUUUAUCAAAAGUAUGAGCCAUCUCAUUAGUCUACCAGUCAAUGCAAGUCUGUCAAAUAAGUAUCUCAACGGAUCUAGGCAGGAUACCAAGUGCACUGAAUACUCUGCAAUGUAAUGCCUCAAUCUCUUGGUAGCCCAAACUAGUGCUAAGUAAAGACACUCAAUCAUAACAUAUCUCAUCUCAUAUUCCAGCAUCCUCUUACUCAUAUAGUAAAUUGUUUGCUCCUUCCUUGAAUCAUCAAGUUGAGCUAACAUACAUCCCAAGGCCAUGUCUAAAACUGACAAAUAUAGAAGAAGUGGACGUCCUAGCAUGGGAGGCACUAAAACAGAAGGAGAAAGCAAAUACUCCUUAAUAUUCUCAAAUGUAAGUUGGCAAUCAUCAUUCCAAACUGUUGGCUGGUUCUUCCUCAAAAGACGAAAAAUGGGCUCACAUAUGUCUAUCAAUCUGGCUAUGAAACGACUGAUGUACUAUAACCUGCCUAGAAAACCCCUAAUAUCUUUCUCUGUCUUAGGCACAGGCAUGUCAAGUAUGGUUUUGAUCUUAUUUGGGUUGACCUCUAUGCCUCACUCACUGACCAUAUUCCUCAAUAAUUUCCUAUAAGUCACUCCAAAGGUGCACUUCUUGGGAUUCAGCCUCAAUCUGAAUUUUUGGAUCCUCUCAAAGAAUCUCUCUAGAGCUAAUAGGUGAUCUGCUCUGCCUCGGGAUUUCACAAUCAUAUCAUCAACAUAAACUUCAACAACCCUAUGCAUCAUGUCAUGAAACAAGGUAGUAGUGGCCCUCUGAUAAGUGGCUCUUGCAUUCUUCAACCCAAAUGGCAUAAUCCUGUAACAGUAAGUGCCUCACUCAGUAAUAAAGGUUGUCUUCUCCAUAUCCUCUGGAGCCAUCAAAAUCUUAUUAUACCCUGAAAACCCAUCCAUGAAAAACAACAUCGAAUGGCCUACAGUGUUAUUGACCAACAAAUCAAUUUGUGGGAAAGGAAAAUCAUCUUUAAGGUUAGUUUUAUUAAAGUCUCUGAAGUCAACACAAACUCUAAUUUUGUCAUCCUUUUUGGGAAUAGGGACGAUGUUAGCCAAGCACUCUGGAUACUCAACGAUUGAUAUAAACCCAACAUUGAGUUGUUUCUUAAUCUCCUCUUUCACCUAUAGACUCCAACGUGGGUGCAACCGUCUCAAUUUUUGCUUAAUCGGUCUGGCAUAUGGCAAAAUAAGUAAAUGGAGCUAGACUAUAGAGGGAUUGAGACCAGACAUGUCCUCAUAAGACCAUGCAAAGACAUCCAAGUAUGACAUGAGUAAAUGAAUAAGUCUAUCACUUUCAUAUAUAGAUAGGGGCGAACCAAUCUUCAGCUCUCUAGGCUGGUCCUCUGUGCCAAAAUCAACAGUCUCAACAUCUCCUAUAACAGGUGAAACUCUCUCAUCUAUGGGAUCUGAGUCAUGAUCAAAAGAGUCUAUAUCUAAAUCGGGUUGUGCAAUCUCAUCAUCUAUAUCAAAUAUCUGUGGAGUGGGUGAGUGGGGUGCAGAUAUAGAGAUACUAUUACAAGAGACAAGCGAAUACUAAAAAAAUACUCAAAUCCAUAAAUGAAACAAUAGAAACAUCGUUAGAGUAGGAGACAUAUCCCGAUAAAACAUCAAAAGAAAGAGGUAGGUCUACAAGGUUGGACACUUCCUCAACUGGGCUAACAAUGCUCUCAAACAAACUAUUAUCAUCCUCUAAAAGCUCUAGAACAAGAAUAGUCUGAGUCUCUUCAACAACCUUAGUGGUGGACACCCCAAAUGAUUACUACUCAAAAAGUGUUAUUUCAUAGCUUGUAAUUAACUCUUUUAAACACUUUUGAGUAGUAGUUAUCACAUUUUAACCCAAUUAACAUAUUAAGGACCCUUGCAAUCAAUUCUAAUCAAAUUGUGUUAAGUUUUGGUGUUUUUGUUAGUAAUUUGAUCACCAAAACAAUCUGAGAUUGAGGAGAGUUCUUUGGAAUCCCUACAAAAGAUGUCCGAACAGGGCGUCCGGACACACCAUCGGAGGGCGACGGAACGUGGGUUGUGGCAGGCUGUCGGAAUGACGUAGCAAGGCUUAGUAAAUGAUCCGGACAACACAUCCGGAAUUCUGCUCCGCCGACAUUCCACCCGGAUGUCUCACAUCCGGAAUUCUGCUCCGCCGACAUUCCACCCGAAUGUCUCACAUCAGGAAAUCUUCUUCGCCGACAUUCCAUCUGGAUAUUUCACAUCCGGCGUCUGACGUCGGAUGGCCGGAUAUUUCACACCCGGCCUAAUGCCGGAUGGCCGGAUAUUUCGUACCUGGCUUGACGCCGGAUGGGAGAGGAGGGCGUUUCAACUUCCCUAGUCAGACAUAUCCGGAUCUUCUGAUAGCGCUUACCCGGAGAGUUUCGCAGCUAUUUUGCACAGUGCCACGGUGUUCUCCUGAAGCUUCCCGAUAUGUCCGACCGACAUUUUGAGAUAUUUUUCUACACAGUGCCGCGGCGUUCUCCUAACGCUUCCCGAUAUGUGCGACCGACAUUUUGAGAUAUUUUGAGAUAUUUUGCUUUAGAUAUUUGAUGUUUAAAUCCCCAAACUCUCCUUGUAACCCACCUAUCAUAGGAUUCCUUAGUUAUUAAGUUUGGAAAAAGAGGUGAAUAACCUCUUAUAUAUAGUUUGUAAUUUUCUUUAGAAAAUGGUAUAUAGAAAAUAUGUAGAUCUGGGAGCUUGUUCUCAGAAAGAUGUAAAUCUGGGAGCUUGUUCUCAGAGACGCAUCCUUUGUACAGUUUUGGGAAGGAAAUAAAAUACAGAGCACUUGCUCUGCUUUUCAUAUAUAUUUUUGUUUUCUCGUUCUUUUUAUUUCUAGCCAAUCAAACUCUGAGGAUUUUUCCUCAGAGGAUGAGAGGCUAGGCUCUUUGUCUCUUGGAGUGAAGAAAGCCGGGUAAAUUUCCACAUGCAUAAAUUGGAAGUUUUGUUGUUUUAGUUUUUAAUGAAGAGAAAGUGUGACCCGUUAAUGGUUUUUAUCUUUUUAGUUAACUUAAAACGCCUUUAAAUCACCUAGGCCAACACUUGGUAAGGCAAGUGAUCUCCAUCCAUUGAGAUGCACUAGUUUAUCUCUUGCGAGCCUUUGGGAGGUGGUUUGAAGGUAGGAUUUUCUAGAAUAGCCAACACUUGGUAAGCUUUUGGACUCCAAGGAGACAUCCAUUAGUUAUCUCUUGCGAGCUUUUGACGGAUAAUCCAAGGUUAAAGAUCACCUUGAAUGACAAGUGCUAGGUGAGAGGUAUGAGCCAUUGCAAGGUGCAUCAGUGAGAGGGAUUUAGUGUUUGAACCCAUUAAGGGGAAGCAUCUGUACAGCACCGGUUAGAGAAUUGACUAUAUGUUAAUUCUCUAAUGCGAGGAAAAGAAACAAGUGACCGGAACUUCCUUUUUGUACAAGGAACCUGAGCCUAGUGAUCUAAACUCCAAGAAACACUUUUCUUUGUAAGUAAAAUCAGUUACUAUUUUUGGUUAGUUUAAAACCAAACCUUUUUCCACCAAAAAUUAUGUUUUCUUUUAAAGCUAACCUUGAAAUGAAAAGGCACCAAUUCAUCUUUGAAUUAAUAUCAAUUGUGAAGUGAAAACCCAUCCCAGUGAAUGAUCCUAGAGCCACUAUGCUAUAGUAGCUUUGUCUUUGCUACCCUAGUUCAUGGUGUAAUAGGUUAUAAAUUUUGUUGAUUACUCCCUGAGGACCAAAAUCAAGGGACACCAGCUAGACACGAAUCAAAUGACACCACUGUCAGGAACCAUUGAGAGGACAUGAAUCAGAUGAGACACCAAUUAGGAACGAAUCACCAAACAUAUCAAAUGCUGAAAUAGGCUAAAGCUGAACAAUGCUGAUAAUCCGACUCACUGUCAUCAUGUCCAUCUCAUGUCGGUACUCAUCAUGGGGAACAACUCCAUCAAUCAUCUUAGUGAGAUUGACGACCACUUUGUCAUCAGUGACCUCCUCUGGGAAGCAUAGGGACAACAAACUAGCUCGAUCUAGACACGGAGGAGUAAUCGCCAUAGAAUCAGAAGUGCUAGGAGCCCUAUCACUCAACUAUAACCAGUGAAAUAGAUGCCGAAGCUUAAUCUCUCUAUCUGUAUGAACCACACUAUCACUUUCUUCUAGACGAAGUCGAAUCUUUGUUCCUCUGACAAAGUAGUCAGCCAGACUCAUCCUAUAGGGUUGAAUAUGAUAAUCAAAUGGUGUGUGAGACAAUAGAGCCCUUACUCUCUCUUUGCGUAAUUGCGCCAUGUAUUGAUAAUCGGCCUCAAUAGGAAUGAACUCAAGUCCAAAUGUCAUAUCAUGGUCAAUGGCAGCUAUAAACUCAUUAGGUCCCUACUGACGUAGUCUUAACCUCAUGUCAGGUAAAAAAAACAUACCCUUCAUCAUAUCAAGAACCACUGUAAUGCUAUGUUGAUCAAAUGACAUAACUACAAAAUCUCUACAAAAAUCUUCAAUCUCAAGCGUCUAUAUCUCAUCAAAAGUAAACUCGAUCAGAAAUAGGUCAUCCUCACUAUGAUUAAUUUGAAGUAUUGUCUCGGAAGAGGCAAACAUAUCUCUAGUAGACUGUACAGUGAUGACCUACCCAUCAUGAAUGAACUUCAUCUUCUGAUGAAGAGAAUAAAUGAUAGCUCCAGCUCUAUGAAUCCAAGGUCGGCUUAAUAGCAAGUUAAAAGAUGUAUGAAUCCUUAAAACCUACGACAAAGUAGAAAAUGUGGCUGAACCAAUCUAUAAAUCAAUUACCAAGGUACCCAUAACCUCCCUCUUAGUAUUAUCAUAUACUUUGACUAUCUAAGUAGAAUGACCAAGGGCUGUAGCAAUGGUUAAAGGGCAGACAUUCAGGGCUGAGCCAUUGUCCAAUAGGAUAGAUGGAACUUUGUGGCCUGAACAACCAACUGUGAUAUAUAGAGGGCAUAUGUGGUCUAAACCCUCAGGUGGCAAAUCAUCAUCUGAAAACACAAUGCAAGUGGCCCUACCAGCUGUCAUCAUAUGAAUCAACACCUUUAGAGUGGUGGUAGUCUCUACCCUGAUCUGACUCAAGGCUCAAAUCAAAACAUCUCUAUGAGUACUAGAUGAUGCUAAUAAACUCCAAAUAAAAAUAUGAGCCUGAGUGCUCUGUAAUUGUCUCAAAACCUCAUCAUCCUCUCUGUAAAUAAAAGUAUCCUGGUGUCUGAUAACCAAAGGUGUAGAAUGAGUCAUCUGGAACAACACCCCAUUUGGGAUCAAACUGAAUGGUGUGGGAACCUAGGGACCCAAUGAAACCCCACUAACCUCACUACUGUCAUGCAAAACAAUCGGCUCGGGUAAUCUAUCAUCCCAACUUAACCUAUGUAUACUGUCAUCCUCUAUAAGGUCUAUGUGAUGGAUAUCUCCUGGAGGUGGAGACAUUGCAUGUGUAGAAUGGGUGGGAAGAGGGUUAGUGGUUACACUUGGCUGUCCCAAGUUAACCAAACUCUGGUCUAUCAAAUCCUGAAUAGCAUGUCUGAGAGCACUAUAGUGGUCUCUGUCAUGCCCUUGUCCUUGAUGAUAAGAACAGUGUAAGUCUAAUCUAAAGUACUAGCUUGGGUGCCAAUGGAGUCAAUAACUCACCCUCCAUGAGCUUUUGAAAAGCUUGACUCAAAGGCAUACCCAAUUGAGCAAACUGACGUGAUGGUCUUUGCACAUAAGUAGUGGUCUACGGGGCUCGAAGCCGAGUGUAUGGGACAGGAGGUCUCUCUGUGACAUGUGCAGCAAAACAGGCUAUGAGACUGGAUAUAGAUAAAUAGGAGUCAUGGGUCUAAAAGGAGUAGGUGGCCUAUACUGCACAUAAGGUGAUGGUGGGUAAUAGAAUCCAGAAGUCUGCCCAACUGUCGAAUAGCCUCUAAGAGGUCUCAUCCCUGCUGAACUGAUAGCACCAACAUCUUCUAAUCUCUAUCCUCCUAAAGGCUUCUUCCUCUUAGAGUCAAUAGGGGAAGACUUGAGCCACAAACCUCUAGUUAUGCCCUCCUUUAUAGCAAAUAAAGCCUGUACCAAAAAUCCAAAAUCCGUAUGAGGAAAUCCCAUCAAGUGCCUAGCAAACUUAGGCUAUAAGUUCCUCAUGAUCAUACUAAUUUGCUCAUUCUCUGAAGGACGAUCAAUAAUCUAUGAAAUCUUCUCCCUCCAACGGGAAAUAAAUGAGGUGACUGACUCAUCUAGCCUCUAUCUCAAAGCCUCUAACUCUCUCCUCGAGACAUCAAUGAUAGUGUUAAAUGCAAACUGUCUCAAAAACUCUUGGGUCAAAUCAUCCCAAGUCCGACGGCAUGAUACAUCCAAUGAAGUAAACCAACGUUUGCCGCACCACUCAGGGACAUAGGAAAAAGCAUAACCAUCUGAGCCUCAUCUAGUUCAUGGGCUCUCAUAACCAUAUUGUAAAGCCUCAAAUGGAUGCGAGGAUAGCCUAUGCCCGUAUAUCUCUCAAUCUCAUGCAUCUUAAACUUGGCCGGUAAACUGGACACCGGUGCUCCAUCAAAAUCCUCCCAAGUAAUGGCUCCGUCUAAAGCCCUCAUCUGCCUCAACCUUUACUCAAGUCUAUCCAUAUGUGUAUGUGGGUCCUCUGAGGUCAGGAUAGGCAAUGUGAUAGGAGGCGGGGCAACCUCAGUCUGACUAUGCAGAGUGAAAGGUAUAGGCUAUGGUGCUGACUGACUGGGUGGAGAAGUUGGUGGUACUAUAGUAUCAAACUAGGUACUCUCCUGAACUAGUACCUGUUAGGCCUACUGCCCAUCUAUCCUCUGGCCAAGGCUAGCUAAAGCUUCCUAGAUAGAAGUCAUGGCCGCAGCAAACUAGUCAACGGUAACUAUCUAUGAGUCCAUAUCCCUCUGAUCUGAUAUCUGGUUUGACUGAAAUAAUACUCUAGUCAAUCUACCUCCAACUCUAAUCCACGAAGGUGAAUCCAGAUUGGUCAUGGUAAACCCUCUUACAAAUAUGGAAACACUGGAUAAGGUGUAGUAUGAAGGUGACUAUGUAGGAAUCAACUGAUAAGUGCGCAGAAAUAUAGCCUAAAUGUACUCAAUGUGAUACUCAUCUCUGAUCAAACCAAAAGGAGACUACGGAGGGGAUAAUUGAACACAAUUGUGACCAAGGUGGCUCUGAAGGUCCACAGAUGCACCCACGUCUAGGAAUGAAAUCUUAAUUUGGUCUAAGCUAGCCUACAAGGUUGAGGUGGCUCUAUAAGAUAAAAUGGGUGGGUUAAAGAAUCUUUAGUAGAAGUAAUCGUAGCCUCCAACGGUACAUGCAACCCUCUGCACACCUUCGAGGAAACGGGGUGCUUCCAUGCAAGGUGGUCAUCACCUCCACACAUGCACUUCCUCGUUUUCCUAACGGUGAAGGCUCUCCCAUCUCUUAACACUUAGGGAUAAUCUAAAGUACGCGGUGAAGGAUGUGGGUGCAUCCGAAAAACCUAAGAUAUAAAGUGAGAUAGUAAACAUAGACAAGCAAUCAUACAAUCAUGUAGGGGUAAGGGUUGUCAUGCAACAAGCAGUCAUACCAAGCAGAUAGGUAUCAUAUAAACAAAGUCUUAUCUAGCAUAUGUGAGAGUGAAUCAUGCUGAAGUGAGCAAGUAAUCAAGUGAUCAUUCAAGGCAAUUAAACAUGUUAAGAUAUCAUACCAAACAAGCAAGCAGAUCGGAUCAUCUUACCUAAAAAAAUAUGUACCCUCUAAUUAAACAAUUAAACGCCACAUUUUCCUCAACUAGUGCUCAAGCUUGAUCCUCAAGAUUCCUAGUGGAGUCGACAAUUUGUGGACUUGCAUUUUUCACGUGCGUCCCCACUUAAUGGGAAGACUCAUUUUUAUUGGUGAAAAAUUAGUUUUAGAAAAUUUAGAGUCGCCACUUAUUUUAUUUUAUUUUAAAAAGAAAAAUAAAACAAGAAAGAAAACCCUAAAGAAGUGACUCCAUAGUUUUUGGCAAAAACGUGUUUUUGAAAAACUCGAGUCUAGAUCCAAGGAUCAAGUUACCUAUUGGGAAGGUACCUCUAAAAGGUGGCACCCCUCUAAGCCCUACAAAGGUCUCUACUGACUAAGUAGAGGGAAAUGAGGCAAUUAAUUGGUUGAUUGUAGAUACCUAGGUAGGCUAAGUGAUUUCAAAAAUAGCAUGUCAAACAAGAAAACCAAUCACAAAUCAUAAAUAAGAUUUAGGGUGUGUACUUGGAUUGCUUCUUAAGCACUAUCAUAAGGCAUCAAUGGUUAAUUUGGAAAAUAAAACACACAACAUGUAUUUUACCCUAGUCUCUUAAUCAAACAUGGCAAGCUAAACAAACAAUCAAAAAGAUAUGAUGAACAGGUUGACAAUCACAUACGAAGCAAUACAUAAUGAUCAUGUAUAAAGCAAUACAUAAUUUAUGGAAUUAAGAUACGAAGGUAAGAAGCGUACCUGGAUAGCAUAGGUAACUUGUAACGUGCUUCCUCAAGACAUGAGGGGUUAGAUAAUAAAUAAUAAAAUAAAGAAAUCCUAGCAUGCUUGUCAUCUAAUUAGCAUAGCAAAAAUGAUCAAAGUAUACGAAAUCAUCAAUUAUCACAUACAUCUUGUAUAUAAUUCCUAAAAAAAUAGAUAGAUAUGAUUACAACAAGUAGCAAAGGUGGCAGCAAAGAUGAGUUUUGAAAAAGAUUUUAUGUAGGGGUUUCACCAAUUCCACAAUUGAUAUACACGAAUCUAGCCUAGAAUUAUCCCAUUUAUUUGGGACCAUAAGCUUGGAUUUGUGUCUUACUCAAAACCAUAGUUUUUAUUGAAAAUUGAGAAAGAUGCGAACCGAUCAAAACAUGGUUGCAUAUUAUUUAAGAAAAUGAGAUUUUGAUUCUAAGGACUCUAAAUGUAUUUUUUUUAAUAAUAGAUUUUAAAUGGGAUAUUUUCAAAAAAUUAUUUUAUUUUAAAAUAAAAUAGAUUAAUUUGAAAACAACAAAACAUAAGAAAUAGAAUACCAAGCAAAACAAAAGAAAAUGAAAUCACAAAGUGAAAUUUUUGACAACCGAGCAAACUAAAGUGGUGAGAAUGGAGGUCAAUCUUCACUAUUUUUCGAUAGCCUCUGAAAAGUAAGUGGGAUAGGAGACUGCCAAAGCAAUAAUUAAAACUUAGAUCAAAUAAACCAACAAGAUAUCCAUCAAGAAUUAAUGACUAAGAUUUAAGAAACACAUCAAUCAAGAACUAACAUAAGACCGAAUAAACACACAAACACAUUUAAACUAAAAAAAUAAAUUAAAACUAAACUAAAUUAGAAUUUAAAACAUCGACUUUAUCUAACAUAAUUAUUUAAACUAUUAGAUUAAAAUUACAUACAAAUCUAAACUAAAAUAAAUAAAUAAAUAAGUAAAUUAAAACUAAACUAAAUCGAAAUUAAAAACAAGAUCUUUACCUAAGAGAUUUAAUUAACAAUUGAAUUAAAAUCACAAACACAUUCAAACUAUAGAAUAAAUUAAAACUAAACUAAUUUGAAAUUAAACUUUAUCUAAUAAGAUUAAUUAAACUAAUAAAUUAAAAUCAUCAACUAUUCCAAACUAAAGAAUAAAUUAUAACUAAACUAAAUCCAAAUUAAAAACAAGAAAUUUAUCCAACAUGAUUUAUUAAACUAAAGAAUUAAACUAUUAAAAUUCUGACUUUUCAAACUAAAACAAAGAAUCAAAAACUAAAGUAAAGAAUUUUAACUUACCUUUUUCAAGAUUCUUUUGCGUAGUGCAACUAUGAGAUUUCUUAAUGGAUGGCACAGCUGCAAGACUCCUCAAUGGAUGGUGCGGAUAAAGCGACUCCAAGACUCCUUAAUGGAUAGAUGACAGCCAUGUGUUCAAUGUGUAGAGAUUCCUAUGAUAGCAUGCUGGUUGUUGUCCUUUGUAUGUGGUUGUGUCUCCUUUCGUUUUACAGUGCAUGCUCCCCUUGAAAAGGAUCUCGUUCGUACGUGAAUCUGGUUGUCUCCCUUUUCCCUGUUCUCUCUUUUAUUUAUAUGGCAGCCCACUCCUUAUAUGGGUGCGUGAGGGUCCCCAAAAUUCCCUUUAGUACCGCCAACAUGUGGAAUGAAGUAGCGGCCACCUUCCUUUAUUCCUUUUUGAAUGCAUGUGGAUAUGGGAAGUGCAUAUAUGCAUGGAUCACUUAGAGAUUUCCUCAAGGAUGCAACCUGUGUCUUGUUUGGUAAGUGAUCAAAUCCCCCGCAAGCACAUGGUCAGAGAACAAAUCAAUUGCUACAAGGUUGCCCGUCAAUAACUUCGGUCCCCAAAAUUCCCCUUAGUACCACCAGCAUGUGGAAUGAAGUAGCGGUCACCUCCUUUAUUCCUUUUUCUUUCCUUUUUGAAUGCAUGUGGAUAUGGGAAGUGCAUAUAUGCAUAGAUCACUUGGAGAUUUCCUCAAGGAUGCAACCUGUGUCUUGUUUGGUAAGUGAUCAAAUCCCCCGCAAGCACAUGGUCAGAGAACAAAUCAAUUGCUACAAGGUUGCCCGUCAAUAACUUCGGUCCCCAAAAUUCCCCUUAGUACCACCAGCAUGUGGAAUGAAGUAGCGGUCACCUUCCUUUAUUCCUUUUUCUUUCCUUUUUGAAUGCAUGUGGAUAUGGGAAGUGCAUAUAUGCAUAGAUCACUUGGAGAUUUCCUCAAGGAUGCAACCUGUGUCUUAUUUGGUAAGUGAUCAAAUCCCCCACAAGCACAUGGUUAGAGAACAAAUCAAUUGCUGCAAGGUUGCCCAUCAAUGACUUCCCUUCAAAGACAAUUGGAGGAGCAAUAGUAAAGACUAUACAAAAACAAAUGUGUAUAGUGUACACCAGGAAAAACCAACCAAAGUUCAUAGCACUAUUCAUCCUCAUUGCACGAUAAAGAGACCUAUACCAUAACACAUAUGAAAGGGGGCAUCCAACCAAAACAUAGAUGAUUACGAGCAAAAAUAUUUUGGUACCCCUGCCUUUAAUCCAAUAAUCAGUCACUGCAAUAAUAUUGAAUACAAGACAAAGAACUAUUCCUAACCAACUCGUAAAAGCCAAAUACUGCAACCUUUGAGCAUCAAUCGAUACUGACUCAUGCCCAAUUGGUGUCUCAGCUGAUUUGUGUUCAGCUGGUGCUCCUUGAUUGAGGAAGUGAUCAACAAAAUUUAUACCUAUAACACCAUACACUAGGGUAGCAAAUACAAAGCUACUAUAGUAUAGUGGCUCUAGGAUCGUUCACUGGGAAUGAUGAACAAGCAAUCAAGGAUACCAAUUCCAAGUGAAUUGGUCUUGUUUCAUUUCACGGUUAGCUUAAGAAGUAAAACACAAAGUUUGAUUGGUAAAGGUUUAGACUUAAACUAACUAACUUAACAGAAGUUUGGAAUAAUUUAGGAAGAAAAGCAUUCCUUGGAGAUUUAGGUUCACUGGGGUGGUUCCUCAUGCAAAAGACAUAGCUCCGGUCAGAUGGUUCAUUUCCUCGCAUUAGAGAUUCAACUUAUAGUCAAUCCUCUAACCGGUGAUGUACAGAGACUCCUUCAAUUAGAUUUCACUUUAAUUCUCUCACUGAUACAACUUGCAAUGGUUCAUGCCUCUCACGAGCACUUACCAUUCAAGGUGAUCUUUAACCUUGGAUUCUCCUUCACAAACUCGCAAGAGAUAACUAAUGGAUGUCUCCUAGGAGUCCAAAAGCCUACCCAGUGUUGGUAANNNNNNNNNNNNNNNNNNNNNNNNNNNNNNNNNNNNNNNNNNNNNNNNNNNNNNNNNNNNNNNNNNNNNNNNNNNNNNNNNNNNNNNNNNNNNNNNNNNNAACCAAAACAUAGAUGAUUACGAGCAAAAAUAUUUUGGUACCCCUGCCUUUAAUCCAAUAAUCAGUCACUGCAAUAAUAUUGAAUACAAGACAAAGAACUAUUCCUAACCAACUCGUAAAAGCCAAAUCCUGCAACCUUUGAGCAUCAAUCGGUACUUCAUUGACUAUAUCAUUAUGGCUAAUAGGAAAGUACGAAUGCUAGUUUUUAUCUUCAAUUGGCAUCCCCUUUUUUAUAGAGCAUCUUCCAUCCAUUUUAUGUCAUUUUCUUUCCAUUCAUUUUAUGUCAUUUUCUUUCCAUUUCAAAUCUACCUCCCAAGCUACAAGUUCUUUUUUUUUUGUUGGAACCAUUCGAUGUGUCCAAUGGAAUAUCUACAACAGCAUCAUAUUUCUCAUUAAAUCCCAGGUUUGCAGAUGCAGUUAAAGGAACGCUCGACCUUGAUCCAGGAGUAGUAGCAACCUUCAACAAUGGAUUGACCUCUUCCUCAUCGAUCAGGUUCGGAUCGUUUUGGCGAAUCAUGUCUAUUUUUAGAGAUGGAGAGAGAAAAAAAGUAGAUAGUGUGUUUGGUUAGAGUGAAAACACACACCACAACAAGCUGCUACGCCUACAACACACCGAUUGCCCAUUUUUGUCUUCAAACCGUAAUCUGAUGCAUUUUCCACUCGAAUUCCAAUCUGGUUAUUCUUUAUGUCACCUACGCUAGUGGAGUUCAUUCUGCUGCUAUCUAUGUUCGUGGAAGAGAAAUGGCGAUGCAUCAAUCGGAGGGCAAUAUUAUUGAUGAUGCGGCAAAUGAUGGUGUGGACCCGCAUUUUUCAUGUGUGCCCCCACUCGAUCGGUGAGACUCGCUUUUUAUUUGUGAAAAAUUAAUUUUUGGAAAAAAGUUGGAGUCACCACUUUUUUUAUUUUUAUUUUAAAGGGAAAAUAAAACCCUAAACAAUGACUCCAUAAUUUUUGGAAAAGCUUGUUUUUGAAAAACCCGAGUCUAAGUCCGGGGAUCAGGUUACCUAUUGGGAAGGUACCUUUAAAAGGUAGCACCCCUCUAAGCCCUAUAAAGGUCUCUAUUGAUUAAGUGGAGGGAAAUAUGGCAAUUAAUUGAUUAAUUAUAGAUACCUGGGUAGGCUAAGUGAUUUCGAAAAAAUUGCAUGCUAAACAAGAUCAAAUCACAAUAAAGGAGAGUUAAGGUGCGUACCCGAACCGCUUCUCAAGCGCUAUCACAAAAUAUCAAAGUUAGUAUUGAGAUAUAGCACACAACAUGUAUUUUAUCCAAGCAAGUCAAACAUACAUCUAAGCAUCCAAGAAUCACGUCAAAUAUGGAUAUGGUCAUCAAUGGCAUACAUGUCCAUAGAGUUCUAAAAAAAACAACAAAAAAAAAAAGUGAGGAGGAGCGUACCUGGAUAGUAAGUUAAAGCACCUUUAUAGGAAACAAGUUUGCUUAAUAACAAGUGCGAAAUAAUCUCACAUACCACAAAGAGGAAGCACAAUCAAUCAAAUAUCAAGCAAACAAUAUUGAUGAGAAUAUCAUGAAUGUCGGGCCCCCACCAAAGCCCUAAUUGAUUUUGCAUGAGUUGAUUCUAUGAAUUCCAUUGUUUGGAAUCAUGGAGUUUGUUCAUGCUUGUUGAAAAUCAAGAAAAUCACAAAAAUAGUUGAAAAUAAAACAAAAUAGUGAAAACGCGUGCCGGAAAGAAAAUGACACAAAAAGAUUUGUUGAAAUUUGGAUUUUAAGCCUAGAAACUCCAAAGGAAGCUUAAAGAAAACUAGAGUCAUUUUGACGUGAAAUGGUUUUGAAAUCUAGAUUUAAGAUGUAUAAGAUCACAAAAAAGAAUGAAAAGAAACGUUAGGAGGAGUAUGAUAUGUGGUAAGGUGGCAAUUCUGUGGGUGGAGCCUAGAGAUAUGAUUGAAACUACAAUGCUGGUAUUGAAUCCCAAAAUACAUUCUGCCAUCUUUUAGCACUUUUCGUGGCUCCCUGUUGUUCAAAGUUUUGGUGACUUCCAGUGAGGGGUGAAGAGUUCCAAUAAACUUGAGUUGCUCCUGAGAAAUACGGAUUCUAGCGUAAUCAGCUUUCCCUAUCCGUGUCUUCCUUGGAUCCAUGAGCUCAAAUUGAAGCAAUUAUUGAAUGGGGAUUUUGACGGGCAUUUGAUAUCAAAGACAUUGCUAGAAGAGAGCUUGAGGGUUUAAUCAGUUUCUUCAGCACAUUGUCAAUCGACCUUUCCACUGUUUCACUCUCCUUGUUUGUGUUCUCACAUGCCUUAGCUGCUGGAAGUUGAGACAUCAAUUCAAAGGUUUCUUCAAGCUUCAUGCUGUCAACCUCUUCAGCCUGUGGACUAGUUUCAAUUAUGGUGUUUGUUUAUAGUGUCUUAUCUUCUGAACUAGUCUUAAUGAUCUUUAUAUAUUUGUAACACCUAGUACUAAUGAAUUAAAUAGGCAAUAAUGAUUAUUUUAGUACUUAACUUUAAGCUUGCUUAAUUAGAUGUUAAAACCAGUUUAGUGCUAAUCAUGUUUAAUUAUGAAUUAAACUUUGAUUAAGGUUAAGUGGGAUUAGUUAAUGAUCUAAGCAUGCUUAUUAGGUUCUUAGGGACUGAUUAGGGUUAUGAAAACCUAAAGGACUAAUGGGCAAUUAUGGGUUUUAUUUUUGAUAACUUGAAGGACUAAAGUGCAAAAUUAGGAAAUUGGAGUUACUGGAAUGCCACCUCCUACUUGGGUGGAUUGGUGGGGGCCAUGUGGGCUGCCACCUCGUGCUUAGCUGCAUGGAGACCCCUUUAUAAGGGGGCUGUAGCUCGUUUUGCACCAUUUCACUUGCAGCAACUUGGGUUAGAGAGAGAAUCUAGAGAGAGAAAGUGUAGAUUUGAGGUAAGCAAGUUGUUUAAUUUUGUAAUUUUCGUUUAUUUUGGUUCAUAAUGGUAUGUUGAAAAGAAUUAACGGUAAAAAUUGUGUAAAAGUUGAGUAUAAUUAGCUAUAAACCCGUUUUAGCUAAAAAUCACAAUUCAUUAAAGAUUAAAGUAUUUUAACUUUAGUAUUUUAUUAAUGGUAAGAUCAGCAUAAAUCUUUGUUUAAUUUGGUUUGAUUGAAAAAUAGAUUAGUAAACAUGUGAUGAAUUGGGUUAUUUGGACAUUUGGGAUUUGUUAAUAGGUUAGGCUUUAAGAAAAUCAAAAGAAUUAGUGUUUGGUAAUUAAUUAGGGAAAUUAAUAUGCAUUGUAAAUAUUGUUUAAUUCAAUUCAAAUUUGAUCUGAAAACAUGUAGGAUAUAGAUUAGAGAAUGUGAGAAUUAAAAAUUUGCAACAAUAAACUAUAUAAAUUUUCAUGGUUAGGAAACCUAAAUUAUGUUGUUUCAUUUUAGUUCCUCGUAAUAGGCAAAGAUCGCCUACUUAGAAGAAACACAAAAAGGAAGUCAGUGUAAGGUAGGGAAUUUUAUGUUAUUCUAUGGUGUAUCUGAUUUCUUUCCUUAAAUUAUUUGUUAGAAUUUUAUGUUAUUUCUAUGAUUUCAUAAAAUCUUUUAAAGUGUCAUUGCAUCUCGGUUUAUUGCAUUGAAAUGUUACCAUGAUGUUGGAAUGUAUAUUGGUAUGAAGAUUCGUGGUUUUGUGUUGUCGAAAUGGUUUAUGGUGUGAUUGCAUUGCAAGAAGGAUAUGGAAUUAUCACAGAUCAUAUUCAAAGAAUUUAUUGGUGGCGAAGUGCUUAUGUGAUGCUAUAGGCCUUAUCAUUUGAUAUAUUGUUUAUGUGGGACCGUGGGUCCUUGGGUGAAAGUCCCUAAAGCCCUCGAGGAAGACACUCCGAUGUGGGUGUAUGGGGUUGGUUCUGCCCCUGGGUUUUAGUCCCUAAAGACACGAGGUUGGUCCUGCCCUUGGGUAUGAGUCCCAAAAGACACGGGGUAUGACUUGCCCUUGGGUGAUGUCCCAGAAUAGUCAUUAUUAUAUUGAUCGAGUGUCUUGUGGAGCAUUGAUAUCUGCUGUGUAGAUUGUUGGGAGUCAGCAAUUUAUCAGUUGUGAAAGGAUGGAUGGGGAAAAGCAAUGAUGAAACCAACAAACACAUGCAUACAUGUUUGACAUGAUUACACAUUUGUUAAUGGUUAUGAAAUGUUUAUCAUGCAUGUUAUUAAACGUUUAAUUCAAGGUUUUUAAGGGUAUACUUAGGAUGGUUAUAAACUUUCCUACUGAGUUGUGAACUCACCCUAUCCCUUCCACCUCUAGAUGCAGGUCAAAAGACCUAUGUAGGAAAGAAUGCUUGAGCAAUGCUUUACUGUGAUUGGAUGUUGUUUGCUCAUAUUGAAAGUCUUUUGAGGCCAUGCCUUUUGUAUCAAGACUAAACCUUUUGUUGGAAUGAUGUAAUGUAUAUAUUUGUCCGAUACACUUGUAGUAUGGGCUACCCAUAGUAAACAAUGGGGUUUGGUAUAUGUAAAUUAAUGUUGUACAAGUUUCUUUUGUGAAAUAAAACAUAUUUUGUUAACUUAAUAGUCACAAUGUUUAAUACAGGAUGUAUUCUUUAUAACAGGUUUUCCAUAUCCUCUUUUUGAACAAAUUCAAGUAGGAACUCAACAUUUAAAUUUUUGAGAGCACUUAUACUGUAUUUGAGUAUCAAUUGUUUAGUUGAAGAAUAAAUAAUAAUAAAUAAAUAAAAAAUUGGGGUGUGACAAUAUUUGUCAUUCAGUUGAGCUUCCUGCAAGCUUGACUCUUCUGUUCCCCCCUCUUCAGAUGCAGCAUCAAUAUUGUUAGAGCAAGUGUCGGCAUCUUCUAUGACGUCCUUAUUAAUUUCUUCUGAUAUUUUAGAUACAGAGUUGGGGACAUCCACUUUCUUUUCACCACUCUAUUUCUGUAGCAUCUCUACUUCCAUUGCUUUUGUGAUGGGAAAUCUUUUAAAGUCUUUGCUGAAAUCUUCCGCAACCUAUAGGUUCACAUUUUUAGUCUACACUUCAGAAUUUGUCGUUCUAGGAUUUUCAUCGAGUAUUAUCUCAGAAUGCUGUUCCUUAUUAACCGAUUCAACUUCAAUGGAUACGACUGGAAAUUCCUUGAUGUCUCUCUCUUUCUCUAUGAUCAGUUCUUUGUUGUUUUCAUAUUCUUCUGCAGGUUUCUCAGCUCCCUCAGGCACCUCUACUGGCAGCUCCAUGAUUCUGUCAGUUUCUGUUAGAGAAUCUGAGCAUUUUAUUGCGGACGUGUUUCUUUGAUGCUCUAACUGUGAUACUUCAUCUAGAGUAAUGCAUUCUUCUUUUGGUGGUUCAUUCGGAUUAAUUUGCUAUAUGUUCUCAUUGAGCUCAAGCACCAAUCCAGAAUUUUCAAACUCCCUAAACUCUUCCUAUUGCAAGCAUAUUUCUUCUGCUGCCUUUGUGGCAAAAGAAACUUCUAAAUUCUCGUUUUGUGGGGUUUCAUCUUCCUUUGCCUUUCCGUCUUCUGAGUACCCAAUUGUUGGUGUAAUUUCAUGAUCCUAUUCUUUAGAAAGCAAUGUUUUGGAUGUUUCCUAAUGAUUAUGCAUUGAUCUCAUUAUUCACAAGGAACCGCAAUGCUAAAGCUUCCUCCACUUCAUUUCAUUCCCACUUCAUGGAACUUUGUUGAUCCAACAAUAUGCUGCAUCCACAUAAUAACAGCACACUUGGUUCGGUUUGGAGACAAGCAAGUCCUCUAGUGCAGCCCAGCGAUGCAUCAAUAGAUAUUUGUCAACACUAACUACCAUAUUCACAGCAUUUUGUCUUUGGUCUUGGAGAAGAGAAAAUAAAUCUACACGGGUACGAUAAUUUAGUCUUCGACUNNNNNNNNNNNNNNNNNNNNNNNNNNNNNNNNNNNNNNNNNNNNNNNNNNNNNNNNNNNNNNNNNNNNNNNNNNNNNNNNNNNNNNNNNNNNNNNNNNNNAGAAAAUAAAUCUACACGGGUACGAUAAUUUAGUCUUCGACUUAUUUCAAUAUUAAAAUUGCUGGGACAGAAUAUUAUUCAUCUGCGAGCAACUAAAAUUGUAGAACUGUGCAGAUAUCAGUUCCUGUAUCUUCCUCUGAAGAAUUUGGAGAUGCCUUUUCCUUAGGUCCAAUUCACAAACCUAAGCAUGAAAACAAAUCAUCCUCUCCGAACUAAACAAGAAUGGUGACAAGAAACAAUACAAUAUCAUACGGUUUAUGUUCUUAAGUAUUGAUUGUAUAUAAGCAUCAAGUUGUUUGUUCCCUCUGGUGAUAGAUAAAAGACCUUUUCCAGGAGUUACUCCUUCAAUCUGUCCAUCUUUAUUUAGAAGCUGCAGCAUAACCAAGAAUUCUGGAAUUUUUAGUAUGAUGAUAGGCUAAGGGAAGCAUCCAUAUAUACACGAUCUGCAAUCAUUAUGCACAAUGUAUCUAAGUUAGGUGACUAGCGGCUCUUGUCUAACUUUUCUUCAUCUUCCUCGUCAUCACGCGAGAGAUGCCUUUCAAGGAGGUUCAUCAGCCUACUAAGGCACAAUCCCUGAAAACUAAAAUGGGUUUUGCACCAACAUACAAGCUAGCAGUUUCCAGAAUGGUCUCCAUGACCUGUGCUGUUUUCAAUUAGGUUUUUCAUAGUAUCACCAUAAAACUGAUCAAGUUAAGCAGCCAGAACAAGUGCAGAUCCCCUAACGCGUUAAUGAGCUUUCCCCAUUCCCUUUAAAUUUUCGUCCUCAAGUGUAUCCAUUAAUACCAUUGAAAUUCAAGAACUUCCUUAUUUACCAUGAGUGGAAAACAGUCUGCAUAGAACUUUCUGAAUCCACCAAUAGAUGAAAUUGAACUUUUGACAUCUUCUCAGUUGGUUGAAGGCCACAUGGACGAACAUACAUUUCCCCAUAAUCUCUCAUCUUGAGAUUGAACAGAAUACUGCACAAGCAUGGGUUGCACUAGUCAAAGCUGGGUCGCCAUCGAAAUGCUUCAAUAUAUCACAGAAGAUAUCACUGCUCAAGGAAGCCAUGUUGUCAACCUGUGAAACUGACUUUUCCAGUCCUCUAAUCACCAUAGAUUAAACUGAAAACAGUUGCAAGCUUCCAUCUUCAUACUCAACUGUACCAUCAAUGAGCAUUUUAGGCAUUGCAAGCAUUCUUCCAUGAAGAUAGUAGCUGCUUCAGUGGGUUUUCUAGAGCAUUUUGAUACCCAUCCUCAAGUUAGAGAUAGACAAGCCAGCACCUAAGCGUAUCAAUCAUCCUUGAAAAUCCAAACUUCAAGAUGGUAGGCAGUAUUAGAUAUCCUAGUAGCCGGGGAGGAGCAUACUAGGCUCCUUCAAAUUGAUGAGUGGUGGGACCAGGAAUUGGAACUGGUUACUGGCCCAGAACAGAAGGUUGGAGGAUCAACACGGAGCUCAUGAGGUAACCAGAUUAUUUUCCAAGUUGUGGUAUAACCUGCUCCUUCACCUUCAAGUUUUUAAGCUGAGCCACCUAAUGGUAAAGCAAUUCCCCACAAACUUUUCCUAGAAAGAUAUGCGCAAGGGUUGAUGUACUCUUCCAAAUAUGCCUUCCCCUGCUCGUAGAGGAUCAUUGUAGAGAUAUCUAGCAGAGUCACGUAAAAACUACCAUUACCAAUGCAAGCAAUCAUCACCCUCUUGUUUGGCACGACCUAUGCAUACCCAAGAGUGACACCUACUAACCAACCAAUUGAUCCGUAUUGCAAUUGGAACUCAUAUCUGCAUCCCCUAGGCAAUUUCAGUUUCUGACAGUUAAACCAAGAAUCUCUAGUCUCAGCAAUGACAGCAGUCUCACUUGACAACAUUUUCUGUAUAUCCUGGAACAGAACAUAAACCCUCAAAGGCUCCUUGGGAUCAGACUUAGGAGACUGUCCCUCAGGAACAUAGACUCUAUGGUAGUUCUCAUAAGCAGUGAUAUUGCAUUUGAGUCUCUUGGAGAGUGACUUGAGGAAAUUGAUUCUGAUGACUUCUCUAAACAAUGGGUAUCUUGUUUGAACCCUUAAAUUCAUUACUUGACAGGUUCAGAUGUGUCCCCAUGGAAGAUGAAACUGAAUUUGGAGGUAACAUACUCAUCGAUGAUGAGAAACCAAUUCUAGAAGCCUGCUUCUCCAAAGAUUCAUCUUUUAAAAUUCCUGGAAUGGCAUUUCACUUUUCAACCUGUACAGCAAGGAAAGAAGACAAACUCUGUGGGGUAGACAGUUGGGAUUUUUGCUGCUGCUUAUUAGUUUGAUCAGCUGGUUCCUAUUUUACAUAAGCCAUUGACAAGAUCUGCUCUUUAUUUGUUGAUGAUUGCCAAGGAACAGAACUCUGUUGCAAUGUCGAACUAUUUGAUGGAUGAGGAAAAGAUCCACCACAUGCACUCUCUUGGGAUCAGUAACAGAACUCUGCCUCUCAAAUUUGGGGCACACUCAUUGGAUUCAUGGCUUGAUUCGUUCCUCCUUUCUGAGUUAAACCAAUAUUUUGGUGAAGGGACGCUCGUCUCAUUUGGGAAUCAUGAGGUUGUUGUUUUGUAGAUGUUGUUGAAGUAUUAACAUUAGUGCCUGUAUAUGAGUGAUAAUUACCACCAACACUCCCAUAUAUAGUAAAAGGUGUCUGUGAAAUGUGCAGAUGCUGCUUCUGUUGCUGAGGCUGCUGCUACUGCUGCUAUUGCUGCUGUUGUUGCUGUUGGUGCUACUGCUUUCAUGCAUGAGCACUAGAGGAAUAUUCAUCAGUCAGACAAAGAGACAGACAGUGAAUACCUUUCAGAAUGACACUUGCUUUCUNNNNNNNNNNNNNNNNNNNNNNNNNNNNNNNNNNNNNNNNNNNNNNNNNNNNNNNNNNNNNNNNNNNNNNNNNNNNNNNNNNNNNNNUCUAAUAUCCUCUUCUUCGAUCAUAAGUAAAACCAUCCAGCAAAUGUUUCAGUACAUGUACUGCAUCCUCAUACCUUAGCACAACCAUUCGAUGAUUUUAGACCAUAAAUUACACAGCUAAUUGCGCUCACAUUUGAGAAAGGAAAUUCCCAACAAGAUCGCUUUGGAGUAUACCCUUGAUGCUGAAAGGCAUGAAAGGAAUGUAGCUUUUGAUUCAGAAAUUGAAGCUUGAGUUGACUUUGAAUAGGAAAUGAAUAGGCGGGAAUUGGAUAUACUAAUGCAUCUUAACAUCGAUCCAUUGUUAUUGUCAUCAAGAACUUCAUCUAUUAUUUAUGCAACUUCAACAACCUCUUCAUAAACAGGUAGAUCAUUCAAGCCUGAGAAGAUAUGUUCUGAAUAUAUGCAGUUAUAAGUUGGAUACUUGACUAUUCACAAUUCAACUAGUAGAAAUGUUGACAUUCCUGCUCUCCAUUAAGGAAGAAAAGCCUCAGAGCACGCUGGACAUGAGACUCUGUUUUAGAAGAGAUCUGAACGUAGGUUCCUGUUUUGUUCAGAAUUGCUCUUUAUGGGCAUGAUCCAAUCUUCAUAAGAAGGAAGAAAUGAAGCCAUAAGACAUUUGCUUUUUGGUACCAGUCUCUACACUAGGGUAAGGCACUGCUGUAAAGUGCUUUUUAAUAGGACAGCUGCGUGCACUUGCUCUUUGAAAGCAUGAAACAGAACAUGAAUUAACAGAGAGUUGAUAAUAACAUAGAUGGUUCGAAAUAAGCUCUUAUCGCCUGCUUGCCCAACUCCGGAACCUUCACAUUUUUUUCUUGACAAUGACUUCUGAUUCACUUCAAAACUAUCACAUACUUUUGAGCGUUUGAAGCAUGAAUCGUGAUGUUCAAAACCUUUAUCAUGACAAAGAUCACCAUCCCCAUUGUUACCUUUUUCGCUGCAUACCUCUUUCAAUAAUUAGUGUCGUCAUCCUUCUAAACAAAACUAGAAAUGAUGGUAGUCCAGGAAACUACAUUGCAGAUUGGCAUUCACAAAAAUUCCUUCACAGCUUGAUCCGUAUCCCUGCAUUCGGCAUACCAAUUAAUGAUGGCAGUCCCCACAAAAAACAUCUUCUCCUGCACCACAUUUAAUUACUCAUCCUUGUAUCUCUCUUCCAAACUCAAGUUCUUCAAGUUCGGCACAAGUUGUUAAAGUGCUUGAAAACGUAAAACUAUUUAGCGUAAAAAAAAUCUUCAACACAUUUAGCAGAAAAGAUCUAAAGCAACCCAAUUUUCCUUAUUUUUAACAGCCUCAGAAACGAUAGCAUUCCAGCAAACCACGUUCUCACAUAAAACGUCUUGAAAGACCCAUAAAACAUCUUCAAAGCUACAAAGCUUCGUAAACAAAUCAAUCAUUUCAGCCUGAACAUACCCAUUUGAGAAGAACCCAUUUUUCAGUGCAAGUGAACAUACCAGUUCACCAUACAAAGGAGACUCUAAGGCAAUACAAGCCGAAAGAACACUCGCAUAAGUGAACUGGUUGGGGUCAAAUCCUAAAAAAACGCAUCUUACAAAAAUUCCUCCACGAAUCCUCAAAUGAAAAGUUCUGGUUGCAACCUGAAAUCAAAAUAUCCCAAGAAAUAACAUUUGGGUGAGUUUUAUCAAACAAUUUGGGCGCAUGAACCAUGGAAUUGGAUUUACAGUACCAAUCCAUUAAAGAAUCGACCAUGAAGGUGUUAGAUUGUAGAAUAACAAUUUUGAGCAAAUGGGCAUACAAGAUCUUUGUAUUUCUGAGGAUGCAUCGUUCUGAUUUUGUAUAAUUGCUGAAAAUGUGAAAAUGGUCAAAUGGUGGAAGAACUUCUGGAGGCUAUUAUGAUGAGCGAGGGGCUUCAGCAUCUGCAACAGCAUUAUCAGGGAAGCCAAGUCCUGUAGGUGGGCCAUCUUGGAUAAGAAGAGAGACAUAGCUCCAUUAGCCAUCACAAGAAGAGGAAUUGAUGAUACAUGUCAAGGGUAAGCAGCCACCCUUUAAUGAAUGCUAUGACAAAGCCUCCAAUGAACGUCGAUACCAGCUGUAUAAAUUUCCCUACCUUCUCACCCAUGGCAUCUUGUAUUAGAAUAGUGUCUCCAAAUAUCCUUCCGAUAGCCUCUCCUGAGUUUGCUUCCUUAUCAAAGGAAGCAAUAUCUUGUCUCAAUAUAAUUUUCAAGUACAGACUUCUAAUUCUUGCAGCCUGCCUCUCCUCUGUGACCAUCCAGCAAGCCGCUUGAAAGAAUGCUGCUCUGCCAGCCUCCACAGCCAAGUAAACAAAUUUCAGAGAAACCUUGGAUANNNNNNNNNNNNNNNNNNNNNNNNNNNNNNNNNNNNNNNNNNNNNNNNNNNNNNNNNNNNNNNNNNNNNNNNNNNNNNNNNNNNNNNNNNNNNNNNNNNNGGUUCCCAAAAAGUAUUACCANAGAGGCAUACAUAUUCCCAUUCCCAACAGCACUUAUUGUGCCGGUAAUCAUCAACAACAUAUCAGCAGAAUCUGCACAAGAGAACAGUUUGUGAAAUGGAACUGUGCUGGGCUUCCCCUCUUCCUUGAUCUUCUCCAAAUCUUGUUGUUUCCCAUUCUGGCCAGAGCUUUUCACAGUCUCUGUUUCAAAUGCUCCCCUGCUUGAUAUUGUGGCUUCAUGCAUAUAUGUCUUUUUUUCAUUCAAGUCAUUCUCCUCAACCAUAAUGCUACUCCUAGAUACUUACAAGUUCUAAGAUAGCAACUACUUUAUCUGGAAGGGAUCAGACUUCAAACUUCAGUUUUUCAUGCGUCAAACACAAUUCUAACAGUAAGUUGAUAUAGCGAAUCUGGAUAUCCUAGUAAAUGGGUUGAAUUUUCUCUAAGAAAUUGAAGCCAUCCAACUGCUCUGUUCUUUAUAGUGGGAACUAAUGAGAUACAGUAAGCCAUCUUUGCCUCUGCUUUACAAGUCAAACUGCUUUCUCCGACACUAUUAUUCUUACGGUCAGAAGCACUUGGGGAAUUGGAAGGGAUAAAGGUGGUGUUGGGCGAUGAUAAUGUGAUCAUUCGAAAGCAAGAGAAUAUAUUAACUUGGCUUUAACCCAUUUAACUAUGCUUGCAAAUAACCUCUGGAGCUGCGAUUCUGUACGGGCCAUUGAAUUCUAUAGGGUUAGAAAAGCCAAAUCUGAUGCCAAUAAGACGCUACCUCCAGUCUCCACAAUCCAUUACAAUACUUCGGAAUCAAUUAUCCAAUGUUUGAGUAGGAUCACCGCACGGUUCAUCCCUCAUAUCGACACUUAUAUCACUCCUCAACGUAUACCCAAAUACAAGAGCAAGGGUUCGAACACCAUGCAGGGAAAAGAAUAUAGAUAAAAUAAAAAAUUGAAGUAAAACUUGGAGAAGGAAAAGGCAGAAGGUGUUGAUCAAUAAACAUAGAUAGCCCCCACUUCAGAUAUUAAUCCAUGGGCUAAAAACAAAGGGAAAAAUGCAGAAUAUGAUUUAAAUGGAAACCCAGCAAGAUCACAUUCAGACAUGAAGUUAUCUACUUCCGAAGUCAUCAAUGACAUAUAAAAUAAUCAAAUUCAAAUAUGGCAAAGAAGUAGAUGACCAAUCUCAGCAAAACAACUUGUGGCCCUUAAUGUCCGCACCAAUCAACAAUAUAUUAAAUAUUUAGAAACGAACACAUGGAGAAAUCGAACAUGAGUAAGAAUUCCAAGAAUAACCAGAAACGUACCUGGAAGAACCUUGGCUGCAAUCACCUCUCUCCCGCUCUUGUGUGCUUUUCUUUCCAAGACAAAUCAAGAAUCUCCCCUCUUUUUUUUCAACAUCCUCUCUCACAUAUAUAUAUCACCUCCCAAAACCUAAAAUCUGUUCCCGAAAAGGAAAAUUCUCCUAUUUCCUUUUUCAUUUUCUUCUUUUCCUUUUUUUUCAAUCUCCUUAUUCGAAAGCAAUCUUCCCAAUUUCAAAUUCCCCUCCAAAAACCUUCCAAGGAGAGUCCCACUUUCCUUAAACUCCAAUGGUAAGUUUUCUUGCAAAAGCAUGAAAUUUUUUAGAGUAAAUAAUUGAAUGAAUAACUAAAUAAAUAAACAAAUUAGAAAAUAGUAAAACAAUAAUAAAUACAUAAGUUAAGGAAAAUAACAAAUAAAAAAAACGAGUGAUUGAUAAUCACAAAACUAAAACUAAAAAUAAAAAUAAACAAAUAAAAAAAAACUGAGCCCUUCGAGCCAUGCCAACACGCAAGUCAUACAAGUCACGCUAAAAAUGUCUUAAUAGGCCCAGUGUGCCUAAAUGGGCCUAAGAUGAGACUAAAUGGGCCUAGGGUGGUACCUAAUGGGCCAAGUGUAUCUAAAAGCUAUCCUAAAAAAGCAAGAAAAGCCUAAGUCUUAAUUAGGGCUGUCAAGGGUCAUAAUAAGGGGUCAGAUAGUCUCUCAACCAAAGUCUCCGAUGUGACUCAAAAAAGGUAAGUAGUGCGAGUAGUAAUGGGCCACCAAGAAGCUACUGUGGAGCACCAGAUAUUAAUUUAAAGACAUGUGCUAAAGGGAUAAAAUUGAGAGUCUACAGAUGGGAGAACUCCAAUUGGUGCUAUCUUGGUCCAGAUAUCAAGAUGAUGCACCUGAAGAUGAAUGUUCAAAUGAUGUUCCUCAAAUGAUGCCUUGUUGAUGGAGAUCUGUCACUAUCCAGAUACAAAAACUGUUGAUCAACUCUUCUAGAACCUAGUAGAUGAUGAUCCAAAAAAUAAUAGAGAGCUCGUUCUCCUAACCUCUUUAGAAUGCUAAAAAAUAUCCCAUUAAACCUAAUGCAUGAUGAUCAAAUCUAUGAAUCUGUUGUGGAUAUGUUCUUGAUGUGUUUUUUCCGAAAAUUCAAGAUGAUUCAAAAAAUAAAUCAAUAAUGAUCAAAAAAGAGAUAUAAUGGUGAGAAUUGAAAUUGGAUAUUUGAUGAUAGAAUCGAACAUGAUCAAAUCUCCCCAGUCAGUGUGUCAUGAUUACGAUGAAUUGCAGAGAAUGAUAAUGGCGGUGAUGAUCAGUAUCAAAAGUUGGUCUAUGUGUGGCUUCAAUGAGUUGUUUUUUUAUGGAAAUGUGGUGCAUUGGUGUAGAUAUGCAGAAGACUACUAUAAAUAAGGCUUGUCUCCUCCAACUGAUGGCGCCCCUAUGGAGGUGAUGCUCACUGCUGGCAGAGACACACCUGUUUAGAAAAUACCUAGCUUCCGAAAAGAAAAAAAAAAACUUCUGAUAUGUGGUGAUGAAUCUGAUGACGAUGAGAAAUUCCUGGUGAUGAAAGAAGAUGAAUUUGAAGAAUCCUACUAAGAACUCUUGAGAAUUCCAAAAUGGUUGUGAUUUGAUCUUAUCAUGCUUGAUGUACUUUCUGUAAUGGAAUCUUGAAAUCUCUAAAUCCCUAGGAGAAAAGUUUAGUUGUUACUCCUCCCUUGCUUUUUUUUCGCAAGAUGUCAUUCCAACUGUUACUCUGUGGUGUGAUAUGCAUGUUAUCCCUUGCUUCUUUUCGUGUGACGUCAUCAUGUGAAAGUGUGUUGAUUCUCCCUACUAAUGGUGAUGCUCUCCAAAGAGUCAAUGCAUGGGGAUAAUUCAUCCCACAAUCCUCUUGUACUCCUAAAAUAAUGCUCCUCACGAUGUCCAGGAUGAAAAACACAUCAUCUCCUCUUGUACUUUCCUCCUGAAUCUCUUAGAAUACUCCAGAAAAAUGCUCUAUAACGAGUGACCAUCAUCUUCCUGCAACAUGAUAGUCUCCUCCCGAUGCCUUGCUAGUGACCUAUGUUCUUUAUGAAAUUUUGAGCUUCUAGAAUUCUCCUCCAAUGUUCCAUAACCCCCCACUAGAGCCUUCCAAAGAGCCUCUAAAAAUGUGUGAUCUCUAGCGCCACCUCCUCAUGUGACAACCCUCACCAACUUCAAAUGCAUGCAUGCCCCUCACGUGUGAAUUAUCUAAGAUGUGUGGUGAUCACAAUGUUUUCUGUGGACAUGUAAUGGUGCUUUUUAGGACAUCUGGUGAAGGUUCUCCCAAGUUUAUGAUAGUGUCCCUCAAAAUGGAUCCAUGUAUGGUGAUGGGAAUUCUAUAGAAGACACGUGAUGCUCCUAUCAUGGUAAGAUGAUCGUCCACUGAUGAUAUCAUCCUCAUAGGGUUCCCAAUAGUAGUGUACAUGGAUCAUUGUGUCUUAAAAAAAAAUGGAAUCAACAUCGCACAAUUUCCCCUAAAAGAUAAAUAAGUAAAUAUACUAAAUAAAUAAAUAUGUAAGUAUUGAUUCAUGCAAUUAGGAAAAACUAAAAUCUCAACUCUCAUGCCAUUUUCUAAAAAAAUGAAUAGGUAAAUGAAUAAAACUAAUAAAAUAAUAAUAAUAAUAAUAAUAACAAUAAUGAUAAUAAUAAUAAUAAUAAUAAUAAUAAUAAUAAUAAACUAAAAAAAAUCAAACAUGUGCUAGUCAUACAAGCCAUGCAAUUAUACUUGAAAGGUGACCUAAGCAAGACUAGACAAACCUAAGUGGGCCAAGCUGUGCCAAAAUGGGCCCAAGUGAGUCUAGGUGGGCCCAAGUGAGUCUAGGUGGGCCUAAGUGAGUUUAAGUGGGUCUAAGGUGUCAAAAAUGGGCCCAAGUGAGCCUAGGUGGGCCUAAGUGAGCCCAAGUGGGCCAAGUGCACCUAAAAGCUAUCCUAAAAAGGAAGAAAGAAACCUAAGUCUAAAUUAGGGCUGCUAAGAGCACAAUGAGGGGUUAGAUAAAUCCCUUAACUAAAGUCUCUAAGGUGGCUCAAAAAAGUCAAGUAGUAUGAGUAGCAACAGGCCACCAAGGAACUACUGUGGAGCAUUGGAAGUGAACUUAAAGAUAUGUGCUGAAGGGAUAUAAUGGAAGGUCUACACCUUGUCAAUAUCUUGGUGAAGGGAUCCACCAGGUUCUCCAUAGAUGGUAUCUUGUCAACCAUCAAGUCACCCUCUAAACCAUCUUAACACUUUAGAGCAUAAGCACAUAAUCCCUCGUUCUAAAAAAAUACUUGAGUGUGUCCUUGACAUAAUGCAUUUUUCUUAUUCUUGUAUUCCCUAAGAACUUUAAACCCAAGAAUAUAUUGUGCCACUUCUAGAUUUAAAUCUAGAACCGAGUAGACAACCAAAUCUCGACUAAUGACAAUACUCCUACAUCAUUCUCAAAAAGUAGAUUGUCAUCUACCUACAAGAUCCUAGAACUCUACCAUGUUUCCCUGAAAUUUCUUGUACACACAAGGCCCUUUGCUAUGAAAAUAUUUGGUUACAUCAUAUAGAUGCUAAUAUCAAGAUAAUCGUUUAAGAACACUAUCUUGACAUCCUAUUGCAAUAUGUCAUAAAUGAGAUACACCGUAAUGGGUAAGAGUACUUUGAUGGAUCUGAAUAUGGCUACUGGUGAAAAAGUUUCCUAUAUUUGAAACAAUGUUUCGAACUAUAACCUUUAGCUAUAACUUAGCCACAUAUAUCUCAACUUUUCAUCUACUCAUUUGUUCCUCUUGUAGAACAACUUACACCUAUGGGUUUUAUCUCUUUAGGUGCUUCUACAGGAACCCAAACUACAUUAGAAUCAUAAGGAUUCUAACUCUGCCUCUGUAGCUUUUGCCAAAGAUGUGCAUCCACAUCACUUAUUGUUUCAUCAUAAUCUAUGGGAUCAAUCUCAUGUUCCUUUAGAAUGGUCUCGAAAGACUCUCCUAAAUACAUGAAUUGGUCUGGUUGUUUAACAACCUUUCCACUACAAUGAGUCAUCAAUGUACUAGAAAUGGAAAUGGUUGGUACUGGAUCCAUAGUAUCUUGUGUAUAGUGGAACUAUCUUCUAGUAUUCUCCAAUCUAUAUUAUUGUUUGCCUAAUUACAUGUCAUAUAGUCUUCAUCAGAAAUCUGGUAUUUGUAGCAACAAACACCUUUUGAUAAUCCUGACUAUAAAGUAAUAAUCCCUAAAUCCUCUUGAAUAUCAUAUAAACCGAUACAUCUCUUUAGAAAAAGAGGUAUUAUAUAGUCUUUAAGAUAUAUCCCCAAAGAAUAUGGGAAGUAAUGAGAAACCAAUCAUCGAUCUCUCUAUGUCUAUAAAAGUUCAAUAUCUUCUUUCUAUUACUCCAUUUUGCAAUGGAGUCCUUGGUGCACACAAUUAGGAUAUCAUCUCAUGCUCUAUAUGGAAAUGAUUGAACCUACUAGACACACCACCUUUAUCUAACCGAAGAGCCUUGAUAUGUUUACUUAAUAGGUUAUCCAAUUCUACCUUAAAUUCAAUGAAUUUAUCAAAGGCAUCAGACUUCUUAUCUACAUAUCCAAACCUAGAGUAUUUAUUAGUAAAAUAAUCAAAUACCCAUAUUUUCCAUGCACAAACACAAAAAGGUUCAUACACGUGAGUAUGCACUAACUCCAAACAUUCCUUGGUUCCAUGUCCUUUAAAAAUAAAGGGGUCUUUUUGUCAUUUUGCCACAUAUAUGGGAUUCGUAGAUUGAAAGAUCUUCUGAAAUAAAAAAGUCUAGACUUAAUUGUCAAAAUAUUGUGUGAAUGGCCGAAUACCUUGGCCUUGAGUUUUGUAUAUUAUAUAUAGACUUUACAAGGAUGCUUUACAUGGAAAGCAAAUAAAAGCAAAUAAAUUCCAACAUGAUUCUAGCCCUAUACAUGUAAACUAUAAUCUGUCAAAUAAUAUAUGCUAACUGUACAGAAUAAUAAAUGGAGAAAUAAGGAAACAAUUGUGGGCUAAAAUAAGGAAAGAAGGGUGGGUUAAAUUAAGGAAAGAAGUGUGGACAGCUUGUGGGCUAAAAUAAGGAAAGAUGUGGACAGCAAGUGUGGGCUAAAAUAAGGAAAGAAAGGACAGCAAAGCUGUCCUUUGACAUUAAUUAGUCUUUGGAUCCUAUUUAGAUUAAUAUGACCUAGGCUUUGGAAGCCAAAUGUUUGAUUAGUGUUUGGUUCUUUCUUUUAGUGAGAUUUUACUAUUCUCAUUACUUGGAAAAAUGAUAAUGGAGUCUCACAUAAAAAAGGUAAUACCUCCCACUAGCUUGCACAACUAACCUUGCAACUGAAGCUAAGGUAAGUAUAAUCCCAUCAUGUGACCUUCUCACUUGUUGAAAAACCCUGUAAAGAACUACAGAUAGUGGACCUAGAAUCUAUUCACCAUAAUUGGUGAAAUCCACCACUAUUUACUUAACAAUGAGAAUAUGAUGUGUAUUUGCCUAUCCUUAGGCACUCUGAGCAUUCUUUUUCUAGUGUCUUAAAAGGUCACAAAGGAAUCAAUGCCCAUGAGUUUGUUCUCUCAUUCAUUUUCUUGAACUUUCUUUAUUUGGUGUUCUUCUUCUUCUUCUUUUUCUUUUUCUUCUUGGUAGAAGAGCCUUAAGAACCUUGACUUCCAUAUGAACACCCUUCCACUCUUUGAAAAUCUUCUUACCCAUCCCAAAGGAAUUUGGUAAGAUCUCUAAGAUAACAUGAAUCCUGGUGUUUAUAAUAGUCUUAAGGGCAACUUGUUUAGUUGACUUCCCUUUAUCACCAAAUAACCCUUGCAACUUUAAAGAGAAUAUCAUAGACAAUGGCAAUAGACAUGUGUUACUUUUGCAACACAUUAUCUAAAGAUCCAAGUAUGAAAGACUUGGUCUUUUGACCCGUCUUAUGCCACCUUUGAUAUGUUUCUCUUACUUUAUGAUAGGUUUGUUCAAAGUAAAUAACAAACUCUACCAAAAUCAACUUCUAUGCAAUUAAUACUAUAUCUAGAUUAUUUUCAGUUUAUAAUUAGGUCUAAUUUAAACAAAAGAUAAUAGGUGAUAGGUUAAAGACAUGACAUCCAUAAUAAAUAUAAUAAUUCCAUGCAUUAAUAAAAGGGACUGAGCAUUCAAGGCAAGUUGGUAAUUAAUUUAGAAAAAAUGUACUGCUCUCAAACUACAUGUCCUUUUGCAAGGUAUUCUAGUAUCAUAAGAAUCAAGCUUACUUUAGGCAAGUCAUGACUCUUAUUACUAGGGUAGAGACCCUCUCUAAUUGAUCAACUUACCUUAAACUUUAAAAGUUAUCCUAAGGCAUUAAUCAACAUACCCUUUUUAUUUAGCACUUAGCCCAUACAAGUGGGAGCACUUUAGGUGAUUCUACCACUUCAUGUCUAAGUUAAGUGUGUAACCAAGAUUGUUAACAUCAAUGUUACAAGUGAAGAGUUCCAUCUUCAGGAUUGACUACUCCCAUUACAAACAUAUAUAGUCUCGUCUAUAAUGGAUAGUCCAUAUCCUUUGAUUCCUUGGGUCACGCCAUCUUUAGGAUGAUGAUUCACCCAAAAUCAUUGAGCUCAAUCUUGGAGGCUAUGGGCUUGCCUAUGGCCGACUCCCACUUAAUAUUUUGGAAUAGAGACUUUAAGAUAGUUACCAAGUCAGUGCCUACUACUUUUUUAAAGAUGUGGAGUGGAUGUAAACAUAGUUUACACCACAACCACAUAUAGGGGUGCCCAAGACAUGCGCUAAAGAAGAAGGCUAACAAAUUAGAAUCUAGAUCAAAUGUUUAACUAUUUAUAGGUUACCUGAAAAGGACAAGAGGCUAUUUCUUUUAUAGUCCAAUUGAUCAAAAGGUGUUUGUUACCACAAAUGCUAGAUUUUUGGAAGAAGACUAUAUGGUGAAUAAAUAAAUAAGAAGUGAUUUAGGGUGGUCUAAGACUAUUAAUGAACCCAUUAUCAUAAGAGCGAUACAUGAUUUAUUAAACCAUAUACCAAGUAAACCUACUGAUUCUAGUACUCCACCAGAGCCUCAUUGUAGUGGAAGGAUUAUUCAAAAUGAAAUAGGUUUAUAUUCUUGGAAGAGUCUUUCGAGACAAUCCUUGAGGAGUUGAAACUAGUCCCAUAAAUUAUGAUGAAACAAUGGCUAACAUUGAUGCUUUUUCAUGGAAUGAGGCUGUGAAAUCUGAGAUAGAGUUUAUGUACUCUUAUUAGGUUUGGUCUCUUUUAGAAGCAACUAAAGAGAUAAAACCCAUACAGUGUAAGUAGAUCUAUAAGAGGAAGAGAGGAGUCGAUGGAAAGUUUGAAACCUUGAAAGCAAGGCUUGUUGUGAAGGGUUAUAAUCAAAAACUUGGUUUUGAUUAUAAGAAAACUUUUUUGCCAGUAGUCAUGCUUAAGUCCAUCAAGAUACUCUUGUCAAUUGCAGUUAAUUUGGAUUACAAAAUUUGGCAAAUAGAUGUUAAGACUACCUUUCUUAAUGAGCUUCUUGAGGAAGAUAACAAUAUGAUACAAUGUUAGCCCAAGGGUUCUCCUAAUCAGGUUUUGAUGAUAACAAACCAUGGUUAAGUGGCUAAUUAUUUUUAAUGGUAAAGAAUCUCAAGUAUAAUUUCGGAAAUUCAUCCAAGGACCAAAUGGAUGCAAGACCGAGAUUAUUGGAAGUCCCUUGAUCAUAGGAAAUGAAUGUAAGAUGAAUGCAUGGGUGCACUUAAGGUUUUCAUGCCAUUUCAUGCAUCUUUGAAAAACUCGGUUUAUUCUUUAAACUUUCAAAUUCAUUCAAACCCGAGUUUUAUCAAAUGUACCUUAGGCAAAAUGUUUUAAAACUGGCAUAUUGUGGACCCGCAUUUUUCACGUGCGUCCCCACUCGAUAGGCGAGACUCGCUUUUUAUUUGUGAAAAAUUAAUUUUAAAAAAAGUUGGAGUCGCCACCUAUUUUAUUUUUAUUUUAAAGGGAAAAUAAAACAAGAAAGAAAAACCCUAAAAAGUGACUCCAUAGUUUUGGAAAAAACAUGUCUUUGAGAAACCCGAGUCUAGGUCCGGGGAUCAGGUUACUUAUUGGGAAGGUACCUCUAGGAGGUAACACCCCUCUAAGCCCUAAAGAGGUCUCUACUGACCAAGUUAAGGGAAGCGUGGCAAUUAAAUGGUUGAUCAUGGAUACCUAAGUAGGCUAGGUGAUUCCAAAAACAUAACAUAUCAAACAAGAUCAAAUCACAAUUAAGGAGAGUUAAAAAUGCGUACCUGGACGGCUUCCCAAGCGCUAUCAUAAAACAUAAGAGAUUAGUUUGGAGAUACAUCACACAACAUUUGUUUUAUUCAAGCAAAUCAGGCAUAUAUCAAGACAUUCAAGAAUCACGUCAAAUAUGGAUAUGGUCAUCAAUGACAUACAAGUCCAUAGAGUUCUAAAAAAAAUAGAUGAGAAGAGAGCGUACCUGGAUAGCAAGCUAGUACUCCUCUAUGGGAAACAAGAGCAUCUCAACAAUAAAUAUUAAGUGAAUUCAAGUAUUUCAUCAAGAAGAAUCAAAAAUCAACAUAUCAAGUAAACGGUAUUGAAGUGAGUGUUAUGAAUGUCGGGCCCCCACCAAAGCCCUAAUUAAUUUCGCAUGAGUUGAUUCCAUAAAUUCCAUGACUUGGAAUUAUGGAGUUUGUUCAUGCUUUUUGAAAAAUCAAGAAAAUCGAUUGAAAAUCAAAUAAAAUAGUGAAAACGCGUGCCGGAAGGAAAAUGGCAGUGAGAGUGUGUUAGAAUCUGGAUUUUAUACCUAGAAAGGAUCUAAGACGAAUUUUUCAAAGCCGGGAAUGUUUAGUUGAACAAGGGUUCAAAAAUUCAAUUUAAAACAGUAAGUUCCCAAUCAAAGAAGCAAAUAGAGGAGGAGGUGUGUGUAGCAAGGUUGCCAUGAAGUGAAGCUGGGAAAUUCUGGAUAGAAGGGACCGAUUCACUGCAAAAGUGUUCAACUGUCAAAUGCUUCAACUUAAAAGACAUCUUGAUUUGUAAGCUCAACUGGAUUCUCUUCAACAGAAGUCAAAUACUAAAUAAAAGGUUCGGAAUUUCCAAUUUUCUGCAUUGGGAGGUUCCCUGUAUCAUGCUAGUUUUCAAUUGAUUAAGCCUUUCAACUUUUACCUCAAUCUGCCAUAAUAUAGUUCGAUUCAUGUGGCCUGUGGUCAAAUAAACCAUUUUCUGCAUACUUAAGCUUCCUGUGUGAAGACUUCAUUACUUGGAGAGACAUCCUGACUACUUCGAAUACAUGAUUCAAAUUCUGCUGUUUGCUGAGGAAUUCCAUUAGAGAGCAAGAAUGUUUAGAUACCGUUCUUAACUUCUGUCACGCACGGAGACUAUUUUCUUUCUGUCUUAAACAAUCUGUACUGAACUUGGUUUUCAUCUUUAAUGAUGGUGUUUGAUCUGUAUUUCUAUUAAAAGCUCUACCAAUUCCAUAACAGUUCCAGAAUUCUGUAUCAAUUGGUCUCUUAGCUGGACAAACGAAUAAAGUCUGUAUGUGCUUCCUAUUUAUUCAUCAAGAGCAAACUAAGGAUACCCUUGAUGUGAUAGGCAGCUAGAUCAGUUUCAAUCUCCACAGGUACAGAAUCCUUUUGCUGUCCUGAACCCCAUUGCUUUGAGGUCAAAUUCCAUAUCUGAAGGUAGAACUUUCUGUUCCUGCUGCAAUUGAGACUACGAAUUAUGCAACUUCUGGGGAGUCAACUCAGUUCGAAAGAAUUGCAGGUGUUCAUUAUGUGCAAGGGUCUGAAGUUGUUGCAAUCCUUCCCACUUCCUGACAAGCUCGACAGUGUUGAAGGAAUUCUUGAGAAUCUGGAACAUAUCUGUGAGUAAUCUUGGAAACAAUUGGGCAAUCUGUAGGCUCUUCACUUGCUCUCUUCACNNNNNNNNNNNNNNNNNNNNNNNNNNNNNNNNNNNNNNNNNNNNNNNNNNNNNNNNNNNNNNNNNNNNNNNNNNNNNNNNNNNNNNNNNNNNNNNNNNNNNNNNNNNNNNNNNNNNNNNNNNNNNNNNNNNNNNNNNNNNNNNACCAAAAUUAUCGAUGACAGUGUUCAGGAAGUAAGGCUCAUCAUGGGAAGUCUUUCUCUUGUAAGGCUUAAUUAUUCUCUAGUUGCAGCUUCGUCCAGAGCAUCAGUAACCCUUUUCUUGACAAAGAUCACCAUCCCCAUUGUUACCUCUUUCACUGCAUAUCUCAUUUAAUAAUUGGUGUCGUCAUCUUUCUGAACAAAACCAGAAAUGAUGGUAGUCCAGGAAACUACAUUGCAGAUUGGCAUUCACAAAAAUUCCUUCACAGCUUGAUCAUUAUCCCUGCACUUAGCAUACAAAUCAAUGGUGGCAGCCCCCACAAAAGAAAGUCUUCUUUUCAGUCCCAAACCAAUCAUCCUCUGUAUUCUGGCCAUAUAGGAAGCCUUUCCGAUUGUAAAUCUCGAACAGCAUCACUCAUAACCUCCAGUUCUGAACUCUCGGGGUACAGCCUCUUCAUUAAGCAUUUGUUGUUUCCUUCCCUCACUAGAAGUUUUUCUUUUAGUGCAGAUUAAUGCCAACUGUAUGAACACCACAACAAAAUGAAUCUUCAUGACUUUGGAAUUUGAUUUUUGUUCAAAUUCACCAAUCUCAGCAGAAGUUUUACUGUAUUCUUCAAAAAUCAGAUCAGCCUUAACAGUCAGUUUUCCUUGCUCAAGUAAUCAAGCAAAAUUGCCCCACAUGAAUAGAAGAUGCCACAAGUUUAGCAGUGUCAUUCUUAUUAGCACAACUUUCUCCAACAGCUGGUGGAGUUUGAAUGUGGAAGUGAAACUAAUAUAUCAGCCCCAAACAACUUACUACCAUCUGAUACACAAGGAUUUCCAUUAUCUACUGGAUAAGGAAAGUGAUGUUUACUUAAAAGAACAUAUGAAACUGAUAAAUUACAAUUACCACCGAGUCGUACCAUAUCUGGUUGCUUUGGGACAUCCGGGCAAUUAACCUUUUUCUUCCUUGUAAACUGACAAAAGGUCUCAUCCACAUUUCCAAUUGCUUUACUAUCACAGCUAUAAGAUACUUGCUGCAACCCAGUUACAUGCUCAUCGGACAUGGUAUCAAGAUUCAAAUCAAUAUAGAAACUCUACCCCACUUUACUUUAAUAGCCCUUAGUUAGACCUUCUUUAUUCAAAUUUUCACAUUCUUGAACAGCAUCAAGAGCAUCCCCUGCUUUAUUGAGUGAUCUUGCAAUAUUUAAUGAUAUGUCCUUUUGAAUGGAUUUCAAUAUGGAGCUUAAAAAGGUGUUGAUUGCGNNNNNNNNNNNNNNNNNNNNNNNNNNNNNNNNNNNNNNNNNNNNNNNNNNNNNNNNNNNNNNNNNNNNNNNNNNNNNNNNNNNNNNNNNNNNNNNNNNNNUUUGCUUGGAGAUCAUCAACAAAAGGACAAUCAAGGUAAAGUGAGCCAUCUGAUUCGUAUUCAUGUUGGUCAGAUGCUAACUUGCUGGUGUAUUCUUUCAAGCUAAGCGAGCUUGUUGGUGUGUUCUAUUGAACCGGGCGACGCUAUAUUUACUCUCAAAUUUAGAUCUUUUAACCUGAGUUCAGAAUUAGUAGCGUCAUUGGAAAGAGUAGAAGGCGACUCAUCAUCAACUGAAAAUAGUAGGGAAUGCAGACAGGAGGAAUUCCAUAGAACCUGAAGAAACCUUUCUCUAGGUUGACCCAACAAGUUGACAGGGAUAUCUCGAAUGUGUUCCUCCUUUUAAGACAUAUUCUUUAUGAGAAAACAGGCGUGAGCAGAAAGAGUAGAUUCUCUGAUCUCAACUUCAUUUCCGAUAUCAGAUAUUCGAUCCUCCAGUCAUGGUACUGUUGUUUCAACAAUUCACAAGCAAAUAACAAUACGCUAUGACACUUCAAUUGUCGAAUAACCAGUAGAUUUGCCUGAUAUUUUAUCAAUGGUGGAAUCAGGUUCCUUCUCAUGGGCAUCAGAAGCCAACUUGUUUUCUGCAACUGGUGGGAUGAACAAAGAAGCAUGCUCUCAGGUUGAGUCAGGUACAAAUCCUACUGCAUUUCCUUCCAUAGUUUCAGAAGAAAAUCUAGAAUGGGACUUUUAUACUUUGUCAACUGGUCCAUUUCAAAUGAUUCCCUUCAGAACCUUGCUUUCUCUGUUCUGUCUCCUUUUCUGUUCCGACUCAAAAUUUCAACUGUACGAUGGUGUGAUGCAUUUGAUUCUCAUCUGAAGGAAAGAAAAGAAUUUGUAUGUGAUUCUAUUCAUUUAUCAAGAACAAGCUGAUGGUCAAUCCUGAAACCCAACCAUUUUCAGAUAAUUCAAACUCUACUACAAGUUGAUCGUUCCCUUUUUCGAUUGGAAGUUAUCCUCAGAUACCUUUCAUUUUCAUGAGUAGUUUAUGCACCAAAAUUAUCGAUGACAGUGUUCAGGAAGUAAGGCUCAUCAUGGGAAGUCUUUCUCUUGUAAGGCUUAAUUAUUCUCUAGUUGCAGCUUCGUCCAGAGCAUCAGUAACCCUUUUCUUGACAAAGAUCACCAUCCCCAUUGUUACCUCUUUCACUGCAUAUCUCAUUUAAUAAUUGGUGUCGUCAUCUUUCUGAACAAAACCAGAAAUGAUGGUAGUCCAGGAAACUACAUUGCAGAUUGGCAUUCACAAAAAUUCCUUCACAGCUUGAUCAUUAUCCUUGCACUUAGCAUACAAAUCAAUGGUGGCAACCNNNNNNNNNNNNNNNNNNNNNNNNNNNNNNNNNNNNNNNNNNNNNNNNNNNNNNNNNNNNNNNNNNNNNNNNNNNNNNNNNNNNNNNNNNNNNNNNNNNNNNNNNNNNNNNNNNNNNNNNNNNNNNNNNNNNNNNNNNNNNNNNNNNNNNNNNNNNNNNNNNNNNNNNNNNNNNNNNNNNNNNNNNNNNNNNNNNNNNNNNNNNNNNNNNNNNNNNNNNNNNNNNNNNNNNNNNNNNNNNNNNNNNNNNNNNNNNNNNNNNNNNNNNNNNNNNNNNNNNNNNNNNNNNNNNNNNNNNNNNNNNNNNNNNNNNNNNNNNNNNNNNNNNNNNNNNNNNNNNNNNNNNNNNNNNNNNNNNNNNNNNNNNNNNNNNNNNNNNNNNNNNNNNNNNNNNNNNNNNNNNNNNNNNNNNNNNNNNNNNNNNNNNNNNNNNNNNNNNNNNNNNNNNNNNNNNNNNNNNNNNNNNNNNNNNNNNNNNNNNNNNNNNNNNNNNNNNNNNNNNNNNNNNNNNNNNNNNNNNNNNNNNNNNNNNNNNNNNNNNNNNNNNNNNNNNNNNNNNNNNNNNNNNNNNNNNNNNNNNNNNNNNNNNNNNNNNNNNNNNNNNNNNNNNNNNNNNNNNNNNNNNNNNNNNNNNNNNNNNNNNNNNNNNNNNNNNNNNNNNNNNNNNNNNNNNNNNNNNNNNNNNNNNNNNNNNNNNNNNNNNNNNNNNNNNNNNNNNNNNNNNNNNNNNNNNNNNNNNNNNNNNNNNNNNNNNNNNNNNNNNNNNNNNNNNNNNNNNNNNNNNNNNNNNNNNNNNNNNNNNNNNNNNNNNNNNNNNNNNNNNNNNNNNNNNNNNNNNNNNNNNNNNNNNNNNNNNNNNNNNNNNNNNNNNNNNNNNNNNNNNNNNNNNNNNNNNNNNNNNNNNNNNNNNNNNNNNNNNNNNNNNNNNNNNNNNNNNNNNNNNNNNNNNNNNNNNNNNNNNNNNNNNNNNNNNNNNNNNNNNNNNNNNNNNNNNNNNNNNNNNNNNNNNNNNNNNNNNNNNNNNNNNNNNNNNNNNNNNNNNNNNNNNNNNNNNNNNNNNNNNNNNNNNNNNNNNNNNNNNNNNNNNNNNNNNNNNNNNNNNNNNNNNNNNNNNNNNNNNNNNNNNNNNNNNNNNNNNNNNNNNNNNNNNNNNNNNNNNNNNNNNNNNNNNNNNNNNNNNNNNNNNNNNNNNNNNNNNNNNNNNNNNNNNNNNNNNNNNNNNNNNNNNNNNNNNNNNNNNNNNNNNNNNNNNNNNNNNNNNNNNNNNNNNNNNNNNNNNNNNNNNNNNNNNNNNNNNNNNNNNNNNNNNNNNNNNNNNNNNNNNNNNNNNNNNNNNNNNNNNNNNNNNNNNNNNNNNNNNNNNNNNNNNNNNNNNNNNNNNNNNNNNNNNNNNNNNNNNNNNNNNNNNNNNNNNNNNNNNNNNNNNNNNNNNNNNNNNNNNNNNNNNNNNNNNNNNNNNNNNNNNNNNNNNNNNNNNNNNNNNNNNNNNNNNNNNNNNNNNNNNNNNNNNNNNNNNNNNNNNNNNNNNNNNNNNNNNNNNNNNNNNNNNNNNNNNNNNNNNNNNNNNNNNNNNNNNNNNGAUACUAAGCCUCUCAAAGUAGAAGAACUCUUCUAUGCUAGGUAAUGGAUCCCAAUAUAUGAAAUGAAACAGAGCCUUAAAAACUGAAGCUUCCAAGUAUACAGAUUCAGAAUCUUCUUGCUUGUAAGUGCCUCUACGAAAGCCUAUCACAAGCUAAGGUAGUUGCUACAAUAUUUACAGCAGCAUCUUCACGGAGAUUAGACUCACAUAGCUGCCUGGACCUACCUGGACUGUACCAAUCUGUUGAGCAGAUACUAAGCCUCUCAAAGUAGAAGAACUCUUCUAUGCUAGGUAAUGGAUCCCAAUAUAUGAAAUGAAACAGAGCCUUAAAAACUGAAGCUUCCAAGUAUACAGAUUCAGAAUCUUCUUGCUUGUAAGUGCCUCUACGAAAGCCUCUGUCACAAUUUCGUUCUCUUGAAAGCCCACAUGAUCUAGUAAUUCUGAAGCAAAGGAUAACAUGGGUUCUUGCUCUGAAAAAAAGAUUACAUCUUUUAUGACCAGUAUGAAAUCAGCAACAGGUAAGAACUCUACUUGAUGUGUAACAUAAAUCACUACUUUCGAACCCAAGAGACACAGCAAAUAUUCUUUAAAGAAAUUGGUUCCUGCGCGAGCAUCCACAGCACUAUAACUGUCUGAUCACCAAAUGAGAGAACCUCCAGAUUCUUUUUCAAGGAAUAUGCAUCAAGAACCCUUUCAUACCUUUCUCUGUCCAUCUUCUUAUUAAACAAGAUGUUCUCUUCUAUUUUACCAUUCUGUAUCUAAGGAGAUUGAGUAAUACAGGCCUUCCCAAUGUAUCAGUCUUCCUUACACUUUUAAUGGAAUUCUCCCCCCUUCCGAUUACAUGUCCAAUCUCGUCAAAUGGACGCAAAGCUCUUACAAUUAACAUCUGAUCGUGAUGCUCCAUAACCAGAAUGUACUAGUAGGUUGGAUGAAUAAACUGGCCAUAUAUUGCCCAAGUCUGAACAGCCCCGAAAUUCUGGUAUACGUGUAGCAGCUAAGACAUGAGAAACAGAUCUGGCAGACACCAUAGUUUACAUUAGGAUAGAAUUUACCAGCAGGAUAUUUGGGACAUCCGAAGGGAUAAUGAUGUUAGGAGGGGCUUCUAGUACAGUAAUGUCAAGAGAAAUUUCUUCUUUAGGAGUGAACCUUUAGAAAGGUAACAACAAUGGACCAUAGUCUCUUGUUUCAGUGAUCCGAUUUCGCCGCAAGAUUGAGAUAGCAUGACCAUUGUGAUUAUAAUUGGAAACACCUUGCUUUGGAACAUUUCAAGGAACAGGGACAUGCUUUUGUCAGCAUGGUGAUUCAGAUUAUUUCCUUUAUAUCUGGACACUUCUCAUAUACAUGUGUCAUUGCUGUUCCUAGAAUAAAUAUCUUCAUCCAUGUCAAGGCCUUUCUUUACCAUGAACGUGUGGUUUGAUUGGAUUCUUCUUAUAUUUGCUAAGUUUGCAUAAGCAGGAAACACAUUGGCAAAGGUGACUAUAUCAGGUUUCAAAUUUGACUCUGACAUCAUUCUUUCAUAGAGUAAUGUUGCCUUCUGAUCAUAACCAUUGAAUGAGUUCCAGGAAACCAAACUUCUGUCAGAUAAUUCCCCUUUAAAUAUGGUCUGAGCACACCCAAUUCUAUUACACUUUGCAUAUAUAUUGACCAUAGCUGUUCCAAGACAGAGGUCAAAAAUUAACCUCGUACAAAUCAAGUACCCAUGAAUGCUUUUUUUUUUAGAUCAAGAUUCCCAAUUUGUCCACAAACCAACAAUAAACCUAAAAAAUGUGAUUCAGUUUGGAAACAAAUCUCCAGCGCUUUUCAUGGAUAAGAAAAAGGUUGAAUGCUUCAGCCCAAUUACCAUUAUGUGCAUAUGCUGUAAUCAACGAAUUCCAAGACACUAUAUCUCCUUUUAACAUGUCACACAAAAUGCGUCUCUCAAAAUCUAUCUUUCCAAUCUUAAUAUAUAUUGAAAUGGAGGAAUUCAAUUAGAAACUCAUGAAUCAAUGCUCCUUUUUCAAGUAUCCCGAUUUCACCACAAGCCAUAAUUUCAUGAAAUGCAGAAUCCAAAGAAAGUAAUAAAACCACAUCUAGUCUUUGCUCAAAGAGAACCAACAGUUCAUCAUAAAACCCAAUUGAUCCAAAACAGGAAACUAAGGAAUUAAUCAAAUCUUCAUCUCUGGACAUUUCUUCAAACACACCGUAAGCACCUCAAACAGAUUCAAAUACCGUACAGGAAGAGGGAUAGAGAACAAAUAAAAAAAAUAGAUGUUGAACCCGGAGAAGAAGAGAGUGGAAGACUUUGGUCAAUAAACAUAAAUAGCUCCACUUCAAAUAUUAAAUCCGUGGGCUAAGGACAGGGGGCAGAAUGCAGAAUGGGAUUUAAACAAAAAAAGAACAUGAUCAAAUUCAGGCAUGGAGUCAAUGAAUUUCAGACGACAUCAAUGACACAUAAGAGAAUCAGAAUCCAAAACAGGGCAAACAAGUGAAUAACCAAUCUCAACAAAUCAGUUUGUGGCCCUUUUCGUCCACACCAAUCAGUGGUAUAUUAAAUAUUCAGAAACAAAUGCACGGAGAAAGCGAAUAUGGAUAAUGAUUCCAAGAAUGACGAGAAGCAUACCUGGGCAGCCUUGGUUGCAAUUGCUCUCUUUUCCAAUUCCUUUGUGCCUUUUCCUCUAGACGAUCUCACCAGAAUUUCCCCACCAAGACUCCAAUACGUGCUCCCUCCUCUUUCUCCUUUUUCCUUUUUUUAAAUCUUCCCAUUCAAAGGCAAUCUUUCCCUUUUCAAAUUCCCCUCCAAAAACCUUCCAAGGAGAGCCCCACUUUCCUUAAACUCCAAUGGUAAGUUUCCUUGCAAAAACAUGAAAUUUUUUUAAAGUAAAUAAUUGAAUGAAUAACUAAAUAAGUAAACAAAAUAGAUAAAUAAAUAAAAUAAAAUGAAAUAAAGUAAAAUAAAAGUCUUAAUAGGCCUAGUGUGCCUAAACGGGCCUAAGGUGAGACUAAUGGGCCAAGAGUGCCUAACCGGGCCUAGAGUGCCUAAGUGGGCCUAAGUAGGCUACCCUAAAAGCUAUCCUAAAAAAGAAAGAAAAGUCUAAGUCUAAAUCAGGCCUGCCAAGGGUUACAAUAAGGGAUCAAAUAAUCCCUCAACCAAAGUCUCCGAGGUGACUCAGAAAAAGGUAAGUUGCACGAGUAAUAAUGGGCCACCAAGGAGUUACCGUGGAGCAUUGAAAACGAAUUUCGAAGACAUGUGCUAAAGGGACAAAAUUGAGGGUCUACACAUAUUUAUUCACCUAAAGACCUUGCCUAAGUAGUAGAAAAUAAAGGAAUUUAAAAAGGAAGGUUUUCGAGGCCAAAAGGCUCAACCGGUCGAGGCUAUGGCCAACUAGCUCAACCGAUUGGGGAACUGGUCGACCGGUUAACCCUGUCCGGUCGAGAACCGGUCGAGGAGUGUCAAAAACACUCUCUCUCAUCCAGUAGCCUUCUCUUCCUGGUUGAGGUUCACACCCUUCCCGGUCGAGGCAACGGUAACCUAUCAAAGCAUUUAAUGCGCAACAGUUAUUGAUCCGGUCAACCCCUAGCUCGACCGAUCGAGGGUACCUUUUGCUAUUUUUGACUCCUGAGCUUAGAAACCUAUAAAUUAAGAGCUCCACUUCAUUUAUGAAUAAGAGAACACUUGCAAUCAAUUAUCUACCUACCUGUUCUUGAUCAAAAAGCUCUCAUUUCUUUCUUGGUGCAUUAAAUCAUCAUUUACAUACUCCUUAGUGCACCUUUGUGAAUCAUCCUAGCCUUGUUUUGUAUUUGAUCCAUCCUUGAGCUAGGUUGAGUGUUUUAUUCUUAUAAAAGCCAAGCAUUUAAGCCUUUGAGAGGUGUAAUUCUUGAAGAGAUUGUGUAAGAGCCCAUUGGAGCCAGAAUCCAAGUGUAAGAAGAUUAGAAGCUUGGUUGAAGCUUCAAGUUAGUGGAACCCUCACUCGGUAAGGAGAUUGAGGAGAGUGGACGUAGGCAAGGAAGUGCCGAACCACUAUAAAACCCGAGUUUGAAUUCUCUAACUCUAUCUCUUUACUUUCACUUAUAUUGUGCUUGAAAUUGUUGUUAUUGAAAAGAUUUUUUAAAAACCCAAUUCACCCUCCUCUUGGGUGUUUUUCUUAAUUAAGCAUAGCCUUUAUUUUCUCAUACAACUAUAUGCAGGGAAGCAUGGUGACCCUUCUAAUCUUGUAUGUGGAUGACAUACUAUUCAUUGGAAAUGAUGUAGAAAUGGUAUCUUUAGUAAAUAUUUGGUUAUCUACUCAAUUCCAAAUGAAAGAUAUAAGUGAGGCCCAAUAUAUUCUAGAAAUCAAGAUAUUGCAAGAUAGAAAGAACAAGAACAUUUCAUGUUAGUCAGGUACUCUAUGCAAAAUUCUAAGAAGGGUAUGCUACCUUUUAGCAUGAAAUGCCACUUUUUUAGGAUCAAUCUCCUAAGAUGAUUGAGGAGAAAGAGAGCAUGAAGGUGAUACCUUUUUCUUCCAUAGUGAGUAGCCUUAUGGAUGUUAUGUUAUGCACUAAACCUCACAUACAUUAUGCAAUAAGUAUAGUGUGUAGAUACCAAUCUAAUCCCAAUCAAGAGCAUUAAAUAACGGUUAAGCAUAUACUCAAGUAUCUUAGGAGAAAAAAGGGAUUAUAUGCUUGUUUAUCAAAGCGAUGAGUUAGUACCCAUAAGAUACACAAUUUCAAAAUUUUAGUUUGAUAUAGACUCUUGUAGGUCCACUUUAGAUUACGUGUUUAGACUUGGUGAUAGGGUUGUUAGUUGGAGAAGUAUCAAGUAGUCAUGCAUUGUUGACUCCACUAUGGAAACUGAAUAUAUAGUAGCUUCGGAAGCAAUUAAAGAAGUUGACUAGCUAAGAGAGUUUGUAAUGGAAUUGGGGGUACCAUGAUUUUACCGAACACCAUGGCAUUGUUUUGCAACAAUACUGGGGUGGUAACAUUAUCUAAAGUACUAAGGAACCAAUAGAAGGGAAAACACAUUGAGAGGAAAUACCAUCUCAUUAGGGAGAUAGUAUAAAAAUGUGAUAUAAUAGUGGAAAAGAUUGCAUUUAAGGAUAACCUAGAAGAUCCCUUUAUUAAGACCUUACAAGCAUGAGUAUUUGACUCUCAUAGCGAUGUUUAUGGUGUUAGAUGUAAUCCUAGUCUACUUAAGGCUAGUGGGAGAUUUUUGGGUUUUAAGCCUUGUAUAGUGAGACAUAUUGCAAGAUUUGUUAUGUAAUAUAUCAUUCCUAUUCAUUCAUUGGUAUUGUGUGCAUUAAUAGUUUCUCUCUUUAUUAUUUUGAUGGAUACUUAGUCAAAUCAAUUCGCUUUGUACACAGUUCAGGUGUAAGUGGACACAUAGAGGACACAACUAUGGGUUCCUUGUAGACUGAUACUAUUGUUUACAACAUUUCAUGAACUUGAGUAGUUUAGUAAUAUUAUGGUGUGCUACCUCCCAUGUAGGUGGGAUGACCUAUCUUAGUUUUCAAAGUGGAACUCUAAGGUGGUAUGUUAGUGUGUAUGGUUACACAUUGAACAUGACCUAUGGAGAACUUGUUUAUUACUAUCUAAGUGACAUGUGUUCUCCUAGCUACUAUCUUGUAGGAGUCCUUAACCUUGAGAGGUACUUAGGCUAAUGUUUGGAUUAGUGAUCACUUUGAGGCACAUACGAGUGAGACCCACAUAGAGGUUAUAUAUUGUUGUGAUCUUGGGUGACUGCUAAUUUAGCAUGUAGUUUGUGUAUACUCAAGAUGAAAGUUGUGAUAUCCCACUAGGGACAAUAUAUUCCCUUCCAACAAUUAUAGGGUGCAUGAUCAAGCUAAAUCCUUGGUCAAGAUAAUGUCAUUUGAGUGGUGAAAUCAUGUUUUAUCCUCUUAAGAUAUGAUAAAAUUAUUUUAUCAUACCAAAGGUGAAUUUGCAACACGAAGGUAAAGAUGUUAUUUAUUAGUAAAUAACACAUAUCAAUUAAAUUACAUAUAUCAAUUCAUAGGGAAUAAAUACAAGGAUUAGUAGGUUGUGGGAUAGCUAUUAGCUUCAUAUAGUUGGAUCUUAUUAGUGGAGUGCAGUCAAUUGACUUUAGUGGUGUGAUCAAUUGACUAUCAAAUUUUGUUUGAUUAAUUUUAUGGGAGCCACAAUUAGAUGUUUCAUUGGUCCUCGAUCGAGCUACCUUCAUAGAUGUAAUCUUUGUGCACGAAAUUUGAGACUUUAAGGGACUUAAUUUAUAGAUUGGAUUUGUUUUCUAAUAUGGAAAAAGCAUUUUGGUCUUUUCUCCCCUUAGUAUAUAAGGAAACAUGGGAAACCAAAAUAGGUCAUUCCUCUCAUUUUUCACCUCCUAUAAAUUAUUAGAAACCAAAAAACAAACAGUUUCCCUUUCGUCCCAAGAGCAAGUCUAACUCAAAUCUUGCAAAGCAUCAUCGCCCACUCAACGAUACACCAUCGUAGGAUUGAAUGGAAGAUUGUGGACAUUGGAGUUAUAGUUCGUUCUGCACCAAAGACAAGGAAUGAUCUCAUUUUUUCUAGUUAUUUUACUAUAAAAGGAUAUUAGGUUAGCUACUUACUUGGUUAGAAAUUUUAAAUUACCUACCCUAUAUAUGUCUUUAGAUCCAACAUUUAAAUGUCAACAUUUUCUACAACAGAUCAAUUCCUCUAAUUGUAAAAUAACAUUUUCUCAAUAAAAUAUUUGUUUUAUAAGAAUAUGAAAUCAUUUCUAAAAGAAAGAAUAUCCUCUUCCAACAAUAUUAUAUUUGGAGCUCAGAAAUUUUGAUAGAGAAAAGUCAACAUGAGUUAGAAGGCUACCAAAAUCAUCGACAUUUUGUCUAUGGUCAAGCCUACACAUUGUUUCCAAUCCCUUGUUGAUCAAUAAACGUCGACAACCUGCCAAAUGGGGUUGUGCAUCGUUGAAUGUUUGAAUGGUUAUUUUUAUGGGAGAAUUGUGUUUUGGGCCUAACUGGGCCCAAAAAUUAAGAGAUGGUCCAUCUAACCGACCCAUUUAAGCUGAAAACCCAUAGGAAGUGUCAAAAUUAAAAAGAAGGAUAUGCACUUUUAUUAAUUCCAAAAAUAACCUUUGCUGAUUAUGAAAAAAAAAAAAUAAUAAACAAAAAAAUCCAGGUUGGAAUUUUGCCCUAAUUUUGGUGUCUCUUCAGAUUUCAAGCCUAGAAGCCGUUUUCUUCUCUUCGUCCCGAGUUCCUCCAUCGCUUGCAUCUCAAUCUCUGCGGCUCUUUGGAAUUUUGCCCUAAUUUUGCUCUCUUCAGCAUUUCAAGCCUAUAAGCCAUUUUCUUCUCUGCCUAGAAGUCAUUUUCUUCUCUGCCUAGAAGCCAUUUUUUCUGUUCCUCCCGAGUUUCUCCAUCUCUUGCAUCUCAAUCUCUGCGGCUUUUUGGAAUUUUGCCCUAAUUUUGGUCUCUCUUCAGCAUUUCAAGCCUAGAAGCCGUUUUCUUCUCUUCCUCCCGAGCACCUCCAUCUCUUGCAUCUCAAUCUCUGCGGCUCUUUCAUUUUUUCUCGCAUUCGUCUCUCUCGAAAAUUUGAAUAAGGUAUGGAUUUCAGUUGGGUCUCUCUUGUUGCAUAUUUGAGGUUAGUAGAUUGCCUAAAUUUUGGUCUCUCUUCAGCAUUUCAAGCCUAGAAGCCGUUUUCUUCUCUUCCUCUCGAGCACCUCCAUCGCUUGCAUCUCAAUCUCUGCGGCUCUUUCAUUUUUUCUCGCAUUCGUCUCUCUCAAAAAUUUGAAUAAGGUAUGGAUUUCAGUUGGGUCUCUCUUGUUGCAUAUUUGAGGUUAGUAGAUUGCCUAAAUCUCGACCUAAAUUUUCUUAGUCCAAAUCUCUAAACUGUGUUCAACUUGAUCUCCGGAGUUCAAGUUACUGUUCCCAUUCAAUAAUUGACUUCUUGGUUGGCUACUAUUAUUCGAACGCUGAGAAAAUAAUGAGAAAAAGAAAGGAAAAUUUUUGAACCAUAAUUUUUUCUUUAAGCCUUGAGAAUACAGAAAAUGCACUUUACCUGCAACUCAUGAUUCAUGGCUUAAUCGAUCUGAUUUUAUUUUUGUAAUUUUUUUUAGAUUUUUUUUUUCAUGCUAUUUGUAUAUUUUAAAUUCAAAAAAAUAUUUGUGAAAAAUUGUCAUAUAUACUUGAACAUAAUUUAUAAUUGUUUAAUUGGUUGCUAGAAAACCAAGAGAGGAAAAAUGGAAAGGGGAAAUGGAAAACCUAAAAACCCUAAAGUUUUCUUAUGGUGUCUUGGCUUGAGAUGUAGGCACAAGUAACAGAUUUAUCUCUUUUUAUCUAUUAGUUUUUUUUACCCUUAAACCUUAAAUGUGUUAAACUAUUGCUUAUGGUUUUGUAUGAAUCAUCUAAAGUAGGGCAUGAUAGUUUAGAAGAGAAUUUUGUAUUUGUUACAUUUUUUAGGCUAUUAUCUCUUCAUAUUAUUUUGAAAAGCAACGCUUUAUAAUUAAUAUUUAAAUAUCUCCAUUCUCUUUGAAUAAGUUUGUAGGCAUGUCUGAUAUAGUAGUACCAACAGAAAUUGUCUAAGGGUUUGAGUGAGAAUGAGAAUUUGUUUUCUACCUAGUGUAAGUAUAGGUCAGAGCUUAAUAAAACGUGGGGGAUUAUUUCCUAUUGAAUGUCUUAUAGUUCCAUAAUUCCAAUGUUUUUGGUGUAUAUAUAUAUAUAUAUAUAUAUAUAUAUAUAUAUAUGUUCUGGAGUAUUAUGUCGAAUCAGACACAAAAUCCUCCUACUUUACUAGAUAUUGUUGUGAUGUUCUGUCUUAAAGUUCCAAGUAUUGACACGAUUAUAUUAUUAGCAUAGGUAAGUAGUAGUGUCAAAUUGGGUAGCACUAAAGUAGUUGGAGAGAGAGGUUUUUGCUUAUAAAAAUGUGAACUAUGAAUAUAUAAGUAAAGGGGAAUGAUAGGGAAAAUAAGUUAGAGAUUUGUUUUUUUUCCUUUUAUAGCCUUUCUUAGUUUUUAAUUUAAUGAUUUUUUUUUAAUCUAUUAAUUUCAAUCUUUUAAUUUCCAUUUCAGUUUUACAUUUCUCAUUUUUGUUUUUUAUUUUUAUUAUUAUUUUUAGUUUUGUUUAGGUUAGGUAGUAUUUAUCAGUCCAAGAGAAGAGAGAAGCUCGGUCUUCAUAUCUUAGUUCAACUCACCGUUUGUUUAUUAGUGCCUAUCUUAAAAUAAUCUUACUGUUGACAAUGGUUAGAAUAAUCAAAAGGAGCAACAAAAAUUAUUUUUUAAGAUUUUAAAGUUACAUUUUUUUGUAUAUAUAUUUUUUAAAAUAUAACUUUUUCGUAUGGGAACAUAGUAUAUUGUGAGAUGAAAAAACUUUUAAGAUCACAUUGAAUAUGCAUUAUUGUUUGUUCAACAAUAUAAAUUUGUGCUUUAUUUCAAUAGAUUGAUGGAUGCCACAAAUAGAAUAUACUGUUAUAUUUUCGUGGGAGGCAAACUUGUCCAAAAAAAUGAUGGCCUUUGGGAAUAUGUUGGUGGAAGAAGCAAAGGUAUUCACAUUUAUAAAGGAAUGACAUUUGAAGAAUUCACUCACAAGGUCUUAGAAAAAUUUGACAUUUCCCUUCAUGUGAGGAGGAUGCACUACACCCUCAAGUUUAACCCUAGAGUCAUCCAAGAUUUAGAAGAUGAGGAUGACUUGGAUAACGUGGUUUCCCACAGUGAUGACUUUGCAAAUGUGUACAUAGUCGAGUCACCCGGUGUGGAAGCCAUAGAGGCAAAUAUACCGAAUACACAAUUGGCACUUGGGUAAUGCGUUUUCACUUGGAUGUCUAUUUAAAAUUUUAUGAAUAUCAAUUUUACGCAUUAUGUAGUCUAAUUUUGGUUAUGAAUGUAAAUGCAGAGGUCCACAUCCUACGUUUCCUUCGUCUAAUGCAUCAUGCGAUGCAAGUCCUAAUACUAUGAUGUUAUCAAGAGGUUUUGCAUCUUGUUGUGCAAAUAGUGAGUACACCCCUUUGGAAUCGAAUCGGUUUCGUGAGGUAAUAUUAGGUUCUGGACAUACAUUUAAGAAUGCAGAUGAGUUUCGGAAUGCAAUAUACCAAAUGUCAUUAGCUAGAAGGUUUCAAUACAAGUACAAGAAAAAUUCACCUACUCAUAUGUCAGUAAAGUGUUCGGUUGAGGAUUGUCCUUGGAAGAUAACAACUCAUGCUGUUGAAGGAAAUGAAAUAUUGCGAGUUUAUACUUACCAAGUUAAUCAUAAUCAUAUAGCUCAAGAUGAGUGUUCAUCUAAGGUGCGGGUUUCUUCCAAGAGAGGUGUUGUUGUUGUUGAAGACGUGUUUAGAACAACUCCAGAAUACCUUCCUCGACAAAUUUGCAAGGAUUUUGAACGUGAUCAUGGAGUUCAAUUGACUUAUAACCAAGCAUGGCAUCUUAAAGAGAAGGCAAAAGAGCAUGUAUAUGGAUCUCCACGUGCAUCCUACGCGUUUUUGCCUUGGUUAUGCCAUAGGCUAAGGGAAAUUAACCCUGGAACUAUUGCCGAGUACACUUCUCAUGAAGGUCACUUCAAGCAAUUGUUCAUUGCCCAUGCAUUUUCAAUUCAAGGGUUCACCAUGGGGUGUCAACCAGUAUUGGCUAUUGAUUCUUGCCACCUAAGUGGUCCAUACAAAGGAGCUCUUUUGUCUGCCAUUGCAUAUGAUGCAGAUGAUGGAAUGUUCCCUCUAGCCUUAGGUGUGGUUGGUUCAGAAAAUUAUGAGGAUUGGUAUUGGUUCUUGGAGAAAUUGAAGGGGAUCCUAGAUGGUCAAGAAGUAAUUAUUAUAUCAGAUAGACAUCAAGGGAUAUUGCGUAGUGUUUCGGAGUUGUUUGGGGUAGAAAAUCACGCCUAUUGUUAUCGACAUGUGAAAAAGAACUUUUCAAGCUUCUUCAACAGGCAAAAAAUUAGGGGAAAGAAAGGGAAAGAAGAUGCUUUGUUGCUUUUAGACAACAUUGCAUAUGCUCGGUUGGAUAUAGACUACAAUGAGGCAUUUGAAAAACUUGUGCGUUUUAAUGGCGACCUAGUAAGGUGGGUUGCGGAGAAUAGUCUGGAGCAUUGGGCGAUGUCAAAGUUCCUUAAAAAACGUUGGGAUAAAAUGACAACUAAUAUUGCAGAGUCCUUCAAUGUGUGGUUAAGAGAGGAACGACACCAAACAAUUUAUACGUUGUUGAUGAUGCACAUGGAUAAGCUUGUAGCCAUGUUGGACACCCAUAUGCGUGAUACAGAUAAGUGGAAGAGCGUGGUUGGACCCAAAACAGAGGAAAAGCUAAUGUCAAAUAUCACGAGAUCUGCUCCGAUUACUGUGAUGCCCUAUUUGGGUGGGACGUUCAAGGUUUUUACUGGAGAUGUUUAUUUGGUUGUGGAUAUGCAGCAACAUAAGUGUACAUGUCUAACAUGGCAAAUGUCCGGGUUGCCAUGUCCACAUGUAUGUGUUGUGAUCCGCACAUUGAGACACGAUGUGUAUGACUAUAUCGACCCAUGUUUUAAAGUCUCCACCCAACAUUUGAUUUACUCGGGUCAGUUUCAACCAUUACCAACACACAACAUGCCUAAAGUUUGUGAGGCUGGGACUUUGCAAGAUGGCCAAGGCAACGUAUUUCCUAGUCUCCAACCCCCGCAAGUGAGACGUCCUCCAAGAAGACCCCGGAAAAGGCGUAUUGAGUCACAAUUUAGCCAUAAGAGAGCUAUUCAUUGCUCUCGAUGCAAUGGCAUAGGUCACAAUCGGUCUAAAUGUAAUAAUCCAUUGCCGUGACAUGUUCAUUUCUUUGCUUGUAAGGUUUUCAUUUUGUGUACGAUCCCUCAUUGUUCCAUUAUUUGCUUUAUGGUCAUGGGGUUGUUGCUUUUGGAUGUUAUGUAUUGUCCUUAUUAUAGACACGAUGCACUACUUUUUUAUUUUAUUUUUUAUAAAACUACUUUUUAAUUUUCAUUAUUUGGAGUUGCUUUCAUUACUGAUUUAAUUUGAAAUUGCACUUUCAAUGUGGUAUCCUUUAACUUGAUGUAUACUAUCACUUCCCUAUUUUAAGUAUGUCAUACUCACAUCAUUGGAUGCGUGUAUUUUUCUUGUCACUUAGCUGAACUUUCAUAGUAUUGUACUAUACUUGUUGUCUAGUUAUUCAGUUGGUCAGUUUAGCUGUGCAUAACAUUCUACUUUUCUAUGCCCAAUGAUGCAGUUAUAAUAUUAACAAUGGCUGGUAAUGGCCUAGAUGGUUCUGCUGCCAGUUCACUCCCACUCUCGGUAUGGUUCAUCAUACUUGCUUAUCUUUGUUGUUUUUUGCAUUCUUCUAUUGCCAACAUACUAUUUGAGAGGUUUUCGCUUCUCGGUAGAGUGCCACAAGAACUUAUAAUCUAUAGUCAUGCAAUUUUAAUGUAUUGUGAGAACAUAAAUCAGAAUGCAUGUUGGUAUCAAAAUGGGUAAAAUUUCAUUUUAUGAUAUUUUACAUAUUUGAAUUGGUGUGAACAAAUGACUCCCUUGUUUAUAUAUAAUCUGAAAUCAUUUUAUGAAAUUUUCAUUUUCAGAUACCUUUUAAGUUAGUAUAUAUAUAUAUAUUAUGCAUGAAAUUUAAGUGAUUUCUUCAUCUCCCUUAUUAUAGUUACCAUGUAUCAGUUAUGUUGGAAAGUUCUCUAAUAUUGAAGUUUUAACAAUUCAACGUUUAUUUAUUAAAUACUAUUAUAUCAGCUUUGUAAGUUGUCGGGCAAUAUUUGUGUACAAUUUGGUAAUAUAGAAAAUGUGGUUCACUAACGCCAUAUCAAAUUAUGCUUUAGGGAUCUAAUGGUCUUCGCUAUACAGUUGUGGGGAUAGGCAAAAACCAUGUCCUCUAGGAGGAGGGAGGAGGGUAGAGGAAGGGAUAAAGAGAGGUGUUCUGGUAGGAAUGGUGAUGGGGAUGGGAUUAAUGCUAAUGGAUAUACUAAAAGUAUGUUCGGUUAUGUCACCUCAAACCAUAUUUUAUAAAACCUAUAAAAGUUUUAAGUCAAAAUGAACUUUCUUACCUAGUGUAAUGAUUGGAUUAAGUGAAUGUUGUUUCUUCUACGAAAAAAAAUAAUUUCUACUUCGCAAGAUAUUUUAGUUAUUUAGGUUUGUGCAAUAAUUUAUGAGAGAGAAGGAAGAUAUCUUAAACCUUUUCCCAAUCAUAGACAUGUAACCGUAGGACUUGAGAUUUUGGGUCCUUUACAAUCAAUUUGAAAUCUUCAUUCCACUCAGGGUCCAAUGUCUUCAUCUUAAUAGAGGUUUUCUUUGCUGGAAGCCUCUCCCCACUUAGAUUGAGUUUAACAUAAGGAUCGGAUGCUCCAAGGAUGUCCAUCUUCAAGAGUUUGCGUGCCCGUACAACCUUUACAUGUAAUAACCCCACAGGCUUCUUGAUAGGUGCUCUAUCAAAAUCAAAAGAAAAUAAAUAGAAGGAUAUAUUUUAAUGCUAAUCUACGUUAGAAGUUACAAGCUAAAUCUGAUCUGACAAUUGAAAACCUCUGUAUUUUUUCUUGGACCCUUUUCCUCAUAUGCAAGAACAUAUUGAUUGAAUUUCAAGUCAUGACUCAUGAGCUCAAUGCUAAGUGCUAAAAGCACCCAUAUGUGGAAUUUGCCCAACCAUGUAAUGAGGAUGAUGAAUAAACUGCUGUUUCUGGUUCUACUACUACUAGAUUAUUUCACAGAGAAAACUCAUAAUUCCAUAUUGAAAACUUACANNNNNNNNNNNNNNNNNNNNNNNNNNNNNNNNNNNNNNNNNNNNNNNNNNNNNNNNNNNNNNNNNNNNNNNNNNNNNNNNNNNNNNNNNNNNNNNNNNNNNNNNNNNNNNNNNNNNNNNNNNNNNNNNNNNNNNNNNNNNNNNNNNNNNNNNNNNNNNNNNNNNNNNNNNNNNNNNNNNNNNNNNNNNNNNNNNNNNNNNNNNNNNNNNNNNNNNNNNNNNNNNNNNNNNNNNNNNNNNNNNNNNNNNNNNNNNNNNNNNNNNNNNNNNNNNNNNNNNNNNNNNNNNNNNNNNNNNNNNNNNNNNNNNNNNNNNNNNNNNNNNNNNNNNNNNNNNNNNNNNNNNNNNNNNNNNNNNNNNNNNNNNNNNNNNNNNNNNNNNNNNNNNNNNNNNNNNNNNNNNNNNNNNNNNNNNNNNNNNNNNNNNNNNNNNNNNNNNNNNNNNNNNNNNNNNNNNNNNNNNNNNNNNNNNNNNNNNNNNNNNNNNNNNNNNNNNNNNNNNNNNNNNNNNNNNNNNNNNNNNNNNNNNNNNNNNNNNNNNNNNNNNNNNNNNNNNNNNNNNNNNNNNNNNNNNNNNACCCUAACACUCACACUUCACAGUCCACAUUCCAACUUGUUAUGAGGCUCCAAGUUUCUUUUCUCUUUCCCUUGCUUUUUCAUCAAUAAAUAAUCCAACUAUUCAAGUUUGCAUACCCUUUUCUUGGUUAUUUCCUUUUUUAUUUUUAUAGGUAACCCUUACCUCUUUAGCCACUUGAGCUAGGUCCCCAGGGCAAAAUGAUCACAAUUAUUUAUGGGGACCUCAAUGGUAUUGAGACAUUAGGCUUCUUUUUUGCUUCACUUUCUAAGUGAUUUAAAUAUGAACGUGGAGAGCCAUGCCUUGCCAAUUUCUCAGUGCCUUGGACUCUGGACAUACCUUUUUUUCGGGUGGCAAAUUCUGUAUUAUUUUUUGUCUGUAAGAUUCAAACAAUUGACUGAAGCAAGGUGCAUAGCUCUCUAGACACUUCAUAUAUCAGUAUUUUGAACCAGUUACGGAAAUUCAUUUACGCUGAUUCAAGCACUGACCAAGCAAACUGAUGUGGCAAACUUGUACCCAAUGUGGCUUUUGCCAGGAGCAGUACAAACAUUUAAAAUUGCUCAUGUAUAUCUUCUUGCAAAAUCCUUACGACAAUGAAAAUAAUUCUAUAAGUUAACAAAAAAAAAAAAACAAAAAGUCAUAACACAUAACUUUUUAAUGUAUUAUAUUACAAUUAUGUGGUGAAACAUAAUUACAAUUUCUUCACCUGUAAAUGGGUACGCAGCCAAGCUGUUGAAACUCUAGUUGAGUCUUGCCUUAUAUUACAAUUUUCAUUUUUUAGGCAAACAGGAAACUUGUAAUUAAGCAGGAUAUUAUAAGUGUAUGUUGUGAACUAUGUUUUGGUUUGAAGACUGAUGCAUUGGCAUAACACAUAACUUAAUGCUAGUUACUAUGCUAUGGUAAUGAAGGAGAACUGCUGUUGAAGUUCCAAGUGUAACAAGUAGUGUCAUAACUUCUACUUGAAACUAUGUUCGAUGUUUCUUACCUUAGUUGAUGUUCUUGUUGUAUUGGGCAUCUACCGGUUGGAGUUUAUGGUUUCCAAACUCCUCUUCAUUCAUUUAAUUCUCCAACACUCAUGGAUUCAUCUUAUUUAUUAUUGUUUUCAAGCGUAAAGAUACUCUUUGUUUACUAUUCUACAAAAAAUUAUGUAGUAGCAUUUCAUAGUGUAUCAGUACCUAAUUUGAAAUGCCCACUUCCUCUAUUCUGCAAAUUUUAGAUUAUUAUGCCCAUUGAAUCAGAUUCAAGCCUCAAAACUUUCACAAGUUUAGAUUAAUAGUCCUAGGUUUCAUUUAUUUUCCCAUGAAUCCUCACUCAGCUAACAACUUAGGUGUGAAUGAACUUUGGUCAAACACAUGAUUCGUGGUAUCAAAUGAUAGUGUACAAUUCUUCAAUGAUAGUUAUUACCAUGUGGGAAUACUCUCAACAGAAAAUUGGAUUCCAAACCUUGUCCAUGUUCAAUGGCAGUAGCAAAGUGCUUGCUCUAGCAGUUCCUCUAGAUUUUGUGUAUGUCAGAAGUAUCAAAAGGAGCAGGUUAAACCCCUUUUAAAUAGCCAGAAGAAUGAAAAGAACAGGGAAAACAAAGAGACCUCUUUGAGUUUUUUCUCUUGCUCACAUCCAUGAAUGCAAGGCCCUUAGCAGCCACCAUGUUGUUCGGUAUAGUGGAAAACACUUGGGGGAAUACAAUUAUUGUAAAGAUGAUUCCUGACACAAAACCCAGUGUGUGCGAGGGAAUACGAAUACAAGGCCUUUGAGUUUGUGAGCUUUUAUUUCCACCUCUCAAGCAUUUUAUUGUAAGCAUGUUAAGGCAAUGAAAGAAAUCUGCUUUUCCAUAGCAUUUUCUAUUUACUCCAUUUGUUCGUUGUUGUUGAAUAUCACAAAUUCAUUACCAAGGAUUUUUGUUCUAUCAAGUUGUCUUACAAUCUAAAUGGGAAUUAAAUAGGAUUAUUCAUUGAUUUGUUGAUGGUUUCUUUCUCUAAUAGAAUUAGUCAAUUUAUUUCCAUAAAUUGAUUUGAUUUCUUUCUUUUAUAUAUCAUGUAGUAUUCUCAUAUUUAUUUUUGUACUUUUAUAGUCUAUUCUAUACAUUUUUACUGUUAUUGGCUAUUCUAUAUAGGCUUAUUCAUAAAUUUACAAUCCUCCCUCUUACAAGAUAUCUCAUUGUCAGUAGCACCCAACCCCAUCUAAUGUCUUACCCUGCUGUAUAUUAUUUCUAAAUACAAGCAGACAAAUCUUUGUAACUUUGAGAAAUGACAGCUUUACUUUUUCACUUAUUUUUUGCAUUACCAACUGCAAGAAUGUUGCUAUUCCUAACAUGUCCAUGUUGUCAAACAUUGCAUGCAGGGCACAUCAAUGUUUACGCGAUGCUCAGCUGCAAGAUUUAAGAAACUCUGCAACCGGUUACCAGAGGAAAAAAUACAAGCCAUAAGAGACCUCCAAUUUGGAGGUCUCUUAAACUUAAACUGCACAGAGGUGCGCCACAACAUCUGUAUCUUUCUAAUCCAACAUUUCAAUGUUGGAUUUAGACAUAUAGAGUUCUCAGCCCAGAAACACUAUCCUAUUACAGCCACCGAUGUUGGCCUCAUUUUCGGCCUCCCAACAGAAGGGCGGAUUUUGCAGGUGACCUCUACAUCAUCAGAGCAUCCAUUUGGGGCUAUUCGGGCAUGCGAGGAGAAACUCCUGGACUUACCUGUAGGCUAGGAGUUCCGUAGAGCAUUCAUUUACUACGUAUGUGCCACAUUGUUGGCCCCCACGUCUAGGCUCAAUGGUUGUCGUAACUUGUGGCAUACCAUCCAUGAGGAUGGAUUCCGAAAUGACAUUAAUUGGGCCCAGUUUGUGCUUGACCAACUGGUUGAGGGAAUUAGGCGAUACCAACAAUCUAAGACCUCUUGGGUACAUGGCUGUGUUUUAUUUCUACAGGUAGUGAACUUAUUCAGUCUUUGUCUUCCAUUUUGUUAUAUAAUUUUAUUGCACAACAUAGUCACAUUUGCCUACUGAUGUUUGUAUUUAUUAUGCAGCUGCAUUAUGUCAUUAAAUUCCAAAUUCCUUCAGUCCAAGUCCCCAUUACAGUGCCCCCAGCAUUGGCAUGGACUGAUGAUUUGAUUAAGCGACGACUAGUCGCUGAGAUAAAGGAGUUUGGAGCAUUUGGACAUGCUGAGAUUGAUUUUGUAAGUUAUGCAUGCAUAAAUAUAUUGUCAUUACUAGCAUAACACUCAUUAUUUAAGUACUAAUCUUCAGUGCUAAUUAUAGGCGUCCCAGAGAUCUCUAACCGUAGAGAGAACUAUGAAGCCAGAGACUAAUGUGGACCAUGACACAAAUGUUGAUGCUGAAUCACUAACAUCUGUAAAUAUGAAGACCAAAUCAAGUGCACCAAUGCCAAUUGCUGGUGCAGGAAUCACUAACACAUGUUAUACUGGAAGCUUGGAAAGUCAUAGCUCGGCACCUUCUGGGACUUCACAAGGAUCCAUGGAUAUAGGAGAUGCUUUAGAGCAACCAUCAACUCACUGCAUGACAAGGAUUAAGUCAUUGCAGCAAUGUGCAUCUGUCAUCAUUGAAUUGGUAAAUGAGAAGGUAACUUAUCAAUCCUACUUUAGAAAUCAACUCUCCUUAUUUUAUCCUGUAAUAAAUUAUUUUGUCGUUUAAAAGUGCAAGCAUGGUUUCUGGGUGGCACUGGACUAAAUCUGCCCCCACACUGAAUAACUCUAGAUCACUUGUUCAAAUUUGUUUCUCCUGUAGGUCUUUUUAAUUUAGGAUAUUGUAUAGGAAUCAUCAGUUAAAUAACCAUUGACCAAUCAUUGUAGAGCCACAAUCCUGGCUCCAUAUAAAUGGAUUGGGAUCCCCAUAAGCUUUGGUGUGACUUAGUAUCUGAGGUUAAAUCUUUUCUUGCCUGAUUGGAAGUGAUCAGUAUAUUUAGCAUCGACUAAUUUUGUUUUUUGUUUAAAACAUGAAAAUUUUUGUGUUAAGAACAAUGUGUCAAGUAAAUUCAUAGAUGCAAUGUCUCAUGAUAAAGUAGUAUUUGAGAGCUCAUUUCCAUAUAGACAUUAACUUAUUAUUGAUUCCUGGUCUCUAUAUGUGUGCCACAUGCAUACUGGUUUGUGGUAGACUCGCCUUGUGGUAUGUUUUAUAGUACCAUGUAUUAUUUCUGCUGAUACAAAUUUUUUUUAACUAACAAUUUGUAUAUCUUUAAAUGACUACAUUGUCUCUUUUUCAUCAAAAAGAUUGAGGCAUGCCCAUCAUUACCACCUGAAGUAUAUUGAAACAAGUCAACAACACUCCUACAUGCCUCCUUGAUCUAGUGUGUGCCCAGUUUAGUUUUAACAUAUUGUUACUACCAUAAUGUCACUGUAAACUCCAUUUCGCUACACAUUGACGUUUCUAUGUUUGCCAACGAACUGUUUUUUAUCAUAUGUUUCUACCUUGCAUCAUUCAAUAAGAACAUUCUUUUUUGGUAGAUUGUUUUAUUAGAAAACAGGGAGUUCUGGUUUUGAUGGUAUUUUUUGCUAUGGCAGGUUCAAAAAAUGGGAUCAGUUGGGAGGUCAAUUGAUGUUGCAAGUUUUAAGAAUUAUGAAGAAUUAUGCUAGGCAAUUGAAUGCAUGUUUGGAGUUGAAGGUGUGCUAAACAACGAGAAAGGCUCAGGUUGAAAAAUGGUGUAUGUGGAUUAUGAGAAUGAUGUACUUCUUGUUGGGGAUGAUCCCUGGAAGUAAGUUCUGUUUUGUUGUUUUGUGCAUGCAUGCACUGAUAGAACCCAGAUCUACUGAACCCCCACUAUACCAUUAUAGUAACUAGACCAAUACAUUAUCAUAGUAAAAUUAACCAGAAAUAAAGUCAGUAUAUACCUACAUUUUUAGGAUCAUUUUGCUGGCAUUCUGGUGGGGACUGUUUAUAGUUCACUUUCUUGCUAUAUCUUGCUUUCACAGCUUAUGUUUUUAGUAGUUUAUGUUUUCAUUUGGAACAACUAGCACUAUGGGUUCGAUUCUGCAGUUAGACAUAUUUCCAAUGCUUAUCAAUGUUCCUCUGCCAGUGAGUUUGUUGGUUUUGAAUCUAUUACCCAUCACCACAAAGGAACUUCUGUUACAAAUCAUAAUGCUUUAAACGAAGCCUUAAGAAUAUAUUAAUGUUCAUCUCUAGACAUCCAUAUUCUAGCCAUGGUUGGGUCUAUGCGUUGUUCUCUCCUUACCCAUUGGGGCAUAGGUUACUUCCAUAUUUCACCUAAUGCAGAAGGCACUUUUUAAUCACCACUAUGCUAUUUCCUGUACAGGGUUGCCAUUCUUCGCUAUUUAGAUUUCUUAACGAAAAUUGAGAAUUGAAACUGAUGAAAGAAAAAAGUGAUUGAUGAGAAAUUAAACCAAGUGGAAUGCUAUAUCUUGUGGUCCUAGACUCUGCAAUGGUUCAUCCCUAGACAAAAACAUGUCCUUCCCAUGUGCUUUUGAAAGAUAUAUCUUCAGCUUUUAGAUUCUCUCUGUUUUCGUAUUUAUUGCAUCUUUUGCAUUUCAAUAGCCUAUACUUUGCUGUUGCAUAUUGUGCAUUUAUAUGGGUUUCCAUGAUUCCUUUUGCAUGUUUACACCUCUACUUCCACUCUUCUAUAGAUACUUNNNNNNNNNNNNNNNNNNNNNNNNNNNNNNNNNNNNNNNNNNNNNNNNNNNNNNNNNNNNNNNNNNNNNNNNNNNNNNNNNNNNNNNNNNNNNNNNNNNNCUUCUAUAGAUACUUUUUUCUCAGAUUUAGGCCCUAUCUUCUUUCAGAUGAAUUAUUUUUAAUGAAAUUACCUCUGUAUUUCAGACCAUUGAGAUUCUUUUCAGCAAAAAGAUAUUAUUGAACAUGGAGGUUAGUUGACACUCUCCUUUUAUUGCUAUGCUAAUUCACAGAUGAUAGUUUCAAUUUUUUUCCCAUUCAAUUUUUUGUUCAUUGCUAUCAAUUUGACGAUUUCUGUUUGAUUCUAUUGUACAUCAUUGUUAACUGUAUGAAAGCAUGCUUAUUGUAGAGGCAUUUAUUAAAAUAUUAAAAUUUAAUUUUUUUUGUAAUAGGAUCUAUCAUUUCAUCCAACUAGAAGAGUUUCUCCAAUUCUAUGCAUUUUUCUAGAAUACACAGACAAUUCUGACCUUUCAAGCCAUUAAAUUGAAAUCUGGCUUACUGAUGCAAAAGAAUUACUAAUUUAAUCAAAGUAGUUUUUUUAUCACUUGCAUUAUUUUUUCUUUUCUAGAUCUUAUCAGCUCAGUUUUUGUGCUGACAUAUAGACUGGUUCAUAAAUUCAUGUUUCCCUAGAAGAUUGAAUUCAGAAGUCUCAAUUUCUUGAGAUGUGAAAGCAUGCCAGAUAAAUGGUGUCCCUUGUUAGGCAAUGUUAGUGGAAACUUUAUCAUUUCAUUCAAGAGAACUUUAUAUUUGUUUUGACUUCCCAUGUUGGUUGAAUGCAUUCCCUGGACUUGGUUAGUUUAUUUUCUGUUCUACUUCAAUCCAUACCAAAACCAAACAAUAGAAACAAGGUGAAAAUGACAGGACAGUUAGAUGUUACAGGACAACAAUGAACCCUUCAUGCAAUUCUGGAAUUGUUAAUAAAAUUUUCUAUCCGACUAAAUUCUUGUAAUCAGAAAUAUUAAGCUAAUAUUGGUUUUUGCAUGAUCCUGAUUCCUUUAUGGAAUUUUAUGUCAGUAGUUUUAAUUCUUUGGUGUCACCACAUUUUUAAGAUAUCUCAAUUUACAGGGCUAUACUCCAAUCUUCUGUGUUGGUGUUUUGGAUUCUCUGGCAGUGGAAUUGAAGGCGACAAAGGAUUUCUCCAAGUUAUAUGCUGGCAUUUGCAAUACUUGGGUAUAUUGCUUUCGUUCCAGAAUCCGUCAACACCCGAGCCUUUUCUCAUCUUCUCACUUUUCUGGGCCAUAGAUAUCCCAAGGUAUGUGGUGCACACAAAAUAUUAUCACUUUUACUGAAUUUUAAACCCUCAAAAUUUUGCCUCUCAAUUAUAUAAUAAACUGUCCCUUACUGAUGGAUUGGUUUUUUGCUAUCUCCCUUAGAUCCGGAAGGCUUCUGCUGAACAAGUUUACUUUGUCCUCCUACAAAAUGGAGAGCUUGUGAUAGAGGAUAAGAUGGAGAAAGCGCUUGAAUUAUUUCCAAAACUUGCUGGGAAGGUGAUAUAGAAGAAGCAAAACAGCGACGAUUAGAGUUGCAUGAUAUGGCUGGUCUAGAAACAGGGCUACUUCCCAAAAUUGGGAAUGGAGCAUCAAACAGGGAUGGUGAGAAGAGGCCAACAGCCAGUGAUGAGAAUGCAUCAUACUCUUCCUUAGUUGGGUCAACUUGGUUCUGAUUGACUUGAAUUAAACCAUCCUUCAUGUUUGUUGUACAUUUUCAUCACUUCUCUUCACCUUAGACAUCUACCUCUCUAGCUUUUCCUGCAUGUCGCACAAUUUGCGUGACAUAAGUCUUGUUUGGAUAGACUUAUUGGAAGCGCAAGGCAUUUUUUUUUUGUUAUACACAAUAUUUUUAUGUGUCAUUUUAGCUUCUGCUGUUCAAUAGAAGUCGGUGAACGUUUCGAAGGGAAAGUCAUAUCACUUGAAAAAUUCGUCUAAAGCCUCUAGCGACUUAGGGAAAGUUUCAGAGUGUCGGAGCCCAUAACUUAAUUGAAGCACAUGAGCAUGCCAUCACAUGUUGCCAGUGUCACACGACGUGCCCACAAGUCAUGCAGUGCCUGUUGGCAGUGUCGUGCCCACCCGAUUUGCCAUUGAAUAUCUGAUCACUUGUUGUUGGUUGUUCCAAUGGUGAAGAUGGAAACCUUGGCUUCAUCAGGGGCUCAUCAUCAAUCCUGGCAACCUUGGGUGUACACAGCCUUAAUGCAGGCUUAGGCAAUCUGGGUGCUGAAAUGCAAAUGGCUCUAGCUUAGGCCUUUUGUUUUUACUUUUGUUUGAUUGAAGUUGGAAUGUAGUGUAUGAAUUAUAAAUGCAAUUCUACAUGUGAAACUAGAAUAGGAACCCUUUUAGUAGAUGUAAUGCUAUGGAGGUUGAUGUACCACUGUCAGAAAUUAAAUCAGUUGAUAUUUCUGCCAGAGCAAUUACUUCCUUCAUUUGACAAAGAGGCCUUCGGUGGUGGCUUUAUAUAAGAGGGCAAGAUGUGUAGGUGAAACCAAGUUGCGUGCUUGCAUUCCUUAAUUGGAAGGGAGAAGGAAAAGGAUUACAAUUCAGGAAUCCAAAGCCCCGAAGGGAAAACAAAAGGAUCUCGACGAAGAAUGAUCUUGCAAUAAGGGUAGAAUUAUGACUAAUUGAUCUCAUCCAUCAACUGUCUAUAGUCAUAAGAAAAUACGCCAUUAUUCUUUUAGAAAAUUGCACUAGAAAAUAUGCCAUGAAUAUCCAUUCCUUUCGUUUCUCUACUCUUAUGCCUUAUACAUCGUCAGACUGCAUGUUCAUGGGGGUUUUGAACAAAAAUAACUUGUUUUCAAAAAAUAUUCUCUAAAGUAAAUCCCCUAUCAAAAUAAAUUCUAAAUUGGUGUUUCUCAAUCAUGUGGAUGCCAUGUGGUUUGAGAUCUUUUUUUUUUUCAUAUAUAUAUAUAUAUAUAUAUAUAUAACAUUUUUUUUGUGUGGCUUUUUCCCUUUUUUGUCCUAGGUUUUUUUUGUGGGCAAAAUUGCUCAUGGCUUGGUAAUAAGAACCCACUUUGCCCUUGGGUUAGUUGGGUGGAUAUUGGCUUGAUUGAUUAUAAUAAUAAGGUUUUUCAGAGACUUAUAGUCAAUAUUUGUGUUUAAAUUAUCAAUGGACUCCUACUUUAGUAUUGGGAACUAGCAAGGUCAGACAAGAGAAAAGGGAAACUCAAGAAUAAUCCAUAAUCACUUGAAAAUUAUUAGUCUUUAUUUUGGAAGUUAUUAUGUAUGAUUUUAAAAAUUAUUAUUAACCAUUCUCAGAAUACAGUAGCUCCACACCUUAAAAGUAAUCAUUCGGCACAUCGAAAAAUGGCGAUCAUCAUCCCAAAAUUUUGGACUAAUGGGAAUGACACCGUUCAAGCACAAAACACAUUUUCAUCACUAAGUACUUGGUUAAAAAGCAAAUCUAUCAAGUCAAUUCUCAUUAGAUUACAGGCAAGUUACCUCUAUAAUUUCUAAUUUACAACUGUUACAAUUAUUGACGCACGUGUUUGUCAUACAAAGCAAGAUGUCUCUCUUGCUGGGAUUCCUGAACUGAAGCAGCUUAACCCCAUAAUGAUGUUUUGUAAGUUCUUCCAUAAGUUUCAGCACAAUGAAUUUUGUAUAGUCCUCUAGGUUCGUAUGUUGGCUGUUGUUGUUCCUCAUGUUUGGAAAAAGUAAGAUAGACACCCUUGUACACCCUUGUACUUUUAGUACAUUGGCCUUGUACACUUAGUGUAAAUGCCUUGUACAGUUAUAGAAAUUCAACCUAGAUCAUACAACAUAACUAGUGCAUAUGGCUGGGUUAACCACGUUCCAAUGUCAUGGCUCACCGAGUUGGGGAAAAAUGACACCAAAUCGAGGUUCCUAUUCAUCAUAAGCGCGCUAUUUCAUCCAAUGAAUGUGUACGAAGGGAAAUGAGGAAUGUCCCCCUUAGAAAAAAUAAAUGAGCAAGCAAUUUUUUCAAAAGCAUUUCAAAUCCUUCAAGAUAGGCACCCUUGUACACACUUGUACAGUUAGCACAUUUGCUUUGUACACUUAGUGUAAAUGCCUUGUCCAGUCACCAAAUCCCUAAUAGGUACAUAUUUUCAAGUGAAUAUGGGUGGGUAACCAAUGUUUCCAUUACCAUGGACUAGGGAAAAUGACACAAAAGGUUACCCUAAUUUCGGUUCAUAUUCAUCAUUACUAGGGAAGCUAAUAGGAUGAAUGAACAUGGUAGACAUCAAUUAAAUUGCAUGCAAUGCAUGUGUUAUCAAGCAACAUGUGUGAGGAUUGUUCCCCACGUUUGGAAAAAGUAAGAUAGACACCCUUGUACACCCUUGUACUUUUAGUACAUUGGCCUUGUNNNNNNNNNNNNNNNNNNNNNNNNNNNNNNNNNNNNNNNNNNNNNNNNNNNNNNNNNNNNNNNNNNNNNNNNNNNNNNNNNNNNNNNNNNNNNNNNNNNNUAGGCUUUAGAUGCUAUGAAUGACUCUAGGUCAAAAGCUUAGGGCUCUAAAUGCUAAUAAUGACUCUGGGUCAUGAAUGAAAAUAACAACUCUAGGUCAUAAAUAAGAAGAAUGACUUUAGGUUGUGAGAUCGAGGCUCUAAAUGCUAAGAAUGACUCUAGGUCAUAAAUAAGAUUAACGACUUAGGGUCGUGAGCUCAGGGUUGUAAAUGCUAAGAAUGACUCUAGGUCAUGAAUGAGAAGAACAACUCUGGGUCGUGAGCUCAGGGCUCUAAAUGCUAAGAAUGACUCUGGGUCAUAAAUAAGAAGAACGACUCUGGGCCGUGAGCUUAGGGCUUUAAAUGCUAAGAAUGACUUUGGGUCAUAAAUAAGAAGAAUGACUCUAGGUUGUGAGCUCAGGGCUCUAAAUGCUAAGAAUGACUCUAGGUCAUGAAUAAAAAGAACGACUCUGGGUCGUAAGCUCCGGGCUCUAAAUGCUAAGAAUGACUCUGGGUCAUAAAUGAAAGAAGAACGACUCUGGAUUGUGAGCUUAAGGCCCUAAAUGCUAAGAAUGACUCUGGGUCAUAAAUAAAAGGAACGACUUUGGGUCGUGAGCUCAAGGCUCUAAAUGGAUUGCCGAUCAGGAUGCUUUCCGGCUCAUGGUGUUGAGUAGAGGCCACUCGUAAGUGGCUAGAAUGAUGAAAACAAAACAUCUCAGGGAUGUGAAGGAUACAAACGACUUCGGAUUAUGAGCUCAGGGCUUGGAAUGCCAUGAAUGACUUUGGGUCAUAAUACAAUGAGUAACUCAGGGUUAUAAUGAAUAGCUUAGGGCUAUCUAAACAGCUCAGGGUUAUGAGCUCCAGGCUCAGUGACUGAUCUGCUAGAAGGAGAGUGCAAUACGCAAACUCCAAGUCAAAUCACUCAUGGGUGACCAAAUGAUGAAGGCUUAGCUCAGGGCUGGAAAGACUCUGGGUCUUAAGAAAAUGAUAGCUCAGGGCUACCAGGCUCAAGGCCUAGAAGGAAUGGAUAGCUCAAGGCUAUAAGACUUAGGGUCUAGAAGAAGGAUAACUCAAGGCUACCAGGCUCAAGGCUUAAGAAGAGAGUGAUAACUUAGGGCUAGGAGACUCAGGGCUUAAAAGGAUCGAAUAAAAAAAACUAACUCAAAAGUGGAUAGGAAGUAAAUGGGCUCAAAGUCAUAUACUCAAAAUGCCAAGGGUCGGACUACUAAACUUAAGAAGGGAAAUAUGCCCCAGUAUCUAGGGUGCUUGCACUACUGAAACAACUAGUAAAUCAAUCAUUAGUUGAAAUCAAUGGGUUAGAAACCAAUGCAUCAUCACAAACCUCUAAAAAAUCUAAAUUGAAAGAACUUUCUAUGUCUAAAAAGUUGCUCUGUCGAUGAAUCUCAAAAGGUAAAUCUCAAAGCGUGUAUAUCAUGGCUCAUCUAAAAGAAAAUCUCAAAGGGCACAAAACACUGCUCAUUUGGAUAAUCCAAUCUGCAAAGUAACAAUGGAAAAAACAAUCUAUUUCAUGAGCAUCUAGCUAAAUGAUCCACCCAUGCUUUUCGAGUGAAACCUGAUGUGAUCCAUCUCUAUCUGAACAAAUCUAUGUAGGGAGGUCCUGAUAUAGUCAAUCGUCAGAAGCUCUAGACUAGUACUUAAUCUAAAAUUAAGUUGGUCAUUGUCUUAAUCUCAAGAAUACUCAAAGAAAAUGGGAAAUAUGCCCCAAUAUGAGAUCUGAUGUCAGAGUCAUAAGGUAAAUAAGCAACAACGAUCAUCUAUCUAUGUACCGCUACCUGAACAUAGUCUCGCCAAGGAGAGGGGAAUAUGCCCCAGUAUGGCUAUCUAAUGUCAAAAUCAUGAGGUAAAUAACUAACAAUGAUCAUCCAUUUAUGCACAAUCUCAUCAAGGAGAGGGGAAUAUGCCCCAAUAUGGAUGUCUAAUGUACAACAAAGAAUCCGUCAAAAUCAAUCAAACAUCUCUAUAACCAUAAAUAAGGAUAUCCAUACCGUCCAACAACAACUAGAAACCUCAGAGAAAGAGGAAAUAUGCCCCAACGUGGAUAUCUGAUGCAUGACAAAAUGAUGAAUCUGAUAUCAUCAAUGAAUUGUCUCCAAACUCAAAAAUCCAUCAAACAUCAAUAUGCUAAGCAAGAGAGAGAAACCAAAUGCUUCCAAAAGUAUCUCCCAUAAGAGAAAACAUAGUAACGACUAUGCUUCAACCAAUCUACAAAAGCUCAUCCAAGUGAAAAUUGUCAAAGAUAAUGUCUAAUCUCAUGGCCUUAGGGUGGUCUUAAGACACGAGACGUAACAUAGGCCAGGGUGAAAAGGCAAAGAAACGAAAGAAAACUAGGCUCAAAUAUCUAAUGAUCAAACCCAUACCCUCGUGUAUAGUGUACAAUGCAUAGGAGAAUCUCAUGAACAUGUGAACUUAAGAGGAGUCGAUGAGAUUAUUGAUGGUGAAAUGAGAAAGGAGGAGAAAUGGUCAAACCAUUAGCAAGUCAUGUAAAUGAUGUGAAGAAAGGUGUCAAAUCGGGAGAGUAUAUAGGUGUUGGAAUGGCACAAAAAAGGGAAUAAAUAGUGGGAAAGAAGUGAUGGGAAAUCAAAUGAAGGUAGUGAGAAAGUAAAAAAAAUGAAUGAUGAGCAACACAUAUUAGUACAAUAGAGGUAAUCAUAUCACCCAUAAUGGAGUAGUAGAGAAGACACCGAUUCAAAGAACUUAGUGAAAGGUUACUGAACUCUCAUACCUAUAAAGUAUAUCUACUCUGAUCCAAGAAACAAAUGAUCUAAUAAAACUCUCUCUCUAGAGCUAAUAGGUGAUCUGCUCUGCCUCGAGAUUUCACAAUCAUAUCAUCAACAUAAACUUCAACAACCCUAUGCCUCAUGUCAUGAAACAAGGUAGUAGUGGCCCUCUGAUAAGUGGCUCUUGCAUUCUUCAACCCAAAUGGCAUAAUCCUGUAACAGUAAGUGCCUCACUCAGUAAUAAAGGUUGUCUUCUCCAUAUCCUCUGGAGCCAUCAAAAUCUUAUUAUACCCUGAAAACCCAUCCAUGAAAAACAACAUCGAAUGGCCUACAGUGUUAUUGACCAAAAAAUCAAUUUGUGGGAAAGGAAAAUCAUCUUUAAGGUUAGUUUUAUUAAAGUCUCUGAAGUCAACACAAACUCUAACUUUGUCAUCCUUUUUGGGAAUAGGGACGAUGUUAGCCAACCACUCUGGAUACUCAACCAUUGAUAUAAAUCCAACAUUGAGUUGUUUCUUAAUCUCCUCUUUCACCUAUAGACUCCAACGUGGGUGCAACCGUCUCAAUUUUUGCUUAAUCGGUCUGGCAUAUGGCAAAAUAAGUAAAUGGAACUAGACUAUAGAGGGAUUGAGACCAGACAUGUCCUCAUAAGACCAUGCAAAGACAUCCAAGUAUGACGUGAGUAAAUGAAUAAGUCUAUCACUUUCAUAUAUAGAUAGGGGCGAACCAAUCUUCAGCUCUCUAGGCUGGUCCUCUAUGCCAAAAUCAACAGUCUCAACAUCUCCUAUAACAAGUGAAACUCUCUCAUCUAUGGGAUCUGAGUCAUGAUCAAAAGAGUCUAUAUCUAAAUCGAGUUGUGCAAUCUCAUCAUCUAUAUCAAAUAUCUGUGGAGUGGGUGAGUGGGGUGCAGAUAUAGAGAUACUAUUACAAGAGACAAGCGAAUACUAAAAAAAUACUCAAAUCCAUAAAUGAAACAAUAGAAACAUCGUUAGAGUAGGAGACAUAUCCCGAUAAAACAUCAAAAGAAAGAGGUAGGUCUACAAGGUUGGACACUUCCUCAACUGGGCUAACAAUGCUCUCAAACAAACUAUUAUCAUCCUCUAAAAGCUCUAGAACAAGAAUAGUCUGAGUCUCUUCAACAACCUUAGUGGUGGACACCCCAAAUGAUUACUACUCAAAAAGUGUUAUUUCAUAGCUUGUAAUUAACUCUUUUAAACAUUUUUGAGUAGUAGUUAUCACCUUUUAACCCAAUUAACAUAUUAAGGACCCUUGCAAUCAAUUCUAAUCAAAUUGUGUUAAGUUUUGGUGUUUUUGUUAGUAAUUUGAUCACCAAAACAAUCCGAGAUUGAGGAGAGUUCUUUGGAAUCCCUACAAAAGAUGUCCGAACAGGGCGUCCGGACACACCAUCGGAGGGCGACGGAAUGUGGGUUAUGGCAGGCUGUCGGAAUGACGUAGCAAGGCUUAGUAAAUGAUCCGGACAACACAUCCGGAAUUCUGCUCCGCCGACAUUCCACCCGAAUGUCUCACAUCCGGAAAUCUUUUUCGCCGACAUUUCAUCCGGAUAUUUCACAUCCGGCGCUUGACGCCGGAUGACCGGAUAUUUCACACCCGGCCUAAUGCCGGAUGGCCGGAUAUUUCGUACCUAGCUUGACGCCGGAUGGGAGAGGAGGGCGUUUCAACUUCCCCAGUCAGACAUAUCCGGAUCUUCUGAUAGCGCUUACUCGGAGAGUUUCGCAGCCAUUUUGCACAGUGCCACGGUGUUCUCCUGAAGCUUCCUGAUAUGUCCAACCGACAUUUUGAGAUAUUUUUCUACACAGUGCCGCGGUGUUCUCCUGACGCUUCCCGAUAUGUGCGACCGACAUUUUGAGAUAUUUUAAGAUAUUUUACUUUAGAUAUUUGAUGUUUAAAUCCCCAAACUCUCCUUGUAACCCACCUAUCAUAGGAUUCCUUAGUUAUUAAGUUUGGAAAAAAAGGUGAAUAACCUCUUAUAUAUAGUUUGUAAUUUUCUUUAGAAAAUGGUAUAUAGAAAAUAUGUAGAUCUGGGAGCUUGUUCUCAGAGAUGCAUCCUUUGUACAGUUUUGGGAAGGAAGUAAAAUACAGAGCACUUGCUCUGCUUUUCAUAUAUAUUUUUGUUUUCUCGUUCUUUUUAUUUCUAGCCAAUCAAACUCUGAGGAUUUUUCCUCAGAGGAUGAGAGGCUAGGCUCUUUGUCUCUUGGAGUGAAGAAAGCCGGGUAAGUUUCCACAUGCAUAAAUUGGAAGUUUUGUUGUUUUAGUUUUUAAUGAAGAGAAAGUGUAACCUGUUAAUGGUUUUUAUCUUUUUAGUUAACUUAAAACGUCUUUAAAUCACCUAGGCCAACACUUGGUAAGGCAAGUGAUCUCCAUCCAUUGAGAUGCACUAGUUUAUCUCUUGCGAGCCUUUGGGAUGUGGUUUGAAGGUAGGAUUUUCUAGAAUAGCCAACACUUAGUAAGCUUUUGGACUCCAAGGAGACAUCCAUUAGUUAUCUCUUGCGAGCUUUUGACGGAUAAUCCAAGGUUAAAGAUCACCUUGAAUGACAAGUGCUAGGUGAGAGGUAUGAGUCAUUGCAAGGUGCAUCAGUGAGAGGGAUUUAGUGUUUGAACCCAUUAAGGGGAAGCAUCUGUACAGCACCGGUUAGAGAAUUGACUAUAUGUUAAUUCUCUAAUGCGAGAAAAAGAAACAAGUGACCGGAACUUCCUUUUUGUACAAGGAACCUGAGCCUAGUGAUCUAAACUCCAAGAAACACUUUUCUUUGUAAGUAAAAUCAAUUACUAUUUUUGGUUAGUUUAAAACCAAACCUUUUUCCACCAAAAAUUAUGUUUUCUUUUAAAGCUAACCUUGAAAUGAAAAGGCACCAAUUCAUCUUUGAAUUAAUAUCAAUUGUGAAGUGAAAACCCAUCCCAGUGAAUGAUCCUAGAGCCACUAUGCUAUAGUAGCUUUGUCUUUGCUACCCUAGUUCAUGGUGUAAUAGGUUAUAAAUUUUGUUGAUUACUCCCUGAGGACCAAAAUCAAGGGACACCAGUUGGACACGAAUCAAAUGGCACCACUGUCAAGAACCAUUGAGAGGACAUGAAUCAAAUGAGACACCAAUUGGGAACGAAUCACCAAACAUAUCAAAUGCUGAAAUAGGCUAAAGCUGAACAAUGCUGAUAAUCCGACUCACGGUCAUCAUGUCCAUCUCAUGUUGGUACUCAUCAUGGGGAACAACUCCAUCAAUCAUCUUAGUGAGAUUGACGACCACUUUGUCAUCAGUGACCUCCUCUGGGAAGCAUAGGGACAACAAACUAGCUCGAUCUAGACACGGAGGAGUAAUCGCCAUAGAAUCAGAAGUGCUAGGAGCCCUAUCACUCAACUAUAACCAGUGAAAUAGAUGCCGAAGCUUAAUCUCUCUAUCUGUAUGAACCACACUAUCACUUUCUUCUAGACGAAGUCGAAUCUUUGUUCCUCUGACAAAGUAGUCAGCCAGACUCAUCCUAUAGGGUUGAAUAUGAUAAUCAAAUGGUGUGUGAGAUAAUAGAGCCCUUACUCUCUCUUUGCGUAAUUGCGCCAUGUAUUGAUAAUCGGCCUCAAUAGGAAUGAACUCAAGUCCAAAUGUCAUAUCAUGGUCAAUGGCAGCUAUAAACUCAUUAGGUCCCUACUGACGUAGUCUUAACCUCAUGUCAGGUAAAAAAAACAUACCCUUCAUCAUAUCAAGAACCACUGUAAUGCUAUGUUGAUCAAAUGACAUAACUACAAAAUCUCUACAAAAAUCUUCAAUCUCAAGCGUCUAUAUCUCAUCAAAAGUAAACUCGGUCAGAAAUAGGCCAUCCUCACUAUGAUUAAUUUGAAGUAUUGGCUCGAAAGAGGCAAACAUAUCUCUGGUAGACUGUACAGUGAUGACCUACCCAUCAUGAAUGAACUUCAUCUUCUGAUGAAGAGAAUAAAGGAUAGCUCCAGCUCUAUGAAUCCAAGGUCGGCUUAAUAGCAAGUUAAAAGAUGUAUGAAUCCUUAAAACCUACGACAAAGUAGAAAAUAUGGCUGAACCAAUCUAUAAAUCAAUUACCAAGGUACCCAUAACCUCCCUCUUAGUAUUAUCAUAUACUUUGACUAUCUAAGUAGAAUGACCAAGGGCUGUAGCAAUGGUUAAAGGGCAGACAUUCAGGGCUGAGCCAUUGUCCAAUAGGAUAGAUGGAACUUUGUGGCCUGAACAACCAACUGUGAUAUAUAGAGGGCAUAUGUGGUCUAAACCCUCAGGUGGCAAAUCAUCAUCUGAAAACACAAUGCAAGUGGCCUUACCAACUGUCAUCAUAUGAAUCAACCCCUUUAGAGUGGUGGCAGUCUCUACCCUGAUCUGACUCAAGACUCAAAUCAAAACAUCUCUAUGAGUACUAGAUGAUGCUAAUAAACUCCAAAAAAAAUAUGAGCCUGAGUGCUCUGUAAUUGUCUCAAAACCUCAUCAUCCUCUCUCUAAAUAAAAGUAUCCUGGUGUCUGAUAACCAAAGGUGUAGAAUGAGUCAUCUGAAACAACACCCCAUUUGGGAUCAAACUGAAUGGUGUGGGAACCUAGGGACCCAAUGAAACCCCACUAACCUCACUACUGUCAUGCAAAACAAUCGGCUCGGGUAAUCUAUCAUCCCAACUUAACCUAUGUAUACUGUCAUCCUCUAUAAGGUCUAUGUGAUGGAUAUUUCCUGGAGGUGGAGACAUUGCAUGUGUAGAAUGGGUGGGAAGAGGGUUAGUGGUUACACUUGGUUGUCCCAAGUUAACCAAACUCUGGUCUAUCAAAUCCUGAAUAGCAUGUCUGAGAGCACUAUAGUGGUCUCUGUCAUGCCCUUGUCCUUGAUGAUAAGAACAGUGUAAGUCUAAUCUAAAGUACUAGCUUGGGUGCCAAUGGAGUCAAUAACUCACCCUCCAUGAGCUUUUGAAAAGCUUGACUUAAAGGCAUACCCAAUUGAGCAAACUAACGUGAUGGUCUUUGCACAUAAGUAGUGGUCUACGGGGCUCGAAGUCGAGUGUAUGGGGCAGGAGGUCUCUCUGUGACAUGUGCAGCAAAACAGGCUAUGAGACUGGAUGUAGAUAAAUAGGAGUCAUGGGUCUAAAGGGAGUAGGUGGCCUAUACUGCACAUAAGGUGAUGGUGGGUAAUAGAAUCCAGAAGUCUGCCCAAUUGUCGGAUAGCCUCUAAGAGGUCUCAUCCCUGCUAAACUGAUAGCACCAACAUCUUCUGAUCUCUAUCCUCCUAAAGGCUUCUUCCUCUUAGAGUCAAUAGGGGAAGACUUGAGCCACAAACCUCUAGUUAUGCCCUCCUUUAUAGUAAAUAAAGCCUGUACCAAAAAUCCAAAAUCUGUAUGAGGAAAUCCCAUCAAGUGCCUAGCAAACUUAGGCUGUAAGUUCCUCAUGAUCAUACUAAUUUGCUCAUUCUCUGAAGGACGAUCAAUAAUCUAUGAAAUUUUCUCCCUCCAACGGGAAAUAAAUGAGGUGACUGACUCAUUUAGCCUCUAUCUCAAAGCCUCUAACUCUCUCCUCGAGACAUCAAUGAUAGUGUUAAAUGCAAACUGUCUCAAAAACUCUUGGGUCAAAUCAUCCCAAGUCCGACAGCAUGAUACAUCCAAUGAAGUAAACCAACGUUUGCCGCACCACUCAGGGACAUAGGAAAAAGCAUAACCAUCUGAGCCUCAUCUAGUUCAUGGGCUCUCAUAACCAUAUUGUAAAGCCUCAAAUGGAUGCGAGGACAGCCUAUGCCCGUAUAUCUCUCAAUCUCAUGCAUCUUAAACUUGGCUGGUAAACUGGCCACCGGUGCUCCAUCAAAAUCCUCCCAAGUAAUGGCUCUGUCUAAAGCCCUCAUCUGCCUCAACCUUUACUCAAGUCUAUCCAUAUGUGUAUGUGGGUCCUCUGAGGUCAGGAUAGGCAAUGUGAUAGGAGGCGGGGCAACCUCAGUCUGACUAUGCAGAGUGAAAGGUAUAGGCUAUGGUGCUGACUGACUGGGUGGAGAAGUUGGUGGUACUAUAGUAUCAAACUAGGUACUCUCCUGAACUAGUACCUGUUAGGCCUACUGCCCAUCUAUCCUCUGGCCAAGGCUAGCUAAAGCUUCCUAGAUAGAAGUCAUGGCCGUAGCAAACUAGUCAACGGUAACUAUCUAUGAGUCCAUAUCCCUCUGAUCUGAUAUCUGGUUUGACUGAAAUAAUACUCUAGUCAAUCUACCUCCAACUCUAAUCCACGAAGGUGAAUCCAGAUUGGUCAUGGUAAACCCUCUUACAAAUAUGGAAACACUGGAUAAGGUGUAGUAUGAAGGUGACUAUGUAGGAAUCAACUUAUAAGUGCGCAGAAAUAUAGCCUAAAUGUACUCAAUGUGAUACUCAUCUCUGAUCAAACCAAAAGGAGACUACGGAGGGGAUAAUUGAACACAAUUGUGACCAAGGUGGCUCUGAAGGUCCACAGAUGCACCCACGUCUAGGAAUGAAAUCUUAAUUUGGUCUAAGCUAGCCUACAAGGUUGAGGUGGCUCUAUAAGAUAAAAUGGGUGGGUUAAAGAAUCUUUAGUAGAAGCAAUCGUAGCCUCCAACGGUACACACAACCCUCUGCACACCUUCAAGGAGACGGGGUGCUUCCAUGCAAGGUGGUCAUCACCUCCACACAUGCACUUCCUCGUUUUCCUAACGGUGAAGGCUCUUCCAUCUCUUAACACUUAGGGAUAAUCUAAAAUACGCGGUGAAGGAUGUGGGUGCAUCCGAAAAACCUAAGAUAUAAAGUGAGAUAGUAAACAUAGACAAGCAAUCAUACAAUCAUGUAGGUGUAAGGGUUGUCAUGCAACAAGCAGUCAUACCAAGCAGAUAGGUAUCAUAUAAACAAAGUCUUAUCUAGCAUAUGUGAGAGUGAAUCAUGCUGAAGUGAGCAAGUAAUCAAGUGAUCAUUCAAGGCAAUUAAACAUGUUAAGAUAUCAUACCAAACAAGCAAGCAGAUUGGAUCAUCUAACCUAAAAAAAGAUGUACCCUCUAAUUAAACAAUUAAACGCCACAUUUUCCUCAACUAGUGCUCAAGCUUGAUCCUCAAGAUUCCUAGUGGAGUCGCCAAUUUGUGGACUUGCAUUUUUCACGUGCGUCCCCACUUAAUGGGAAGACUCAUUUUUAUUGGUGAAAAAUUAGUUUUAGAAAAUUUAGAGUCGCCACUUAUUUUAUUUUAUUUUAAAAAGAAAAAUAAAACAAGAAAGAAAACCCUAAAGAAGUGACUCCAUAGUUUUUGGCAAAAACGUGUUUUUGAAAAACUCGAGUCUAGAUCCAAGGAUCAAGUUACCUAUUGGGAAGGUACCUCUAAAAGGUGGCACCCCUCUAAGCCCUACAAAGGUCUCUACUGACUAAGUAGAGGGAAAUGAGGCAAUUAAUUGGUUGAUUGUAGAUACCUAGGUAGGCUAAGUGAUUUCAAAAAUAGCAUGUCAAACAAGAAAACCAAUCACAAAUCAUAAAUAAGAUUUAGGGUGUGUACUUGGAUUGCUUCUUAAGCACUAUCAUAAGGCAUCAAUGGUUAGUUUGGAAAAUAAAACACACAACAUGUAUUUUACCCUAGUCUCUUAAUCAAACAUAGCAAGCUAAACAAACAAUCAAAAAGAUAUGAUGAACAGGUUGACAAUCACAUACGAAGCAAUACAUAAUGAUCAUGUAUAAAGCAAUACAUAAUUUAUGGAAUUAAGAUACGAAGGUAAGAAGCGUACCUGGAUAGCAUAGGUAACUUGUAACGUGCUUCCUCAAGACAUGAGGGGUUAGAUAAUAAAUAAUAAAAUAAAGAAAUCCUAGCAUGCUUGUCAUCUAAUUAGCAUAGCAAAAAUGAUCAAAGUAUACGAAAUCAUCAAUUAUCACAUACAUCUUGUAUAUAAUUCCUAAAAAAAUAGAUAGAUAUGAUUACAACAAGUAGCAAAGGUGGCAGCAAAGAUGAGUUUUGAAAAAGAUUUUAUGUAGGGGUUUCACCAAUUCCACAAUUGAUAUACACGAAUCUAGCCUAGAAUUAUCCCAUUUAUUUGGGACCAUAAGCUUGGAUUUGUGUCUUACUCAAAACCAUAGUUUUUAUUGAAAAUUGAGAAAGAUGCGAACCGAUCAAAACAUGGUUGCAUAUUAUUUAAGAACAUGAGAUUUUGAUUCUAAGGACUUUAAAUGUAUUUUUUUUAAUAAUAGAUUUUAAAUGGGAUAUUUUCAAAAAAUUAUUUUAUUUUAAAAUAAAAUAGAUUAAUUUGAAAACAACAAAACAUAAGAAAUAGAAUACCAAGCAAAACAAAAGAAAAUGAAAUCACAAAGUGAAAUUUUUGACAACCGAGCAAACUAAAGUGGUGAGAAUGGAGACCAAUCUUCACUAUUUUUCGAUAGCCUCUGAAAAGUAAGUGGGAUAGGAGACUGCCAAAGCAAUAAUUAAAACUUAGAUCAAAUAAACCAACAAGAUAUCCAUCAAGAAUUAAUGACUAAGAUUUAAGAAACACAUCAAUCAAGAACUAACAUAAGACCGAAUAAACACACAAACACAUUUAAACUAAAAUAAAUAAAUUAAAACUAAACUAAAUUAGAAUUUAAAACAUCGACUUUAUCUAACAUAAUUAUUUAAACUAUUAGAUUAAAAUUACAUACAAAUCUAAACUAAAAUAAAUAAAUAAAUAAAUAAGUAAAUUAAAACUAAACUAAAUCGAAAUUAAAAACAAGAUCUUUACCUAAGAGGUUUAAUUAACAAUUGAAUUAAAAUCACAAACACAUUCAAACUAUAGAAUAAAUUAAAACUAAACUAAUUUGAAAUUAAACUUUAUCUAAUAAGAUUAAUUAAACUAAUAAAUUAAAAUCAUCAACUAUUCCAAACUAAAGAAUAAAUUAUAACUAAACUAAAUCCAAAUUAAAAACAAGAAAUUUAUCCAACAUGAUUUAUUAAACUAAAGAAUUAAACUAUUAAAAUUCUGACUUUUCAAACUAAAACAAAGAAUCAAAAACUAAAGUAAAGAAUUUUAACUUACCUUUUUCAAGAUUCUUUUGCGUAGUGCAACUAUGAGAUUUCUUAAUGGAUGGCACAGCAGCAAGACUCCUCAAUGGAUGGUGCGGAUAAAGCGACUCCAAGACUCCUUANNNNNNNNNNNNNNNNNNNNNNNNNNNNNNNNNNNNNNNNNNNNNNNNNNNNNNNNNNNNNNNNNNNNNNNNNNNNNNNNNNNNNNNNNNNNNNNNNNNNNNNNNNNNNNNNNNNNNNNNNNNNNNNNNNNNNNNNNNNNNNNNNNNNNNNNNNNNNNNNNNNNNNNNNNNNNNNNNNNNNNNNNNNNNNNNNNNNNNNNNNNNNNNNNNNNNNNNNNNNNNNNNNNNNNNNNNNNNNNNNNNNNNNNNNNNNNNNNNNNNNNNNNNNNNNNNNNNNNNNNNNNNNNNNNNNNNNNNNNNNNNNNNNNNNNNNNNNNNNNNNNNNNNNNNNNNNNNNNNNNNNNNNNNNNNNNNNNNNNNNNNNNNNNNNNNNNNNNNNNNNNNNNNNNNNNNNNNNNNNNNNNNNNNNNNNNNNNNNNNNNNNNNNNNNNNNNNNNNNNNNNNNNNNNNNNNNNNNNNNNNNNNNNNNNNNNNNNNNNNNNNNNNNNNNNNNNNNNNNNNNNNNNNNNNNNNNNNNNNNNNNNNNNNNNNNNNNNNNNNNNNNNNNNNNNNNNNNNNNNNNNNNNNNNNNNNNNNNNNNNNNNNNNNNNNNNNNNNNNNNNNNNNNNNNNNNNNNNNNNNNNNNNNNNNNNNNNNNNNNNNNNNNNNNNNNNNNNNNNNNNNNNNNNNNNNNNNNNNNNNNNNNNNNNNNNNNNNNNNNNNNNNNNNNNNNNNNNNNNNNNNNNNNNNNNNNNNNNNNNNNNNNNNNNNNNNNNNNNNNNNNNNNNNNNNNNNNNNNNNNNNNNNNNNNNNNNNNNNNNNNNNNNNNNNNNNNNNNNNNNNNNNNNNNNNNNNNNNNNNNNNNNNNNNNNNNNNNNNNNNNNNNNNNNNNNNNNNNNNNNNNNNNNNNNNNNNNNNNNNNNNNNNNNNNNNNNNNNNNNNNNNNNNNNNNNNNNNNNNNNNNNNNNNNNNNNNNNNNNNNNNNNNNNNNNNNNNNNNNNNNNNNNNNNNNNNNNNNNNNNNNNNNNNNNNNNNNNNNNNNNNNNNNNNNNNNNNNNNNNNNNNNNNNNNNNNNNNNNNNNNNNNNNNNNNNNNNNNNNNNNNNNNNNNNNNNNNNNNNNNNNNNNNNNNNNNNNNNNNNNNNNNNNNNNNNNNNNNNNNNNNNNNNNNNNNNNNNNNNNNNNNNNNNNNNNNNNNNNNNNNNNNNNNNNNNNNNNNNNNNNNNNNNNNNNNNNNNNNNNNNNNNNNNNNNNNNNNNNNNNNNNNNNNNNNNNNNNNNNNNNNNNNNNNNNNNNNNNNNNNNNNNNNNNNNNNNNNNNNNNNNNNNNNNNNNNNNNNNNNNNNNNNNNNNNNNNNNNNNNNNNNNNNNNNNNNNNNNNNNNNNNNNNNNNNNNNNNNNNNNNNNNNNNNNNNNNNNNNNNNNNNNNNNNNNNNNNNNNNNNNNNNNNNNNNNNNNNNNNNNNNNNNNNNNNNNNNNNNNNNNNNNNNNNNNNNNNNNNNNNNNNNNNNNNNNNNNNNNNNNNNNNNNNNNNNNNNNNNNNNNNNNNNNNNNNNNNNNNNNNNNNNNNNNNNNNNNNNNNNNNNNNNNNNNNNNNNNNNNNNNNNNNNNNNNNNNNNNNNNNNNNNNNNNNNNNNNNNNNNNNNNNNNNNNNNNNNNNNNNNNNNNNNNNNNNNNNNNNNNNNNNNNNNNNNNNNNNNNNNNNNNNNNNNNNNNNNNNNNNNNNNNNNNNNNNNNNNNNNNNNNNNNNNNNNNNNNNNNNNNNNNNNNNNNNNNNNNNNNNNNNNNNNNNNNNNNNNNNNNNNNNNNNNNNNNNNNNNNNNNNNNNNNNNNNNNNNNNNNNNNNNNNNNNNNNNNNNNNNNNNNNNNNNNNNNNNNNNNNNNNNNNNNNNNNNNNNNNNNNNNNNNNNNNNNNNNNNNNNNNNNNNNNNNNNNNNNNNNNNNNNNNNNNNNNNNNNNNNNNNNNNNNNNNNNNNNNNNNNNNNNNNNNNNNNNNNNNNNNNNNNNNNNNNNNNNNNNNNNNNNNNNNNNNNNNNNNNNNNNNNNNNNNNNNNNNNNNNNNNNNNNNNNNNNNNNNNNNNNNNNNNNNNNNNNNNNNNNNNNNNNNNNNNNNNNNNNNNNNNNNNNNNNNNNNNNNNNNNNNNNNNNNNNNNNNNNNNNNNNNNNNNNNNNNNNNNNNNNNNNNNNNNNNNNNNNNNNNNNNNNNNNNNNNNNNNNNNNNNNNNNNNNNNNNNNNNNNNNNNNNNNNNNNNNNNNNNNNNNNNNNNNNNNNNNNNNNNNNNNNNNNNNNNNNNNNNNNNNNNNNNNNNNNNNNNNNNNNNNNNNNNNNNNNNNNNNNNNNNNNNNNNNNNNNNNNNNNNNNNNNNNNNNNNNNNNNNNNNNNNNNNNNNNNNNNNNNNNNNNNNNNNNNNNNNNNNNNNNNNNNNNNNNNNNNNNNNNNNNNNNNNNNNNNNNNNNNNNNNNNNNNNNNNNNNNNNNNNNNNNNNNNNNNNNNNNNNNNNNNNNNNNNNNNNNNNNNNNNNNNNNNNNNNNNNNNNNNNNNNNNNNNNNNNNNNNNNNNNNNNNNNNNNNNNNNNNNNNNNNNNNNNNNNNNNNNNNNNNNNNNNNNNNNNNNNNNNNNNNNNNNNNNNNNNNNNNNNNNNNNNNNNNNNNNNNNNNNNNNNNNNNNNNNNNNNNNNNNNNNNNNNNNNNNNNNNNNNNNNNNNNNNNNNNNNNNNNNNNNNNNNNNNNNNNNNNNNNNNNNNNNNNNNNNNNNNNNNNNNNNNNNNNNNNNNNNNNNNNNNNNNNNNNNNNNNNNNNNNNNNNNNNNNNNNNNNNNNNNNNNNNNNNNNNNNNNNNNNNNNNNNNNNNNNNNNNNNNNNNNNNNNNNNNNNNNNNNNNNNNNNNNNNNNNNNNNNNNNNNNNNNNNNNNNNNNNNNNNNNNNNNNNNNNNNNNNNNNNNNNNNNNNNNNNNNNNNNNNNNNNNNNNNNNNNNNNNNNNNNNNNNNNNNNNNNNNNNNNNNNNNNNNNNNNNNNNNNNNNNNNNNNNNNNNNNNNNNNNNNNNNNNNNNNNNNNNNNNNNNNNNNNNNNNNNNNNNNNNNNNNNNNNNNNNNNNNNNNNNNNNNNNNNNNNNNNNNNNNNNNNNNNNNNNNNNNNNNNNNNNNNNNNNNNNNNNNNNNNNNNNNNNNNNNNNNNNNNNNNNNNNNNNNNNNNNNNNNNNNNNNNNNNNNNNNNNNNNNNNNNNNNNNNNNNNNNNNNNNNNNNNNNNNNNNNNNNNNNNNNNNNNNNNNNNNNNNNNNNNNNNNNNNNNNNNNNNNNNNNNNNNNNNNNNNNNNNNNNNNNNNNNNNNNNNNNNNNNNNNNNNNNNNNNNNNNNNNNNNNNNNNNNNNNNNNNNNNNNNNNNNNNNNNNNNNNNNNNNNNNNNNNNNNNNNNNNNNNNNNNNNNNNNNNNNNNNNNNNNNNNNNNNNNNNNNNNNNNNNNNNNNNNNNNNNNNNNNNNNNNNNNNNNNNNNNNNNNNNNNNNNNNNNNNNNNNNNNNNNNNNNNNNNNNNNNNNNNNNNNNNNNNNNNNNNNNNNNNNNNNNNNNNNNNNNNNNNNNNNNNNNNNNNNNNNNNNNNNNNNNNNNNNNNNNNNNNNNNNNNNNNNNNNNNNNNNNNNNNNNNNNNNNNNNNNNNNNNNNNNNNNNNNNNNNNNNNNNNNNNNNNNNNNNNNNNNNNNNNNNNNNNNNNNNNNNNNNNNNNNNNNNNNNNNNNNNNNNNNNNNNNNNNNNNNNNNNNNNNNNNNNNNNNNNNNNNNNNNNNNNNNNNNNNNNNNNNNNNNNNNNNNNNNNNNNNNNNNNNNNNNNNNNNNNNNNNNNNNNNNNNNNNNNNNNNNNNNNNNNNNNNNNNNNNNNNNNNNNNNNNNNNNNNNNNNNNNNNNNNNNNNNNNNNNNNNNNNNNNNNNNNNNNNNNNNNNNNNNNNNNNNNNNNNNNNNNNNNNNNNNNNNNNNNNNNNNNNNNNNNNNNNNNNNNNNNNNNNNNNNNNNNNNNNNNNNNNNNNNNNNNNNNNNNNNNNNNNNNNNNNNNNNNNNNNNNNNNNNNNNNNNNNNNNNNNNNNNNNNNNNNNNNNNNNNNNNNNNNNNNNNNNNNNNNNNNNNNNNNNNNNNNNNNNNNNNNNNNNNNNNNNNNNNNNNNNNNNNNNNNNNNNNNNNNNNNNNNNNNNNNNNNNNNNNNNNNNNNNNNNNNNNNNNNNNNNNNNNNNNNNNNNNNNNNNNNNNNNNNNNNNNNNNNNNNNNNNNNNNNNNNNNNNNNNNNNNNNNNNNNNNNNNNNNNNNNNNNNNNNNNNNNNNNNNNNNNNNNNNNNNNNNNNNNNNNNNNNNNNNNNNNNNNNNNNNNNNNNNNNNNNNNNNNNNNNNNNNNNNNNNNNNNNNNNNNNNNNNNNNNNNNNNNNNNNNNNNNNNNNNNNNNNNNNNNNNNNNNNNNNNNNNNNNNNNNNNNNNNNNNNNNNNNNNNNNNNNNNNNNNNNNNNNNNNNNNNNNNNNNNNNNNNNNNNNNNNNNNNNNNNNNNNNNNNNNNNNNNNNNNNNNNNNNNNNNNNNNNNNNNNNNNNNNNNNNNNNNNNNNNNNNNNNNNNNNNNNNNNNNNNNNNNNNNNNNNNNNNNNNNNNNNNNNNNNNNNNNNNNNNNNNNNNNNNNNNNNNNNNNNNNNNNNNNNNNNNNNNNNNNNNNNNNNNNNNNNNNNNNNNNNNNNNNNNNNNNNNNNNNNNNNNNNNNNNNNNNNNNNNNNNNNNNNNNNNNNNNNNNNNNNNNNNNNNNNNNNNNNNNNNNNNNNNNNNNNNNNNNNNNNNNNNNNNNNNNNNNNNNNNNNNNNNNNNNNNNNNNNNNNNNNNNNNNNNNNNNNNNNNNNNNNNNNNNNNNNNNNNNNNNNNNNNNNNNNNNNNNNNNNNNNNNNNNNNNNNNNNNNNNNNNNNNNNNNNNNNNNNNNNNNNNNNNNNNNNNNNNNNNNNNNNNNNNNNNNNNNNNNNNNNNNNNNNNNNNNNNNNNNNNNNNNNNNNNNNNNNNNNNNNNNNNNNNNNNNNNNNNNNNNNNNNNNNNNNNNNNNNNNNNNNNNNNNNNNNNNNNNNNNNNNNNNNNNNNNNNNNNNNNNNNNNNNNNNNNNNNNNNNNNNNNNNNNNNNNNNNNNNNNNNNNNNNNNNNNNNNNNNNNNNNNNNNNNNNNNNNNNNNNNNNNNNNNNNNNNNNNNNNNNNNNNNNNNNNNNNNNNNNNNNNNNNNNNNNNNNNNNNNNNNNNNNNNNNNNNNNNNNNNNNNNNNNNNNNNNNNNNNNNNNNNNNNNNNNNNNNNNNNNNNNNNNNNNNNNNNNNNNNNNNNNNNNNNNNNNNNNNNNNNNNNNNNNNNNNNNNNNNNNNNNNNNNNNNNNNNNNNNNNNNNNNNNNNNNNNNNNNNNNNNNNNNNNNNNNNNNNNNNNNNNNNNNNNNNNNNNNNNNNNNNNNNNNNNNNNNNNNNNNNNNNNNNNNNNNNNNNNNNNNNNNNNNNNNNNNNNNNNNNNNNNNNNNNNNNNNNNNNNNNNNNNNNNNNNNNNNNNNNNNNNNNNNNNNNNNNNNNNNNNNNNNNNNNNNNNNNNNNNNNNNNNNNNNNNNNNNNNNNNNNNNNNNNNNNNNNNNNNNNNNNNNNNNNNNNNNNNNNNNNNNNNNNNNNNNNNNNNNNNNNNNNNNNNNNNNNNNNNNNNNNNNNNNNNNNNNNNNNNNNNNNNNNNNNNNNNNNNNNNNNNNNNNNNNNNNNNNNNNNNNNNNNNNNNNNNNNNNNNNNNNNNNNNNNNNNNNNNNNNNNNNNNNNNNNNNNNNNNNNNNNNNNNNNNNNNNNNNNNNNNNNNNNNNNNNNNNNNNNNNNNNNNNNNNNNNNNNNNNNNNNNNNNNNNNNNNNNNNNNNNNNNNNNNNNNNNNNNNNNNNNNNNNNNNNNNNNNNNNNNNNNNNNNNNNNNNNNNNNNNNNNNNNNNNNNNNNNNNNNNNNNNNNNNNNNNNNNNNNNNNNNNNNNNNNNNNNNNNNNNNNNNNNNNNNNNNNNNNNNNNNNNNNNNNNNNNNNNNNNNNNNNNNNNNNNNNNNNNNNNNNNNNNNNNNNNNNNNNNNNNNNNNNNNNNNNNNNNNNNNNNNNNNNNNNNNNNNNNNNNNNNNNNNNNNNNNNNNNNNNNNNNNNNNNNNNNNNNNNNNNNNNNNNNNNNNNNNNNNNNNNNNNNNNNNNNNNNNNNNNNNNNNNNNNNNNNNNNNNNNNNNNNNNNNNNNNNNNNNNNNNNNNNNNNNNNNNNNNNNNNNNNNNNNNNNNNNNNNNNNNNNNNNNNNNNNNNNNNNNNNNNNNNNNNNNNNNNNNNNNNNNNNNNNNNNNNNNNNNNNNNNNNNNNNNNNNNNNNNNNNNNNNNNNNNNNNNNNNNNNNNNNNNNNNNNNNNNNNNNNNNNNNNNNNNNNNNNNNNNNNNNNNNNNNNNNNNNNNNNNNNNNNNNNNNNNNNNNNNNNNNNNNNNNNNNNNNNNNNNNNNNNNNNNNNNNNNNNNNNNNNNNNNNNNNNNNNNNNNNNNNNNNNNNNNNNNNNNNNNNNNNNNNNNNNNNNNNNNNNNNNNNNNNNNNNNNNNNNNNNNNNNNNNNNNNNNNNNNNNNNNNNNNNNNNNNNNNNNNNNNNNNNNNNNNNNNNNNNNNNNNNNNNNNNNNNNNNNNNNNNNNNNNNNNNNNNNNNNNNNNNNNNNNNNNNNNNNNNNNNNNNNNNNNNNNNNNNNNNNNNNNNNNNNNNNNNNNNNNNNNNNNNNNNNNNNNNNNNNNNNNNNNNNNNNNNNNNNNNNNNNNNNNNNNNNNNNNNNNNNNNNNNNNNNNNNNNNNNNNNNNNNNNNNNNNNNNNNNNNNNNNNNNNNNNNNNNNNNNNNNNNNNNNNNNNNNNNNNNNNAGCUUUGCCCAAGAUUUCUCAUAGCUCUCCUCAUUCUUGACUUGCUUUGGUGAUCAAAAUACUAACAAAAACACCAAAACUUGCACAAAAUGAUCAAAAUUGCUUUAAAGGAUCCUUAACAUGCCAAUUGAGUUAAAAGGCCUAAACUACUACUCAAAAGUGUUAAAAAGGAUUAAUUAAAGGCUAUCAAAUAGCACUUUUUGAGUAGUAAUCACUCCCCCCAACCGACAUAUUGCUAGUCCCUUAGCAAUAUAGGAGAGAAAAAAUGAAAAUAAAUAGCUAAUUAUACUAAAAUUUACAACAUCAUGCUAAAGGAAAAUAAUUCUCAAGUGGCAUGAUGAUCUAUUUCUCACAUGAAUCAUUAAAGAAAUACAAACCCAAAUCUCAACAAGAGUCAUAACAAACUAUGCUAAGCAUUGUCAAUCAAGGGAGUGCAUUAUGCAAACUGAAGUUUUAAAAUCAUUUCACUUUCUAAGAACUAAACUUCAAUCUUCCACAAAAAUCUAUGUGUAUUGGUUCCUUAGAUUCCGAGAAUAAUAUGCUACUAAUCUCACCCCCCAACCUAUCUCUUUUCAACACUUUAGCAAACUGACCAAAAUCAAUAAGAAAAGAACACACUUUCAUCUUUUUUUUUUUUUUUUUUUCAAGGUAGCUUUAUGGGGUACUCUUUCUGACUUGUCCAUGUAAUGGGGGUCCAUCGAUGACUCCCAACCAAUUAAGGUUUAGGGCACCAAGUUUUAAGGAUCUUUCAACCACUAACUCCUCGGAUUUUUCCCCGGACUUUUAAGAAUGAAUUUCUAAUACCCAAGCAUCUACCAUAUGCUAACUCUACCUAUUCACCCUUGUAACGAGCAUUGAGGUCGGUGUCUCCCAACCAAUUAAGGUUUAGGGCACCAGGCUUUAAAGAUUUUCACCAUAUACCCCUCAGACCUUGCUCGGGUUUCAAGGCAAGCAAACAACUUUCUUUAUUUCAAAGGCUCAUUGGCCUUUUGCAGGGUGUUUCAAUUUUUAUCAAAUGAGGUCAAAUAUACCAAGUCCCAAAAAUAUACUAAGUCAAGAGGGAAAUAGCUUUUCAUGUUAUAAUCAGAAACUAAUGUGCACAGUGUGUGGAUAGCUUAAAGUGGAAGAACUCAAUUCAAUUACAGUAGAAGUUUCAACAAUUGAACUACUUUAGUAAGCAUAAUCCAUACUCUAAGUCAAGUGAAAAACAACAGUUCAAUUUCUCUUGGUUUAAUUUGAAAAUUUUUCCUCAAAAUUCAUGGAGAAUAGAGUAACAAGAGUAAAAAGUAAAAACUACAACUAAUUAACCAAUAUAAUUGCAAUACCAAAAAGGUUUAGACUACUUCCUUCCUCAUAACCCCCAACCGAACUGAGCAUUGUCCUCAAUGUGAUUUGAGUGACUGUAAUAAAAGGGAGGAAGUGGUACCUCCAUGCUGAUAUCAAAUUCGAAUAUUGAUUGGGGAAAACCACAUGUUUCAAAAAGAAUAGAAUAUGUGAGAAAAGGAAAUAAGGAAACUUUAAUGCUAACUUUUAACAAGAAAAAUUCAACUUGUAUUACUUUGAGUUCAUUUGAUUACAAUGCUAAAGACAAGUAACACAAGGAAUCCCAUAUAUAAUACCAAAAUACUGGGAUUUCAUUUCAACUAAAACAAAACAAACAUGCAUAAAAACAUAAACAGCAAAUAUAUAUAAUGUCUGAUGAGUGGGGUGAUGGUGCUAAGCAGAAGGAUCUGCCUCCUCAGUAGGUGGAUCAGUUGGGGCUUCGGGCUCUGGAGCUUGAGACUCUGAAGGCUGAGAGUGUGGCUCUGGUAGAGUCUCAGUGGAGGGCUCUACAGCUUGUGGCAGAUCGAAAUGGACUUGAAGCUGCCUUAGGAUGGCAGCUUGUUGAGCCUGAGAGGCUAACAUCUGCUCCUGGCAUGCUUUGAUGGCUGCCAACUCCUGAGCAAGAUUGCUCUGAGAAGCUGUAAGAGUCUCCAAUGCACGGCACAGCUCUCGAUAUUCGGAUAUAGGGAUGGCCAUCCUCGGCUCAGCUGAUGUGGAUGGCUGUGAUGGAGCAGGUGCAGCUGGUGGAGCUCGAGGGAUGGCAGGAGUGGCAAGUGUUAUACCUUCAGGUAUAUGUCUUGGGGAGGCUCUUCUUGCUGCUGGCUGAGGCUGCCCAGGCUGACAAUUUUGUAGGCCGUCAUAUUAUUCCAUUUAUCAAGGGUAAAUGGCUCACGGCAAAUUCUCUUUCUUUCCUGCUGAGGCUCAGAGGGGUAUCCGAGAUGUUCCAAAACUUGGCAUAGCAGCCGUGGGAAGAGGAGUGGAAUGCAAUCUGCUCUUUGAAGCUUCUUCUUGUGAACCUUUUCCUCAAAGUAUAGAAGGGCUGCCAUGAUCAGAUGAUGAGGCCCAAAGAAGAAUCCUUCUGACAUCUUGUACAAGGCUUCUAGGAGAAUUCCCCUUCUUUGGGUCCAAUGCUGCAGGGGAUAGAUAUUAUGCCUCAAAAAGGCAUCAAUCAAAAACAUCACUGGAGGUAGCUCCCCCCUCAGCAAAUGUGAUCGAUUUGCAGCUCCUCUGGUUAGUGUGCGAACCAUCUCUAACUCAGUAGGAUUUGCCCAAGCUUUAAAAUUGUCGAAUUGAGUUGGCUCAAAAGGAAUUUGCAGAGCUUCAGCAAUAUGUCUUGCUCCCAAAAUACCAUGUCUUCCAUCAAUUAUAAAAUGAAUCAAGGUUGGAUUUCUUACUUCUUUGGUUGUCAUGGUCUGGUAGAAAUCCGUGACUACCCGGGGAUAGAAAAAAUCCCUUGGAGCUAGCAGAUGCUCCAUAUGAUAUCUCCUCAGCAGCUGGAAUGAUUGGGCAAGCUCUGGCCUCACUCUGAAUGCUGUUAAAUCGAAGCAAAGUUCAGAAUGGAAUGCCCGAGUUCGGCAAUCCAGGUUUCCUUCGAUUGGGGGCUGAGGCAACAUUGGCCUUCGGAUCACUUCUUCCAGAGGUGCUUCAACUGCAAUUUGGGGCUCUGGAAUUGGCGCUUGAGGCUCCUGAACUUUUUCUUGGGGUGCCGGAGAUGGUACCGGCGAUGGAAUUGGAGUUGCUUCUGGUGAGAGAAUUGGCGAGGGAACCGGUGACGGCACUGGAAUUUGUACCGGUGAAGGAUUUGGUGAAGAUACCGGAGAUUGAACCGGUGUUAGCUUUGGGGAUUUCUCAGGGGAUUGCUCAGUCAAAUCAAUUGGUUCAGAGCUCUCAACCCUGGUUUUCUUCUUUAAUGGCUGACCGCCUGACCUUGUUAAAUAUCGCCUUGCCGGCGGCUUUGGUGGCGCCGGCUUCACUGGAGGAGGGUUUGGUCUCAACGGCGAAGGCUUUAGAGCAGGUUUUGGAACAAAACCUGGGCUUGGCUCCUUUCGCAGACUCCUUUUGCGGUUCGAAGGGGAUGAAGACUUUGCCCCUCGCGUUCGUGCCAUUUUGGGAUAUCGAUCUUUGGCCGGCGCUGCUAAACGGAGAAGACGACCGGAGAAACGGACGGCGUGGCUUGGCGAAGAAGAUGAAGGGGCUGCGAGAAUGGUGCUCUAAUUUUUGAAACCCUUUUCGCAGCACUUUUGACCGGUAUAAAUAGGAAAAACGGAAGCCCAGGGGUCAGUUUAAGUUUCGCAACAAAACGCCAAUUUCGCAGCAACUUGCCAUUUUCACAGCAACUUCGCAGUGAGUUUCGCAGCUGCGAAAUUGAUGUCACUGUGCUGCGAAGUGGCACUCGUGUGCCAAAACCACUUUCGCAAUUGCGAAAUGCCCUGCGGAAUGGGACUUUUGGUGCGAAAUCACGCUUUUCCAUUUCGCAAUGGGUUUCGCAGCUGCCAAAUGGAUGCUACUGUACUGCGAAGUGGCACUCGUGUGCCAAAUCCACUUUCGCAGCUGCGAAAUACACUCGCAAAGGCUUCUACAGUGCUGCGGAGUGGUUUGGUAACAAAAAUCACAUUUCGCAGAGGUUUCCUUCACCCUGCGAAAUUUCGCAGAGCUCUGUUUUUCCCCUGUUUUUGCUCUGUUUCGGCUCCAAUUUCGGCCCGAUUUUUUUUCUUUUCAAUCCCCUUGAAAUUUCUUCCACCUGGGAUCAUAUAAAACGAUUAAAACACACCUAAAAACAUGAUUUAAAAUCAAAAACUAAGAUCAAAAGUAUGGAAACAACUUGAAAAUUUACAAAAUUUACAAAAAUUUUGGACUGUGGUAAAACCACGCCCAGCAAACCCUUUUCACUUAAGCUUUUUGAGGUUCAAGGAGGUUGAUUGCCUCCUUUUCUGAUUUGAAUGACUCCAUGAAUGGCUUAAGACGAUAUCCAUUGACUCUAAAGCUGUCCUUGCCAUUGGAAUUCAAUAAGUCCACCACUCCAUUGGAAUAUACUCGGUGAAUAACAAAUGGACCAAUCCACCUUGAUUUGAGCUUCCCAGGAAAGAUAUGGAGUCUUGUGUCAUACAUCAGAACUUUUUGCCCUUCCUGAAAUUCCUUGUUGGAGAUGAGUUGAUCAUGCCACUUCUUCAUCCUCUGUUUUGCAACUUUGGAAUUGAUAUAAGCAUUAUUUCUUAAUUCCUCCAUCUCAUUAAGGUCUAGAAAUCUCUUUUCUCCGGCCUUGAUCAAGUCCAUAUUCAGCUUCUUUAUUGCCCACCAAGCCUUGUAUUCAACUUCCACAGGGAGAUGGCAUGCUUUACCAUAGACAAGACGAUAGGGAGACAUCCCUAGAAUAGUCUUAUAAGCUGUUCUAUAUGCCCACAAUGAAUCAUGAAGCCUAAUAGACCAAUCCUUUCUGUUGGAAUUCACCACUUUCAUCAAGAUAUUCUUUAUUUCCCUGUUAGCUAGCUCAACUUGCCCGGAAGUCUGAGGAUGAUAAGGUGUGGCCACCUUAUGCUUCACUCCAUACUUGGAUAACAGAGCUUCAAAAGGUUUAUUGCAAAAAUGAGCACCUCCAUCACUGAUUAUGGCCUUGGGCACCCCAAAUCUUGAGAAAAUGUUCUCUUUAAGAAACUUGAGAACCACCCUGUGAUCAUUUUGCUUACAGGGGAUUGCCUCAACCCAUUUAGAAACAUAAUCUACCCCCACCAAGAUGUAAGAAUUACCAAAAGACAUUGGGAAAGGUCCCAUGAAGUCAAUGCCCCAAACAUCAAAUAUCUCUACUAUUAGAAUGGGGUUCAUAGGCAUUUGAUUUCUUUUUGUUAGCUUUCCAAGCCUUUGGCAUCUAUCACAAUUCCUACACAUGAUAUGGGCAUCUUUGAAAAGAGAGGGCCAAGUAAACCCUGAUUGCAAUACCUUCAUGGCUGUUUUCUGAGAGGCAAAGUGGCCUCCACAUGCAUUCUCAUGACAAUGAGAUAGAAUCCCUUGCUGCUCAUCUUCAGGGACACACUUCCUAAUAAUCUGAUCUGCACAAUACUUAAAGAGAAAGGGCUCUUCCCAAUAAUAAGAAUGAAUUUUGGCGAAGAAGUGCUUCUUGUCCUGUGCAUUCCACUCACUUGGAAUUUCACCAGUUACUAAAUAAUUAGCAAUAUGAGCAUACCAAGGAGUUUUCACUAGGAACAUAAGUGAUUCUUCAGGAAAAUCAUCAUUGAUAGGUAAGGGAUGGGAAUUAUGUGCUAUAACUAACCUUGACAAGUGGUCAGCUACUACAUUCUCCACUCCUUUCUUAUCUUUGAUUUGAAGAUCGAACUCUUGUAACAAAAGAAUCCAUCUAAUCAACCUUGCUUUUGCAUCUUGUUUUGUCAAUAAAUACUUCAAGGCUGAAUGGUCAGUGAAGACAAUUAUGAAAGACCCCACUAAAUAAGCUCGAAAUUUGUCCAAAGCAAAUACCACAGCUAACAAUUCUUUCUCUGUAGUUGUGUAGUUCCUCUGAGCUUCAUUUAGUGUUUUACUUGCAUAGUAAAUCACAUAGGGCUUCCCAUCUUCUCUUUGGCCAAGCACAGCUCCUAUAGCAAAGUCACUGGCAUCACACAUCAAUUCAAAAGGUAACUGCCAGUUAGGGGCUCUCACUAUUGGAGUUGUUGUUAAAAACUUCUUCAGUUGAUCAAAGCUAUGCUGACACCUUUCAUCCCAUAUAAACUUAGCAUCCUUAGCUAACAGCUCACAAAGAGGUUUUGAAAGACUUGAAAAACCUUUUAUAAACCUCCUAUAGAACCCUGCAUGGCCAAGGAACUGCCUUACUCCUUUCACAGUUGUUGGAGAUGGUAAUUUGGCAAUAAGCUCCACUUUUGCUUUAUCAACUUCAAUGCCUUUUUCAGAAAUGAUAUGGCCAAGGACAAUUCCUUGACGUACCAUAAAAUGGCAUUUUUCCCAAUUCAGCACCAGAUCUUUUUUCAAUGCAUUCUAUGAAGAACUGCUUCCCAAUUAACCAAGCACUCCUUCAAAUGUACCUCCAUAUACGGUGAUGUCAUUCCAUGAAGACCCUCCAUAAUUCUUCUUCCACCAUAUCANNNNNNNNNNNNNNNNNNNNNNNNNNNNNNNNNNNNNNNNNNNNNNNNNNNNNNNNNNNNNNNNNNNNNNNNNNNNNNNNNNNNNNNNNNNNNNNNNNNNNNNNNNNNNNNNNNNNNNNNNNNNNNNNNNNNNNNNNNNNNNNNNNNNNNNNNNNNNNNNNNNNNNNNNNNNNNNNNNNNNNNNNNNNNNNNNNNNNNNNNNNNNNNNNNNNNNNNUCCUAGUGACAGCAUUCAGCUUCCUAUAAUCAAUACACACCCUCCAACCUGAAGUGAGGCGUGUAGUAAUUUCUUCUCCUUUUUCAUUCUGAAUCACUGUGAUCCCUGACUUCUUUGGUACCACUUGAGUAGGACUCACCCAAGGGCUAUCAGAAAUAGGGUAAAUGAUUCCUGCUUGAAGUAGCUUCAGCACCUCAGCUCGCACCACCUCUUGUAGAUGAGGAUUCAACCUUCUUUGAAAUUGACGAAUUGGCUUUGCUUCCUCCUCCAUAUAUAUAUGAUGAGUACAAACUAAAGGACUAAUGCCUUUCAAAUCAGAUAUUUGCCAUCCUAUUGCCUUCUUACACCUCUUGAGAACUUCCAUUAAACAAUUCUCUUGAUGACUGGUCAGAGAUGAGGAUAUCACAACAGGACAUUGAUUAUUUGCUUCAAGAUAUGUAUAUUUCAGCUCCACAGGUAAAGGCUUCAGAUUGAGUUUUGGAAUUUCUUCUUCAACAGCUGCCUCCUCUUCUUCAUUGAACAAAGGUAGAAUUCCUUCUAUCUUUCUCCAACUUUGUAGAGUAGCAAGCCCAUUAGGAGAUUCAGAAAAACCUUCCUCAAUAUCUACAAGACUUUCAUUCAACUUGUCUUGCAUAUGUUGAUUGCAGUGCUCCUCCACCAAAGUAUCAAUAAUACAUAGCUCUUCUGGACCUUCUUCUUCCUCAGGAGUGAUUUGCUUUUUAGACAUAUAGAAAAUAUUUAGAUCCAGUGUCAUAUUACCAAAAGUGAGUUGCAUAAGCCCAUUUCUACAGUUGAUGAUUGCAUUUGAAGUAGCAAGAAAUGGUCUUCCAAGGAUGAUAGGAACUAAAUUAGCUUCCUUUACAGUAGGAUCUGUAUCAAGAACAACAAAAUCUACAGGAUAGUAGAAAUUAUCUACUUGAACCAAUACAUCCUCAAUUACUCCUCUUGGAAUUUUCACUGAUCUAUCUGCCAAAGAUAAAGUGAUUGCUGUUGGCUUCAACUCUCCAAGUCCCAGUUGCUUGUAGACAGAAUAUGGAAGCAAAUUCACACUUGCUCCCAAGUCUAGCAAGGCUUUCUCAACUACCUUUCCUCCAAUCAUGACUGAAAUGGUAGGACUUCCAGGGUCUUUAUACUUCAAAGGAGACUUACACUGUAAAAUUGCACUUACUUGCUCAGUCAAGAAGGCUUUCUUGUUUACAGUCAACCCUCUUUUAAUAGUACACAAGUCCUUAAGGAAUUUUGCAUACGUAGGAACUUGUUUGAUCAUAUCCAGCAGUGGAAUAUUAACUUUCACUUGUCUCAAUACUUCUAGGAUUUCAGCUGCAUUUCUAACCCCCUUUUUCCCCUGUAAUGCUUGAGGAAAAGGUGGAAAAGUUGAUUUCUUCAGCAUUUCUUCCUUCAAAAGCUCCUUCUCUGGAAUUACUUUCAUUGUUGCAUCAGAGUCCUUCUUUUCUUCACUGAUCUCACUCUCUUUAUCUUCCAUUUCCUUCCCUUUCUUCAUCUUUUCUUCUUUCUCAACAUGUGGCUUGGGUGUUGGAUGCUCAAUUUUUUUACCACUCCUUAGAGUGAUCAAAGCUUUCACAUCUUUCACCUGUGAUGAUUCUCCCUCACGGCUUUCCACUUCAUGGACACCUUUAGGAUUUUGGUGAGGUUGAGAAGGAAAUCUUCCUUUUUCUUGCAGUGUAUUCAAAUUUGUAAGCCUGGAGAUUGAAUAUUGGAUGUUAUCAAAUUUUUGAUUCAUAUCAUUUUGCAUUCCAUCCAUCCUUUGAUCAAGUCGAGCAUUGGUGGAUUCUUGCUUUCCAAUAAAAUCUCCCACUACCUUGCUGAGAUUAGCUAUUAUUUGUUCAAUACUUGAAGAUUGCUGAGAUGGUGGAUCUGGCUGUUGGUAUUGAGUUGCUCUGGCCUUCCAUGAGAAAUUUGGAUGAUUCCUCCAACUUGAAUUGUAGGUAUUUCCAUAUGGUGAAUUGUUAUUAGGCCUAAAUUGUCCAACAACAUUUGCUUGAUCUCUAUACAUUUCCCUUUCAGCUGAAAUUGCAGGGCACUCCUCCACCAAAUGUUCAAACGAUUGACAAUUGGGACACAACUUCACUUGCACUGGUGCUUCAGCAACAGCUUGCACUUCAUGUAUUCUUUUCAGCUCCAGCUCUUCCAAUCUUCUUGUCAUAGCUGCCAACUUUGCUUUCAUGUCAUCAUCUUCUUUCAAUUUAUACAUCCCAGCCUUUGCAUUGUAAGCAUUCAACUGAGACUUCAUCUUUCCCACUUCUCCUUUGGUUGGUUCAUCCCAUCCCCUUGAAACAUCAGCUACAUAGCUCAAGAAAUCCAUAGCUUCCUCUGGAUUUUUGCUCAUGAAAUCUCCUCCACACAUUGUCUCGAGGAGUUGCUUCAUUGAGGAGGACAUACCAUCAUAAAAAUAACUCACCAGUAGCCAAGUAUCAAAGCCAUGGUGAGGACAAGCAUUUAUAGCUUCCAUGUAUCUUUCCCAACACUCAUAGAAUUUCUCAUUCUCUUUAGCUGAGAAGUUUGAAAUUUGCCUUUUCAAGCCAUUUGUUCUAUGUGUAGGAAAAAAUUUCUUAAGGAACUCAGCUUGUAAAUCAGUCCAAGAGCGGAUACUCCUUGGCCUUAAAGAAUUAAGCCAAAUUUUGGCCUUAUCCUUUAAAGUAAAAGGAAAUAACUUAAGCCUCAUCAAGUCAAUUGAAGCUCCUCCCUCUUGGAAUGUAUUACAAACAUCUUCAAAUUCCUUGAUGUGUGCAUACGGAUUCUCACUUUCCAUCCCAUGGAAAGUUGGUAGAAGUGGAACAAGAUAUGGUCUGAUCACUAGCUGCUCUGUAGGGGGCACUAUACAUGAUGGUGCACUCAUACGAGGUGGAUGCAUACGGUCCCUCAUUGAUCUGAAUUCAUUGAGAUUGUCUUGACGACCUUGGUGACUAUGCUGAUCUUCAGGUGCAGCCUCCAUGAUAUUCAAGAUUACUUCAAAUUCUCCUCUCUGAGGUGUAUCACACUUAACAAGCCUACCUCCAAUGUCUCGUAUCCACUUGGGCAUACACAACUAGUAUUCAGCUGCAACUUAAAUAAAAACAGAGGACAACAAGAACAGAGGACAACAAGAAAAACAGGGCUACAAUAGCAAAAUUAAACUAGACUAAAUUUUAAAGAGAUAAACUUAGAUUGUAAAUAAACAAAGAGAGAAUGAAAAUUAGUAAAGUGAAAGAAACUUUACCAACUUGUGAUGAAAAUCACAAGUGCUCAACAAUGGUAUCACAAUGAACUUGACACUCAUUCCCCGGCAACGGCGCCAUUUGAUUCAUGCCCAAUUGGUGUCUCAGCUGAUUUGUGUUCAGCUGGUGCUCCUUGAUUGAGGAAGUGAUCAACAAAAUUUAUACCUAUAACACCAUACACUAGGGUAGCAAAUACAAAGCUACUAUAGUAUAGUGGCUCUAGGAUCGUUCACUGGGAAUGAUGAACAAGCAAUCAAGGAUACCAAUUCCAAGUGAAUUGGUCUUGUUUCAUUUCACGGUUAGCUUAAGAAGUAAAACACAAAGUUUGAUUGGUAAAGGUUUAGACUUAAACUAACUAACUUAACAGAAGUUUGGAAUAAUUUAGGAAGAAAAGCAUUCCUUGGAGAUUUAGGUUCACUGGGGUGGUUCCUCAUGCAAAAGACAUAGCUUCGGUCAGAUGGUUCAUUUCCUCGCAUUAGAGAUUCAACUUAUAGUCAAUCCUCUAACCGGUGAUGUACAGAGACUCCUUCAAUUAGAUUUCACUUUAAUUCUCUCACUGAUACAACUUGCAAUGGUUCAUGCCUCUCACGAGCACUUACCAUUCAAGGUGAUCUUUAACCUUGGAUUCCCCUUCACAAACUCGCAAGAGAUAACUAAUGGAUAUCUCCUAGGAGUCCAAAAGCUUACCAAGUGUUGGUAAUUCCAGAAAAUCCUACCUUGAAGUCACCUACCAGAGGCUCGCAAGGGGUAAACUAGUGCAUCUCCACGGUUGGAAAUCACUUGCCUUACCAAGUGUUGGCCCAGGUGACUCCAAGGUGUUUUAAGUUAACUAAAAACAUUGAAAUCACUAAAGGAUUUCACUUCCUCUUCAUUACUAGCUAAAACCACAGAGCUUUGCAUUCUUGCACUUGGAACCUUCCCCGGCAACCUUAGUUCCAAGGAAUUGGAGGUUUAGUUACUCAUUCUCUGGGGAAAACUCCUCAGAGAAUUCAUAACUUAGAAAUAAAAUGAAAAUACAAAGUGAGAAGGUAAGGCAGUAGAAAAAAAAGACUUUACUUGCUUACCAAAUGGUUACAGAAGGAACUCCUCUCUGAGAACAGGCUCUCGAGAGGUAUAUAUAUCAAAACAAUAUAAAACUAAUUGUUACUAAGAUAUUUGGUCUUUUUACUAACUUAAAAACUAAGGAAUCAUGUAAUUGGUGGUUUACAAGGAGUAUUUUGGGAUUUAGACAACAAAAAUCUAAUGGAAAAUAUCUCCCAAUGUCGGUAGCAAGCUUCGGGAGGCUUCAGGAGCCAUUUCGCAGGUGAAAAAUGAGGUCUGCGAAAUUUCGCAGACACCCAAGAGGGCUGCGAAAUUAUUUCGCAAGACCAAGCUAUCUUCACCUGGCUGCAAAGUUGGCUUCCACCUUGAAGUUUCCAGCUCCCUUCUCGCGGCAUGGUUCGUGCAUCGUCAGAAGGAGAAACACCUUACUGUACAAAAGUGCUGCGAAAUUCUCGCAACAAAAGGCUGAUUCCGCAACACUUUAGAGUGACUGGCUUGUAAUGGCUGCAACUUCUUCAUUUCAACUCCGAAUCGUGCACCGUUUGAAGCAUUGGAUUGUUGACUUCCUGAGCUUUGAAAUGGUAUAUAGCUUGCAUCAUUUGGACUUCAGAAAGUGCUCCAAAAGUGGCUGCUACAACUGUCAUCAAGAAUAGGCUUCAUGGCAGAUUCUCUUUGCUUUUUCUCCUUGCAAUCCGAAUUCACUCUUGGCAAUUGAAUUCUAAGCUUUGCCCAAGAUUUCUCAUAGCUCUCCUCAUUCUUGACUUGCUUUGGUGAUCAAAAUACUAACAAAAACACCAAAACUUGCACAAAGUGAUCAAAAUUGCUUUAAAGGAUCCUUAACAUGCCAAUUGAGUUAAAAGGCCUAAACUACUACUCAAAAGUGUUAAAAAGGAUUAAUUAAAGGCUAUCAAAUAGCACUUUUUGAGUAGUAAUCAGAUACUUCAUUGACUAUAUCAGUAUGGCUAAUAGGAAAGUACGAAUGCUAGUUUUUAUCUUCAAUUGGCAUCCCCUUUUUUAUAGAGCAUCUUCCAUCCAUUUUAUGUCAUUUUCUUUCCAUUCAUUUUAUGUCAUUUUCUUUCCAUUUCAAAUCUACCUCCCAAGCUACAAGUUCUUUUUUUUUUUUUUUGUUGGAACCAUUCGAUGUGUCCAAUGGAAUAUCUACAACAUCAUCAUAUUUCUCAUUAAAUCCCAGGUUUGCAGAUGCAGUUAAAGGAACGCUCAACCUUGAUCCAAGAGUAGUAGCAACCUUCAAGAAUGGAUUGACCUCUUCCUCAUCGAUCAGGUUCGGAUCGUUUUGGCGAAUCAUGUCUAUUUUUAGAGAUGGAGAGAGAAAAAAAGUAGAUAUUGUGUUUGGUUAGAGUGAAAACACACACCACAACAAGCUGCUACGCCUACAACACACCGAUUGCCCAUUUUUGUCUUCAAACCGUAAUCUGAUGCAUUUUCCACUCGAAUUCCAAUCUGGUUAUUCUUUAUGUCACCUACGCUAGUGGAGUUCAUUCUGCUACUAUCUAUGUUCGUGGAAGAGAAAUGGCGAUGCAUCAAUCGGAGGGCAAUAUUAUUGAUGAUGCGGCAAAUGAUGGUGUGAACUCGCAUUUUUCAUGUGUGCCCCCACUCGAUCGGAGAGACUCGCUUUUUAUUUGUGAAAAAUUAAUUUUUGGAAAAAAGUUGGAGUCACCACUUUUUUUUUUUUUUAUUUUAAAGGGAAAAUAAAACCCUAAACAAUGACUCCAUAAUUUUUGGAAAAGCUUGUCUUUGAAAAACCCGAGUCUAAGUUCGGGGAUCAGGUUACCUAUUGGGAAGGUACCUUUAAAAGGUAGCACCCCUCUAAGCCCUAUAAAGGUCUCUAUUGAUUAAGUUGAGGGAAAUAUGGCAAUUAAUUGAUUAAUUAUAGAUACCUAGGUAGGCUAAGUGAUUUCGAAAAAAUUGCAUGCUAAACAAGAUCAAAUCACAAUAAAGGAGAGUUAAGGUGCGUACCCGAACCGCUUCUCAAGCGCUAUCACAAAAUAUCAAAGUUAGUAUUGAGAUAUAGCACACAACAUGUAUUUUAUCCAAGCAAGUCGAACAUACAUCUAAGCAUCCAAGAAUCAUGUCAAAUAUGGAUAUGGUCAUCAAUGGCAUACAUGUCCAUAGAGUUCUAAAAAAAACAACAAAAAAAAAAAAGUGAGAAGGAGCGUACCUGGAUAGUAAGUUAAAGCACCUUUAUAGGAAACAAGUUUGCUUAAUAACAAGUGCGAAAUAAUCUCACAUACCACAAAGAGGAAGCACAAUCAAUCAAAUAUCAAGCAAACAAUAUUGAUGAGAAUAUCAUGAAUGUCGGGCCCCCACCAAAGCCCUAAUUGAUUUUGCAUGAGUUGAUUCUAUGAAUUCCAUUGUUUGGAAUCAUGGAGUUUGUUCAUGCUUGUUGAAAAUCAAGAAAAUCACAAAAAUAGUUGAAAAUAAAACAAAAUAGUGAAAACGCGUGCCGGAAAGAAAAUGACACAAAAAGAUUUGUUGAAAUUUGGAUUUUAAGCCUAGAAACUCCUAAGGAAGCUUAAAGAAAACUAGAGUCAUUUUGACGUGAAAUGGUUUUGAAAUCUAGAUUUAAGAUGUAUAAGAUCACAAAAAAUAAUGAAAAGAAACGUUAGGAGGAGUAUGAUAUGUGGUAAGGUGGCAAUUCUGUGGGUGGAGCCUAGAAAUAUGAUUGAAACUACAAUGCUGGUAUUGAAUCCCAAAAUACAUUCUGCCAUCUUUUAGCACUUUUCGUGGCUCCCUGUUGUUCAAAGUUUUGGUGACUUUCAGUGAGGGGUGAAGAGUUCCAAUAAACUUGAGUUGCUCUUGAGAAAUACGGAUUCUAGCGUAAUCAGCUUUCCCUAUCCGUGUCUUCCUUGGAUCCAUGAGCUCAAAUUGAAGCAAUUACUGAAUGGGGAUUUUGACGGGCAUUUGAUAUCAAAGACAUUGCUAGAAGAGAGCUUGAGGGUUUAAUCAGUUUCUUCAGCACAUUGUCAAUCGACCUUUCCACUGUUUCACUCUCCUUGUUUGUGUUCUCACAUGCCUUAGCUGUUGGAAGUUGAGACAUCAAUUCAAAGGUUUCUUCAAGCUUCAUGUUGUCAACCUCUUCAGCCUGUGGACUAGUUUCAAUUAUGGUGUUUGUUUAUAGUGUCUUAUCUUCUGAACUAGUCUUAAUGAUCUUUAUAUAUUUGUAACACCUAGUACUAAUGAAUUAAAUAGGCAAUAAUGAUUAUUUUAGUACUUAACUUUAAGCUUGUUUAAUUAGAUGUUAAAACCAGUUUAGUGCUAAUCAUGUUUAAUUAUGAAUUAAACUUUGAUUAAGGUUAAGUGGGAUUAGUUAAUGAUCUAAGCAUGCUUAUUAGGUUCUUAGGGACUGAUUAGGGUUAUGAAAACCUAAAGGACUAAUGGGCAAUUAUGGGUUUUAUUUUUGAUAACUUGAAGGACUAAAGUGCAAAAUUGGGAAAUUGGAGUUACUAGAAUGCCACCUCCUACUUGGGUGGAUUGGUGGCGGCCAUGUGGGCUGCCACCUCGUGCUUAGCUGCAUGGAGACCCCUUUAUAAGGGGGCUGCAGCUCGUUUUGCACCAUUUCACUUGCAGCAACUUGGGUUAGAGAGAGAAUCUAGAGAGAGAAAGUGUAGAUUUGAGGUAAGCAAGUUGUUUAAUUUUGUAAUUUUCGUUUAUUUUGGUUCAUAAUGGUAUGUUGAAAAGAAUUAACGGUAAAAAUUGUGUAAAAGUUGAGUAUAAUUAGCUAUAAACCCGUUUUAGCUAAAAAUCACAAUUCAUUAAAGAUUAAAGUAUUUUAACUUUAGUAUUUUAUUAAUGGUAAGAUCAGCAUAAAUCUUUGUUUAAUUUGGUUUGAUUGAAAAAUAGAUUAGUAAACAUGUGAUGAAUUGGGUUAUUUGGACAUUUGGGAUUUGUUAAUAGGUUAGGCUUUAAGAAAAUCAAAAGAAUUAGUGUUUGGUAAUUAAUUAGGGAAAUUAAUAUGCAUUGUAAAUAUUGUUUAAUUCAAUUCAAAUUUGAUCUGAAAACAUGUAGGAUAUAGAUUAGAGAAUGUGAGAAUUAAAAAUUUGCAACAAUAAACUAUAUAAAUUUUCAUGGUUAGGAAACCUAAAUUAUGUUGUUUCAUUUCAGUUCCUCGUAAUAGGCAAAGAUCGCCUACUUAGAAGAAACAUAAAAAGGAAGUCAGCGUAAGGUAGGGAAUUUUAUGUUAUUCUAUGGUGUAUCUGAUUUCUUUCCUUGAAUUAUUUGUUGGAAUUUUAUGUUAUUUCUAUGAUUUCAUAAAAUCUUUGAAAGUGUCAUUGCAUCUCGGUUUAUUGCAUUGAAAUGUUACCAUGAUGUUGGAACGUAUAUUGGUAUGAAGAUUCGUGGUUUUGUGUUGUCGAAAUGGUUUAUGGUGUGAUUGCAUUGCAAGAAGGAUAUGGAAUUAUCACAGAUCAUAUUCAGAGAAUUUAUUGGUGGCGAAGUGCUUAUGUGAUGCUACAGGCCUUAUCAUUUGAUAUAUUGUUUAUGUGGGACCGUGGGUCCUUGGGUGAAAGUCCCUAAAGCCCUCGAGGAAGACACUCCGAUGUGGGUGUAUGGGGUUGGUUCUGCCCCUGGGUUUUAGUCCCUAAAGACACGAGGUUGGUCCUGCCCUUGGGUAUGAGUCCCAAAAGACACGGGGUAUGACUUGCCCUUGGGUGAUGUCCCAGAAUAGUCAUUAUUAUAUUGAUCGAGUGUCUUGUGGAGCAUUGAUAUCUGCUGUGUAGAUUGUUGGGAGUCAGCAAUUUAUCAGUUGUGAAAGGAUGGAUGGGGAAAAGCAAUGAUGAAACCAACAAACACAUGCAUACAUGUUUGACAUGAUUACACAUUUGUUAAUGGUUAUGAAAUGUUUAUCAUGCAUGUGAUUAAACGUUUAAUUCAAGGUUUUUAAGGGUAUACUUAGGAUGGUUAUAAACUUUCCUACUGAGUUGUGAACUCACCCUAUCCCUUCCACCUCUAGAUGCAGGUCAAAAGACCUAUAUAGGAAAGAAUGCUUGAGCAAUGCUUUACUGUGAUUGGAUGUUGUUUGCUCAUAUUGAAAGUCUUUCGAGGCCAUGCCUUUUGUAUCAAGACUAAACCUUUUGUUGGAAUGAUGUAAUGUAUAUAUUUGUCAGAUACACUUGUAGUAUGGGCUACCCAUAGUAAACAAUGGGGUUUGGUAUAUGUAAAUUAAUGUUGUACAAGUUUCUUUUGUGAAAUAAAACAUAUUUUGUUAACUUAAUAGUCACAAUGUUUAAUACAGGAUGUACUCUUUAUAACAGGUUUUCCAUAUCCUCUUUUUGAACAAAUUCAAGUAGGAACUCAACAUUUAAAUUUUUGAGAGCACUUAUACUGUAUUUGAGUAUCAAUUGUUUAGUUGAAGAAUAAAUAAUAAUAAAUAAAUAAAAAAUUGGGGUGUGACAAUAUUUGUCAUUCAGUUGAGCUUCCUGCAAGCUUGACUCUUCUGUUCCCCCCUCUUCAGAUGCAGCAUCAAUAUUGUUAGAGCAAGUGUCGGCAUCUUCUAUGACGUCCUUAUUAAUUUCUUCUGAUAUUUUAGAUACAGAGUUGGGGACAUCCACUUUCUUUUCACCACUCUAUUUCUGUAGCAUCUCUACUUCCAUUGCUUUUGUGAUGGGAAAUCUUUUAAAGUCUUUGCUGAAAUCUUCCGCAACCUAUAGGUUCACAUUUUUAGUCUACACUUCAGAAUUUGUCGUUCUAGGAUUUUCAUCGAGUAUUAUCUCAGAAUGCUGUUCCUUAUUAACCGAUUCAACUUCAAUGGAUACGACUGGAAAUUCCUUGAUGUCUCUCUCUUUCUCUAUGAUCAGUUCUUUGUUGUUUUCAUAUUCUUCUGCAGGUUUCUCAGCUCCCUCAGGCACCUCUACUGGCAGCUCCAUGAUUCUGUCAGUUUCUGUUAGAGAAUCUGAGCAUUUUAUUGCGGACGUGUUUCUUUGAUGCUCUAACUGUGAUACUUCAUCUAGAGUAAUGCAUUCUUCUUUUGGUGGUUCAUUCGGAUUAAUUUGCUAUAUGUUCUCAUUGAGCUCAAGCACCAAUCCAGAAUUUUCAAACUCCCUAAACUCUUCCUAUUGCAAGCAUAUUUCUUCUGCUGCCUUUGUGGCAAAAGAAACUUCUAAAUUCUCGUUUUGUGGGGUUUCAUCUUCCUUUGCCUUUCCGUCUUCUGAGUACCCAAUUGUUGGUGUAAUUCCAUGAUCCUAUUCUUUAGAAAGCAAUGUUUUGGAUGUUUCCUAAUGAUUAUGCAUUAUGAUCUCAUUAUUCACAAGGAACCGCAAUGCUAAAGCUUCCUCCACUUCAUUUCAUUCCCACUUCAUGGAACUUUGUUGAUCCAACAAUAUGCUGCAUCCACAUAAUAACAGCACACUUGGUUCGGUUUGGAGACAAGCAAGUCCUCUAGUGCAGCCCAGCGAUGCAUCAAUAGAUAUUUGUCAACACUAACUACCAUAUUCACAGCAUUUUGUCUUUGGUCUUGGAGAAGAGAAAAUAAAUCUACACGGGUACGAUAAUUUAGUCUUCGACUUAUUUCAAUAUUAAAAUUGCUGGGACAGAAUAUUAUUCAUCUGCGAGCAACUAAAAUUGUAGAACUGUGCAGAUAUCAGUUCCUGUAUCUUCCUCUGAAGAAUUUGGAGAUGCCUUUUCCUUAGGUCCAAUUCACAAACCUAAGCAUGAAAACAAAUCAUCCUCUCCGAACUAAACAAGAAUGGUGACAAGAAACAAUACAAUAUCAUACGGUUUAUGUUCUUAAGUAUUGAUUGUAUAUAAGCAUCAAGUUGUUUGUUCCCUCUGGUGAUAGAUAAAAGACCUUUUCCAGGAGUUACUCCUUCAAUCUGUCCAUCUUUAUUUACAAGCUGCAGCAUAACCAAGAAUUCUGGAAUUUUUAGGAUGAUGAUAGGCUAAGGGAAGCAUCCAUAUAUACACGAUCUGCAAUCAUUAUGCACAAUGUAUCUAAGUUAGGUGACUAGCGGCUCUUGUCUAACUUUUCUUCAUCUUCCUCGUCAUCACGCGAGAGACGCCUUUCAAGGAGGUUCAUCAGCCUACUAAGGCACAAUCCCUGAAAACUAAAAUGGGUUUUGCACCAACAUACAAGCUAGCAGUUUCCAGAAUGGUCUCCAUGACCUGGGCUGUUUUCAAUUAGGUUUUUCAUAGUAUCACCAUAAAACUGAUCAAGUAAAGCAGCCAGAACAAGUGCAGAUCCCCUAACGCGUUAAUGAGCUUUCCCCAUUCCCUUUAAAUUUUCGUCCUCAAGUGUAUCCAUUAAUACCAUUGAAAUUCAAGAACUUCCUUAUUUACCAUGAGUGGAAAACAGUCUGCAUAGAACUUUCUGAAUCCACCAAUAGAUGAAAUUGAACUUUUGACAUCUUCUCAGUUGGUUGAAGGCCACAUGGACGAACAUACAUUUCCCCAUAAUCUCUCAUCUUGAGAUUGAACAGAAUACUGCACAAGCAUGGGUUGCACUAGUCAAAGCUGGGUCGCCAUCGAAAUGCUUCAAUAUAUCACAGAAGAUAUCACUGCUCAAGGAAGCCAUGUUGUCAACCUGUGAAACUGACUUUGCCAGUCCUUUAAUCACCAUAGAUUAAACUGAAAACAGUUGCAAGCUUCCAUCUUCAUACUCAACUGUACCAUCAAUGAGCAUUUUAGGCAUUGCAAGCAUUCUUCCAUGAAGAUAGUAGCUGCUUCAGUGGGUUUUCUAGAGCAUUUUGAUACCCAUCCUCAAGUUAGAGAUAGACAAGCCAGCACCUAAGCGUAUCAAUCAUCCUUGAAAAUCCAAACUUCAAGAUGGCAGGCAGUAUUAGAUAUCCUAGUAGCCGGGGAGGAGCAUACUAGGCUCCUUCAAAUUGAUCAGUGGUGGGACCAGGAAUUGGAACUGGUUACUGACCCAGAACAGAAGGUUGGAGGAUCAACACGGAGCUCAUGAGGUAACCAGAUUAUUUUCCAAGUUGUGGUAUAACCUGCUCCUUCACCUUCAAGUUUUUAAGCUGAGCCACCUAAUGGUAAAGCAAUUCCCCACAAACUUUUCCUAGAAAGAUAUGCGCAAGGGUUGAUGUACUCUUCCAAAUAUGCCUUCCCCUGCUCGUAGAGGAUCAUUGUAGAGAUAUCUAGCAGAGUCACGUAAAAACUACCAUUACCAAUGCAAGCAAUCAUCACCCUCUUGUUUGGCACGACCUAUGCAUACCCAAGAGUGACACCUACUAACCAACCAAUUGAUCCGUAUUGCAAUUGGAACUCAUAUCUGCAUCCCCUAGGCAAUUUCAGUUUCUGACAGUUAAACCAAGAAUCUCUAGUCUCAGCAAUGACAGCAGUCUCACUUGACAACAUUUUCUGUAUAUCCUGGAACAGAACAUAAACCCUCAAAGGCUCCUUGGGAUCAGACUUAGGAGACUGUCCCUCAGGAACAUAGACUCUAUGGUAGUUCUCAUAAGCAGUGAUAUUGCAUUUGAGUCUCUUGGAGAGUGACUUGAGGAAAUUGAUUCUGAUGACUUCUCUAAACAAUGGGUAUCUUGUUUGAACCCUUAAAUUCAUUACUUGACAGGUUCAGAUGUGUCCCCAUGGAAGAUGAAACUGAAUUUGGAGGUAACAUACUCAUAGAUGAUGAGAAACCAAUUCUAGAAGCCUGCUUCUCCAAAGAUUCAUCUUUUAAAAUUCCUGGAAUGGCAUUUCACUUUUCAACCUGUACAGCAAGGAAAGAAGACAAACUCUGUGGGGUAGACAGUUGGGAUUUUUGCUGCUGCUCAUUAGUUUGAUCAGCUGGUUCCUAUUUUACAUAAGCCAUUGACAAGAUCUGCUCUUUAUUUGUUGAUGAUUGCCAAGGAACAGAACUCUGUUGCAAUGUCGAACUAUUUGAUGGAUGAGGAAAAGAUCCACCAUGCACUCUCUUGGGAUCAGUAACAGAACUCUGCCUCUCAAAUUUGGGGCACACUCAUUGGAUUCAUGGCUUGACUCGUUCCUCCUUUCUGAGUUAAACCAAUAUUUUGGUGAAGGGACGCUCGUCUCAUUUGGGAAUCAUGAGGUUGUUGUUUUGUAGAUGUUGUUGAAGUAUUAACAUUAGUGCCUGUAUAUGAGUGAUAAUUACCACCAACACUCCCAUAUAUAGUAAAAGGUGUCUGUGAAAUGUGCAGAUGCUGCUUCUGUUGCUGAGGCUGCUGCUACUGCUGCUAUUGCUGCUGUUGUUGCUGUUGGUGCUACUGCUUUCAUGCAUGAGCACUAGAGGAAUAUUCAUCAGUCAGACAAAGAGACAGACAGUGAAUACCUUUCAGAAUGACACUUGCUUUCUUUCACUUACACCAAGUUCAGAUCCUGAUUAUAUAUUUCAGGAACGGAUCUCUCCGAAAAUGAUAUCAAGUUCCAUUGUAAUCUAGUAAUAUCAGCCCGAUUAAGUCUAUUUUCAGUAACUGGCAGUCUCUCAUUGAGAUGUCCUAGAUAUUCCAAAUCAACAUGACGAUCUCAAGGUCUAAUAUCCUCUUCUUCGAUCAUAAGUAAAACCAUCCAGCAAAUGUUUCAGUACAUGUACUGCAUCCUCAUACCUUAGCACAACCAUUCGAUGAUUUUAGACCAUAAAUUACACAGCUGAUUGCGCUCACAUUUGAGAAAGGAAAUUCCCAACAAGAUCGCUUUGGAGUAUACCCUUGAUGCUGAAAGGCAUGAAAGGAAUGUAGCUUUUGAUUCAGAAAUUGAAGCUUGAGUUGACUUUGAAUAGGAAAUGAAUAGGCGGGAAUUGGAUAUACUAAUGCAUCUUAACAUCGAUCCAUUGUUAUUGUCAUCAAGAACUUCAUCUAUUAUUUAUGCAACUUCAACAACCUCUUCAUAAACAGGUAGAUCAUUCAAGCCUGAGAAGAUAUGUUCUGAAUAUAUGCAGUUAUAAGUUGGAUACUCGACUAUUCACAAUUCAACUAGUAGAAAUGUUGAUAUUCCUGCUCUCCAUUAAGGAAGAAAAGCCUCAGAGCACGCUGGACAUGAGACUCUGUUUUAGAAGAGAUCUGAACGUAGGUUCCUGUUUUGUUCAGAAUUGCUCUUUAUGGGCAUGAUCCAAUCUUCAUAAGUAGGAAGAAAUGAAGCCAUAAGACAUUUGCUUUUUGGUACCAGUCUCUACACUAGGGUAAGGCACUGCUGUAAAGUGCUUUUUAAUAGGACAGCUGCGUGCACUUGCUCUUUGAAAGCAUGAAACAGAACAUGAAUUAACAGAGAGUUGAUAAUAACAUAGAUGGUUCGAAAUAAGCUCUUAUCACCUGCUUGCCCAACUCCGGAACCUUCACAUUUUUUUCUUGACAAUGACUUCUGAUUCACUUCAAAACUAUCACAUACUUUUGAGCGUUUGAAGCAUGAAUCGUGAUGUUCAAAACCUUUAUCAUGACAAAGAUCACCAUCCCCAUUGUUACCUUUUUCGCUGCAUACCUCUUUCAAUAAUUAGUGUCAUCAUCCUUCUAAACAAAACUAGAAAUGAUGGUAGUCCAGGAAACUACAUUGCAGAUUGGCAUUCACAAAAAUUCCUUCACAGCUUGAUCCGUAUCCCUGCAUUCGGCAUACCAAUUAAUGAUGGCAGUCCCCACAAAAAACAUCUUCUCCUGCACCACAUUUAAUUACUCAUCCUUGUAUCUCUCUUCCAAACUCAAGUUCUUCAAGUUCAGCACAAGUUGUUAAAGUGCUUGAAAACGUAAAACUAUUUAGCGUAAAAAAAAUCUUCAACACAUUUAGCAGAAAAGAUCUAAAGCAACCCAAUUUUCCUUAUUUUUAACAGCCUCAGAAACGAUAGCAUUCCAGCAAACCACGUUCUCACAUAAAACGUCUUGAAAGACCCAUAAAACAUCUUCAAAGCUACAAAGCUUCGUAAACAGAUCAAUCAUUUCAGCCUGAACAUACCCAUUUGAGAAGAACCCAUUUUUCAGUGCAAGUGAACAUACCAGUUCACCAUACAAAGGAGACUCUAAGGCAAUACAAGCCGAAAGAACACUCCCAUAAGUGAACUGGUUGGGGUCAAAUCCUAAAAAAACGCAUCUUACAAAAAUUCCUCCACGAAUCCUCAAAUGAAAAGUUCUGGUUGCAACCUGAAAUCAAAAUAUCCCAAGAAAUAACAUUUGGGUGAGGAGUUUUAUCAAACAAUUUGGGCGCAUGAACCAUGGAAUUGGAUUUACAGUACCAAUCCAUUAAAGAAUCGACCAUGAAGGUGUUAGAUUGUAGAAUAACAAUUUUGAGCAAAUGGGCAUACAAGAUCUUUGUAUUUCUGAGGAUGCAUCGUUCUGAUUUUGUAUAAUUGCUGAAAAUGUGAAAAUGGUCAAAUGGUGGAAGAACUUCUGGAGGCUAUUAUGAUGAGCGAGGGGCUUCAGCAUCUGCAACAGCAUUAUCAGGGAAGCCAAGUCCUGUAGGUGGGCCAUCUUGGAUAAGAAGAGAGACAUAGCUCCAUUAGCCAUCACAAGAAGAGGAAUUGAUGAUACAUGUCAAGGGUAAGAAGCCACCCUUUAAUGAAUGUUAUGACAAAGCCUCCAAUGAACGUCGAUACCAGCUGUAUAAAUUUCCCUACCUUCUCACCCAUGGCAUCUUGUAUUAGAAUAGUGUCUCCAAAUAUCCUUCCGAUAGCCUCUCCUGAGUUUGCUUCCUUAUCAAAGGAAGCAAUAUCUUGUCUCAAUAUAAUUUUCAAGUACAGACUUCUAAUUCUUGCAGCCUGCCUCUCCUCUGUGACCAUCCAGCAAGCCGCUUGAAAGAAUGCUGCUCUGCCAGCCUCCACAGCCAAGUAAACAAAUUUCAGAGAAACCUUGGAUACUACAUCAACCACAUCUUUGUUGCUCUGGUUUUGUCCAAAAGAAUCAAUCCGGUUCCCAAAAAGUAUUACCAUAAGAGGCAUACAUAUUCCAUUCCCAACAGCACUUAUUGUGCCGGUAAUCAUCAACAACAUAUCAGCAGAAUCUGCACAAGAGAACAGUUUGUGAAAUGGAACUGUGCUGGGCUUCCCCUCUUCCUUGAUCUUCUCCAAAUCUUGUUGUUUCCCAUUCUGGCCAGAGCUUUUCACAGUCUCUGUUUCAAAUGCUCCCCUGCUUGAUAUUGUGGCUUCAUGCAUAUAUGUCUUUUUUUCAUUCAAGUCAUUCUCCUCAACCAUAAUGCUACUCCUAGAUACUUACAAGUUCUAAGAUAGCAACUACUUUAUCUGGAAGGGAUCAGACUUCAAACUUCAGUUUUUCAUGCAUCAAACACAAUUCUAACAGUAAGUUGAUAUAGCGAAUCUGGAUAUCCUAGUAAAUGGGUUGAAUUUUCUCUAAGAAAUUGAAGCCAUCCAACUGCUCUGUUCUUUAUAGUGGGAACUAAUGAGACACAGUAAGCCAUCUUUGCCUCUGCUUUACAAGUCAAACUGCUUUCUCCGACACUAUUAUUCUUACGGUCAGAAGCACUAGGGGAAUUGGAAGGGAUAAAGGUGGUGUUGGGCGAUGAUAAUGUGAUCAUUCGAAAGCAAGAGAAUAUAUUAACUUGGCUUUAACCCAUUUAACUAUGCUUGCAAAUAACCUCUGGAGCUGCGAUUCUGUACGGGCCAUUGAAUUCUAUAGGGUUAGAAAAGCCAAAUCUGAUGCCAAUAAGACGCUACCUCCAGUCUCCACAAUCCAUUACAAUACUUCGGAAUCAAUUAUCCAAUGUUUGAGUAGGAUCACCGCACGGUUCAUCCCUCAUAUCGACACUUAUAUCACUCCUCAACGUAUACCCAAAUACAAGAGCAAGGGUUCGAACACCAUGCAGGGAAAAGAAUAUAGAUAAAAUAAAAAAUUGAAGUAAAACUUGGAGAAGGAAAAGGCAGAAGGUGUUGAUCAAUAAACAUAGAUAGCCCCCACUUCAGAUAUUAAUCCAUGGGCUAAAAACAAAGGGAAAAAUGCAGAAUAUGAUUUAAAUGGAAACCCAGCAAAAUCACAUUCAGACAUGGAGUUAUCUACUUCCGAAGUCAUCAAUGACAUAUAAAAUAAUCAAAUUCAAAUAUGGCAAAGAAGUAGAUGACCAAUCUCAGCAAAACAACUUGUGGCCCUUAAUGUCCACACCAAUCAACAAUAUAUUAGAUAUUUAGAAACGAACACAUGGAGAAAUCGAACAUGAGUAAGAAUUCCGAGAAUAACCAGAAACGUACCUGAAGAACCUUGGCUGCAAUCACCUCUCUCCCGCUCUUGUGUGCUUUUCUUUCCAAGACAAAUCAAGAAUCUCCCCUCUUUUUUUUCAACAUCCUCUCUCACAUAUAUAUCUCACCUCCCAAAACCUAAAAUCUGCUCCAGAAAAGGAAAAUUCUCCUAUUUCCUUUCUCAUUUUCUUCUUUUCCUUUUUUUUCAAUCUCUUCAUUCAAAAGCAAUCUUCCCAAUUUCAAAUUCCCCUCCAAAAACCUUCCAUGGAGAGUCCCACUUUCCUUAAACUCCAAUGGUAAAUUUUCUUGCAAAAGCAUGACACUUUUGAAAGUAAAUAAUUGAAUGAAUAACUAAAUAAAUAAACAAAUUAGAAAAUAGUAAAACAAUAAUAAAUACAUAAGUUAAAGAAAAUAAUAUAAAGAGGAAGAUAACAAAUAAAAAAAACGAGUGAUUGAUAAUCAUAAAACUAAAACUAAAAAUAAAAAUAAACAAAUAAACAAAAACUGAGCCCUUCGAGCCAUGCCAACACGCAAGUCAUACAAGUCACGCUAAAAAUGUCUUAAUAGGCCCAGUGUGCCUAAAUGGGCCUAAGAUGAGACUAAAUGGGCCUAGGAUGGUGCCUAAUGGGCCAAGUGUAUCUAAAAACUAUCCUAAAAAAGCAAGAAAAACCUAAGUCUUAAUUAGGGCUGUCAAGGGUCAUAAUAAGGGGUCAGAUAGUCUCUCAACCAAAGUCUCCGAUGUGACUCAAAAAAGGUAAGUAGUGCGAGUAGUAAUGGGCCACCAAGACGCUAUUGUGGAGCACCAGAUAUUAAUUUAAAGACAUGUGCUAAAGGGAUAAAAUUGAGAGUCUACAGAUGGGAGAACUCCAAUUGGUGUUAUCUUGGUCCAGAUAUCAAGAUGAUGCACCUGAAGAUGAAUGUUCAAAUGAUGUUCCUCAAAUGAUGCCUUGUUGAUGGAGAUCUGUCACUAUCCAGAUACAAAAACUGUUGAUCAACUCUUCUAGAACCUAGUAGAUGAUGAUCCAAAAAAUAAUAGAGAGCUCGUUCUCCUAACCUCUUUAGAAUGCUAAAAAAUAUCCCAUUAAACCUAAUGCAUGAUGAUCAAAUCUAUGAAUCUGUUGUGGAUAUGUUCUUGAUGUGUUUUUUCCGAAAAUUCAAGAUGAUUCAAAAAAUAAAUCAAUAAUGAUCAAAAAAGAGAUAUGAUGGUGAGAAUUGAAAUUGGAUAUAUGAUGAUAGAAUCGAACAUGAUCAAAUCUCCCCAGUCAGUGUGUCAUGAUUACGAUGAAUUGCAGAGAAUGAUAAUGGCGGUGAUGAUCAGUAUCAAAAGUUGGUCUAUGUGUGGCUUCAAUGAGUUGUUUUUUUAUGGAAAUGUGGUGCAUUGGUGUAGAUAUGCAGAAGACUACUAUAAAUAAGGCUUGUCUCCUCCAACUAAUGGCGCCCCUAUGGAGGUGAUGCUCACUGCUGGCAGAGACACACCUGUUUAGAAAAUACCUAGCUUCCGAAAAGAAAAAAAAAAAACUUCUGAUAUGUGGUGAUGAAUCUGAUGACGAUGAGAAAUUCCUGGUGAUGAAAGAAGAUGAAUUUGAAGAAUCCUACUAAGAACUCUUGAGAAUUCCAAAAUGGUUGUGAUUUGAUCUUAUCAUGCUUGAUGUACUUUCUAUAAUGGAAUCUUGAAAUCUCUAAAUCCCUAGGAGAAAAGUUUAGUUGUUACUCCUCCCUUGCUUUUUUUCGCAAGAUGUCAUUCCAACUGUUACUCUGUGGUGUGAUAUGCAUGUUAUCCCUUGCUUCUUUUCGUGUGACGUCAUCAUGUGAAAGUGUGUUGAUUCUCCCUACUAAUGGUGAUGCUCUCCAAAGAGUCAAUGCAUGGGGAUAAUUCAUCCCACAAUCCUCUUGUACUCCUAAAAUAGUGCUCCUCACGAUGUCCAGGAUGAAAAACACAUCAUCUCCUCUUGUACUUUCCUCCCGAAUCUCUUAGAAUACUCCAGAAAAAUGCUCUAUAACGAGUGACCAUCAUCUUCCUGCAACAUGAUAGUCUCCUCCUGAUGCCUUGCUAGUGACCUGUGUUCUCUAUGAAAUUUUGAGCUUCUAGAAUUCUCCUCCAAUGUUCCAUAACCCCCCACUAGAGCCUUCCAAAGAGCCUCUAAAAAUGUGUGAUCUCUAGCGCCACCUCCUCAUGUGACAACCCUCACCAACUUCAAAUGCAUGCAUGCCCCUCACGUGUGAAUUAUCUAAGAUGUGUGGUGAUCACAAUGUUUUCUGUGGACAUGUAAUGGUGCUUUUUAGGACAUCUGGUGAAGGUUCUCCCAAGUUUUUGAUAGUGUCCCUCAAAAUGGAUCCAUGUAUGGUGAUGGGAAUUCUAUAGAAGACACAUGAUGCUCCUAUCAUGGUAAGAUGAUCGUCCACUGAUGAUAUCAUCCUCAUAGGGUUCCCAAUAGUAGUGUACAUGGAUCAUUGUGUCUUAAAAAAAAAUGGAAUCAACAUCGCACAAUUUCCCUUAAAAGAUAAAUAAGUAAAUAUACUAAAUAAAUAAAUAUGUAAGUAUUGAUUCAUGCAAUUAGGAAAAACUAAAAUCUCAACUCUCAUGCCAUUUUCUAAAAAAAUGAAUAGGUAAAUGAAUAAAACUAAUAAAAUAAUAAUAAUAAUAAUAAUAAUAAUAACAAUAAUGAUAAUAAUAAUAAUAAUAAUAAUAAUAAUAAUAAACUAAAAAAAAUCAAACAUGUGCUAGUCAUACAAGCCAUGCAAUUAUACUUGAAAGGUGACCUAAGCAAGACUAGACAAACCUAAGUGGGCCAAGCUGUGCCAAAAUGGGCCCAAGUGAGUCUAGGUGGGCCCAAGUGAGUCUAGGUGGGCCUAAGUGAGUUUAAGUGGGUCUAAGGUGUCAAAAAUGGGCCCAAGUGAGCCUAGGUGGGCCUAAGUGAGCCCAAGUGGGCCAAGUGCACCUAAAAGCUAUCCUAGAAAGGAAGGAAGAAACCUAAGUCUAAAUUAGGGCUGCUAAGAGCACAAUGAGGGGUUAGAUAAAUCCCUUAACUAAAGUCUCUAAGGUGGCUCAAAAAAGUCAAGUAGUAUGAGUAGCAACAGGCCACCAAGGAACUACUGUGGAGCAUUGGAAGUGAACUUAAAGACAUGUGCUGAAGGGAUAUAAUGGAAGGUCUACACCUUGUCAAUAUCUUGGUGAAGGGAUCCACCAGGUUCUCCACAUAUGGUAUCUUGUCAACCAUCAAGUCACCCUCUAAACCAUCUUAACACUUUAGAGCAUAAGCACAUAAUCUCUCGUUCUAAAAAAAUACUUGAGUGUGUCCUUAACAUAAUGCAUUUUUCUUAUUCUUGUAUUCCCUAAGUACUUUAAACCCAAGAAUAUAUUGUGCCACUUCUAGAUUUAAAUCUAGAACCGAGUAGACAACCAAAUCUCGACUAAUGACAAUACUCCUACAUCAUUCUCAAAAAGUAGAUUGUCAUCUACCUACAAGAUCCUAGAACUCUACCAUGUUUCCCUGAAAUUUCUUGUACACACAAGGCCCUUUGCUAUGAAAAUAUUUGGUUACAUCAUAUAGAUGCUAAUAUCAAGAUAAUCGUUUAAGAACACUAUCUUGACAUCCUAUUGCAAUAUGUCAUAAAUGAGAUACACCGUAAUGGGUAAGAGUACUUUGAUGGAUCUGAAUAUGGCUACUGGUGAAAAAGUUUCCUAUAUUUGAAACAAUGUUUCGAACUAUAACCUUUAGCUAUAACUUAGCCACAUAUAUCUCAACUUUUCAUCUACUCAUUUGUUCCUCUUGUAGAACAACUUACACCUAUGGGUUUUAUCUCUUUAGGUGCUUCUACAGGAACCCAAACUACAUUAGAAUCAUAAGGAUUCUAACUCUGCCUCUGUAGCUUUUGCCAAAGAUGUGCAUCCACAUCACUUAUUGUUUCAUCAUAAUCUAUGGGAUCAAUCUCAUGUUCCUCUAGAAUGGUCUCGAAAGACUCUCCUAAAUACAUGAAUUGGUCUGGUUGUUUAACAACCUUUCCACUACAAUGAGUCAUCAAUGUACUAGAAAUGGAAAUGGUUGGUACUGGAUCCAUAGUAUCUUGUGUAUAGUGGAACUAUCUUCUAGUAUUCUCCAAUCUAUAUUAUUGUUUGCCUAAUUACAUGUCAUAUAGUCUUCAUCAGAAAUCUGGUAUUUGUAGCAACAAACACCUUUUGAUAAUCCUGACUAUAAAGUAAUAAUCCCUAAAUCCUCUUGAAUAUCAUAUAAACCGAUACAUCUCUUUAGAAAAAGAGGUAUUAUAUAGUCUUUAAGAUAUAUCCCCAAAGAAUAUGGGAAGUAAUGAGAAACCAAUCAUCGAUCUCUCUAUGUCUAUAAAAGUUCAAUAUCUUCUUUCUAUUACUCCAUUUUGCAAUGGAGUCCUUGGUGCACACAAUUAGGAUAUCAUCUCAUGCUCUAUAUGGAAAUGAUUGAACCUACUAGACACACCGCCUUUAUCUAACCGAAGAGCCUUGAUAUGUUUACUUAAUAGGUUAUCCAAUUCUACCUUAAAUUCAAUGAAUUUAUCAAAGGCAUCAGACUUCUUAUCUACAUAUCCAAACCUAGAGUAUUUAUUAGUAAAAUAAUCAAAUACCCAUAUUUUCCAUGCACAAACACAAAAAGGUUCAUACAUGUGAGUAUGCACUAACUCCAAACAUUCCUUGGUUCCAUGUCCUUUAAAAAUAAAGGGGUCUUUUUGUCAUUUUGCCACAUAUAUGGGAUUCGUAGAUUGAAAGAUCUUCUGAAAUAAAAAAUUCUAGACUUAAUUAGUCUUUGGAUCCUAUUUAGAUUAAUAUGACCUAGGCUUUGGAAGCCAAAUGUUUGAUUAAUGUUUGGUUCUUUCUUUUAGUGAGAUUUUACUAUUCUCAUUACUUGGAAAAAUGAUAAUGGAGUCUCACAUAAAAAAUGUAAUACCUCCCACUAGCUUGCACAACUAACCUUGCAACUGAAGCUAAGGUAAGUAUAAUCCCAUCAUGUGACCUUCUCACUUGUUGAAAAACCCUGUAAAGAACUACAGAUAGUGGACCUAGAAUCUAUUCACCAUAAUUGGUGAAAUCCACCACUAUUUACUUAACAAUGAGAAUAUGAUGUGUAUUUGCCUAUCCUUAGGCACUUUGAGCAUUCUUUUUCUAGUGUCUUAAAAGGUCACAAAGGAAUCAAUGCCCAUGAGUUUGUUCUCUCAUUCAUUUUCUUGAACUUUCUUUAUUUGGUGUUCUUCUUCUUCUUCUUUUUCUUUUUCUUCUUGGUAGAAGAGCCUUAAGAACCUUGACUUCCAUAUGAACACCCUUCCACUCUUUGAAAAUCUUCUUACCCAUCCCAAAGGAAUUUGGUAAGAUCUCUAAGAUAACAUGAAUCCUGGUGUUUAUAAUAGUCUUAAGGGCAACUUGUUUAGUUGACUUCCCUUUAUCACCAAAUAACCCUUGCAACUUUAAAGAGAAUAUCAUAGACAAUGGCAAUAGACAUGUGUUACUUUUGCAACACAUUAUCUAAAGAUCCAAGUAUGAAAGACUUGGUCUUUUGACCCGUCUUAUGCCAUCUUUGAUAUGUUUCUCUUACUUUAUGAUAGGUUUGUUCAAAGUAAAUAACAAACUCUACCAAAAUCAACUUCUAUGCAAUUAAUACUAUAUCUAGAUUAUUUUCAGUUUAUAAUUAGGUCUAAUUUAAACAAAAGAUAAUAGGUGAUAGGUUAAAGACAUGACAUCCAUAAUAAAUAUAAUAAUUCCAUCCAUUAAUAAAAGGGACUGAGCAUUCAAGGCAAGUUGGUAAUUAAUUUAGAAAAAAUGUACUGCUCUCAAACUACAUGUCCUUUUGCAAGGUAUUCUAGUAUCAUAAGAAUCAAGCUUACUUUAGGCAAGUCAUGACUCUUAUUACUAGGGUAGAGACCCUCUCUAAUUGAUCAACUUACCUUAAACUUUAAAAGUUAUCCUAAGGCAUUAAUCAACAUACCCUUUUUAUUUAGCACUUAGCCCAUACAAGUGGGAGCACUUUAGGUGAUUCUACCACUUCAUGUCUAAGUUAAGUGUGUAACCAAGAUUGUUAACAUCAUUGUUACAAGUGAAGAGUUCCAUCUUCAGGAUUGACUACUCCCAUUACAAACAUAUAUAGUCUCGUCUAUAAUGGAUAGUCCAUAUCCUUUGAUUCCUUGGGUCACGCCAUCUUUAGGAUGAUGAUUCACCCAAAAUCAUGAUGAGCUCAAUCUUGGAGGCUAUGGGCUUGCCUAUGGCCGACUCCCACUUAAUAUUUUGGAAUAGAGACUUUAAGAUAGUUACCAAGUCAGUGCCUACUACUUUUUUAAAGAUGUGGAGUGGAUGUAAACAUAGUUUACACCACAACCACAUAUAGGGGUGCCCAAGACAUGCGCUAAAGAAGAAGGCUAACAAAUUAGAAUCUAGAUCAAAUGUUUAACUAUUUAUAGGUUACCUGAAAAGGACAAGAGGCUAUUUCUUUUAUAGUCCAAUUGAUCAAAAGGUGUUUGUUACCACAAAUGCUAGAUUUUUAGAAGAAGACUAUAUGGUGAAUAAAUAAAUAAGAAGUGAUUUAGGGUGGUCUAAGACUAUUAAUGAACCCAUUAUCAUAAGAGCGAUACAUGAUUUAUUAAACCAUAUACCAAGUAAACCUACUGAUUCUAGUACUCCACCAGAGCCUCAUUGUAGUGGAAGGAUUAUUCAAAAUGAAAUAGGUUUAUAUUCUUGGAAGAGUCUUUCGAGACAAUCCUUGAGGAGUUGAAACUAGUCCCAUAAAUUAUGAUGAAACAAUGGCUAACACUGAUGCUUUUUCAUGGAAUGAGGCUGUGAAAUCUGAGAUAGAGUUUAUGUACUCUUAUUAGGUUUGGUCUCUUUUAGAAGCAACUAAAGAGAUAAAACCCAUACAGUGUAAGUAGAUCUAUAAGAGGAAGAGAGGAGUCGAUGGAAAGUUUGAAACCUUGAAAGCAAGGCUUGUUGUGAAGGGUUAUAAUCAAAAACUUGGUUUUGAUUAUAAGAAAACUUUUUUGCCAGUAGUCAUGCUUAAGUCCAUCAAGAUACUCUUGUCAAUUGCAGUUAAUUUGGAUUACAAAAUUUGGCAAAUAGAUGUUAAGACUACCUUUCUUAAUGAGCUUCUUGAGGAAGAUAACAAUAUGAUACAAUGUUAGCCCAAGGGUUCUCCUAAUCAGGUUUUGAUGAUAACAAACCAUGGUUAAGUGGCUAAUUAUUUUUAAUGGUAAAGAAUCUCAAGUAUAAUUUCGGAAAUUCAUCCAAGGACCAAAUGGAUGCAAGACCGAGAUUAUUGGAAGUCCCUUGAUCAUAGGAAAUGAAUGUAAGAUGAAUGCAUGGGUGCACUUAAGGUUUUCAUGUCAUUUCAUGCAUCUUUGAAAAACUCGGUUUAUUCUUUAAACUUUCAAAUUCAUUCAAACCCGAGUUUUAUCAAAUGUACCUUAGGCAAAAUGUUUUAAAACUGGCAUAUUGUGGACCCGCAUUUUUCACGUGCGUCCCCACUCGAUAGGCGAGACUCGCUUUUUAUUUGUGAAAAUUUAAUUUUAAAAAAAGUUGGAGUCGCCACCUAUUUUAUUUUUAUUUUAAAGGGAAAAUAAAACAAGAAAGAAAAACCCUAAAAAGUGACUCCAUAGUUUUGGAAAAAACAUGUCUUUGAGAAACCCGAGUCUAGGUCCGGGGAUCAGGUUACUUAUUGGGAAGGUACCUCUAGGAGGUAACACCCCUCUAAGCCCUAAAGAGGUCUCUACUGACUAAGUUAAGGGAAGUGUGGCAAUUAAAUGGUUGAUCAUGGAUACCUAAGUAGGCUAGGUGAUUCCAAAAACAUAACAUAUCAAACAAGAUCAAAUCACAAUUAAGGAGAGUUAAAAAUGCGUACCUGGACGGCUUCCCAAGCGCUAUCAUAAAACAUAAGAGAUUAGUUUGGAGAUACAUCACACAACAUUUGUUUUAUUCAAGCAAAUCAGGCAUAUAUCAAGACAUUCAAGAAUCACGUCAAAUAUGGAUAUGGUCAUCAAUGACAUACAAGUCCAUAGAGUUCUAAAAAAAAUAGAUGAGAAGAGAGCGUACCUGGAUAGCAAGCUAGUACUCCUCUAUGGGAAACAAGAGCAUCUCAACAAUAAAUAUUAAGUGAAUUCAAGUAUUUCAUCAAGAAGAAUCAAAAAUCAACAUAUCAAGUAAACGGUAUUGAAGUGAGUGUUAUGAAUGUCGGGCCCCCACCAAAGCCCUAAUUAAUUUCGCAUGAGUUGAUUCCAUAAAUUCCAUGACUUGGAAUUAUGGAGUUUGUUCAUGCUUUUUGAAAAAUCAAGAAAAUCGAUUGAAAAUCAAAUAAAAUAGUGAAAACGCGUGCCGGAAGGAAAAUGGCAGCGAGAGUGUGUUAGAAUCUGGAUUUUAUACCUAGAAAGGAUCUAAGAUGAAUUUUUCAAAGCCGGGAAUGUUUAGUUGAACAAGGGUUCAAAAAUUCAAUUUAAAACAGUAAGUUCCCAAUCAAAGAAGCAAAUAGAGGAGGAGGUGUGUGUAGCAAGGUUGCCAUGAAGUGAAGCUGGGAAAUUCUGGAUAGAAGGGACCGAUUCCCUGCAAAAGUGUUCAACUGUCAAAUGCUUCAACUUAAAAGACAUCUUGAUUUGUAAGCUCAACUGGAUUCUCUUCAACAGAAGUCAAAUACUGAAUAAAAGGUUCAGAAUUUCCAAUUUUCUGCAUUGGGAGGUUCCCUGUAUCAUGCUAGUUUUCAAUUGAUUAAGCCUUUCAAAUUUUACCUCAAUCUGCCAUAAUAUAGUUCGAUUCAUGUGGCCUGUGGUCAAAUAAACCAUUUUCUGCAUACUUAAGCUUCCUGUGUGAAGACUUCAUUACUUGGAGAGACAUCCUGACUACUUCGAAUACAUGAUUCAAAUUCUGCUGUUUGCUGAGGAAUUCCAUUAGAGAGCAAGAAUGUUUAGAUACCGUUCUUAACUUCUGUCACGCACGGAGACUAUUUUCUUUCUGUCUUAAACAAUCUGUACUGAACUUGGUUUUCAUCUUUAAUGAUGGUGUUUGAUCUGUAUUUCUAUUAAAAGCUCUAUCAAUUCCAUAACAGUUCCAGAAUUCUGUAUCAAUUGGUCUCUUAGCUGGACAAACGAAUAAAGUCUGUAUGUGCUUCCUAUUUAUUCAUCAAGAGCAAACUAAGGAUACCCUUGAUGUGAUAGGCAGCUAGAUCAGUUUCAAUCUCCACAGGUACAGAAUCCUUUUGCUGUCCUGAACCCCAUUGCUUUGAGGUCAAAUUCCAUAUCUGAAGGUAGAACUUUCUGUUCCUGCUGCAAUUGAGACUACGAAUUAUGCAACUUCUGGGGAGUCAACUCAGUUCGAAAGAAUUGCAGGUGUUCAUUAUGUGCAAGGGUCUGAAGUUGUUGCAAUCCUUCCCACUUCCUGACAAGCUCGACAGUGUUGAAGGAAUUCUUGAGAAUCUGGAACAUAUCUGUGAGUAAUCUUGGAAACAAUUGGGCAAUCUGUAGGCUCUUCACUUGCUCUCUUCACUGAGUUACCCCAUUCUCUGAUACCUGGACCUGCCACCUCUUAUUUGCUUGGAGAUCAUCAACAAAAGGACAAUCAAGGUAAAGUGAGCCAUCUGAUUCGUAUUCAUGUUGGUCAGAUGCUAACUUGCUGGUGUAUUCUUUCAAGCUAAGCGAGCUUGUUGGUGUGUUCUAUUGAACCGGGCGACGCUAUAUUUACUCUCAAAUUUAGAUCUUUUAACCUGAGUUCAGAAUUAGUAGCGUCAUUGGAAAGAGUAGAAGGCGACUCAUCAUCAACUGAAAAUAGUAGGGAAUGCAGACAGGAGGAAUUCCAUAGAACCUGAAGAAACCUUUCUCUAGGUUGACCCAACAAGUUGACAGGGAUAUCUCGAAUGUGUUCCUCCUUUUAAGACAUAUUCUUUAUGAGAAAACAGGCGUGAGCAGAAAGAGUAGAUUCUCUGAUCUCAACUUCAUUUCCGAUAUCAGAUAUUCGAUCCUCCAGUCAUGGUACUGUUGUUUCAACAAUUCACAAGCAAAUAACAAUACGCUACGACUCUUCAAUUGUCGAAUAACCAGUAGAUUUGCCUGAUUUAUCAAUGGUGGAAUCAGGUUCCUUCUCAUGGGCAUCAGAAGCCAACUUGUUUUCUGCAACUGGUGGGAUGAACAAAGAAGCAUGCUCUCAGGUUGAGUCAGGUACAAAUCCUACUGCAUUUCCUUCCAUAGUUUCAGAAGAAAAUCUAGAAUGGGACUUUUAUACUUUGUCAACUGGUCCAUUUUGAAUGAUUCCCUUCAGAACCUUGCUUUCUCUGUUCUGUCUCCUUUUCUGUUCCGACUCAAAAUUUCAACUGUACGAUGGUGUGAUGCAUUUGAUUCUCAUCUGAAGGAAAGAAAAGAAUUUGUAUGUGAUUCUAUUCAUUUAUCAAGAACAAGCUGAUGGUCAAUCCUGAAACCCAACCAUUUUCAGAUAAUUCAAACUCUACUACAAGUUGAUCGUUCCCUUUUUCGAUUGGAAGUUAUCCUCAGAUACCUUUCAUUUUCAUGAGUAGUUUAUGCACCAAAAUUAUCGAUGACAGUGUUCAGGAAGUAAGGCUCAUCAUGGGAAGUCUUUCUCUUGUAAGGCUUAAUUAUUCUCUAGUUGCAGCUUCGUCCAGAGCAUCAGUAACCCUUUUCUUGACAAAGAUCACCAUCCCCAUUGUUACCUCUUUCACUGCAUAUCUCAUUUAAUAAUUGGUGUCGUCAUCUUUCUGAACAAAACCAGAAAUGAUGGUAGUCCAGGAAACUACAUUGCAGAUUGGCAUUCACAAAAAUUCCUUCACAGCUUGAUCAUUAUCCCUGCACUUAGCAUACAAAUCAAUGGUGGCAACCCCCACAAAAGAAAGUCUUCUUUUCAGUCCCAAACCAAUCAUCCUCUGUAUUCUGGCCAUAUAGGAAGCCUUUCCGAUUGUAAAUCUCGAACAGCAUCACUCAUAACCUCCAGUUCUAAACUCUCGGGGUACAGCCUCUUCAUUAAGCAUUUGUUGUUUCCUUCCCUCACUAGAAGUUUUUUUUUUAGUGCAGAUUAAUGCCAACUGUAUGAACACCACAACAAAAUGAAUCUUCAUGACUUUGGAAUUUGAUUUUUGUUCAAAUUCACCAAUCUCAGCAGAAGUUUUACUGUAUUCUUCAAAAAUCAGAUCAGCCUUAACAGUCAGUUUUCCUUGCUCAAGUAAUCAAGCAAAAUUGCCCCACGUGAAUAGAAGAUGCCACAAGUUUAGCAGUGUCAUUCUUAUUAGCACAACUUUCUCCAACAGCUGGUGGAGUUUGAAUGUGGAAGUGAAACUAAUAUAUCAGCCCCAAACAACUUACUACCAUCUGAUACACAAGGAUUUCCAUUAUCUACUGGAUAAGGAAAGUGAUGUUUACUUAAAAGAACAUAUGAAACUGAUAAAUUACAAUUACCACCGAGUCGUACCAUAUCUGGUUGCUUUGGGACAUCCGGGCAAUUAACAUUUUUCUUCCUUGUAAACUGACAAAAGGUCUCAUCCACAUUUCCAAUUGCUUUACUAUCACAGCUAUAAGAUACUUGCUGCAACCCAGUUACAUGCUCAUCGGACAUGGUAUCAAGAUUCAAAUCAAUAUAGAAACUCUACCCCACUUUACUUUAAUAGCCCUUAGUUAGACCUUCUUUAUUCAAAUUUUCACAUUCUUGAACAGCAUCAAGAGCAUCCCUUGCUUUAUUGAGUGAUCUUGCAAUAUUUAAUGAUAUGUCCUUUGAAUGGGAUUUCAAUAUGGAGCUUAAAAAGGUGUUGAUUGCGCAGAGUGUUUCUUGAAGCUGCUGUAGCUGAAUUUUCUCUCCAGUUUCUGGUGUGGGUUUGGUGCUUAUGUGAACCCUUAAUUCAUCGAGAAGCUGCCCGUACAGCUCUUGCAAAGCUUCAUAGAGAUCCCUACUUUCUCCUCUUCAAUUGUUUCUUCAAAAAUCGCUUCAUUAUUCUUUUUUUUGAGUGAAAUGGGAGAGAACUCUUCCAUGCUUUGUCUUCUCCCUAUUAUAUCUAAAAGCCUCAACGUGAGUGGGGGACACCUAGCAAUCGCGAACCAAUAAGGAGCGUACACUCUAAUAAUUUCCUCCAGAAGCGAUUGCUCUUUUUCAUGGUUUUGUUCUAUAAUGAUUUGAACAAUCCUUCCAGAAAUUGAACUUCUUAAGCGCAUCGUUUUACUUGGAGCUCUACUAGGAUGGGAUAUAAGAACGGCUUCAUGUAUUGGCAGCCAUCCUCUUUGUGGGAACAGUGAAAAGUACAAGGGAUUUCUAAUGUCAGCAUCAUAAACUCUUACAGUUUUUUCCCGGGCCAAAUAUUCCUCUGGAGCAUGCAAUAUAAUGUCCACUUGCUUGCAUUUCAAAAACAGAAAAUUCUGCUGCCAUGAGAAGGAAAUUGGUUAUUGACAGUGGUGAUUUGACCACAAGAGUCCAAUCUUGAAUAGGAUCAGAGCGAAUGUCUUUUGCAAUCUCUGUCGCUUGUAUGCCCAAGCAAAGCAUCCUCAAAUGUUGUCUUCAACUCAAAAGACUUGAGACCCCGAGCAAGCUGUUCUGCAUUUAGUCCCUCAUGUGCACUGCCUUGUGACUACAAUGGAUUGUGAAGGAGCUUCAGCUCUUAUUUUUCAAAGAUUUCAACAAAUCUGUGAUAUCCAACUUUUAGCUGGAAACGGUGGUACUAUUCUGAUCACAAGCUAAGGUAGUUGCUACAAUAUUUACAGCAGCAUCUUCACGGAGAUUAGACUCACAUAGCUGCCUGGACCUACCUGGACUGUACCAAUCUGUUGAGCAGAUACUAAGCCUCUCAAAGUAGAAGAACUCUUCUAUGCUAGGUAAUGGAUCCCAAUAUAUGAAAUGAAACAGAGCCUUAAAAACUGAAGCUUCCAAGUAUACAGAUUCAGAAUCUUCUUGCUUGUAAGUGCCUCUACGAAAGCCUAUCACAAGCUAAGGUAGUUGCUACAAUAUUUACAGCAGCAUCUUCACGGAGAUUAGACUCACAUAGCUGCCUGGACCUACCUGGACUGUACCAAUCUGUUGAGCAGAUACUAAGCCUCUCAAAGUAGAAGAACUCUUCUAUGCUAGGUAAUGGAUCCCAAUAUAUGAAAUGAAACAGAGCCUUAAAAACUGAAGCUUCCAAGUAUACAGAUUCAGAAUCUUCUUGCUUGUAAGUGCCUCUACGAAAGCCUCUGUCACAAUUUCGUUCUCUUGAAAGCCCACAUGAUCUAGUAAUUCUGAAGCAAAGGAUAACAUGGGUUCUUGCUCUGAAAAAAAGAUUACAUCUUUUAUGACCAGUAUGAAAUCAGCAACAGGUAAGAACUCUACUUGAUGUGUAACAUAAAUCACUACUUUCGAACCCAAGAGACACAGCAAAUAUUCUUUAAAGAAAUUGGUUCCUGCGCGAGCAUCCACAGCACUAUAACUGUCUGAUCACCAAAUGAGAGAACCUCCAGAUUCUUUUUCAAGGAAUAUGCAUCAAGAACCCUUUCAUACCUUUUAUUAGGAUUGAUUGUAUUAGUUGUUUUUUACUAGAAGGGUAGUUUUGUCAUUAUUGUAAGCUGAGCUAUUUUUGAGUUGUUUUGUUCAGUUUGUUGUUCAGUUUGUUUCGGUUUUUCUUGUUCAGUUUUGUUGAGCCAUUUUACUCUGUUAUAUAACAGAGCAGCCUUGUAUUUUGGGAAAGAGGAAUGAAGAGAAUUCUUUUCAUCUUUUCUCUCAAUUCUUUCUUCAGAUUUCUUUUUCUAACAUGGUAUCAGAGCGAUCCAUUUAGGGUUUCAAAUCCCUAAUUUCUAUUUUUUUCUUCUCUUUCUCUGUUCUUUGUUCUCGAUCGUGUUCAUGGCGAAAGGUGGAUCUGGUAAUGGUAAUCGCGGUGGCCAGGUGAAUUCUGAGAUUGUUGUUGUUGAAGAUUCGAGUAGUCCCUAUUUUCUUCAUAAUGGAGAUCAUCCAGGGCUCAAUCUUGUUUCAAAUCUUUUGACUGGAGCGAAUUAUCAUACCUGGCGUAGAGCGAUGCUGAUGGCUCUCACAACGAAGAACAAAGUUGGUUUUGUGGAUGGUACGAUUUCUAGACCUAUGUCUCAUGAUUUGAUUUACGGUGCUUGGAAUAGAUGUAACAGUAUGAUUUCUUCAUGGAUCAUAAAUGCUGUUUCAAGAGAAAUUGCAGAUAGUCUUUUAUAUUUGGAUUCUGCUUGUGANNNNNNNNNNNNNNNNNNNNNNNNNNNNNNNNNNNNNNNNNNNNNNNNNNNNNNNNNNNNNNNNNNNNNNNNNNNNNNNNNNNNNNNNNNNNNNNNNNNNCCCAAGCAAAGCAUCCUCAAAUGUUGUCUUCAACUCAAAAGACUUGAGACCCCGAGCAAGCUGUUUUGCAUUUAGUCCCUCAUGUGCACUGCCUUGUGACUACAAUGGAUUGUGAAGGAGCUUCAGCUCUUAUUUUUCAAAGAUUUCAACAAAUCUGUGAUAUCCAACUUUUAGUUGGAAACGGUGGUACUAUUCUGAUCACAAGCUAAGGUAGUUGCUACAAUAUUUACAGCAGCAUCUUCACGGAGAUUAGACUCACAUAGCUGCCUGGACCUACCUGGACUGUACCAAUCUGUUGAGCAGAUACUAAGCCUCUCAAAGUAGAAGAACUCUUCUAUGCUAGGUAAUGGAUCCCAAUAUAUGAAAUGAAACAGAGCCUUAAAAACUGAAGCUUCCAAGUAUACAGAUUCAGAAUCUUCUUGCUUGUAAGUGCCUCUACGAAAGCCUCUGUCACUAUUUCGUUCUCUUGAAAGCCCACAUGAUCUAGUAAUUCUGAAGCAAAGGAUAACAUGGGUUCUUGCUCUGAAAAAAAGAUUACAUCUUUUAUGACCAGUAUGAAAUCAGCAACAGGUAAGAACUCUACUUGAUGUGUAACAUAAAUCACUACUUUCGAACCCAAGAGACACAGCAAAUAUUCUUUAAAGAAAUUGGUUCCUGCGCGAGCAUCCACAGCACUAUAACUGUCUGAUCACCAAAUGAGAGAACCUCCAGAUUCUUUUUCAAGGAAUAUGCAUCAAGAACCCUUUCAUACCUUUUAUUAGGAUUGAUUGUAUUAGUUGUUUUUUACUAGAAGGGUAGUUUUGUCAUUAUUGUAAGCUNNNNNNNNNNNNNNNNNNNNNNNNNNNNNNNNNNNNNNNNNNNNNNNNNNNNNNNNNNNNNNNNNNNNNNNNNNNNNNNNNNNNNNNNNNNNNNNNNNNNUGUUUUGUUCAGUUUGUUGUUCAGUUUGUUUCGGUUUUUCUUGUUCAGUUUUGUUGAGCCAUUUUACUCUGUUAUAUAACAGAGCAGCCUUGUAUUUUGGGAAAGAGGAAUGAAGAGAAUUCUUUUCAUCUUUUCUCUCAAUUCUUUCUUCAGAUUUCUUUUUCUAACAUGGUAUCAGAGCGAUCCAUUUAGGGUUUCAAAUCCCUAAUUUCUAUUUUUUUCUUCUCUUUCUCUGUUCUUUGUUCUCGAUCGUGUUCAUGGCGAAAGGUGGAUCUGGUAAUGGUAAUCGCGGUGGCCAGGUGAAUUCUGAGAUUGUUGUUGUUGAAGAUUCGAGUAGUCCCUAUUUUCUUCAUAAUGGAGAUCAUCCAGGGCUCAAUCUUGUUUCAAAUCUUUUGACUGGAGCGAAUUAUCAUACCUGGCGUAGAGCGAUGCUGAUGGCUCUCACAACGAAGAACAAAGUUGGUUUUGUGGAUGGUACGAUUUCUAGACCUAUGUCUCAUGAUUUGAUUUACGGUGCUUGGAAUAGAUGUAACAGUAUGAUUUCUUCAUGGAUCAUAAAUGCUGUUUCAAGAGAAAUUGCAGAUAGUCUUUUAUAUUUGGAUUCUGCUUGUGAUAUCUGGAAAGAUUUGAAUGAUAGAUUUAAUCAGGGUAAUGGACCUAGAAUUUUUCAAAUUAAGAAGCAAUUAUCUGCUCUUAAUCAAGGUUCAUUGGAUGUCAAUUCAUAUUUCACUAAAUUGAAGAUUCUUUGGGAUGAAUUGAGGGAGUUUCAACCUGUUCCAGUAUGUCAUUGUGGUGGAUUGAGAGUCUGGACAGAUUAUCAACAUAGGGAGUAUGUUUUACAAUUUCUUAUGGGUUUAAAUGACUCUUAUGCUCAGAUUAGAGGACAAAUUUUGAUGAUGGAUCCCUUACCUGCUAUUAAUAAAGUGUUUUAUUUGGUUAUUCAAGAAGAACGUCACAGGAAUGUUGGUUAUUCUUAUUCUGGUUCUCACAAUUCUGAUCCUAUGACAUUUGGCUCUAAUUCUAAUGCACCAGCAGGAAGUUCAGGUGGCUCUAAAACUAGAAGGGAUAGAAUUACUUGUUCUCAUUGUGGUUUCCAAGGUCAUACCAAAGAUAAAUGCUAUAAACUUGUUGGGUAUCCACCGGGAUGGAAAUUCAAAAAUAAAGGCCCUAAUUCAAGCUCAAUGGCUAACAAUUCAGAAGUCCUCGAGUCUUUGAAUGCAGGUUCUUCUGAAUCCACUGUUUCUUCCCUCACUACCAUGCAGUGUCAACAAUUGAUUCAACUCUUAACCAACCAAUUAAGCUCUACUUCUUCAGCUUCCACAGAGAAUUCUUCAACAGGACCAUCAGUGUCUAAUUUUGCUGGUAAUAAAGUUAAAAUCCAAAAUAAAGGUUGGAUUAUUGAUAGUGGGGCCACCCAUCAUGUUUGCAAUGACAUUUCUCUAUUUGAUUCUUCUAUUGAUGUUCAAAAUGUCCGAGUUACUUUACCUACUGGUAUUACUGUCCCUAUUGAUAGAGUUGGUUCGGUCAUUCUUUCGAAGGAUGUCAAGCUUCUAAAUGUGUUGUUUGUGCCUACUUUCAGAUAUAAUCUACUUUCUGUGAGUGCAUUUACAGACACUUUAUCUCUUUCAAUGGUUUUUACUCCUGAUGCUUGCAUUAUUCAGGAACCAUCUCGGGGCAAGAUGAUUGGGAAGGGUAGCAGGAAAGGUCAGUUAUAUCAGCUGGAUUUUGACAGUUUUGUUGCUGAUAAAGCUUUUGUUGCAGCUUCUCGGAUUCCUACUUCUAAUAUUCUUUCUUUGUGGCAUUCUAGACUUGGACAUCCUUCUUUUAGUCGUUUAAAAGGUCUACAAUCUGUAUUGGAUUUUGAUUCAUCCUUUGAUCUUACUCCCUGCAAUGUAUGUCCUUUAGCUAAGCAGCGUUGUCUGCCUUACAUUUCUCUUAAUAAAAGAUGUUCUUCCACUUUUGAUCUUUUGCAUCUAGAUAUAUGGGGACCUUUUUCUGUUGGCAGUGUUGAAGGCUACAAAUUUUUCUUGACUAUAGUUGAUGAUUAUAGUCGAGUAACUUGGGUUUAUAUGUUGAAGAAUAAAUCUGAAGUUCAAAAAUAUAUUCCAGAUUUCUUUGCUUUUGUAAAGAAGCAGUUUGGUAAGGAAGUUAAGGCCAUAAGAUCAGAUAAUGCUCCAGAAUUAUUUCUUUCCAAUUUCUAUCAUUCUCUUGGUGUCAUACACUAUCGUUCUUGUGUUGAAACUCCUCAACAGAAUUCUGUGGUAGAAAGGAAACACCAGCAUAUUCUAAAUGUGGCCCGUGCUCUUCUUUUUCAGUCCAACCUUCCUGUCUGCUACUGGAGUGACUGUAUACUCACUGCAGUAUACUUAAUCAAUAGAACACCAAGUCCUUUUCUAAACAAUAAGACUCCUUUUGAAAUCCUACAUGAUAAGCUGCCUGAUUAUAGUCAUUUGCGGGUCUUUGGUUGCUUGUGUUAUGUUUCUACUUUGAAAGCUAACAGGACAAAAUUCUCACCUCGAGCCAAAGCAGCCGUUUUUCUUGGUUAUCCCUUUGGUUUUAAAGGGUACAAAUUACUGGAUAUAGAGACACGUUCCAUAUCUAUCUCUAUAAAUGUUAUUUUUCAUGAAGAGAUCUUUCCUUUUUCAAAGACAAAUCCCUGUUCUUCUCCUGAUAUUUCUUCUGAUUUGUUUCAUGAUCGAGUUCUUCCUUGUAUUGCUGCUGAUAAUGAUCAAUCUUCCUCAGUUCUUCCUCGUGUUGUUUCACAGCCACCUCUUCAAGUUGCUCCUUCUUCACGACCAACAAGAGUCUCCAAACAACCUUCAUAUUUGAAAGAUUAUCACUGCUCUUUAAUCAACUCUGUUGCUCAUGUUGAAACUCACUCCACUUCUCAUCCCAUACAACAUUUUUUGAGUUAUGAUAAGCUCUCUCCUUCUUACAAACUUUUUUCUCUCUCAGUUUCCAUUAUUUCAGAACCCAGCUCUUUUGCAAAGGCUGCUGAAAUACCAGAAUGGAGGGCUGCCAUGGAUUGUGAAUUAGAGGCUCUUGAGGAAAAUAAGACCUGGUCCAUUGUUAGUUUACCUGUUGGUAAGCACCCUGUUGGCUGUAAAUGGGUGUACAAAGUUAAACAUAAGGCUGAUGGUACCAUAGAACGGUAUAAAGCUCGUUUAGUGGCAAAAGGGUAUACUCAACGUGAAGGCAUUGAUUAUGUUGAUACUUUUUCACCAGUGGCAAAACUAGUGACUGUUAAAUUGCUUUUGGCUAUUGCUGCUGUUAAAGGUUGGCAUUUGUCACAAUUGGAUGUGAACAAUGCUUUCCUUCAUGGAGACUUGAAUGAGGAAGUGUAUAUGAAGUUACCUCCUGGUUAUAAUAGAAAGGGGGAGUCUUUGCCUUCGAAUGCUGUUUGUUUGCUUCAUAAAUCCUUAUAUGGUCUCAAACAAGCCUCAAGACAGUGGUUUUCUAAGUUUUCUACUGCCAUUAUGGGCUUGGGAUUCAGUCAAUCUCCUUCCGAUCAUUCUCUUUUCAUCAAAAAUGUUGAUGGCUUGUUCAUUGCUCUUCUUGUUUAUGUUGAUGAUGUGAUUAUAGCUAGUAAUAAUCAAGGGGCCAUUGCUGAUUUGAAAUCUGAGUUGAAUAAACUCUUCAAACUGAAAGGAUUUGGGUGAUGUCAAGUAUUUCCUUGNNNNNNNNNNNNNNNNNNNNNNNNNNNNNNNNNNNNNNNNNNNNNNNNNNNNNNNNNNNNNNNNNNNNNNNNNNNNNNNNNNNNNNNNNNNNNNNNNNNNNNNNNNNNNNNNNNNNNNNNNNNNNNNNNNNNNNNNNNNNNNNNNNNNNNNNNNNNNNNNNNNNNNNNNNNNNNNNNNNNNNNNNNNNNNNNNNNNNNNNNNNNNNNNNNNNNNNNNNNNNNNNNNNNNNNNNNNNNNNNNNNNNNNGAAGAUCUGUUACUGGUUUUUGUGUUUUCUUGGGGAAUUCUUUGGUGUCAUGGAAAUCCAAGAAACAACACAUUGUUUCUCGCUCUUCUGCUGAAGCUGAGUAUCGUGCUAUGGCCAAUACUUCUUGUGAGAUUACUUGGCUUCUUGCUCUUCUCAAGGACUUUGGUAUAGAUCAUUCUGCUCCUGCUCUUCUUUUUUGUGACAAUCAGUCUGCUUUACAUAUGGCUGAAAAUCCCGUGUUUCAUGAACGCACAAAACACAUUGAGAUUGAUUGUCAUCUUGUUCGAGACAAGGUUCAAAGUGGGGUUCUCAAGCCUAUGUUUGUUUCUACAGAACACCAGUUAGCAGAUGUUUUGACAAAAGCCCUUCAUCCCUCUUCUUUUAAGCUUCUUAUUGGCAAGAUGGGUCUAAAGAACAUCUUUAGUCCAUCUUGAGGGGGAGUAUUAGGAUUGAUUGUAUUAGUUGUUUUUUACUAGAAGGGUAGUUUUGUCAUUAUUGUAAGCUGAGCUAUUUUUGAGUUGUUUUGUUCAGUUUGUUGUUCAGUUUGUUUCGGUUUUUCUUGUUCAGUUUUGUUGAGCCAUUUUACUCUGUUAUAUAACAGAGCAGCCUUGUAUUUUGGGAAAGAGGAAUGAAGAGAAUUCUUUUCAUCUUUUCUCUCAAUUCUUUCUUCAGAUUUCUUUUUCUAACACCUUUCUCUGUCCAUCUUCUUAUUAAACAAGAUGUUCUCUUCUAUUUUACCAUUCUGUAUCUAAGGAGAUUGAGUAAUACAGGCCUUCCCAAUGUAUCAGUCUUCCUUACACUUUUAACGGAAUUCUCCCCCCUUCCGAUUACAUGUCCAAUCUCGUCAAAUGGACGCAAAGCUCUUACAAUUAACAUCUGAUCGUGAUGCUCCAUAACCAGAAAGUACUAGUAGGUUGGAUGAAUAAACUGGCCAUAUAUUGCCCAAGUCUGAACAGCCCCGAAAUUCUGGUAUACGUGUAGCAGCUAAGACAUGAGAAACAGAUCUGGCAAACACCAUAGUUUGCAUUAGGAUAGAAUUUACCAGCAGGAUAUUUGGGACAUCCGAAGGGAUAAUGAUGUUAGGAGGGGCUUCUAGUACAGUAAUGUCAAGAGAAAUUUCUUCUUUAGGAGUGAACCUUUAGAAAGGUAACAACAAUGGACCAUAGUCUCUUGUUUCAGUGAUCCGAUUUCGCCGCAAGAUUGAGAUAGCAUGACCAUUGUGAUUAUAAUUGGAAACACCUUGCUUUGGAACAUUUCAAGGAACAGGGACAUGCUUUUGUCAGCAUGGUGAUUCAGAUUAUUUCCUUUAUAUCUGGACACUUCUCAUAUACAUGUGUCAUUGCUGUUCCUAGAAUAAAUAUCUUCAUCCAUGUCGAGGCCUUUCUUUACCAUGAACGUGUGGUUUGAUUGGAUUCUUCUUAUAUUUGCUAAGUUUGCAUAAGCAGGAAACACAUUGGCAAAGGUGACUAUAUCAGGUUUCAAAUUUGACUCUGACAUCAUUCUUUCAUAGAGUAAUGUUGCCUUCUGAUCAUAACCAUUGAAUGAGUUCCAGGAAACCAAACUCCUGUCAGAUAAUUCCCCUUUAAAUAUGGUCUGAGCACACCCAAUUCUAUUACACUUUGCAUAUAUAUUGACCAUAGCUGUUCCAAGACAGAGGUCAAAAAUUAACCUCGUACAAAUCAAGUACCCAUGAAUGCUUUUUUUUUUAGAUCAAGAUUCCCAAUUUGUCCACAAACCAACAAUAAACCUAAAAAAUGUGAUUCAGUUUGGAAACAAAUCUCCAGCUCUUUUCAUGGAUAAGAAAAAGGUUGAAUGCUUCAGCCCAAUUACCAUUAUGUGCAUAUGCUGUAAUCAACGAAUUCCAAGACACUAUAUCUCCUUUUAACAUGUCACACAAAAUGCGUCUCUCAAAAUCUAUCUUUCCAAUCUUAAUAUAUAUUGAAAUCGAGGAAUUCAAUUAGAAACUCAUGAAUCAAUGCUCCUUUUUCAAGUAUCCCGAUUUCACCACAAGCCAUAAUUUCAUGAAAUGCAGAAUCCAAAGAAAGUAAUAAAACCACAUCUAGUCUUUGCUCAAAGAGAACCAACAGUUCAUCAUAAAACCCAAUUGAUCCAAAACAGGAAACUAAGGAAUUAAUCAAAUCUUCAUCUAUGGACAUUUCUUCAAACACACCGUAAGUACCUCAAACAGAUUCAAAUACCGUACAGGAAGAGGGAUAGAGAACAAAUAAAAAAAAUAGAUGUAGAACCCGGAGAAGAAGAGAGUGGAAGACUUUGGUCAAUAAACAUAAAUAGCUCCACUUCAAAUAUUAAAUCCGUGGGCUAAGGACAGGGGGCAGAAUGCAGAAUGGGAUUUAAACAAAAAAAGAACAUGAUCAAAUUCAGGCAUGGAGUCAAUGAAUUUCAGACGACAUCAAUGACACAUAAGAGAAUCAGAAUCCAAAACAAGGCAAACAAGUGAAUAACCAAUCUCAACAAAUCAGUUUGUGGCCCUUUUCGUCCACACCAAUCAGUGGUAUAUUAAAUAUUCAGAAACAAAUGCACGGAAAAAACGAAUAUGGAUAAUGAUUCCAAGAAUGACGAGAAGCAUACCUGGGCAGCCUUGGUUGCAAUUGCUCUCUUUUCCAAUUCCUUUGUGUCUUUUCCUCUAGACGAUCUCACCAGAAUUUCCCCACCAAGACUCCAAUACGUGCUCCCUCCUCUUUCUCCUUUUUCCUUUUUUUAAAUCUUCCCAUUCAAAGGCAAUCUUUCCCUUUUCAAAUUCCUCUCCAAAAACCUUCCAAGGAGAGCCCCACUUUCCUUAAACUUCAAUGGUAAGUUUCCUUGCAAAAACAUGAAAUUUUUUUAAAGUAAAUAAUUGAAUGAAUAACUAAAUAAGUAAACAAAAUAGAUAAAUAAAUAAAAUAAAAUGAAAUAAAGUAAAAUAAAAGUCUUAAUAGGCCUAGUGUGCCUAAACGGGCCUAAGGUGAGACUAAUGGGCCAAGAGUGCCUAACCGGGCCUAGAGUGCCUAAGUGGGCCUAAGUAGGCUACCCUAAAAGCUAUCCUAAAAAAGAAAGAAAAGCCUAAGUCUAAAUCAGGUCUGCCAAGGGUUACAAUAAGGGAUCAAAUAAUCCCUCAACCAAAGUCUCCGAGGUGACUCAGAAAAAGGUAAGUUGCACGAGUAGUAAUGGGCCACCAAGGAGUUACUGUGGAGCAUUGAAAACGAAUUUCGAAGACAUGUGCUAAAGGGACAAAAUUGAGGGUAUACACAUAUUUAUUCACCUAAAGACCUUGCCUAAGUAGUAGAAAAGAAAGGAAUUUAAAAAGGAAGGUUUUCGAGGCCAAAAGGCUCAACCGGUCGAGGCUAUGGCCAACCGGCUCAACCGAUUGGGGAACUGGUCGACCGGUUAACCCUGUCCGGUCGAGAACCGGUCGAGGAGUGUCAAAAACACUCUCUCUCAUCCAGUAGCCUUCUCUUCCUGGUUGAGGUUCACACCCUUCCCGGUCGAGGUCCGGUCGAGGCAACGGUAACCUAUCAAAGCAUUUAAUGCCCAACGGUUAUUGAUCCGGUCAACCCCUAGCUCGACCGAUCGAGGGUACCUUUUGCUAUUUUUGACUCCUGAGCUUAGAAACCUAUAAAUUAAGAGCUCCACUUCAUUUAUGAAUAAGAGAACACUUGCAAUCAAUUAUCUACCUACCUGUUCUUGAUAAAAAAGCUCUCAUUUCUUUCUUGGUGCAUUAAAUCAUCAUUUACAUACUCCUUAGUGCACCUUUGUGAAUCAUCCUAGCCUUGUUUUGUAUUUGAUCCAUCCUUGAGCUAGGUUGAGUGUUUUAUUCUUGUAAAAGCCAAGCGUUUAAGCCUUCGAGAGGUGUAAUUCUUGAAGAGAUUGUGUAAGAGCCCAUUGGAGCCGGAAUCCAAGUGUAAGAAGAUUAGAAGCUUGGUUGAAGCUUCAAGUUAGUGGAACCCUCACUCGGUAAGGAGAUUGAGGAGAGUGGACGUAGGCAAGGAAGUGCCGAACUACUAUAAAACCCGAGUUUGAAUUCUCUAACUCUAUCUCUUUACUUUCACUUAUAUUGUGCUUGAAAUUGUUGUUAUUGAAAAGAUUUUUUAAAAACCCAAUUCACCCUCCUCUUGGGUGUUUUUCUUAAUUAAGCAUAGCCUUUAUUUUCUCAUACAACUAUAUGCAGGGAAGCAUGGUGACCCUUCUAAUCUUGUAUGUGGAUGACAUACUAUUCAUUGGAAAUGAUGUAGAAAUGGUAUCUUUAGUAAAUAUUUGGUUAUCUACUCAAUUCCAAAUGAAAGAUAUAAGUGAGGCCCAAUAUAUUCUAGAAAUCAAGAUAUUGCAUGAUAGAAAGAACAAGAACAUUUCAUGUUAGUCAGGUACUCUAUGCAAAAUUCUAAGAAGGGUAUGCUACCUUUUAGCAUGAAAUGCCACUUUUUUAGGAUCAAUCUCCUAAGAUGAUUGAGGAGAAAGAGAGCAUGAAGGUGAUACCUUUUUCUUCCAUAGUGAGUAGCCUUAUGGAUGUUAUGUUAUGCACUAAACCUCACAUACAUUAUGCAAUAAGUAUAGUGUGUAGAUACCAAUCUAAUCCCAAUCAAGAGCAUUAAAUAACGGUUAAGCAUAUACUCAAGUAUCUUAGGAGAAAAAAGGGAUUAUAUGCUUGUUUAUCAAAGCGAUGAGUUAGUACCCAUAAGAUACACAAAUUCAAAAUUUUAGUUUGAUAAAGACUCUUGUAGGUCCACUUUAGAUUACGUGUUUAGACUUCGUGAUAGGGUUGUUAGUUGGAGAAGUAUCAAGUAGUCAUGCAUUGUUGACUCCACUAUGGAAACUGAAUAUAUAGUAGCUUCGGAAGCAAUUAAAGAAGUUGACUAGCUAAGAGAGUUUGUAAUGGAAUUGGGGGUACCAUGAUUUUACCGAACACCAUGGCAUUGUUUUGCAACAAUACUGGGGUGGUAACACUAUCUAAAGUACUAAGGAACCAAUAGAAGGGAAAACACAUUGAGAGGAAAUAUCAUCUCAUUAGGGAGAUAGUAUAAAAAUGUGAUAUAAUAGUGGAAAAGAUUGCAUUUAAGGAUAACCUAGAAGAUCCCUUUAUUAAGACCUUACAAGCAUGAGUAUUUGACUCUCAUAGCGAUGUUUAUGGUGUUAGAUGUAAUCCUAGUCUACUUAAGGCUAGUGGGAGAUUUUUGGGUUUAUAAGCCUUGUAUAGUGAGACAUAUUGCAAGAUUUGUUAUGUAAUAUAUCAUUCCUAUUCAUUCAUUGGUAUUGUGUGCAUUAAUAGUUUCUCUCUUUAUUAUUUUGAUGGAUACUUAGUCAAAUCAAUUCGCUUUGUACACAGUUCAGGUGUAAGUGGACACAUAGAGGACACAACUAUGGGUUCCUUGUAGACUGAUACUAUUGUUUACAACAUUUCGUGAACUUGAGUAGUUUAGUAAUAUUAUGGUGUGCUACCUCCCAUGUAGGUGGGAUGACCUAUCUUAGUUUUCAAAGUGGAACUCUAAGGUGGUAUGCUAGUGUGUAUGGUUACACAUUGAACAUGACCUAUGGAGAACUUGUUUAUUACUAUCUAAGUGACAUGUGUUCUCCUAGCUACUAUCUUGUAGGAGUCCUUAACCUUGAGAGGUACUUAGGCUAAUGUUUGGAUUAGUGAUCACUUUGAGGCACAUACGAGUGAGACCCACAUAGAGGUUAUAUAUUGUUGUGAUCUUGGGUGACUGCUAAUUUAGCAUGUAGUUUGUGUAUACUCAAAAUGAAAGUUGUGAUAUCCCACUAGGGACAAUAUAUUCCCUUCCAACAAUUAUAAGGUGCAUGAUCAAGCUAAAUCCUUGGUCAAGAUAAUGUCAUUUGAGUGGUGAAAUCAUGUUUUAUCCUCUUAAGAUAUGAUAAAAUUAUUUUAUCAUACCAAAGGUGAAUUUGCAACACGAAGGUAAAGAUGUUAUUUAUUAGUAAAUAACACAUAUCAAUUAAAUUACAUAUAUCAAUUCAUAGGGAAUAAAUACAAGGAUUAGUAGGUUGUGGGAUAGCUAUUAGCUUCAUAUAGUUGGAUCUUAUUAGUGGAGUGUAGUCAAUUGACUUUAGUGGUGUGAUCAAUUGACUAUCAAAUUAUGUUUGAUUAAUUUUAUGGGAGCCACAAUUAGAUGUUUCAUUGGUCCUCGAUCGAGCUACCUUCAUAGAUGUAAUCUUUGUGCACGAAAUUUGAGACUUUAAGGGACUUAAUUUAUAGAUUGGAUUUGUUUUCUAAUAUGGAAAAAGCAUUUUGGUCUUUUCUCCCCUUAGUAUAUAAGGAAACAUGGGAAACCAAAAUAGGUCAUUCCUCUCAUUUUUCACCUCCUAUAAAUUAUUAGAAACCAAAAAACAAACAGUUUCCCUUUCGUCCCAAGAGCAAGUCUAACUCAAAUCUUGCAAAGCAUCAUCGCCCACUCAACGAUACCAUCGUAGGAUUGAAUGGAAGAUUGUGGACAUUGGAGUUAUAGUUCGUUCUGCACCAAAGACAAGGAAUGAUCUCAUUUUUUCUAGUUAUUUUACUAUAAAAGGAUAUUAGGUUAGCCACUUACUUGGUUAGAAAUUUUAAAUUACCUACCCUAUAUAUGUCUUUAGAUCCAACAUUUAAAUGUCAACAUUUUCUACAACAGAUCAAUUCCUCUAAUUGUAAAAUAACAUUUUCUCAAUAAAAUAUUUGUUUUAUAAGAAUAUGAAAUCAUUUCUAAAAGAAAGAAUAUCCUCUUCCAACAAUAUUAUAUUUGGAGCUCAGAAAUUUUGAUAGAGAAAAGUCAACAUGAGUUAGAAGGCCACCAAAAUCAUCGACAUUUUGUCUAUGGUCAAGCCUACACAUUGUUUCCAAUCCCUUGUUGAUCAAUAAACGUCGACAACCUGCCAAAUGGGGUUGUGCAUCGUUGAAUGUUUGAAUGGUUAUUUUUAUGGGAGAAUUGUGUUUUGGGCCUAACUGGGCCCAAAAAUUAAGAGAUGGUCCAUCUAACCGACCCAUUUAAGCUGAAAACCCAUAGGAAGUGUCAAAAUUAAAAAGAAGGAUAUGCACUUUUAUUAAUUCCAAAAAUAACCUUUGCUGAUUAUGAAAAAAAAAAAUAAUAAACAAAAAAAUCCAGGUUGGAAUUUUGCCCUAAUUUUGGUGUCUCUUCAGAUUUCAAGCCUAGAAGCCGUUUUCUUCUCUUCGUCCCGAGUUCCUCCAUCGCUUGCAUCUCAAUCUCUGCGGCUCUUUGGAAUUUUGCCCUAAUUUUGCUCUCUUCAGCAUUUCAAGCCUAUAAGCCAUUUUCUUCUCUGCCUAGAAGUCGUUUUCUUCUCUGCCUAGAAGCCAUUUUUUCUGUUCCUCCCGAGUUUCUCCAUCGCUUGCAUCUCAAUCUCUGCGGAUUUUUGGAAUUUUGCCCUAAUUUUGGUCUCUCUUCAGCAUUUCAAGCCUAGAAGCCGUUUUCUUCUCUUCCUCCCGAGCACCUCCAUCGCUUGCAUCUCAAUCUCUGCGGCUCUUUCAUUUUUUCUCGCAUUCGUCUCUCUCAAAAAUUUGAAUAAGGUAUGGAUUUCAGUUGGGUCUCUCUUGUUGCAUAUUUGAGGUUAGUAGAUUGCCUAAAUUUUGGUCUCUCUUCAGCAUUUCAAGCCUAGAAGCCGUUUUCUUCUCUUCCUCUCGAGCACCUCCAUCGCUUGCAUCUCAAUCUCUGCGGCUCUUUCAUUUUUUCUCGCAUUCGUCUCUCUCGAAAAUUUGAAUAAGGUAUGGAUUUCAGUUGGGUCUCUCUUGUUGCAUAUUUGAGGUUAGUAGAUUGCCUAAAUCUCGACCUAAAUUUUCUUAGUCCAAAUCUCUAAACUGUGUUCAACUUGAUCUCCGGAGUUCAAGUUACUGUUCCCAUUCAAUAAUUGACUUCUUGGUUGGCUACUAUUAUUCGAAUGCUGAGAAAAUAAUGAGAAAAAGAAAGGAAAAUUUUUGAACUAUAAUUUUUUCUUUAAGCCUUGAGAAUACAGAAAAUGCAUUUUACCUGCAACUCAUGAUUCAUGGCUUAAUCGAUCUGAUUUUAUUUUUGUAAUUUUUUUUAGAUUUUUUUUUUCAUGCUAUUUGUAUAUUUUAAAUUCAAAAAAAUAUUUGUGAAAAAUUGUCAUAUAUACUUGAAAAUAAUUUAUAAUUGUUUAAUUGGUUGCUAGAAAACCAGGAGAGGAAAAAUGGAAAGGGGAAAUGGAAAACCUAAAAACCCUAAAGUUUUCUUAUGGUGUCUUGGCUUGAGAUGUAGGCACAAGUAACAGAUUUAUCUCUUUUUAUCUAUUAGUUUUUUUUACCCUUAAACCUUAAAUGUGUUAAACUAUUGCUUAUGGUUUUGUAUGAAUCAUCUAAAGUAGGGCAUGAUAGUUUAGAAGAGAAUUUUGUAUUUGUUACAUUUUUUAGGCUAUUAUCUCUUCAUAUUAUUUUGAAAAGCAACACUUUAUAAUUAAUAUUUAAAUAUCUCCAUUCUCUUUGAAUAAGUUUGUAGGCAUGUCUGAUAUAGUAGUACCAACAGAAAUUGUCUAAGGGUUUGAGUGAGAAUGAGAAUUUGUUUUCUACCUAGUGUAAGUAUAGGUCAGAGCUUAAUAAAACGUGGGGGAUUAUUUCCUAUUGAAUGUCUUAUAGUUCCAUAAUUCCAAUGUUUUUGGUGUGUAUAUAUAUAUAUAUAUGUUCUGGAGUAUUAUGUCGAAUCAGACACAAAAUCCUCCUACUUUACUAGAUAUUGUUGUGAUGUUCUGUCUUAAAGUUCCAAGUAUUGACACGAUUAGAUUAUUAGCAUAGGUAAGUAGUAGUGUCAAAUUGGGUAGCACUAAAGUAGUUGGAGAGAGAGGUUUUUGCUUAUAAAAAUGUGAACUAUGAAUAUAUAAGUAAAGGGGAAUGAUAGGGAAAAUAAGUUAGAGAUUUGUUUUUUUUUCCUUUUAUAGCCUUUCUUAGUUUUUAAUUUAAUGAUUUUUUUUAAUCUAUUAAUUUCAAUCUUUUAAUUUCCAUUUCAGUUUUACAUUUCUCAUUUUUGUUUUUUAUUUUUAUUAUUAUUUUUAGUUUUGUUUAGGUUAGGUAGUAUUUAUUAGUCUAAGAGAAGAGAGAAGCUCGGUCUUCAUAUCUUAGUUCAACUCACCGUUUGUUUAUUAGUGCCUAUCUUAAAAUAAUCUUACUGUUGACAAUGGUUAGAAUAAUCAAAAGGAGCAACAAAAAUUAUUUUUUAAGAUUUUAAAGUUACAUUUUUUUGUAUAUAUAUUUUUUAAAAUAUAACUUUUUCGUAUGGGAACAUAGUAUAUUGUGAGAUGAAAAAACUUUUAAGAUCACAUUGAAUAUGCAUUAUUGUUUGUUCAACAAUAUAAAUUUGUGCUUUAUUUCAAUAGAUUGAUGGAUGCCACAAAUAGAAUAUGCUGUUAUAUUUUCGUGGGAGGCAAACUUGUCCAAAAAAAUGAUGGCCUUUGGGAAUAUGUUGGUGGAAGAAGCAAAGGUAUUCACAUUUAUAAAGGAAUGACAUUUGAAGAAUUCACUCACAAGGUCUUAGAAAAAUUCGACAUUUCCCUUCAUGUGAGGAGGAUGCACUACACCCUCAAGUUUAACCCUAGAGUCAUCCAAGAUUUAGAAGAUGAGGAUGACUUGGAUAACGUGGUUUCCCACAGUGAUGACUUUGCAAAUGUGUACAUAGUCGAGUCACCCGGUGUGGAAGCCAUAGAGGCAAAUAUACCGAAUACACAAUUGGCACUUGGGUAAUGCGUUUUCACUUGGAUGUCUAUUUAAAAUUUUAUGAAUAUCAAUUUUACGCAUUAUGUAGUCUAAUUUUGGUUAUGAAUGUAAAUGCAGAGGUCCACAUCCUACGUUUCCUUCGUCUAAUGCAUCAUGCGAUGCAAGUCCUAAUACUAUGAUGUUAUCAAGAGGUUUUGCAUCUUGUUGUGCAAAUAGUGAGUACACCCCUUUGGAAUCGAAUCGGUUUCGUGAGGCAAUAUUAGGUUCUGGACAUACAUUUAAGAAUGCAGAUGAGUUUCGGAAUGCAAUAUACCAAAUGUCAUUAGCUAGAAGGUUUCAAUACAAGUACAAGAAAAAUUCACCUACUCAUAUGUCAGUAAAGUGUGCGGUUGAGAAUUGUCCUUGGAAGAUAACAGCUCAUGCUGUUGAAGGAAAUGAAAUAUUGCGAGUUUAUACUUACCAAGUUAAUCAUAAUCAUAUAGCUCAAGAUGAGUGUUCAUCUAAGGUGCGGGUUUCUUCCAAGAGAGGUGUUGUUGUUGUUGAAGACGUGUUUAGAACAACUCCAGAAUACCUUCCUCGACAAAUUUGCAAGGAUUUUGAACGUGAUCAUGGAGUUCAAUUGACUUAUAACCAAGCAUGGCAUCUUAAAGAGAAGGAAAAAGAGCAUGUAUAUGGAUCUCCACGUGCGUCCUACGCGUUUUUGCCUUGGUUAUGCCAUAGGCUAAGGGAAAUUAACCCUGGAACUAUUGCCGAGUACACUUCUCAUGAAGGUCACUUCAAGCAAUUGUUCAUUGCCCAUGCAUUUUCAAUUCAAGGGUUCACCAUGGGGUGUCAACCAUUAUUGGCUAUUGAUUCUUGCCACCUAAGUGGUUCAUACAAAGGAGCUCUUUUGUCUGCCAUUGCAUAUGAUGCAGAUGAUGGAAUGUUCCCUCUAGCCUUAGGUGUGGUUGGUUCAGAAAAUUAUGAGGAUUGGUAUUGGUUCUUGGAGAAAUUGAAGGGGAUCCUAGAUGGUCAAGAAGUAAUUAUUAUAUCAGAUAGACAUCAAGGGAUAUUGCGUAGUGUUUCGGAGUUGUUUGGGGUAGAAAAUCACGCCUAUUGUUAUCGACAUGUGAAAGACAACUUUUCAAGCUUCUUCAACAGGCAAAAAAUUAGGGGAAAGAAAGGGAAAGAAGAUGCUUUGUUGCUUUUAGACAACAUUGCAUAUGCUCGGUUGGAUAUAGACUACAAUGAGGCAUUUGAAAAACUUGUGCGUUUUAAUGGCGACCUAGUAAGGUGGGUUGCAGAGAAUAGUCUGGAGCAUUGGGCGAUGUCAAAGUUCCUUAAAAAACGUUGGGAUAAAAUGACAACUAAUAUUGCAGAGUCCUUCAAUGUGUGGUUAAGAGAGGAACGACACCAAACAAUUUAUACGUUGUUGAUGAUGCACAUGGAUAAGCUUGUAGCCAUGUUGGACACCCAUAUGCGUGAUACAGAUAAGUGGAAGAGCGUGGUUGGACCCAAAACAGAGGAAAAGCUAAUGUCAAAUAUCACGAGAUCUGCUCCGAUUACUGUGAUGCCCUAUUUGGAUGGGACGUUCAAGGUUUUUACUGGAGAUGUUUAUUUGGUUGUGGAUAUGCAGCAACAUAAGUGUACAUGUCUAACAUGGCAAAUGUCCGGGUUGCCAUGUCCACAUGUAUGUGCUGUGAUCCGCACAUUGAGACACGAUGUGUAUGACUAUAUCGACCCAUGUUUUAAAGUCUCCACCCAACAUUUGAUUUACUCGGGUCAGUUUCAACCAUUACCAACACACAACAUGCCUAAAGUUUGUGAGGUUGGGACUUUGCAAGAUGGCCAAGGCAACGUAUUUCCUAGUCUCCAACCCCCGCAAGUGAGACGUCCUCCAAGAAGACCCCGGCAAAGGCGUAUUGAGUCACAAUUUAGCCAUAAGAGAGCUAUUCAUUGCUCUCGAUGCAAUGGCAUAGGUCACAAUCAGUCUAAAUGUAAUAAUCCAUUGCCGUGACAUGUUCAUUUCUUUGCUUGUAAGGUUUUCAUUUUGUGUACGAUCCCUCAUUGUUCCAUUAUUUGCUUUAUGGUCAUGGGGUUGUUGCUUUUGGAUGUUAUGUAUUGUCCUUAUUAUAGACACGAUGCACUACUUUUUUAUUUUAUUUUUUAUAAAACUACUUUUUAAUUUUCAUUAUUUGGAGUUGCUUUCAUUACUGAUUUAAUUUGAAAUUGCACUUUCAACGUGGUAUCCUUUAACUUGAUGUAUACUAUCACUUCCCUAUUUUAAGUAUGUCAUACUCACAUCAUUGGAUGCGUGUAUUUUUCUUGUCACUUAGCUGAAAUUUCAUAGUAUUGUACUAUACUUGCUGUCUAGUUAUUCAGUUGGUCAGUUUAGCUGUGCAUAACAUUCUACUUUUCUAUGCCCAAUGAUGCAGUUAUAAUAUUAACAAUGGCUGGUAAUGGCCUAGAUGGUUCUGCUGCCAGUUCACUCCCACUCUCGGUAUGGUUCAUCAUACUUGCUUAUCUUUGUUGUUUUUUGCAUUCUUCUGUUGCCAACAUACUAUUUGAGAGGUUUUCGCUUCUCUGGUAGAGUGCCACAAGAACUUAUAAUCUAUAGUCAUGCAAUUUUAAUGUAUUGUGAGAACAUAAAUCAGAAUGCAUGUUGGUAUCAAAAUGGGUAAAAUUUCAUUUUAUGAUAUUUUACAUAUUUGAAUUGGUGUGAACAAAUGACUCCCUUGUUUAUAUAUAAUCUGAAAUCAUUUUAUGAAAUUUUCAUUUUCAGAUACCUUUUAAGUUAGUAUAUAUAUAUAUAUUAUGCAUGAAAUUUAAGUGAUUUCUUCAUCUCCCUUAUUAUAGUUACCAUGUAUCAGUUAUGUUGGAAAGUUCUCUAAUAUUGAAGUUUUAACAAUUCAACGUUUAUUUAUUAAAUACUAUUAUAUCAGCUUUGUAAGUUGUCGGGCAAUAUUUGUGUACAAUUUGGUAAUAUAGAAAAUGUGGUUCACUAACGCCAUAUCAAAUUAUGCUUUAGGGAUCUAAUGGUCUUCGCUAUACAGCUGUGGGGAUAGGCAAAAACCAUGUCCUCUAGGAGGAGGGAGGAGGGUAGAGGAAGGGAUAAAGAGAGGUGUUCUGGUAGGAAUGGUGAUGGGGAUGGGAUUAAUGCUAAUGGAUAUACUAAAAGUAUGUUCGGUUGUGUCACCUCAAACCAUAUUUUAUAAAACCUAUAAAAGUUUUAAGUCAAAAUGAACUUCCUUACCUAGUGUAAUGAUUAGAUUAAGUGAAUGUUGUUUCUUCUACGGAAAAAAAUAAUUUCUACUUCGCAAGAUAUUUUAGUUAUUUAGGUUUGUGCAAUAAUUUAUGAGAGAGAAGGAAGAUAUCUUAAACCUUUUCCCAAUCAUAGACAUGUAACCGUAGGACUUGAGAUUUUGGGUCUUUUACAAUCAAUUUGAAAUCUUCAUUCCACUCAGGGUCCAAUGUCUUCAUCUUAAUAGAGGUUUUCUUUGCUGGAAGCCUCUCCCCACUUAGACUGAGUUUAACAUAAGGAUCGAAUGCUCCAAGGAUGUCCAUCUUCAAGAGUUUGCGUGCCCGUACAACCUUUACAUGUAAUAACCCCACAGGCUUCUUGAUAGGUGCUCUAUCAAAAUCAAAAGAAAAUAAAUAGAAGGAUAUAUUUUAAUGCUAAUCUACGUUAGAAGUUACAAGCUAAAUCUGAUCUGACAAUUGAAAACCUCUGUAUUUUUUCUUGGACCCUUUUCCUCAUAUGCAAGAACAUAUUGAUUGAAUUUCAAGUCAUGACUCAUGAGCUCAAUGCUAAGUGCUAAAAGCACCCAUAUGUGGAAUUUGCCCAACCAUGUAAUGAGGAUGAUGAAUAAACUGCUGUUUCUGGUUCUACUACUACUAAGAUUAUUUCACAGAGAAAACUCAUAAUUCCAUAUUGAAAACUUACACCAGAGCGUCAAGAAUAGGCAUUUCAAGAGUUUGGGGGCAGAGGUAGAGGCUAGCCACUUGUCUUCUUAUAGUUUUCUGCUGACAGACAAAGAAAGUAAACAAACACAUUAAAAAUAUUAUGAGAAAAAUAUGAAACUUGAGUAUAAUCAAAACAAAGACAUUAACAAAAGAAAUAAGAAAAAGAAGAAGAAUGUUUAUAGCCACUACAAUUAGAAAAUUUAUACUUCAAAUAUUGUAGGCUAUUAAAAGACUUCCAACCAUAUGCACUUCAAAAACCCAGGGCAUCAAUAUGUACAAAUAAAUCAAUGGAAUAUCAAUAUGUGUUUAUGCAUGCAUAAGACAUAAAUCCAGAAUCCUAAUUAACUUUCUUAAGAAGUCAUAAAGGGGGGAAAAAUUGGGACCCUAACACUCACACUUCACAGUCCACAUUCCAACUUGUUAUGAGGCUCCAAGUUUCUUUUCUCUUUCCCUUGCUUUUUCAUCAAUAAAUAAUCCAACUAUUCAAGUUUGCAUACCCUUUUCUUGGUUAUUUCCUUUUUUAUUUUUAUAGGUAACCCUUACCUCUUUAGCCACUUAAGCUAGGUCCCCAGGGCAAAAUGAUCACAAUUAUUUAUGGGGACCUCAAUGGUAUUGAGACAUUAGGCUUCUUUUUUGCUUCACUUUCUAAGUGAUUUAAAUAUGAAGGUGGAGAGCCAUGCCUUGCCAAUUUCUCAGUGCCUUGGACUCUGGACAUACCUUUUUUUCGGGUGGCAAAUUCUGUAUUAUUUUUUGUCUGUAAGAUUCAAACAAUUGACUGAAGCAAGGUGCAUAGCUCUCUAGACACUUCAUAUAUCAGUAUUUUGAACCAGUUACGGAAAUUCAUUUACGCUGAUUCAAGCACUGGCCAAGCAAACUGAUGUGGCAAACUUGUACCCAAUGUGGCUUUUGCCAGGAGCAGUACAAACAUUUAAAAUUGCUCAUGUAUAUCUUCUUGCAAAAUCCUUACGACAAUGAAAAUAAUUCUAUAAGUUAACAAAAAAAAAAAACAAAAAGUCAUAACACAUAACUUUUUAAUGUAUUAUAUUACAAUUAUGUGGUGAAGCAUAAUUACAAUUUCUUCACCUGUAAAUGGGUACGUAGCCAAGCUGUUGAAACUCUAGUUGAGUCUUGCCUUAUAUUACAAUUUUCAUUUUUUAGGCAAACAGGAAACUUGUAAUUAAGCAGGAUAUUAUAAGUGUAUGUUGUGAACUAUGUUUUGGUUUGAAGACUGAUGCAUUGGCAUAACACAUAACUUAAUGCUAGUUACUAUGCUAUGGUAAUGAAGGAGAACUGUUGUUGAAGUUCCAAGUGUAACAAGUAGUGUCAUAACUUCUACUUGAAACUAUGUUCGAUGUUUCUUACCUUAGUUGAUGUUCUUGUUGUAUUGGGCAUCUACCAGUUGGAGUUUAUGGUUUCCAAACUCCUCUUCAUUCAUUUAAUUCUCCAACACUCAUGGAUUCAUCUUAUUUAUUAUUGUUUUCAAGCGUAAAGAUACUCUUUGUUUACUAUUCUACAAAAAAUUAUGUAGUAGCAUUUCAUAGUGUAUCAGUACCUAAUUUGAAAUGCCCACUUCCUCUAUUCUGCAAAUUUUAGAUUAUUAUGCCCAUUGAAUCAGAUUCAAGCCUCAAAACAUUCACAAGUUUAGAUUAAUAGUCCUAGGUUUCAUUUAUUUUCCCAUGAAUCCUCACUCAGCUAACAACUUAGGUGUGAAUGAACUUUGGUCAAACACAUGAUUCGUGGUAUCAAAUGAUAGUGUACAAUUCUUCAAUGAUAGUUAUUACCAUGUGGGAAUACUCUCAACAGAAAAUUGGAUUCCAAACCUUGUCCAUGUUCAAUGGCAGUAGCAAAGUGCUUGCUCUAGCAGUUCCUCUAGAUUUUGUGUAUGUCAGAAGUAUCAAAAGGAGCAGGUUAAACCCCUUUUAAAUAGCCAGAAGAAUGAAAAGAACAGGGAAAACAAAGAGACCUCUUUGAGUUUUUUCUCUUGCUCACAUCCAUGAAUGCAAGGCCCUUAGCAGCCACCAUGUUGUUCGGUAUAGUGGAAAACACUUGGGGGAAUACAAUUAUUGUAAAGAUGAUUCCUGACACAAAACCCAGUGUGUGCGAGGGAAUACGAAUACAAGGCCUUUGAGUUUGUGAGCUUUUAUUUCCACCUCUCAAGCAUUUUAUUGUAAGCAUGUUAAGGCAAUGAAAGAAAUCUGCUUUUCCAUAGCAUUUUCUGUUUACUCCAUUUGUUCGUUGUUGUUGAAUAUCACAAAUUCAUUACCAAGGAUUUUUGUUCUAUCAAGUUGUCUUACAAUCUAAAUGGGAAUUAAAUAGGAUUAUUCAUUGAUUUGUUGAUGGUUUCUUUCUCUAAUAGAAUUAGUCAAUUUAUUUCCAUAAAUUGAUUUGAUUUCUUUCUUUUAUAUAUCAUGUAGUAUUCUCAUAUUUAUUUUUGUACUUUUAUAGUCUAUUCUGUACAUUUUUACUGUUAUUGGCUAUUCUAUAUAGGCUUAUUCAUAAAUUUACAAUCCUCCCUCUUACAAGAUAUCUCAUUGUCAGUAGCACCCAACCCCAUCUAAUGUCUUACCCUGCUGUAUAUUAUUUCUAAAUACAAGCAGACAAAUCUUUGUAACUUUGAGAAAUGACAGCUUUACUUUUUCACUUAUUUUUUGCAUUACCAACUGCAAGAAUGUUGCUAUUCCUAACAUGUCCAUGUUGUCAAACAUUGCAUGCAGGGCACAUCAAUGUUUACGCGAUGCUCAGCUGCAAGAUUUAAGAAACUCUGCAACCGGUUACCAGAGGAAAAAAUACAAGCCAUAAGAGACCUCCAAUUUGGAGGUCUCUUAAACUUAAACUGCACAGAGGUGCGCCACAACAUCUGUAUCUUUCUAAUCCAACAUUUCAAUGUUGGAUUUAGACGGAUAGAGUUCUCAGCCCAGAAACACUAUCCUAUUACAGCCACCGAUGUUGGCCUCAUUUUCGGCCUCCCAACAGAAGGGCGGAUUUUGCAGGUGACCUCUACAUCAUCAGAGCAUCCAUUUGGGACUAUUCGGGCAUGCGAGGAGAAACUCCUGGACUUACCUGUAGGCGAGGAGUUCCGUAGAGCAUUCAUUUACUACGCAUGUGCCACAUUGUUGGCCCCCACGUCUAGGCUCAAUGGUUGCCGUAACUUGUGGCAUACCAUCCAUGAGGAUGGAUUCCGAAAUGACGUUAAUUGGGCCCAGUUUGUGCUUGACCAACUGGUUGAGGGAAUUAGGCGAUACCAACAAUCUAAGACCUCUUGGGUACAUGGCUGUGUUUUAUUUCUACAGGUAGUGAACUUAUUCAGUCUUUGUCUUCCAUUUUGUUAUAUAAUUUUAUUGCACAACAUAGUCACAUUUGCCUACUGAUGUUUGUAUUUAUUAUGCAGCUGCAUUAUGUCAUUAAAUUCUAAAUUCCUUCAGUCCAAGUCCCCAUUACAGUGCCCCCAGCAUUGGCAUGGACUGAUGAUUUGAUUAAGCGACGACUAGUCGCUGAGAUAAAGGAGUUUGGAGCAUUUGGACAUGCUGAGAUUGAUUUUGUAAGUUAUGCAUGCAUAAAUAUAUUGUCAUUACUAGCAUAACACUCAUUAUUUAAGUACUAAUCUUCAGUGCUAAUUAUAGGCGUCCCAGAGAUCUCUAACCGUAGAGAGAACUAUGAAGCCAGAGACUAAUGUGGACCAUGACACAAAUGUUGAUGCUGAAUCACUAACAUCUGUAAAUAUGAAGACCAAAUCAAGUGCACCAAUGCCAAUUGCUGGUGCAGGAAUCACUAACACAUGUUAUACUGGAAGCUUGGAAAGUCAUAGCUCGGCACCUUUUGGGACUUCACAAGGAUCCAUGGAUAUAGGAGAUGCUUUAGAGCAACCAUCAACUCACUGCAUGACAAGGAUUAAGUCAUUGCAGCAAUGUGCAUCUGUCAUCAUUGAAUUGGUAAAUGAGAAGGUAACUUAUCAAUCCUACUUUAGAAAUCAACUCUCCUUAUUUUAUCCUGUAAUAAAUUAUUUUGUCGUUUAAAAGUGCAAGCAUGGUUUCUGGGUGGCACUGGACUAAAUCUGCCCCCACACUGAAUAACUCUAGAUCACUUGUUCAAAUUUGUUUCUCCUGUAGGUCUUUUUAAUUUAGGAUAUUGUAUAGGAAUCAUCAGUUAAAUAACCAUUGACCAAUCAUUGUAGAGCCACAAUCCUGGCUCCAUAUAAAUGGAUUGGGAUCCCCAUAAGCUUUGGUGUGACUUAGUAUCUGAGGUUAAAUCUUUUCUUGCCUGAUUGGAAGUGAUCAGUAUAUUUAGCAUCGGCUAAUUUUGUUUUUUGUUUAAAACAUGAAAAUUUUUGUGUUAAGAACAAUGUGUCAAGUAAAUUCAUAGAUGCAAUGUCUCAUGAUAAAGUAGUAUUUGAGAGCUCAUUUCCAUAUAGACAUUAACUUAUUAUUUAUUCCUGGUCUCUAUAUGUGUGCCACAUGCGUACUGGUUUGUGGUAGACUCGCCUUGUGGUAUGUUUUAUAGUACCAUGUAUUAUUUCUGCUGAUACAAAUUUUUUUUAACUAACAAUUUGUAUAUCUUUAAAUGACUACAUUGUCUCUUUUUCAUCAAAAAGAUUGAGGCAUGCCCAUCAUUACCACCUGAAGUAUAUUGAAACAAGUCAACAACACUCCUACAUGCCUCCUUGAUCUAGUGUGUGCCCAGUUUAGUUUUAACAUAUUGUUACUACCAUAAUGUCACUGUAAACUCCAUUUCGCUACACAUUGACGUUUCUAUGUUUGCCAACGAACUGUUUUUUAUCAUAUGUUUCUACCUUGCAUCAUUCAAUAAGGACAUUCUUUUUUGGUAGAUUGUUUUAUUAGAAAACAGGGAGUUCUGGUUUUGAUGGUAUUUUUUGCUAUGGCAGGUUCAAAAAAUGGGAUCAGUUGGGAGGUCAAUUGAUGUUGCAAGUUUUAAGAAUUAUGAAGAAUUAUGCUAGGCAAUUGAAUACAUGUUUGGAGUUAAAGGUGUGCUAAACAACGAGAAAGGCUCAGGUUGAAAAAUGGUGUAUGUGGAUUAUGAGAAUGAUGUACUUCUUGUUGGGGAUGAUCCCUGGAAGUAAGUUCUGUUUUGUUGUUUUGUGCAUGCAUGCACUGAUAGAACCUAGAUCUACUGAACCCCCACUAUACCAUUAUAGUAACUAGACCAAUACAUUAUCAUAGUAAAAUUAACCAGAAAUAAAGUCAGUAUAUACCUACAUUUUUAGGAUCAUUUUGCUGGCAUUCUGGUGGGGACUGUUUAUAGUUCACUUUCUUGCUAUAUCUUGCUUUCACAGCUUAUGUUUUUAGUAGUUUAUGUUUUCAUUUGGAACAACUAGCACUAUGGGUUCGAUUCUGCAGUUAGACAUAUUUCCAAUGCUUAUCAAUGUUCCUCUGCUAGUGAGUUUGUUGGUUUUGAAUCUAUUACCCAUCACCACAAAGGAACUUCUAUUACAAAUCAUAAUGCUUUAAACGAAGCCUUAAGAAUAUAUUAAUUUUCAUCUCUAGACAUCCAUAUUCUAGCCAUGGUUGGGUCUAUGCGUUGUUCUCUCCUUACCCAUUGGGGCAUAGGUUACUUCCAUAUUUCACCUAAUGCAGAAGGCACUUUUUAAUCACCACUAUGCUAUUUCCUGUACAGGGUUGCCAUUCUUCACUAUUUAGAUUUCUUAACGAAAAUUGAGAAUUGAAACUGAUGAAAGAAAAAAGUGAUUGAUGAGAAAUUAAACCAAGUGGAAUGCUAUAUCUUGUGGUCCUAGACUCUGCAAUGGUUCAUCCCUAGACAAAAACAUGUCCUUCCCAUGUGCUUUUAAAAGAUAUAUCUUCAGCUUUUAGAUUCUCUCUGUUUUCGUAUUUAUUGCAUCUUUUGCAUUUCAAUAGCCUAUACUUUGCUGUUGCAUAUUGUGCAUUUAUAUGGGUUUCCAUGAUUCCUUUUGCAUGUUUACACCUCUACUUCCACUCUUCUAUAGAUACUUUUUUCUCAGAUUUAGGCCCUAUCUUCUUUCAGAUGAAUUAUUUUUAAUGAAAUUACCUCUGUAUUUCAGACCAUUGAGAUUCUUUUCAGCAAAAAGAUAUUAUUGAACAUGGAGGUUAGUUGACACUCUCCUUUUAUUGCUAUGCUAAUUCACAGAUGAUAGUUUCAAUUUUUUUCCCAUUCAAUUUUUUGUUCAUUGCUAUCAAUUUGACGAUUUCUGUUUGAUUCUAUUGUACAUCAUUGUUAACUGUAUGAAAGCAUGCUUAUUGUAGAGGCAUUUAUUAAAAUAUUAAAAUUUAAUUUUUUUUUGUAAUAGGAUCUAUCAUUUCAUCCAACUAGAAGAGUUUCUCCAAUUCUAUGCAUUUUUCUAGAAUACACAGACAAUCCUGACCUUUCAAGCCAUUAAAUUGAAAUCUGGCUUACUGAUGCAAAAGAAUUACUAAUUUAAUCAAAGUAGUUUUUUUAUCACUUGCAUUAUUUUUUCUUUUCUAGAUCUUAUCAGCUCAGUUUUUGUGCUGACAUAUAGACUGGUUCAUAAAUUCAUGUUUCCCUAGAAGAUUGAAUUCAGAAGUCUCAAUUUCUUGAGAUGUGAAAGCAUGCCAGAUAAAUGGUGUCCCUUGUCAGGCAAUGUUAGUGGAAAAUUUAUCAUUUCAUUCAAGAGAACUUUAUAUUUGUUUUGACUUCCCAUGUUGGUUGAAUGCAUUCCCUGGACUUGGUUAGUUUAUUUUCUGUUCUACUUCAAUCCAUACCAAAACCAAACAAUAGAAACAAGGUGAAAAUGACAGGACAGUUAGAUGUUACAGGACAACAAUGAACCCUUCAUGCAAUUCUGGAAUUGUUAAUAAAAUUUUCUAUCCGACUAAAUUCUUGUAAUCAGAAAUAUUAAGCUAAUAUUGGUUUUUGCAUGAUCCUGAUUCCUUUAUGGAAUUUUAUGUCAGUAGUUUUAAUUCUUUGGUGUCAACACAUUUUUAAGAUAUCUCAAUUUACAGGGCUAUACUCCAAUCUUCUGUGUUGGUGUUUUGGAUUCUCUGGCAGUGGAAUUGAAGGCGACAAAGGAUUUCUCCAAGUUAUAUGCUGGCAUUUGCAAUACUUGGGUAUAUUGCUUUCGUUCCAGAAUCCGUCAACACCCGAGCCUUUUCUCAUCUUCUCACUUUCCUGGGCCAUAGAUAUCCCAAGGUAUGUGGUGCACACAAAAUAUUAUCACUUUUACUGAAUUUUAAACCCUCAAAAUUUUGCCUNNNNNNNNNNNNNNNNNNNNNNNNNNNNNNNNNNNNNNNNNNNNNNNNNNNNNNNNNNNNNNNNNNNNNNNNNNNNNNNNNNNNNNNNNNNNNNNNNNNNNNNNNNNNNNNNNNNNNNNNNNNNNNNNNNNNNNNNNNNNNNNNNNNNNNNNNNNNNNNNNNNNNNNNNNNNNNNNNNNNNNNNNNNNNNNNNNNNNNNNNNNNNNNNNNNNNNNNNNNNNNNNNNNNNNNNNNNNNNNNNNNNNNNNNNNNNNNNNNNNNNNNNNNNNNNNNNNNNNNNNNNNNNNNNNNNNNNNNNNNNNNNNNNNNNNNNNNNNNNNNNNNNNNNNNNNNNNNNNNNNNNNNNNNNNNNNNNNNNNNNNNNNNNNNNNNNNNNNNNNNNNNNNNNNNNNNNNNNNNNNNNNNNNNNNNNNNNNNNNNNNNNNNNNNNNNNNNNNNNNNNNNNNNNNNNNNNNNNNNNNNNNNNNNAACUUGGCUUCAUCAGGGGCUCAUCAUCAAUCCUGGCAACUUUGGGUGUACACAGCAUAAUGCAAGCUUAGGCAAUCUGGGUGCUGAAAUGCAAAUGGCUCUAGCUUAGGCUUUUGUUUUACUUUUGUUGAUUGAAGUUGGAAUGUAGGGUAUGAAUUAUAAAUGCAAUUCUACAUGUGAAACUAGAAUAGGAACCCUUUUAGUAGAUGUAAUGCUAUGGAGGUUGAUGUACCACUGUCAGAAAUUAAAUCAGUUGAUAUUUCUGCCAGAGCAAUUACUUCCUUCAUUUGACAAAGAGGCCUUCGGUGGUGGCUUUAUAUAAGAGGGCAAGAUGUGUAGGUGAAACCAAGUUGCGUGCUUGCAUUCCUUAAUUGGAAGGGAGAAGGAAAAGGAUUACAAUUCAGGAAUCCAAAGCCCCGAAGGGAAAACAAAAAGAUCUCGACGAAGAAUGAUCUUGCAAUAAGGGUAGAAUUAUGACUAAUUGAUCUCAUCCAUCAACUGUCUAUAGUCAUAAGAAAAUACGCCAUUAUUCUUUUAGAAAAUUGCACUAGAAAAUAUGCCAUGAAUAUCCAUUCCUUUCGUUUCUCUACUCUUAUGCCUUAUACAUCGUCAGACUGCAUGUUCAUGGGGGUUUUGAACAAAAAUAACUUGUUUUCAAAAAAUAUUCUCUAAAGUAAAUCCCCUAUCAAAAUAAAUUCUAAAUUGGUGUUUCUCAAUCAUGUGGAUGCCAUGUGGUUUGAGAUCUUUUUUUUUUUCAUAUAUAUAUAUAUAUAUAUAACAUUUUUUUCGUGUGGCUUUUUCCCUUUUUUGUCCUAGGUUUUUUUUGUGGGCAAAAUUGCUCAUGGCUUGGUAAUAAGAACCCACUUUGCCCUUGGGUUAGUUGGGUGGAUAUUGGCUUGAUUGAUUAUAAUAAUAAGGUUUUUCAGAGACUUAUAGUCAAUAUUUGUGUUUAAAUUAUCAAUGGACUCCUACUUUAGUAUUGGGAACUAGCAAGGUCAGACAAGAGAAAAGGGAAACUCAAGAAUAAUCCAUAAUCACUUGAAAAUUAUUAGUCUUUAUUUUGGAAGUUAUUAUGUAUGAUUUUAAAAAUUAUUAUUAACCAUUCUCAGAAUACAGUAGCUCCACACCUUAAAAGUAAUCAUUCGGCACAUCGAAAAAUGGAGAUCAUCAUCCCAAAAUUUUGGACUAAUGGGAAUGACACCGUUCAAGCACAAAACACAUUUUCAUCACUAAGUACUUGGUUAAAAAGCAAAUCUAUCAAGUCAAUUCUCAUUAGAUUACAGGCAAGUUACCUCUAUAAUUUCUAAUUUACAACUGUUACAAUUAUUGACGCACGUGUUUGUCAUACAAAGCAAGAUGUCUCUCUUGCUGGGAUUCCUGAACUGAAGCAGCUCAACCCCAUAAUGAUGUUUUGUAAGUUCUUCCAUAAGUUUCAGCACAAUGAAUUUUGUAUAGUCCUCUGGGUUCGUAUGUUGGCUGUUGUUGUUCCUCAUGUUUGGAAAAAGUAAGAUAGACACCCUUGUACACCCUUGUACUUUUAGUACAUUGGCCUUGUACACUUAGUGUAAAUGCCUUGUACAGUUAUAGAAAUUCAACCUAGAUCAUACAACAUAACUAGUGCAUAUGGCUGGGUUAACCACGUUCCAAUGUCAUGGCUCACCGAGUUGGGGAAAAAUGACACCAAAUCGAGGUUCCUAUUCAUCAUAAGCGCGCUAUUUCAUCCAAUGAAUGUGUACGAAGGGAAAUGAGAAAUGUCCCCCUUAGAAAAAAUAAAUGAGCAAGCAAUUUUUUCAAAAGCAUUUCAAAUCCUUCAAGAUAGGCACCCUUGUACACACUUGUACAGUUAGCACAUUUGCUUUGUACACUUAGUGUAAAUGCCUUGUCCAGUCACCAAAUCCCUAAUAGGUACAUAUUUUCAAGUGAAUAUGGGUGGGUAACCAAUGUUUCCAUUACCAUGGACUAGGGAAAAUGACACAAAAGGUUACCCUAAUUUCGGUUCAUAUUCAUCAUUACUAGGGAAGCUAAUAGGAUGAAUGAACAUGGUAGACAUCAAUUAAAUUGCAUGCAAUGCGUGUGUUAUCAAGCAACAUGUGUGAGGAUUGUUCCCCACGUUUGGAAAAAGUAAGAUAGACACCCUUGUACACCCUUGUACUUUUAGUACAUUGGCCUUGUACACUUAGUGUAAAUGCCUUGUACAGUUGCAGAAAUUCAACCUAGAUCAUACAACAUAACUAGUGCAUAUGGCUGGGUUAACCACGUUCCAAUGUCAUGGCUCACCGAGUUGGGGAAAAAUGAAACCAAAUCGAGGUUCCUAUUCAUCAUAAGCACGCUAUCUCAUCCAAUGAAUGUGUACGAAGGGAAAUGAGGAAUCUCCCUCUUAGAAAAAGUAAAUGAGCAAGCAAUUUUUUCAAAAGCAUUUCAAAUCCUUCAAGAUAGGCACCCCUGUACACACUUGUACAGUUAGCACAUUUGCUUUGUACACUUAGUGUAAAUGCCUUGUCUAGUCACCAAAUCCCUAAUAGGUACAUAUUUUCAAGUGAAUAUGGGUGGGUAACCAAUGUUUCCAUUACCAUGGACUAGGGAAAAUGACACAAAAGGUUACCCUAAUUUCGGUUCAUAUUCAUCAUUACUAGGGAAGCUAAUAGAAUGAAUUAACAUGGUAGACAUCAAAUAAAAUGCAUGCAAUGAGUGUUAUCAAGCAACAUGUCUGAGGAUUGUUCCCCACAAUUGGAAAAAGUAAUAUAGACACCCUUGUACACCCUUGUACUUUUAGUACAUUGGCCUUGUACACUUAGUGUAAAUGCCUUGUACAGUUGCAGAAAUUCAACCUAGAUCAUACAACAUAACUAGUGCAUAUGGCUGGGUUAACCACGUUCCAAUGUCAUGGCUCACCGAGUUGGGGAAAAAUGAAACCAAAUCGAGGUUCCUAUUCAUCAUAAGCACGCUAUCUCAUCCAAUGAAUGUGUACGAAGGGAAAUGAGGAAUCUCCCUCUUAGAAAAAGUAAAUGAGCAAGCAAUUUUUUCAAAAGCAUUUCAAAUCCUUCAAGAUAGGCACCCUUGUACACACUUGUACAGUUAGCACAUUUGCUUUGUACACUUAGUGUAAAUGCCUUGUCCAGUCACCAAAUCCCUAAUAGGUACAUAUUUUCAAGUGAAUAUGGGUGGGUAACCAAUGUUUCCAUUACCAUGGACUAAGGAAAAUGACACAAAAGGUUACCCUAAUUUCGGUUCAUAUUCAUCAUUACUAGGGAAGCUAAUAGAAUGAAUUAACAUGGUAGACAUCAAAUAAAAUGCAUGCAAUGAGUGUUAUCAAGCAAUAUGUCUGAGGAUUGUUCCCCACAAUUGGAAAAAGUAAGAUAGAAACCCUUGUACACCCUUGUACUUUUAGUACAUUGGCCUUGUACACUUAGUGUAAAUGCCUUGUACAGUUGUAGAAAUUCAACCUAGAUCAUACAACAUAACUAGUGCAUAUGGCUGGGUUAACCACGUUCCAAUGUCAUGGCUCACCGAGUUGGGGAAAAAUGAAACCAAAUCGAGGUUCCUAUUCAUCAUAAGCGCGCUAUCUCAUCCAAUGAAUGUGUACGAAGGGAAAUGAGGAAUCUCCCUCUUAGAAAAAGUAAAUGAGCAAGCAAUUUUUUCAAAAGCAUUUCAAAUCCUUCAAGAUAGGCACCCAUGUACACACUUGUACAAUUAGCACAUUUGCUUUGUACACUUAGUGUAAAUGCCUUGUCUAGUCACCAAAUCCCUAAUAGGUACAUAUUUUCAAGUGAAUAUGGGUGGGUAACCAAUGUUUCCAUUACCAUGGACUAAGGAAAAUGACAAAAAUGUUUACCCUAAUUUCGAUUCAUAUUCAUCAUUACUAGGGAAGCUAAUAGAAUGAAUUAACAUGGUAGACAUCAAAUAAAAUGCAUGCAAUGAGUGUUAUCAAGCAACAUGUCUGAGGAUUGUUCCCCACAAUUGGAAAAAGUAAGAUAGAAACCCUUGUACACCCUUGUACUUUUAGUACAUUGGCCUUGUACACUUAGUUUAAAUGCCUUGUACAGUUGCAGAAAUUCCACCUAGAUACAACAGAACUAGUGCAUAUGGCCAGGUUAACCACGUUCCAAUGUCAUGGCUCACUGAAAAGGGGAAAAAUGACACCAAAUCGAGGUUCUUAUUCAUCAUAAGCGCGCUAUCUCAUCCAAUGAAUGUGUAGAAAUGGAAAUGAGGAAUGUCUAUGAGGAAUGUCACCCUUAGAAAAAUAAAAUGAGCAAGCAAUUUAUUCAAAACCAUUUGAAAUCCUUCAACAUAGGUAGCAUUGUACACACUUGUACAGUUAGCACAUUUGCAUUGUACACUUAGUGUAAAUGUCUUAUACAAUGGCAAAAAUUUGACAUACCUAAAACUAAUAGCGUGCAAAUGGGUGAGCUACCAUGUUCUAAUGUGAUGCCUAAGGGAAAAUGGGGAAGGGAAAAGGGGGAAGUGAAACCCAAUAUAGGUUCUUAUUCAUCAUUAUUGUCGUUGGUCAUCCAAUCAACAUGUAUGAAGUAAUAAAAUUGAACGAGAUGAGUGCGUGAUCAAGGAAUGUGUGUGAGGGAAUGUUCCUCAUCCUUUCAAAAUGGAAAUGAUUUUAAAACAUCGCAAAUACUUCAACAUAGGUACAUUUGUACACCUUUGUACAUUAAACACAGGUACCUUGUACACUUAGUGUAAAUGUCUUGUACACAUACAUAAAUUCCAUACAACCACUACUGAAUGUCUACUCAUGCAUAGGUUAAUCAUGAUUGCAAUCUUUUGGUUAAUAAAAUAAGGAAAAACUGAAGUCUCAAUUUGUUCCCUAUACUUUUGUAACAAUACAAGCAAAUUAAAAAAUAGCAAUCUGUCCAUUAAUGUGAAGCUAUUCGAAGUUAAUUCCAACUUUCCAGCUAGAAUUCAAAAGAAGAUUAUAUGCUAAGCAUGACAAAUUAUUAUUCAAACAUAUAUUUUAUUCAGUAAAAAGCAUGCCUAAAGAUGGGUUCCAUUCAACUAGUGAACAGCUUUUUAAACAUCACAUGUGGCACCAGGCCUAACAAUUGUCUAUAAUUUACGAGGAAACUCUGAAGAAGACCAAAAUGCUUCUAACUGUGGCUCACUUUUAGAGUACUCACCAUUUUCUCAUCCAAGCAAUUUCUUCAGAGCCAAACAGGGAGACAUUAUUUUCUUCUGUCCGCAAUUCUCCUUCUCAUCCAUUCUCUCCUAAUUCAGAACUUUCAUUUCUAAACCUGCUUCAAUUUAAUGCCAAUGAUUAGCAAUUUCAAGCUUCCUGUUUAUUCCUAUAAACACCAAAUAUUUCCAAUUAAAAUUACAUGAGAUAAAUGUGGAUGACAUUUACACCAAACUAAUUGGGCACAAAUUAAAUUUUUAAUUCAUUUUUUGCAAGAAUAUACAUUGAUCAACGAAAUAAGAAUUGUUUCAGAUACUAAUCAAAAAAACGAGAAAGGAAAAGUUGGGUGGAGUGGGCUAAGACAAGAAAAAUAUUCAAAAAGAAAAUUUAGGAAUUCAAGCAGAAAACAAAAGCUCGUGAUUUUGAUAAAAUCAAGAUAGCUAAUAGAAAUUUUAAUAGAAUGUGAAAUAGUCAUGAACUUACAACUAACACAAAGAGCAAGAGAGAUUCUGAGAGAGUGGAUCCUAAAUUAAUCUCAUGAUAUCAAUUUCUAUGAGCUCGAAGCCUAUAGAGCUUAUAAAGCCUUAUUACAAAAGUCUAUAGCCACAUGGAAAGACAAUAGGACCAAAAGUAGCAUUAACUAUGCAUGCAUCAUGUAACCAGGUCAAGGUAUACAAAACGAAAAGGAAAAAUGUAAAAAAUGGAAUAACCUAGAAUGUUCCAGAGGAACACAACACCUUAUGCAUAUACAUCUUGCCCAGUGUUUGUGAGCCAUAGAAUAAUAGUUACAUUUGAGGCUUUUUAGAGGUCUGGACUCAUCAAACAGAACGGAGGUCUUGCAUUGUCCAACUGGUGCACCAUAUGGCCCACAGCCCACUAAAACUGAAGCUGAUGGACUACAUAGAUGUUUGAUAUGCUAACAAUGAGUAGUCAAUUGGUGGACAUAGCAGUUGGUGGCAGCCAGUUUAUAUCUUCAUUGGCAGCCAGUUUCGUCAGGUUAACCAAUUUCUCUAUUUUCGAAAUAUUUUUGAUCCGAAGGAUAGCUAUUCUGGAUUAUUUGCAUCAUCACCGGACAAUCUUCUUCCCCAAAGCUCACCGUUUGGAUGAAACCCAUUUAUUCUCUCUGAACGAUGAUGAUAAAAUACCUACAAACGCCUCAACCUGAUAAAAUCAAAAUAUCAGCAAAUAAUUCAGACCACCAUCAUUUGGAUUUGGGAAUGAUCAUUGAUAAAAUACCUACAAAAGCUUUUCUGAAAUGCUCACAAUCCUCAGCUGCUGAAGAAAGCGAUUGGGGGACAAUUAAGGUCGGCAUCGUUUGUGUGUAUGUUGUUUACAGAGGGAGAGAAAAGGGUAGGAAGAUUCAGAAUUUUCACUCUGGUGACAUGGCAUUUCAAGUUUACCAGCUGUGAAACCCAUUAAUUUACAACCAUUUGAGUUGGAAAUGUAAAGGGCAUUUUCGUCUGUUAACAUCUGAUAUCCUUAUCAUUAAUUAGGGCAAUUAGAUGGACCUUCUCUUAAUUUUUGGGCCCAGUUGGGCCCAAAACACAAUUCUCCCUAUUUUUAUAUACUAAUACCUAUUUUAUUUAUAAUUAAAAAAUACCAAAAAAAAAAAAAAACCAAAUAGGAGCAUGAUGUCAUUUCCUGCUUGAACCUUAACUUUAACCUUUAGCCUUUAGCCAGAACUUUAUAUUUUUAUAAGCUUUUGACAGAUAGGGAAUGUGUACCAUAGAAUUCUCUUGGAAGAAAAAAGACUAUCCAUGAACCUAAGAGGGAUUCUUUUUCAAAUUAUAUACUAAACCGUCCACGAACCUCCUCGUAUUAAUAAAAGAUCAUGCAUGGACACGACUUCACCUUUUCAAAGAUAUUCAUCCCAUGUCCAUAAGAUGAUGUCUCCGAAGCACAGCCUUGAAUUCAGAAGCAGCAGUCUUGGCUUUGUCGCCUACUUCACAUACAUUCCUUAUGCUUUCCUCCCUCCUCUCCUCAUUCUCUUCCAUAUCUAUAUGCACUACUCAAACGCUUUCUCAUCCACAUUCAANNNNNNNNNNNNNNNNNNNNNNNNAUGAUAAAAUACCUACAAACGCCUCAACCUGAUAAAAUCAAAAUAUCAGCAAAUAAUUCAGACCACCAUCAUUUGGAUUUGGGAAUGAUCAUUGAUAAAAUACCUACAAAAGCUUUUCUGAAAUGCUCACAAUCCUCAGCUGCUGAAGAAAGCGAUUGGGGGACAAUUAAGGUCGGCAUCGUUUGUGCGUAUGUUGUUUACAGAGGGAGAGAAAAGGGUAGGAAGAUUCAGAAUUUUCACUCUGGUGACAUGGCAUUUCAAGUUUACCAGCUGUGAAACCCAUUAAUUUACAACCAUUUGAGUUGGAAAUGUAAAGGGCAUUUUCGUCUGUUAACAUCUGAUAUCCUUAUCAUUAAUUAGGGCAAUUAGAUGGACCUUCUCUUAAUUUUUGGGCCCAGUUGGGCCCAAAACACAAUUCUCCCUAUUUUUAUAUACUAAUACCUAUUUUAUUUAUAAUUAAAAAAUACCAAAAAAAAAAAAAAAAAAAACCAAAUAGGAGCAUGAUGUCAUUUCCUGCUUGAACCUUAACUUUAACCUUUAGCCUUUAGCCAGAACUUUAUAUUUUUAUAAGCUUUUGACAGAUAGGGAAUGUGUACCAUAGAAUUCUCUUGGAAGAAAAAAGACUAUCCAUGAACCUAAGAGGGAUUCUUUUUCAAAUUAUAUACUAAACCGUCCAUGAACCUCCUCGUAUUAAUAAAAGAUCAUGCAUGGACACGACUUCACCUUUUCAAAGAUAUUCAUCCCAUGUCCAUAAGAUGAUGUCUCCGAAGCACAGCCUUGAAUUCAGAAGCAGCAGUCUUGGCUUUGUCGCCUACUUCACAUACAUUCCUUAUGCUUUCCUCCCUCCUCUCCUCAUUCUCUUCCAUAUCUAUAUGCACUACUCAAACGCUUCUUCAUCCACAUUCAACACAAGCUGAUCAGCCAGACUCCCAUGGACAUUUCUCUCAGAUCAAGCCUCAUCACUGCUAUUUUCAUCUACUAGCUCAUAAUUGUCAGUGGCCUUCCAGGUUCGUUUUGGUCUCAUGCAGAGCAGCAAGAUGAGCACCCAAGUUGUCCAGUCCAGUAAAAAUGAGUCUCCCAACUGCUAUAAGCUACUUGCGUUGGCAUCCAGAAAAUGCAGGCAUUGAUGAUAUAAAGAGAGCUUAUAGACAGAUGAGCCUGCAAUAUCACCCUGAUGUUUGUGAUCCUUCCAUGAAGGAAGAAUCAACAAUGAUGUUUAUACAGCUGAAUGCAGCUUACAAGACACUGUCUGAUCCCACUCUACAAAUGCAGUAUGAUUAUGAUACGGGUUUGGCUGAUUCCAGGCAAAAAAAUGAAGUCAGAUACAACGAUGGCGAGAUGGGAAGAGCAAAUUAAUCCUUGAGAAGAGAAGGUCCAACUAUAGAAUGGUGCACGAGGAGAGAAGUUGGGGGAGCAGAAUGAGGGCUCGGAACAGUCAGGAAGAGGGAUGUGUUGGUAACUAAGCUUUUAACACUGUAAAUGAUUUUUACUAAAUUUCUAUUGAAUUUUGCUUCAACUUUGAUAUGGAUUGAUCCAAUUGACUUACAAUGCUUAUCACACGCCAUAAAUUAAUAUUCAACCACACAGAAAACCUCGAAAAAAAAGGGAAGGUCAAAAACCUAGAGCCAUAAAAGCUACCUCAAGGAUCCACUAAGAGGAAUAGGAGUUGAGUGUACAAGUCUUACCAGAAUUAAGAUCUACAAUCUUCUCUUAGACUUCCCCGAUCAAUUUGCAUUCCUCAAAUUUGAAUUACGAGAUCCUCAUGGUCUCAAUUGGUUGACAUAGCAACAAAGAAAACUGCACUUUGCUCUGGUUAUCGAUUGACUCACCCAUUUGCCAGUUUGGUCAGAUGCUUGCAGUUUCCUUUGGUGAUCUCAGUCCCAGAGUGCAUCUAUCAGCUACCUGCCAAAACUAGCCUCAAAUGAGCUUCACUUUCUAAAAGUGGCUCCUGAUUACAAUCCAACAUAAAAUCUCAAGCUUUUAAAUAAAUUUUUUUAUACAAAAGCACCCAUACAUGACAACAUUAUCAACAAGACUUGGGAAGCUAGUCCAUCAAGCCCCUUGAUCUAAGUAGAUGAGAUUAAGGUCUCCUUAAGCCGGUUUUAUUACAAUUGGAAUGGAACUGCCAACAUACAAACCUUAUAUUUCGACUAAUAUCCACAAAUGGUAUGAUUCUAUCUCAACUCAUAUACACAAACAUAGUAGAUCUAGUCCCUGCCUUGGAUGAUCUCUGCUAGCAUUAGAGAUGUCCUGUAAACAUUUUUCACAAUCAUGAUAAUUCGGGGCAAAAGUUGAAUUAGAUUGAUUGAACUCAUAGCUAUGGCACACCUAUGUAAAUCUGCUUGUUCCAAUAUACACUUUGCUACAAACUAGCAGCUGAGGCUUCAGGUGUGAACCAAGACAACCCUACAGAAAAUAGACAAUAUAUAAUCAUCGUCAAUUAACUCUACCAAAUAAUAUAAAUUGGUAGUGGGAAAAAUAAAAUGAGAAAAAGAGAUUAUAUGCACUUAUUUAAUGAUCUGAAUUUUAAAGACACCAAUAAAGGAGAUACUUAUACAUAUGCAUGUGGAAUAGCAAAAGCAUCAUCUGGGACCGGACAAUUCUUCAGGAUGAAGGCCUGGAGUGGAGUCAUUUAUAAUCCAAUUAUUAGAGGAGAAGUUGCAAUGAUUUAGCUCUCCGCAAAUUAUAUCCUCCUUUUUCCACUGUUCCCACCUUUCAGCCAAACCAUCACCUUCAAGCAUUUUGACCACAUGUGACAUCUUGGGUCGGUCUGAAGCUGUGUUUAGUGUGCAAAGGAGAGCCACCUGGAUUAGCUCCUCUACCUCCUCUACAAUGUAAUAGCCCUGCAGCUUAGAAUCAACCAGUGUUUCCAAUUUCUUUUUGUUCAACAGUUCCUUGACCUUAAAUUUUCCAAAAGAGCAGCAAAUAUACACAUAAGUCAGCAAUGGAAAAUAAGAUUCUGUAAAAAGCUUGUGCCAUGUAUAGGAUGUGAGAAUGAAACUACUGGAAAAAAGAGAUUCAGUGUUAACUGCGAGGAUUACAUUAAAUAAGUGUUUCGGCUUCCAUGGAAUUGAAGUUGUCAAAUUUUGUUUUGGGCAGCAUUCAAAUAUACAAGUUUAUAAUGCGAUAUGAAGGUAUGGCCAUAGUCACCAUAAAUGAAACAAAAAGGAUAAAGUUCCUAAUUGAAAUUCUAAAAUGCCUUAAAUCCAGAGUGUCAAGAAAAGAAAAAUAGACCCAUUCCAUGUGGUGAGUUUAUAGAAGGACUAAAAGAAAAUGAAAGUCAAUUUUAAAAGAAGUUCCUGUCAAGAAGUCUAUAUCUUACCUACUCAAAAAAAACUAAGCCUAUUACUAAGCUACCAACUUUCCUAAAAGCUGAGUAGAUAAAUAGACGGGGACAAUAGCAUUAGGAAACAUAUUAAGAUUCUCAUUACAGUAAUAACAAGCUCUGUUAGUUAAACAACUACUUUUGUGUUUUUUUUUUCUGUUUUUUUGCAAGAGGAUAAGCUGGAGUUAGUCACAAAUUGGUUAGAGCACUCUUUUCUAGCCCCCUAUAUCUAGAACCUUCCUACUCACUUUGCUCUGUAGGAUGAAUGAGAGUGACGUGAGCUUCUUCUUCUCUGCUCUGUUUCUCUUUUGUGAUAAAACACUCCAACACAAGAUCUCUAGCUUUGAUAUGAUUAAGCUACGAACUUCCCUAAAAGCUUAAGCUGUUAAGAUUUAAGCCACAAUAUGUACUAGGGCAACAUUCAUGUUACAAACAGACUGAAGAAAAAGAAAAUAAAUUCUAUAGGGAAAUUGGUUAGAUUGUAAUGGAAAGUAUUGUUGGGAUAAGGCAAUACGGAGAAAGGGCUUUUCAUUUUAACUUUCCCUCCAGUCUUCUCAUCACAUCAUUGGUCAAUCCUACAUUUACUUCAAUCUCCUUAGUGCAGCAUAAAGGGCAAGUACGAUUGCCUUUCUGUAGAAGUUCGUUACAAUUUUGAAUAAUGAUUGGUAGGAUAAUAGGGAAAGAUUGAGGCCCCUAUUAUGGGUAAUUUGUGUUCUUCCAUAUUUGUAGUUUUUUUUCCGUUUUAAUUUCUCUCUGUAUAUUUGUUAAAUAGGGAUAUGUUUAUGUAAAAAAGAUAUAGUUUUGAAUGAAUUGGAAAUAUCAUUUUCUCAGUUUCUUCAUGGUAUCAGAGCCUUGUUUGCUCUAAAACCCUAAUCUGUCCAUGGAUGCCCAAAGAGGAAACAGCCAUGAAAGAGUGUCGGAGAUACACUCUUUGAUGGGCCCCAUCGGUGCAUUCGACAACUCCCCACUCCACCUUACCGUUGAAAAACUGAAUGGUAAGAAUUACAGAGAGUGGGCUCAAGCAAUCAAACUCGUUAUUGACGAAAAGGGGAAGUUAGGGUUCCUUACCGGCGAAACACGACGACCACCUCUGACUGAUGUAGCUGCAUCCCAGAAAUGGCGGUCCAAAAACUCCUUCAUCACCUCAUGCCUGAUUAACUCCAUGAAACCAUCCAUUGGAAAGACUUACAUGUUCCUCCCGACGGCAAAGGACGUGUGGGAUGCGAUACGGGAAACGUAUUCAGAUGCUAAAAAUGCUUCCCAAAUCUUUGAAAUCAAGACGCAGCUUUGGCAGAUGAAGCAAGGAGAACGGAAAGUCACGGAAUAUUACAUCGAGAUGGUGGGUCUGUGGCAAGAUCUCAAUCUCAGCUGCGAAGAAGAGUGGGAGUGCACGGGGGACAGUGUGCGCUUCAAGAAGAAGAUGGAGAACUAAAGGUUCUUCGAGUUCCUAGCGGGGCUGAACCGCGAGCUUGAUGAUGUCAGAAGUAGGGUUCUCAGUCCCCGGCCGUUGCCCUCCAUCCGAGAAGUCUUCUCUGAGGUACGGCGAGAGGAAAGCAGAAGGAGAGUGAUGUUGGAUCUCUCCUUUAGGCUUGAAGGCUCAGCCCUUUUAACUCAUGGGCCUCAUGGGUCUCAUGGGCCUCAUAGGCCUUACACUGUUGCUGGACGUGGGCCUCAUGUUGUUGGAUCUAAUGGGCCAAGCCCAAGACAGUCCAAGAGGACUUAUUGUGAGCAUUGUAAGAAGUUGGGCCACACCAAAGACACUUGUUGGGCCCUACAUGGCAAACCUGCAGAUUGGAAGCCCAGACAACCUAAUAAAGCCCAUAGUCAUCAAGCCUCCUCCGAAACCCAGGCAGACAAAACUCCACCAGAAAUUUGUCAGUUAACCUCUAGUGUGGGGUUUAAUUCUGACUAGCUUGCGAAAUUAUAUGAGCUUUUUUCUAAUUUCCAAGCAUCUGGUCAGUCUUCUACCACUUUAUCCUCUGGUUCUUUGGCAAAAAAAGGUAUCUUUUUGACAGGACUUAGUACCAUGUCUCAGACUACUCCCUGGAUUAUUGACUCUAGUGCAUCUGAUCAUAUCACUGAUGCUCAUCAUUUAUUUUCUACAUAUUCUCCUUGUGUCGGUAAUUUAAAAGUAAAAAUUGCAGAUGGUACUUUAUCACCAGUUGCUGGCAAAGGGAGUAUUCGUAUUUCUGAGUCGAUUACUCUCAACCCUGUCCUACAUGUACCUAAUUUGUCUUGCAAUUUGAUGUCUAUUAGCCAAUUAACCAAAAUGUCUAAUUGCUCAGCUAAAUUCCUACCAUUUCAUUGUGUUUUUCAGGACCUAUCAUCGGGGAAGACGAUUGGCAGUGCUAAGGAAAGUGAGGGUCUAUAUUACUUCGACGAAACUGAUGUGCUUGGACAGAGUUCUCCUACUGUUUGUAAUUCUACAUCUUAUCCUAAGGACAGUGAACUUUUGUUAUGGCACAAAAGGAUGGGUCAUCCUAGUUUUCAGUACUUAAAAUAUUUAUUUCCCUCACUAUGUUCAAACAAAACUUUAUUGAAUUUUCAGUGUGAAGUGUGUGAACUUGCCAAACAUCAUCGGGCGUCUUUUCCUAAAUCUAAGUAUAAAUCAUCCAUACCAUUUACUCUGAUUCACAGUGAUUUAUGGGGUCCCUCACGUACCCCUAAUAGGACCCAUAAAAAAUGGUUUAUUACUUUUAUUGAUGAUCAUAUUCGCCUGUGUUAGGUAUAUUUGUUGACUGAUAAAACUGAGGUUCGAUCAGUCUUCAUAAACUUUCACUCUAUGAUACAAACUCAGUUUCACACCAAAAUUCAAAUUCUUCGUACUGAUAAUGGUACUGAGUAUUUUAAUCACUCCUUGAGCACUUACCUACAAGAAAAUGGUAUUAUACAUCAAAGUUCUUAUGUUGACACCCCUCAACAAAACGGGGUUGCAGAACGGAAAAAUAGACAUAUUCUUGAAGUUGCUCGUGCUUUGUUGUUUACAUCUCACAUGCCAACACAAUUUUGGGGUGACUCCAUUUUGACAGCCACAUAUCUUAUUAACCGAAUGCCUAGUCGGGUUUUAUCCUUUGUCACACCCCUCCAAAAAUUCCAAGAGUUUUUUCCUCAUUCGAGACUUAAUGCACACCUUUCACUUCGUGUCUUUGGGUCCACUGUGUUUGUCCACAUUCACGGACCUAAGCGGAACAAAUUUGAUCCCAGAGCGCUUAAAUGUGUCUUUCUUGGCUAUUCUUUCACACAAAAAGGCUACAAAUGCUAUGACCCAAUUUCACAGGAGCUAUAUGUUAGCAAAGAUGUCACAUUUUUUGAGCAUACUCCCUACUACUCGCUUCAGGGGGAGUCCAUGAGUGAAACUAGACCUUCCUUUGACUAUCUUGAUGUUGCUAUGUUUGAAUCCACUCCGUGCCUUAUAUCUAACCCUCCACCUGAUAUAGAAGGACACUUAAACUCAAGGGAAGAUAUGGAAUUACAAACAAAUAAGGAAACACUUGUCUACUCAAGGAGGCCAAAAUCGAAGUUCAAUGAGACACUCAUCUCCAAAGCACUAAAAGAGUCAGAACCGGUGAUAGUUCCAACCCCUCGGGAGUAUGGCUCCAAUUCUGAUCAGGUAAUAGAUGACUUACCUAUUGCUAUUAGGAAACAACCUCGUUCAUGUACUCUCCAUCCUAUCUCAAACUUUGUCUUAUAAUUCUCUCUCUACAAAGUGUCGUGCCUUUACAACUAACCUUGACAGAAUCCAGCUUCCUAAAAACAUUCAAGAAGCCUUUGAAAUUCCAGAAUGGAAAGAGACUGUGAUGGAAGAAAUAAGGGCAUUGGAAAAAAAUGAGACUUGGGAAGUGAUGAAUUUACCAAGGGGGAAGAAACCAGUGGGCUGUAAAUGGAUAUUCACAGUGAAAUAUAAGGUGGAUGGCACUGUAGAACGAUACAAAGUCCGCCUAGUUGCAAAGGGGUUCACUCAGACUUAUGGCAUCGACUAUACCAAGACAUUUGCACCAGUAGCAAAGCUGAACACUAUAUGAGUUCUUUUAUCCUUGGCAGCAAACCUUGACUGGCCACUCCAUUAGUUUGAUAUCAAGAAUGCCUUUUUGAAUGGUAAACUAGAAGAGGAAGUGUUUAUGAUGUUACCACCAGGGUUCUGUAAGGAAGAAGAAGAAACCAGGGUAUGCAAAUUAAAGAAAUCUCUUUAUGGUCUCAAACAAUCACCCAGAGCAUGGUUUGAUAGAUUUGCAAAGGUGAUUAAGAAUCAAGGAUACCAACGGGGACAAUCAGGUCACACUAUGUUCUUCAAACAGUCCAAUGAUGGAAGAAUGACCAUUCUAAUCGUGUAUGUCGAUGACAUCAUUCUCAUUGGAGAUGACACAGGAGAAGUGGAAAGAUUGAAGAAGGUCUUAGCCACAGCAUUUGAGUGAAAGAUCUGGGUCAAAUGNNNNNNNNNNNNNNNNNNNNNNNNNNNNNNNNNNNNNNNNNNNNNNNNNNNNNNNNNNNNNNNNNNNNNNNNNNNNNNNNNNNNNNNNNNNNNNNNNNNNAAAAGAGUCAGAACCGGUGAUAGUUCCAACCCCUCGGGAGUAUGGCUCCAAUUCUGAUCAGGUAACAGAUGACUUACCUAUUGCUAUUAGGAAACAACCUCGUUCAUGUACUCUCCAUCCUAUCUCAAACUUUGUGUCUUAUAAUUCUCUCUCUACAAAGUGUCGUGCCUUUACAACUAACCUUGACAGAAUCCAGCUUCCUAAAAACAUUCAAGAAGCCUUUGAAAUUCAAGAAUGGAAAGAGACUGUGAUGGAAGAAAUAAGGGCAUUGGAAAAAAAUGAGACUUGGGAAGUGAUGAAUUUACCAAGGGGGAAGAAACCAGUGGGCUGUAAAUGGAUAUUCACAGUGAAAUAUAAGGUGGAUGGCACUGUAGAACGAUACAAAGCCCGCCUAGUUGCAAAGGGGUUCACUCAGACUUAUGGCAUCGACUAUACCAAGACAUUUGCACCAGUAGCAAAGCUGAACACUAUAUGAGUUCUUUUAUCCUUGGCAGCAAACCUCGACUGGCCACUCCAUUAGUUUGAUAUCAAGAAUGCCUUUUUGAAUGGUAAACUAGAAGAGGAAGUGUUUAUGAUGUUACCACCAGGGUUCUGUAAGGAAGAAGAAGAAACCAGGGUAUGCAAAUUAAAGAAAUCUCUUUAUGGUCUCAAACAAUCACCCAGAGCAUGGUUUGAUAGAUUUGCAAAGGUGAUUAAGAAUCAAGGAUACCAACGGGGACAAUCAGGUCACACUAUGUUCUUCAAACAGUCCAAUGAUGGAAGAAUGACCAUUCUAAUCGUGUAUGUCGAUGACAUCAUUCUCAUUGGAGAUGACACAGGAGAAGUGGAAAGAUUGAAGAAGGUCUUAGCCACAGCAUUUGAGGUGAAAGAUCUGGGUCAAAUGUGGUAUUUCCUAGGAAUGGAGGUCGCCAGAUCAAGGAAGGGAAUUAGUAUUUCCCAAAGAAAAUAUGUACUUGACUUGUUGAUUGAGACUGGCAUGCUAGGAUGCAAGCCAAGUGAUACCCCUAUCAAGGCAAGAAACGGAAUGGAAAGUGACGGAAAGCCCGUGGAUAGAGAGAAAUAUCAGCGACUAGUAGGUAGACUGAUCUACCUUUCUCACAUUAGACCUGACAUUGCUUUUGCUGUAAGCGUGGUUAGCCAAUACAUGCACUCACCAAAGGAAAGUCAUCUAGAAGCAGUGUAUAAGAUCCUCAGAUACCUAAAGGGUUCUCUAGGGAGAGGACUAUUCUUUAAGAAGAGUGAUAGUAAGAAAGUAGAGAUCUAUACAGACGCAGAUUGGGUGGGAUCAACAGAUGACAGAAGGUCUACUAUAGGUUACUGUACCUAUGUCUGGGGUAAUUUAGUAACAUGGAGAAGUAAGAAGCAGAGUGUAGUAGUCAGAAGCAGUGCCGAAGCUGAAUUCAGAGCAGUUGCACAAGGUAUGUGUGAAGGACUAUGGUUGCAGAAACUGUUGGAAGAACUAUGCAUUACAGUAGAGCACCCCAUUAAACUCUAUUGUGACAACAAAGCUGCCAUUAGUAUUUCUUAUAAUCCUGUUCAGCACGACAGAACCAAACAUAUAGAAGUGGACAGACACUUUAUAAAGGAGAAAAUUGAGAAAGAGAUUAUUUACAUGACUUAUAUCCCUACAAGGGAACAAUUGACCGAUAUUUUCACCAAGGGGUUACAGAAAUCAAGCUUUGAAGACUUUAUUGGCAAGUUGGACAUGAUUAAUAUCUAUGAUCCAACUUGAGGGGGAGUGUGGAAGUCCGUUACAAUUUUGAAUAAUGAUUGGUAGGAUAAUAGGGAAAGAUUAAGGCCCCUAUUAUGGGUAAUUUGUGUUCUUCCAUAUUUGUAGUUUUUUUUUUUCCGUUUUAAUUUCUCUCUGUAUAUUUGUUAAAUAGGGAUAUGUUUAUGUAAAAAAGAUAUAGUUUUGAAUGAAUUGGAAAUAUCAUUUUCUCAGUUUCUUCACUUUCCUACUUUGAGUCUAGGCAUAUAGUAAGUGUAUUCUAUUGUGAACCCAACUCAAAAGAACUAGGAUAUAAAUGUAUUGGCACCAAGGUUCCACAUACAAUUUUCUGCUACUUAAAGAUUUCCAUUAUUUUACAUAUAAAUUUAUCAUGCAUCACUGGUUUGGCCACAGCCUGUCCUUUCUAAUUUGCUGUAUGUGCUUCCUCAUUUAGAACUUUUAAUCCCCAUCCAUCAUUUAUAAUAGGAAAAAAUAUAUUGAGGACAAAAAAUAAAGAACAGAACAGUUAUCUAAACCUUCCUUUUAUUUUCCCCUAAAACUGCUACACCAAGCUAACAGGAUGCUCUUGAUUGAAGAAGGAAUAAACCCAAGAAACAUUAAACAAAGGAAAAAAAAAAAAAAUUAAGGCCCAUGUUCCACAUGCUACUUCAUGAUGGAGAAGAAUAUGAUUUGCCAAUUUAUCAUCCGUACCACAAAAGCAAAACCAAUAUACAAGAGUAUAACCCCUUGCCCCUUUUGCAUCAGCCAGUCCAUGGUUGGAUCUUCUCACAAGCAGCUACCAACACAGAAAAGGCAACAUUGGAUGGGGUAAAAAAAAUUCCCAACCAGAUGAAUGAUGAUACCAGGAAGCUAAAAUUAGGCCAUGAUGAUGCUGCUGCAAAAGGGAUUUGAUAAAAAAAAUGUUCCAUUGAUAUUACAAACUUACACAUCCUCUUUCAUUUCCCUGAUAAAGGUAUGCCAGAAAAAUCCCCAUCGUCUCCAAAUCUCAAUCAUGAAAGCUUUUAGUGAACCCAUUCGAAUGUCCAGAACUACCAUCCAUCAAUUGAAAGCUAUCCAGGUUUCCCUACAAAAGGUCAAAGCAAAUAUAGAAGGGAACCAAAUCCUCAGGCGCACUUCCUCAAACCUCAUAUCAAGCUAAAACUUUGUCCUAUAAUCAUUACUUAAUAAAGAACUCAAGCUUGAAGAACGAUCUAAUCCUUCCUAGUAGACUUCCAAAGGCUUCAUCCUGAAGAACCCCCUGAGCCGCAGGUAACUAGUCCCUUCCAUCUUUCAGAACUUUUCCACUGAGAAAUUUCUCCCAAGCCUCGAAUGACCUGCCCUGCAAUCCCCCACCAACACACCCCAUGUGAAAAAAAAGGAUAAAAUCUCUACAACCACUUACCAAUCAAGGCUCCAUUAAAAACCAACAAAUUUUUAAUUCCUAUCCCACCAAAUUUUUCUGGCAUGAAAAAGUCACCCAGUUCACAAAAUGUGGUACUUUCUCACCUCUAGCCCAGUGAAAAUACCUUCAGAGCUUCUCUAAGCAUCUCAAAGGACUAUGUAAGGUAAAGAGACAUGCUUGAAAAGGUACUAUGAAUUAGAAUGAGACUACUUCACUUAGAUUACUGUAGCCCUUUGCCUGAUGCUGGCGAAUUUGCAGAUCUCUCAAUCACUGCAUUCUUCACUUCAAAAGAGGUCAGCAAUCUUCAGUCUCUAUUAUCACUACUCUUUCUAAUAUAUGGGCAAAAUAUCAUUAUCCUGAAGCAUGUUGUCCAGGAUAACUAAUGGUUGCAGCAUUGUCCCAUAUAUUCAAUCUAUAAUUGAUUUUUUCUUUUUGAGGUAUAUCAGUGCCAUGCCAGAAUUUCCAUUGAGGGGACUAUUGCUGCUGGUUGUUUCUCUCCCUAUUUGUGCUUCUAUUCACUCCUCUUCCUUCUUGGCUCAUGCUUCAGCCUGUGAAUGGGUGAUUGUUUACUGUUUGAAAGUUAUUGGAAUACAUACUAGUUGUUAUUCUCUCAGUGCCUAUUGUUAUUGUGAGUAUUGAUGGGUCCUCUACAAACAGUAGCAGGUCCUAGACUUAUUUGUGUUUUGGGCAUGCAACAGUUUAAAGAUCAUUGCCUUUUUUGUGUGUGUGCAUGUUCUGAUUCCCACUUUGUCUCAGUUCUGGAGAAAAAUUUUAUGACCCUUAUGAUAACACCACUUUGAUUUUAAGGCUUUUACACUAGGGACAGCAGCCUGAGAGAUCCACCAAGUUGUAAAUCACAUUAUCUUGUAAGUAUGGAUGCGUUUACCUAUGAAAAGUGUUACGAAAAACACUUGAAUGUUACAAAGUCAAAAUUUAUCAUUUGAUUUAUGUGAAAAACUGAAAAGAGUCCACUGGCAGAGUACCCUGAACCCUAGUCAGUUACCUAGAAGCAAUAAUUGAAAGCCCCAACACCCAACAUGUGGCAAAAGGACUUCAAGAACUCAAAGAACUACUUAAGAAAAUGCAUCACUUGAAGUUAUAAACUUAAAACAUAGAACAGAUAAUGGGAAGAUGGUAAAUGCAUACCCAACUGAGUAACAUAAGAUUGCUGGCCAAACGGGCAAGAUCAAAAGCCCUCUGCCCAGUGAUGAGCUCAAGAAGCAUGAUCCCAUAUCUGUAAACAUAAGUCUUCUCCGAAGACCUUCCAGUGAAGAGGUACUCUGGGGCAAUAUGCCCAAGUGUUCCAUGUACAGCCGUGGUAACACGAGUAUCCCUGUAGUCCAUGAGUUUAGCCAGCCCAAAAUCUGCAACCACUUCUUCGCUGGGGUUAUGACCUCUUUCUUUAUAUAUAUUGUCUUUUUUCUAGGGAAAUUCAUUCUCUAUCGACAAAUGUUGGUAUCAGCUAUUCUUCAAUGUCAAUACCACUCAUAAAAUGAGUUGUUUUCAAGGUUAAUAUUUUAUUCUCAUUAUUUUUUAUAAUGAGACCAUUAUUAGAUUCAUUAGGAUUAUUAUAUCUGGAAAAUAAUUAUACAUCAAUUUGUAGAUGAGUGUGCUCAUGCUUCCUCUCUGGAAUUCUUCUCUUCUGGCCACUUUCAAUUUGCUUUCUUGUUUCUUCACUUUUUUUUCUUCCACCAGCUCUUCUGCAAUUUUCCCUAGUUUCUUCCUUUUCUUGAAUGAUUCCCAAACACAAUUUCUUAAAUGUCCUUGAACAAGAGGUGCUUUACUUGUACUAUUUCAGCUUUUUUAUUCAUUUUUGCUAUGUUCCCUCUUGUUAGUGCUUUCCUGAAUUGUUCACCAUCCAAAUAGCAAAUUUUGUGGCAAUUCACUGCCAUGCUGAUGCAGGUGAAGCAUUUUUUUUCUCAUCCUUGAGACUCUGGGUGACUCUGGAAAUAGGUGCAUGAAAUAGUACCAGAUAUCUAAUAAAGCUUCAUUAUAAUCUCUUUUCUCAUAUAUCUAUAUAUAUAUAUAUAUAUAUAUAUAUAUAUAUAUAUAUAUAUAUAUAUCGUGGAUUUGCUUCAAUCCCCUUUGUCCUUUCAUUUUGGUAUAUUUUUCUGCAGGUUUCCAAUCACAUCAUUGGUUGUCCUAUAUUUACUUCAAUCUUCUUAGUGCUACAUACAGGAAAUGUUGAACAACUACUACUAUGAGCCUAGCCAAAACAAAGUGCCUUCUACUUGAAACCAUACCUAAAAAGUAGGACAAAUAAAAUGGUAAGUGGGUUCCACACAGGGAAAAUGCUUCUAAAAGAUUCCCAUUGUUCUAAAAAGGAACUUUACCAUGCCUCAAGAGUUUGACCCAGCCUUCUAUUUUCAACAUUUCCUUUCAACUUUUUCUUUUCCAAUGAGUGAAGAGAUAACACAUUAAAUUGUCAAACCGUCUGCCUCUUUUUCCCCAUAAAUUGCCAGAACAGGGUUCUUUUGAUUAAAGAAGGCAAAAUCCAUGAAACAAACAAACAGACAACAAACAACAGGGAAAAGAAAAAACAAAAGCAAAAACAAAAAGCCACAGAGGUCCAUAGAUCACAUGCUAUCUAGCAAUAAUUUGCCUAUUAUCGUCCUAAUUGCAAAAACACCACCACUUCACAAGGGUAUAAAUCCUUGGCAUCAGCUGGUCUAUGAUGAGAAUCUUCUUAUGAACAGCUUCUAGCAUUAGAAAGCUAAACUUGGAUGGCACACAAAAACCCCAACUGGCAGAUGUUAGCAUGGUAAGAUUAGGCCACGACAAUAAUAACCUAAAAGAGAAUUUGAAGAAAGAAUUUCCUUAGACUAUCUAAAGACUAACACAUCCUCUCAUUCUCCUGAUAAUAUGCCAAUAAAUGCAAGCUGGAAAACUCUACACCUUCUCCAACUCUCAAUCAUGGAAGCUUCUAGAGAACCUGAAAUUCUAAUGCCCAGAAACUACCCUCCAAGACAAUCAUCAGCCAGGUUAGUAAAAAGGCCUAAAUAAGCUUGAUAUACAUUGUUGGUCCACCAGCUAAUAGCUUAAACUUUUAGGAAAAUUAGUUGCUUAUCGGGGUAUUAAAGUCUUAUUUAGUGGGAGGUCAUGAAUUCAAUCCUAGAAACAUGAUUAUUCCCCACCUCAUCAAGCUCUAAGGAACAUUUGUAGCUUAAGAAACUACAUUUUCCUAUCAACUAUGAACAAGAUCCCUCUCUUUGGAACUUUUCCCCUAAGACACUUUUCCAAAGCAUAUUUUCUAUCUCUAACCACCAUAAUAACCCUCCAAAGCCUCUUUAGCUUUAUUAGAAAUAAAAAAAAAUUCUAGUCCUGGCCCAAACAUGUUCUUUAGUGUAAAAACAGUCGCCCAGCUAAAAAUGUUACAUGCUACCUGUCUCAACAGCAAACCCCCACCCACACAAAUAAAAGUAUCCCUUUAGAUCUUCUCUAACAGGAUCAUGGAUAGGCAAGCUUGAAAUGAACUAUGAAUGAGAGUCUACCCCCUAGAUAAAUAUGGCCUCUACCAUGACACUAGCUGCUAAUUCUAUCUCUAUCAUUGGGUUUUAUUUUAUUUAUUUAUUUAUUUAUUUUUAUAUAGGUACUAUCAUUGAGUUCUUCAAACCAAAGAAAGGACAAAAAUCUUAUACCCUAUGUAAUAAGAGUUUGCCCAAUUAUCAUUGUCUUGUCCGAAAGCACACUGCCUAGGGUAAAUGUUGGUUGCAAUGUUGCCCCCACAUAUUGAAUCUCAACUUACCAGAUCAUUGAUUCUUUCUUCUUGGGAUCUUAUCAACACAAUAAUUUCUAAUACUGGCAGUAGACUAUUGCUUCUGGUUGCUUUUCACCCUGUUUUUUAUUAUAUGUAAAACCGUGAAAGGUUUUUUGGAUAAACUUUUAUUUUAUUGCACUUUUUUAGAACACAGGCUACAUCCGUUUAAAUAACCAGGAAAUAGAUAAUUCCUAGGCUAAAAAUAAGGAAACCUAAAAAUGAAUCUGAUUCUAAUCCUAAUCUGAAUAAAACCUUUACUAUGUACAAAAAAACUAGAAUUCAAAUAAUUCCCCAAAUCAAGGAACCUAUCCAUUCUAAAAUUCCUUAAAUCAAGGAAUCCUAUCCAUUCCAAAAUUUGAGUCCAAUUUGAACUAGUCUAACCAAACUAACUUUCCAACACUCCCCUUCAAGUUGGGGCAUAGAUGUCUAUCAUACCCAACUUGUCCACAUUAUUUUCAAAGUUUUCUCUCGGAAUCCCUUUAGUUAAAACAUCCGCAAUCUGGCUUUUGGAUGGCACAUAUGUCAAGCAUAUUUCCCUUUGCUCAAUUUUUUCCUUAAUGAAAUGGCAGUCCACCUCAACAUGUUUUGUUCGAUCGUGGUGGACUGGAUUGUAGGAAAUGCUUAUAGUUGCCUUAUUGUCACAAUACAUCAUAGCUAGAGGAUGAAUUCUAAUCUUUAGUUCUUCUAAUACUCUCUUGAUCCACAAGACUUCACAAAUUCCAUGAGCUAUUGAUCUAAACUCAGCUUCAGCACUACUUCUCGCUACCACAUUUUGGUUUUUACUUCUCCAUGUGAUGAGAUUUCCAAACACAAAUGUACAGUAGCCAGAUGUUGACCUCCUAUCUUCUAUAGACCCUACCCAAUUUACAUCCGUGAAGGCCUCUAUUUUGAAUUGGUCGUGCUUUCCAAAUUGAAGUCCUUUUCUUGGGGUUCCUUUGAGAUAUUGUAAUAUUUUAUAGACAACAUUCAUGUGUGCUUCAUAUGGAGAAUGCAUGUACUAACUGACUGUACUUACUGCAAAAGCAAUAUCUGGCCUAGUGUGAGAGAGGUAGAUGAGCUUUCCAACCAACCAUUGGUAUCUUCCUUUGUCAACUAGAUCCCCUUUUUUAGCUAGGUCUAUCUUGUGUCUUACACCAAUCAGAAUGUCGCUAAGCUUGCAACCAAGCAUCCAUGUUUCCUUGAGUAAGUCUAAAGUGUACUUUCUUUGAGAAAUAGAGAUUCCAUUUUUAUUUCUAGCAAUCUCCAUCCCUAGAAAAUACCUUAGUACCCCAAGGUCCUUCACCUCAAACUCCUUAGCUAGGAUCUUCCUCAAAGCUUCAAUUUCUACAUGAUCAUUGCCUGUUAAAAUCAUAUCAUCAACAUAAACGAUGAGAACAGUUAUUUUACCCUGAUUAGUAGAUUUGUAAAACAUGGUAUGAUCUUAAUAUCCUUGAAGAUAGCCAUAUUGUUUUACUACUCUUGAGAGUCUUUUGAACCAUGCCCGGGGUGAUUGCUUGAGUAUGUAGAAAGCUUUCUUCAAUUAACAAAUUUUAUUGAAGCUUUCUUGUUCAAGUCCUAGUGGUACAUCCAUGUAAACCUCCUCCUCUAAUUUCCCAUUGAGAAAAGCAUUUUUUAUGUCCAGUUGUUGAAGAGGCCAAUCAUAGUUUGCAGCCAAAGAGAGAAGAAUUAAAUUGUGUUCAGUCUUGCCACCAAUGCAAAAGUCUCUUGGUAAUCUAUCCCAUAAGUCUUAGUAAAUCCUUUAGCAGACAAUCUUGCUUUGUACCAUUCCACCGAGCCAUCAGAUUUGUAUUUUACUGAAAAGACCCAUUUACAUCCCACAAUUCUUUUACCCUUCGGUAGGGUAACAAGUUCCCAUGUUCUGUUUUUUUUCAAAGCUUUGACUUCCUCCACAACCGCUACUUUCCAUCUUGGAUCACCAAAUGCUUUUUGUACAUUUUUUGGAAUUUCUAUGGAAGAAAGGUGAGGGGCAGAAGUAGAAAAAGAUGAGGAUAAUCUAUGAUAAGAGACAAAACUAGAUAUGGGAUGAAUGGUAUAAGAUCAAACACUUUUCUUAAGUGCUAUCGGGAGAUCUAAGUCACUAGGCACUGGGUCUACAGGAAGUGAGGAAUGUGAGAGUGAUGAAGAAUUAUCCAAACCUGAUUCAAGCAUUAUCUCCGAUGUGGCUUCAUGGCAAGGCAUGAGUGUAUCAAGUACUAUACACUUCCUUGAGUAGACUUUGAACUGUGGUGUAGACUAGGCUGUUGGUGGCAAUGCUUUAUCUUCCCCUGCAUUUGACAAUCUGUUAUGUACUGGAACUAUUGUUGGGUUUGAUUGAACGAAAGGAAUGGAUGGAGAGAUUUGAGUAGACACCGUAUUGGUUGCUGGGAGUGGACUAAUUUAGUAGACACUGGACUGGUUGCUAGGAGUGUAGGAACUGGAAAAGAAGAUUGUGGAAUUUUGCAUGACGAAGCUUCACAAGAAUUCUCCCCUUGAAUCAAAGUGUAAUAGGGCUACUGUUCAAAGAAGGUUACAUCUAUAGAGAUGCAUAGUUUCUAAUUAACAAGAUCAAAACAUCUAUAACAUCUUUUAGUUGUUGCAUAUCCUUAAAAAAAAAGCAUUUUAUAGCCUUAGAAUCAAGUUUACCAUGAUUAUGUGAAUGGACAUGUACAAAAAUAGUGCACCUGAAAAUUUUAAUUCAUAAAUCUUGGCAAAAUCGAGAAUCAAGGAAUGAAGCAAGAAACAACAAUGGGAAUUUUAAAAUUAAGAACUUUUGAGGGCAUCCUAUUGAUCAAAUAUGUUGCUAUAAGAAUAGCGUCCCAAAGUAUUUUUCUAACUUUCAUUGAAAAUAAUAAGGACCGAACAACUUCUAAGAGGUGUCUAUUCUUUUUUUCAGCAACUCCAUUUUGUUGUGGAGUAUCUACACAUGAUUUUUGAUGAAUAAUCCCAUUAGUUGAUAAAAAGUCUCUAAUAACAACAUUUAUAUAUUCACUACCAUUGUCGGUUCUAAGAAUUUUAACGGAUGUUUGAAAUUGAUUUUUGAUCAUUGAAUAGAAAUUUUUGAAGGUUUGAAAGACUUCAGAUUUUUCUUUAAGGAGGUAAACCCAACAAAUUCUUGAAUGAUCAUGAUGAAGGUAAUGAACAUUUUGCACCAAUUAGAAUUGUUACCUGAGAUGGUCCCCAAAGAUCACUAUGUAUGAGAGUAAAAGGUUUAGAGGGACUGUAAGGUUUAGCAGGAAAUACUAAUCUGGUAUGCUUUGCCAUUUGACACACUUCACAUUGAAAAUUGGACAACCUUUUAUUUUUGAAAAGUUUUGGAAACAAGAACCUAAGAUACAGAAAGCUAGGGUGGCCCAAUCUAUAGUCCCGUAACAUUAUUUCAUGAUCAAAAGGAAAAGAUAAAACACUGCUACCAGCAACAAUGGCUUGUCCUUACACAACUUCAUGGUCAUCAAAAUGGUAUAAACCUUCACACUCACAUGCACUACCAAUCGUCCUCCCCGAAGCUAAGUCUUGGAAAACAACACUAGUAGAUGAAAAUUUAGCUACACAAUUGAGAUCUCUCAUGAGUUUACUAAUGGACAAUAUAUUACAUGACAAAUUUGGGACAUGUAAGACUAAUUCAAGAGAAAAAAAUUUUGUCAGAGAGAUGGUUCCUUUUCCAGCGACCGGGGUAUAUGACCCAUCCAUUCCUUUUCUAGCAACAGGGGUAUAUGACCCAUCCACAAUUUGAACUUUCAUAUUACCAGCACAUGGCACAUAUGUUGUAAAUGAAGUGGAUGACCCCAUCAUGUGAUUUGUAGCUCCGAAAUCAAUGAUCCAAGGUUUAUAAGAAUUGGCUAAGGCACUGAAUGGGUAUUGAGUUCUACCUGAUUGUGCUUGAGAGCAAGAUGGUGAGAGAUCAGCAUUUGGUGAACCUGAGAUUGAAGUGGAUGCAGUUUGUGGAUUAAGGAGAUGUUGCAAGACCUCUAACUACUCCUUGGUGAAUGGUGAAGUGGCUGUUUGGUUGUUAGGGUUCUCAGAUUCACUAUGGUAGGCUUUGGAAUCACGGUGGGUCUUGGGUUUCUCCCAGCAGGUGGCUUUCCAUGGAUCUUCCAGCACGUAUCUUUUAUAUGGUCUCGUUUUCAAAAAUUUUCACACCAAGGACAAUCACCCUUUUUUCCUAGUUGCUGGUCAAUUGGUUGAAAAGCCGCCUCACCAUGAAUAACUAGGGCAGAAGUCUCAGAUUGGCUAGAUUGUUGUUCUCCCAAUGUCACUUUCGGCCUACUCUUUUCCCGUCGCACCUCAGAGAAGAUCUCCCUUACAGAUGGUAGUGGUUCUUUUCCCAAGAUUUGGCCUCGAACCUCAUCAAGUUCCUUAUUGAGUCCUGCCAAAAAAUCAAAUGCCCUUUCUUUUUCGAGAAUCUUGCAAUAAUGGGCAUUAUCUUCAGCACACUUCCACUCCAUAUUAGAGAAUAAAUCAAGUUCUUGCCAUGCAUUUGGAAGGAUAUUAUAGUAUUGUGUAACACUAUGACUACCCUGUUUAAUAUCUUUCAACUUAGUCUUAAUUUCAAACAUUUGGGUAGCAUUACCUAGAUCUGAAUAAGUCUCUUGGACUUCAUCCCAGAGGUCCUUGGCGGUAGGAAGAAAGAGGUAGGUUUGCCCAAUAGCUGUCUCCAUGGAGUUGAUUAACCAGGCCAUUACCAUGGAGUUCUCAGAAUCCCAGGUUUGGUACACAUGAUCUUCCGGCUUGGGUGCUUUGUUGGCACCUAUGAGAUAGCCCAACUUUCCUUUUACUCUGAUGAACAGCUUCACCGAUUGCGACCAUUUAAGAAAAUUACAUCCAUUUAAUUUAUGGAUCGUAAUUUGCAGGGUUGGAUUCUCUAUACUGCCUGGAUUUGUUGUUGGAACUUGUAGCUGUGAAGUCCCAGAUGAGGCAUCAUAUUCCUCCCUGUGAGUUGCACCAGUCAUAGUAGUCUUCACCAUCCUUCUACUCUUUUUUUUUUCUCUAGCUUUGAUACCAUAAAACUGUGAAAGGUUUUUUGGAUAAACUUUUAUUUUAUUGAAAUUUUUCAGAACACAGGCUACAUCCGUUUAAAUAACCAACAAAUGGAUAAUUCCUAGGCUAAAAAUAAGGAAACCUAAAAACAAAUUUGAUUCCAAUCCUAAUCUGAAUAAAACUUUUACUACGUACAAAAAAACUAGAAUUCAAAUAAUUCCCCAAAUCAAGGAACCUAUCCAUUUUAAAAUUCCUCAAAUCAAGGAAUCCUAUCCAUUCUAAAAUUUGAGUCCAAUUUGAACUAGUCUAACCAAACCAACUUUCCAACAAUAUGAUUUGUGUCCAAGCCAGUGUUUAUUGUUUUGGAGCCAUUGACACAAUGCUGUUUGUUCUUCUCCCACUGAUUGCAGAGUAUGAUUGGUCCUUUACAAACAUUGACUGUAUUGAGCUAAUUCAUCUUUCAGGCUUUCUAUUGUUUGUAAAUUAGGACCCAUUUUCUAUAUUUGAUACCCACUUACUCUCUGGAAAAGACUUCUGUGACCCUUAUGGUUACACUGCUUUGACUAUAUUCUUUGCCAUAGUUCACGUACAUAAUUCUACUCUUUUGAUUAGCUAGGAGCAUACAGCAUAGGGAAUUCAUGUUCAGAAACAGUGCAACAGAAUCAAAAGAAAAAGGAGAUGAUGGUUUUGGAAUGAGGUGCUGUGCAAUUCUGGAAGGUUGUACUGGUUCCCAAAGAAGAUGGCUAUGAAGAUGUUAAUGGAAUCCUGAUGUGAAGGAACCCUACGAAAUUAAGAACAUGUUUUACAAGUUAGAUGAAGUCAUAUUUAGUCAAUAGGGAAUAUUGAUCUCAGAAAAAGGAGUCAAUGUAAUCAUUGUCUGCGCAAUUUUGCUAUUUCUAGACCUAGGAUCACAACUUGACAGCAUUAUUCUCCAUCCCCUUGCCAUGUAUUGCCUCCAAAAACCUCCUACAAGUUCAUUGUAGGUAAAAGGAGUAAAAUGUCAUGGAUUUACAGUGAAAAACAUAAUGACUAUUGAAUUUCAGAGGCAAUACAAAUAUGAGUAGAGGAAAAACUAGAUAAUCCAUCUGAUUUACCUAAAAAAUAUAUAGAAUUCAAACUUUCAGUUUUUAAAAGAAAAAGGGCCCACUGUAUAAUAAUUGAUGGCUCAAGACCAGUUUCUAGUAUUGAAAACACAAGGACCUUGAAAACUUGAAACCAUGGUUUUGAGUUUUGAAAUGUUUCUGUCAGUGUAUAAAAGCUUCUGAUUUUUUUAGGAAUCCAAAAUGAAACCUAGAAGCAAAACAGAAUCUAUUCAUUUUUCUCCAAAAUUCACCUAAAUUUUGUAGAAACACAAAUUUGUGGAAACAUAUGAGAUAACUUGAGUUUAAUUUUCAUACCAUUUGAAAACACGGCUUUGCCAUCUAAAGUCUUUCACUAAAAUCAAUAGAAGAACAGGAGUCUGAGAGGUCUCUGAGUUGUGCAUCACUUUAACUUGUAAUUGUAACAACAUUAUUUUAAGCACUUGAAUGACGUCAAGGUUGAAAUAGAUCAUUGGAUUUCUGUGAGGGAAAGUAUGGAACAAAUUCACCUACUUGUAAUCUCUGAAUAACCCACCCCCAAUAUUAUAAACUAGAAGCCAUAGCUGAAAUCCCCAACACCAAACAAAUAUCAAAGAAGACUCAAAAGAGUUCAAAGAAGUAAAUAAAAGGAUGCACCACUAAGUUAUAAACUCAAACUAUAAAAAUCCUCAAAGGGAAGAUAGUAAAAGCAUACCCAAUCAAGUAACAUAACAGCAUCAUCAUUGGCAAGCCGAGCAGGAUCAAAAGCCCUCUGUCCAGUGAUAAGCUCAAGAAGCAUUACUCCAUAUCCAAAAACAUCAGUCUUCUCUGAAGACUUCCCAGUGGAGAGGUACUCUGGAGCAAUAUGCCCAAUUGUGCCACAUACAGCAGUGGUAACAUGAGUAUCCUUGUAGUCCAUCAGUUUAGCCAGCCCAAAGUCUCCUACUACUGCUUCGAACUCGUUGUCCAACAAUAUGCUUGCAGCCUUCACAUCACGAUGAAUAAUCUUAGGGUCACAAUGAUCAUGCAAAUAAGCAAGCCCCCUUGCUGAUCCUAAUGCAAUUUGUUUCCUUAUUGGCCAAUUAAGAGGUGAUUGUCCAUCAGCUCGCUCUGCAAUAAUGCAUCAAUAAGAUCAGAAGGGAAAAAAAAAAAUUAUAUGGUAAGUAAAGUUGGCCAUAGCUCUUAAAAUAGAUCUUUUAAAUUUUCAACCUUUUGAUUAGUGAUAUAGCCCACUCAUACUUUUCAAACUUCAGCCAACUCCAAUAUUUUCAGACAAUGUUUAAACAUGAAAAGACAAUACUCUGUAGUUUUCACAUCAAAGUAGAUUUCUAGGAGUUAGUUAGAUUCACACGUAGAGUUAUGCAUUUUUACAUGAGUGGCAAUGCUCAGGGCUAGAAUUCACACAUUUGCACUUGGCAUCGACAAAGGUAAACUACCAUUGCACCAGACAAAAUUUAAAUUAUGUUGACAAGGUUUUAGGUUUCAUUUUGAAUUUAGACAAAAUCAAAAUGACGCAAAGGUCAAAUUUAAAACCUUCAUUAUAUAUCAAGAGUUGGUAUACCAUAUGGAUUGGCAACCAAAAUGUCAAUGGAACAGAUGGCAUCAAAGGAAAAUGAAGUUUCGUUUAUUUUUGAAAAAAUAAAUCACAUGAAGAGACCAAUAACCAAUACCUCUCAAACAUGAUGCAACACUUCCAUUAACCAUAAAGGGAUAGACAAGCAACCGUUCUGUUGGUGUCAUGCAAAAGCCAUGUAGACGAAGUAGAUUCCGGUGCACAGCCAUGCUGAUCAUUUCAACUUCUGUCUGAAAUUGCAGUUCCCUACCAUGAAUACACUCCUUUUUCAGUCUUUUUACUGCCACUAGAGAACCAUCAGCUAAACUUCCUUUGUAAACUUUACCAAAUCCACCACUGCCCAGAAUGUUUUUGUUACUAAAAUUAUCCGUUGCAACUUGUAGUUCACGCAGGGAAAACCUUUUAAGCUGCCCCAAAUGAACUUCUGGAUCCUUUUCAGCUGCAAAAGAAAUGAAAACGAAUGAGAAGUGAAAAUUAAGUAACACUUCUUAUUGAUCAUUUUAACCCAUUUUCACUAAAACCACCAACCAGGUACAUCAGAAAAGUGCUCCUGUGGUUUCCUUCGUAGCCACCAGGCAAGUACUAUUCCAAGGGCAGCAAACAGAAGUGCAGAACCAGCAGCAACUCCUCCAGCAAUAGCUCCAGUGGCACCUCCAGCAAUAGCUCCAGUGGCACUGUUUUCUACAUCAAUGAAAUCCAAAAAAACAUAAAUAUAGUAUUAUUAUUUGUGAUAAUCAGAACAUUUGAACAUUAACUGAGAGAACCUCUAAAUAAUAAAGCAAUUCAUUUUUUUUCUAGAGUGAGUUAUAAGGUGUUCCAAGAAAAGUUAGAUUCUAAUUGAAUUUGAUAACUCACAAGUUCCUGUUUCUGAAAUUGAUUAAGUCCAAUCCACAUUCUCUAAAAGCUCAGAAAAUAGUUAACAAACAGCAAUUUAGGCCAAAGAAACACCAAAAUUUUCAAGAGAAACAAUAAUUGCGCAAAAAUGAUACUAUUAUUAAUUAUUAUUUGUGAUAAUCAGAACCUUUGAACAUCAACUGAGAACCUCUAAAUAAUUCUUUUCUAGAGUGAGUUAUAAGAUGUUCCAAGAAAAGUUAGAUUCUAAUUGAAUUUGAUAACUCACAAGUGCCUGUUUCUGAAAUUGAUUAAGUCCAAUCCACAUUCUCUAAAAGCUCAGAAAAUAGUUAAUAACCAGCAAUUUAGGACAAAGAAACACCAAAAUUUUUAAUAGAAACAAUAAUUGCUCAAAAAUGAUACUAUUAUUAUCAUUAUUAUUUGUGAUAAUCAGAACAUUUGAACAUUAACUGAGAACCUCUAAAUAAUAAAGCAAUUCAUUUCUUUUCUAGAGUGAGUUAUAAGAUGUUCCAAGAAAAGUUAGAUUCUAAUUGAAUUUGUUAACUCACAAGUGCCUGUUUCUGAAAUUGAUCAAGUCCAAUCCACAUUCUCUAAAAGCUCAGAAAAUAGUUAAUAACCAGCAAUUUAGGCCAAAGAAACGCCAAAAUUUUUAAUAGAAACAAUAAUUGCUCAAAAAUGAUACUAUGUUGAUGAAACUAAAUAAACCAUCCUCUGAAGUGAUUUUCUUAUAUUCACAUUCAUCAAUUAUAAAGUUUCUCUCUGCUUAUUUUCAAUUAUAUAUAUCAGAUAAAAGGAAAAUAAAAAAAGAUGGAUGAGUUACGAAACUAGAUAAAACUCAUGUACAGGAUGACUUGACCAGACAAGGGGGUAGAAGACAUGUCCAAUUGAAAGUGAAAGGAAAACAUAGCAAUGAAAACACAGAAGGGUCCAAUAUCAGCUACAACUUUGAGUUGAUACUUUCUUUUAAUCAGAUAAGUUGGACUUAAUACUAGUUAAAAACAGAAAAUAAUAAUGACAAACCCGAAGAAGUCGUUGGUGUUGGAGAAAUUGGUGGAGGUGGAAAAACUGGAAUUUGGUUUAGGUCAUUAUUGUUAAAACUGCAAAAUUGCAACACAGCAGUUAGCAUACGGAUUAGAUAGGUCACCCAAUAGUACUAUCAUAAAAAUGACAUUGCACCCAGUUUACCUGAUAGAAUAAAAUAAUGAAAAUGAGCCGUUAACUGGUAUAUCUCCUCUUAGGUGAUUGUUCGACAGAUCCCUGCAUCCACAUAAGAAUAUUAUAAUGUCAUAUACUUGCAACAAAAUCAUGUCAUUGGAAGCUAAGGGGAAAAAAUAGCUUCCUCUGGAUAGAACAUCAACUUGGUACUCACAGGACUUGCAGUGUCAUAACAGUAGUUAAAGACAUUGGAAUAGUUCCUGUCAAGGAAUUGUUGUUAAGCCGCCUAUUUCCAUGCAGACAGUUUACAAAAUAAACACUGUUAGGUUUCAUAAUAAUCAUUGAAAAGCAAACAACAAACAAAGCAAAGACACAAAAUCUGUUAGACAACCAAUUUUAUUGUAGCAUUUAGGUCCACAAUGUAUAUCAUAUUUUUAACACCCUCUCUCACAUAGGCAAACAGCCUCUUUUGAACUUACAUGUGGGCCCAAUAAAUUGGGGAAAUAAAAGUGUGAUGAGGCUCAAACACGAGAUCAUGCACACAUAAAGACCCGAAGGCAAACAACCACAAUCAACCUCUUUUGACCUUGCAUGUAGACUUAAUACAUGUGGACUCAAUAAAUUGGGGAAAGAAAAAUGCAAUGACGCUCAAACACAUGACCUCCCACCAAAUGAGGCUCUAAUACUAUGUUAGAUAACUAACUUUCCUAAAAGCUUAAGCUUGUAGGAUUUGGGUCCACAAUAUAUAUAUCAUGUUCUUUAACACAAUCAACAUAUACUUGCACAACAAAGAAAGCACAGAACUAAACAAAACUCUUUGCACAAUGGUUGAUGUAGGACAACCCUAGGAUGGUUGCCUACACUCAAAAGUAGGUGGGCUAGGGUUUUGAUUUUUGAGUAUAAGGGGAGGAACAAGGAAUAAAGUUUAUGGUAAAAAAAUAAAUAAAAUAAAAUAAAUAGAGAGAAAUAAGAAAUGAGGAAGAAAAAAUGGAAACCUUAGAGUCCCACUAAGGCCUUUCAGGAAUCUUACUUAGAAGAAAAAUUAAUGGAGUCUCACCAUUGAGGAUUGCAACACUUGCAAUGAAUAAAACAUAAUAUAAUUAAUAUCAAUCAAUUCAUCCCUUUUAUUUACAUUGAUUAGACUAUUUAUAGGCUUCUCUAAGAAAUCCAAAGUUUACUAGGACUCUAAUAACCUAUUAUGACUCUAAUUCUAAUUAUAACAUCCAAAGUCUAUUAGGACUCUAAUAACCUAUCAUGACUCAAAUUCUAAUUAUAUUAUGACUUAACUAGCUAAUCCUAAUUUGACUCCAACAAAUACUAAUCAUAAUUCAAUCCUAAUUAAUAUUAAUCCUAUUUAAAGUUUACUUAGGUCUUCCUUUUCCUCCUUGAAUAGACUCUAAAAGGCUUUCCACCAUCAAUUCCCCCCCAACUUGAAAGAACUUGACUCUAACGAGUUAGAUGCUUGAUACAAUUCAUAGAGAUCGGGGUUAAGCUUUUGAAAUUCUGUUGUCAUAAUCCAUGUAUUUUCAAAAUAUGGUUUGCCUCACCAUUUCACCAAAAAUUCUUGGUAUCCACCUUGUUGAGUAGACACACGUUGAUCAUUAAGAACAUACUCGAUCUCAAGACAUGGGCUAAGAGUAGGUGGUAAUUGAAGAUCCAAUUCUUCACUUGCCUUAUUUUGAUGGCAUGGUAGAUAAACAAAUCUUCCACAUUAGAUAUUGGACUAAAAUGCAAGUCUGAAGUGAGUUCUAACAAAUAUGCAUUCUCACCCAAUCGCUUUAGUAACCGAAAUAAACCCAUUUUCUUAGCUUGAAGCUUUUGAUAUGUGUCCGGAUGAAAUCUUUCUAGACGUAGAUGAACCAUUACUAGAUCACCUUCUUGAAACUGAAUAUAACUUUGAUGUGCAUCUAUUGUCUCCUUAUAGUUCUCAUUGCUGAUUUUGAUUUUUUUCUCGUAUCUUUUCAAAUUAACGCAUAAUAAGCACCCUUUUUGGUUGUGCGUCCUUUGACUUCUAAAUUGGUGGGGCUUCUUUCAUUAGACAAAAGAUCUUCUUAAGCCCAUUGUGUAUGAGAGUACAUGUAUUUUUUCAACCAUCAUGUUAAACUCUUCUAUCAAAAAGGCAAGGUAUUCCAAGUAAAAUAUGACUUACUUUUAUCGUUAAGACCUCACACCAUACAGACUAUUCAAAGUCCUUACCAAAAAGGAAUGUUACUAAGUAGCAAAAGCUUACCAAAAUAGAGGUGUCAUUAACCCAUGUUACUCAAAAUGGAUUUGGAAGCAUCUCUAUUUUAACGUUUAGCUUUUCAACGAGUUCUUGCAAAGUUAUGUUCAAACUGCUACCUCAAUCAAUGAUCAUGGUGCAUAAUCUCCCUUAGCAAGAAAUACUUUUCUGGAAAAUGCUACUAUGUCACCAAUCUUCUUCUCCUUUUACCUUUGAGACAACUAAUAAAGGUCGUAUUGCAAGACUACGUCCUUCUGCCAUACCAUCAUAGUAGUCACAUUAUUCACUAAGUUCAUUUCAUUGUGGGUUUAUUCUUCCUUUGGGUAACCCUCUAAUUCAGAUUUUGGUUCUUAAACACAAAAGUGUAAACCUUUGGUUGGGCACACAAUAGCAUGAUGACCAUGCCUACCACACUUAAAGCAUAAAGGAGUCAUAGUUAUUUUUGUCUCCGAUGUUCAUUGAAGUUUUACCCUUAUUAGCAUCUCUAGUAGGCACAUGUGAGGCUUGUUUAUUAUUGCCUUCACUAUUCACAUGAUUCGAAGUUUGGAAAUUUGUGGUGCCUAAAGGUUUACUUGUUGUCCAGUUGGAAAAAGUGCUCCCAAUUUGUGAAUUUGGAUGCCUGGAAGCUUGAAACUUUAGCCCUUCUUCUAUUUUGAGGGCUAGUUGAUAAACAUCGUCUAUGGUAUAAGUGUGUGCAGCUAUCAUCUCAAGUUGAAUCUUCAUUCGAAGUCCAACUUUAUAACGGGUUGCAAGUUGAGCAUCACUUUCCCGAACUGGAUUUCAAAUGCUCAAUUCAUGGAAUUUAUCUGUAUAUUAUUCAACGAACUAAGUAUCUUGCUUAAGGGAAAACAAUUUUGUGUACAUAAGUUGUUCAUAAUCAGUUGGGAGAAAGUGCUCCUUCAUCUUCAACUUCAUCUCUUCCCAUGUGUCUAUAGGUGGUUGGCCAAUUCUAUGAAGUUGAUUCUCAAUAUUAUCCCACCAUAGACAUGUUGCUUCUUUCAACUUUGCCUUCACAAAACAAACUUUUCUAUUUUCGGGCAUUGCAUAUCAAUCAAAGUAAUCUUCCAUCAACACAAUCCAAUCAAGAAAAGUCAUUGGAUUUAAUUUUCCAUAAAAUUCAACAACUUCAAGGUGUACCUUUUUUGUCAUACCAUCAUCUUGCUCAAAGAGUUUGCCCCUUCUUUGAUUCCUCAUCAUAAAAUUGUCUUGUUCUUCGCGUGAUCGACUUGGCAAUUGUCUAAACUGAUUACUUCUAAUUUCAUCUUCAAUUGGUUGUUUUUAUUUACUAUUUUCUAAUAUCUUCAUGAUCUCAUCAAGUUUUCUAUUUAAUUGUAUUAUAGCAUCUUGAUGGGAUUGUUGUGUGGCUAAAAUUUCCUCCAAGCGAAUUGUAGCGGCAUCUUGAUUGUUAGAAGUUUUUCUGGAACUCAUGAUUGCAUAAAUUGGUCCUCUCCUCAAUUGCAUAUGCCUUCAAGCCAAGAACUUUUACUCUAAUACCAAAACCAAAGUAGGACAACCCUAAGAUGGUUGCCUACACUCAAAAGUAGGUGGGCUAAGGUUUUGAUUUUAGAGUAUAAAGAGAGGAACUAUGAAUAAAUUUUAUGGUAAAGAAAAAAUAAAUAAAUAAAGAGAAAGAAGAACGAGGAAGAAAAAAUGGAAACCUUAGAUUCUCACUAAGGCCUUCUAGGACCUCACCUAGAAGAAAAAUUAAUGGAGUCUCACCAUUGAGGAUUUCAACACUUGCAAUGAAGAAAACAUAAUAUUAUUAAUAUCAAUUAAGUUAUCCAUUUGCUUUACAUUGAUUAACCUAUUUAUAGGUUUCUCUAAGAAAUUCAAAGUCUACUAGGACUCUAAUAAUCUAUUAGGACUCAAAUUCUAAUUAUAUUAUAAUUUAACUAGCUAAUCCUAAUUUGACUCCAACAAAUACUAAUCCUAAUUCAAUUCUAAUUAAUAUUAAUCCUACUUAAAUUUUACUUAGGUCUUCCUUUUCAUCCUUGAAUAGACUUUAAAAGGUUGUCCCCCAUCAGUGGUAAUGAGUUCUAAGGGAACCAAUCAACAGUUAUCCAAACAAUUGACUCUUGGACCACAUUAGGUUGUCCAAAAUAGAUGUUUACUCUCCAAAUGGUUGUAUGGAUUGGUUGAAAAAGGGAAGGAAUAAAUACAAUAAACUAGACCUAUCAAUUUGUAAUAUUUUCUCUAUCAUAAAAUACAACUAGAAGAAUGUAUGUCCUGCAUGUACAAAAGACAGUCACACCACCUAUAGAGAAGGAAAGGAGGAAUGGGAACUAAACAACCUACUAAUAAUUUCUGUUUAAGUUUACACCUAUGCCAUAUUACAAUUUAAUGCAAAAAGUUAGUUAUAAGGUAUAAAAGUGAACAGAGAAGACGCUUCCCUAAGAUCGUAUAAAUAAAUGAAGAUUAAAUUUGUACUUAAGAAAUCAAAAUAAUAAAAAUGCAAUAUGAUGUCUCAACCACAGUGGAAAUAAAGAGCUUCGAAUUUCUAUCAAAAUAGAAAUAUACUAUAUUAGACUCCAUAUGAUCAAUAAUUUAUGCUAAUGCAUUUCUUAAAAUUAAAUACAUGUGUAUCAAAUUUUUUAUCAUCAUGAUUAAAUGAAGCAGAGAACAAACCCAAAAUAUAUUUUUUAAAUGCAAUUGCCCUAAGUACAAGCAUCUGAAUUAUCAACGCUAAACUAGCUUAUUGUGAGCAAUCCUUUUAAUUAGUAGACACAAAAAGAAAUAUGAAGGAAGCUAAAUUAACUGGAAGGUAAGAAAAUUUAAUGAUCGAAGAAAGUUCCUGAAGGAUGUGUAUUCAUACAGGAAACGUAGUUUUGUAAGCUUGCCCAAUGUGUCCGGAAUUGUACCACUUAAAUUGUUCAUGUAAAGAUCCAAGCUCACCAAGUUUGUCAAAUUCCCAAGCUCCUUUGGUAUUUUUCCACUUAUGUUAUUACUGUAAAGUUCCCUGCCAUAAAAGUUUAAUUUUGAUCAUUCAUGGAUCAAAAAAAGAAGUAACAAAAGCAUAUUCCAAGCAUUUAAUUUUUAUUUUUUUUUAUAAAAAAAGGCAUAGAACAUCCAUAACCUAUAAUUCAAUAUAUAUAACAAUAAGCAGAAUCAAAUGGCCAACUCCAAGGGGUAGAUAAUAUAAAAUUGAGACUCAAAAGGCAUGGAUUGUAUGACUAGUGAAUGUAUAUAUAUUCAAUAUUUGCAAUAAUGGAUCAUGCAACUAAAAAAGAAAAGCAUGCAACAAUGGCUUCACAACAAAAGCAAUUGAAUUUCUACAUCCAUAACAAACUACAUGUAGACCCUCAAUUUUCUCCUCCAUGUACAUAGGAUACUAGGUAUAUUCUUGUGCUUCUCUUAUGCCCUAUUAAGUGCUUUUUCAAUACUCCACAAUAGUUCCCAAUGACCCAUUGCUAUUCAUGUAGCUUACUUGCUUGAGCCACUUUGGAGACUCUGAUUGAGGGAUUUAUGUGGCCCUUCAAUGUGACCAUUGGCAACCUCGAGUUAGAUCUAGGUUCUUUUUCCUUUUUCUCUUAGGUUAACCCUUUUAGGACAAUAUAUUUAGGCAUUUCCUAGGACACUAUGCCCACUUAGGCCCAUCUAGGCUCCCCUAUGCCCAUUUAGGCACCUCUUUAGGUUAGAUUCCACUUAGUUCACUGAGAGAUUUUUCCAUUUAGAUCACUUAGGUACAUUUUAGGUAAUUCCACCCAACCCACUUAGGUUCACUUAUAAGAAAGAUUCUUUAGGCUUAGUGCACUUAGGUUUGUUUUUUGAAUUGUGAUUACAUGAUUAUGAGUUUAAGUGAGUAUUUGGCUUAAUUUUUUUUUGUUUUUUUUUAUUGCUUGGAUUGAAUUUUCAAUAUUUAGUCGUGAGAUUUCAACUUUUCAUUUUUUUUUUAUCAUUAAUUACACUAGAUUAACAUUUGAAUUUUGAUUAUAGUGUUUAAUGUCUAUAUUAUUAUUAUUAUUUAUUUCUUUACUUAUCUAUUUUUUUAUUUACUUAUAAAUUUAUUUAUUUGUUAGAAAAUUGCAUGAGGUUCAAUUUUAGUUUUUUUUCCAAAAUUGCAUGAAUUGAUAUUCAAAUUUCCUUAUAAAUGGAUAUGAGUUAUUUUAUUUUUAUCGGGUUAUAAGUAUUUAGAUUUUAAGUUGUAGGCCUAGGCUAUUUUAUUGGAUUUGGGUUAGUUUAUUUUAAUUGGGUUUGGGCUAUUUCAUUUUUAGAUUGUGAGUAUUUAGAUUUUAAGUUGUGGGCUUGGGUUAUUUAUUUUAAUUGGACUUGGGUUAUUUUAUUUUAAUUGGGCUUGGGUUAUCAGUCCUCAUUUUGGGCUUUAUUUGUUUUGCAGGGGUCCAUGAGAUUUCUUGGGGAGGAAGUCUUGAAAACCAUACUUAAAGGGCACAUAAGCCCUAAGCAGGGGGGAGGAUAACCAAAGAGAGGCGAGGUACUGCUACUUUGUUUUUUAGUGUUCUUCUCUUACUUUUCUUAGGGUUCUUUCUUUCUUUAUUGUAUAUCAUUGGUGAGUGAAAGUUUUUCCUUAUCGUGUAUUUACCGGCUGUCCAUUUGUUUUCUUAUACUGUAUUCGUAUCUUGGAGUUGCCUUUGGAGGUUUGGAGAGUUGGGAUUGAUUUAGGGCUACAUUCAGGUAAGUUAUUUCUUCCUCAUCUCUUUAUUUGUAUCAUGUUUUUGUUCCUUUUAGGAUUUCUUAGAUUUAUCUUGUUUUAUAUUUAUUAUAUUUGUGAGCAUUUUGGUAGUUGAAUAUUUUAUCCUAUAUUUUAUUUAGAGCUCUAUCAAUUUAAUUUAUUUAUUUAUUCAUUAUAUUAUACAUUUUGUAUGUAAAUACAUUUGUCUAAAUUUUUCUGCUCAUCUAUAUGUUUGUCAUUUUUAUUUAUUAUUUUGUUGAUAUGUAUUGACAUAUGAUAUUAUAUGUAUUAUAUUUUAUUUCAAGUUUCCUAUAUUUGUGUAAAUUUUGUCCUAAAUUUUCUAUAAUUCUGUUUAUGUUAAUCUUGUUGUCUCAUAUUUCAUCUUGUUUUAAAUUUUUGUAACUGUUUAUGAGGUCUUGACUUUCCUUUCUUCUCCCUAAUUUCUUUAUUUACCGCAUGUUUAGUCUCUUCCUUGUCUUUUUCUUCUUUUCCAUCACAUGCAGUAUACAUGGCUAUUAGAUCUUUUGUCGAUUCUAUACUUCUAUUGUUGUAUUGAAUUCUUGUAGUCGAAGAAGCAUUUAUUACUUCAAUGUCGUCAUUUCUGACGUCACCAUUCCAUCGCAUUUUGUAGAUUGUAAUAACUUUCUUCAUCAAGGUUUUCCUAAAAUAAUGUGUCAUCGUUGAGGUAAGAAGAUGGUUCUAGUAAUUCUAUAGUGAGCUCGAUUAUAAAAUCUUGUUCUUCAAGGGUAACAAAAGGUUUUGGAGCAAUAAUGUGUUCUAAAGGUUUAUUUCUCCGUAUAGACAUGGUUUUUGUUUCUCCAAUGAGAUGAAAUAAUUUAUUUUAGGUUGGUCUAAGAUCAUAAAUUUGAAAAGCUUGAAAACAAGUAAAAGAUUCUAAAAAUUCAUUUGAACAGGUUAUUUCCCAUUCUAGUUCUUAUCGAGGAAUAAGCGGUUCUUUAUUGUGUUUUAUAUAAACAUGGUGAUAGGCUGGUACUAUUUAUCCAUUGGUUUGAAAUAAAGUUGGAAUGGUUUUAAAAGAAAUGUCGAUCUAUUUUUCGGUUUUGAAAAGAUAAGCUAAAAUAUUUUUUAGUUUUUCUAGAAAAUUUGUAAGGAUUUGAGAUACGUGGUUCAUGAAAAUAUUUUUUAAAAUUCCCUAAUCCAUAAACUGGGGUACAAGAUAAAAAAAAAAAAAAAAAUCUUUAUUUACAAUAGACAUAUUCACAUAAACUAAGUAUAGAACAAAUAAAAAAUCAGGGUCAUGAUAUGCCAUAUACCCUAUUUUUAUUUCGACAUUUUGGUUUUAAAAUGUUUGUAUAAAAGUUCUUGAUUUUUAAACACAUUUUUAUAUUGGGUUUGCAAAAAGAAAGUUUCAACUAAAGAGUAGUUAUCAACUCCAAUUAGGUUUUUAACAAGAAGUUUUUCAUAUUGUUUAGACAGAAGAGCUGAUUUCCUAAUUAAAUUAAGCAUUUCAGGUUGACUAUCUAAACAACUGGUUGACAUUGUACUGGUUUUCAAAUCUUUUAUCAGUCUUUCUUGAUUUUCUUGGAUUUUGAGGUUUGAAAUUUUUGGGUUUUUAAAGUAAUCAAUUGGUUUUGAAGGUUUUGUAAAUAUUGGGCUAAAGCUAACAUAGUUUUUCCAUAAGCAUAUUCUAAAUUUUGGUUUGGAAAACUUUGUGGUUUCAAAGACCAAAAAUUAUCUACUAUAACAUUAUGUUCUUUAAAAAGGUUUUGAGAAUAUAAAGAGUUAAACCUUAAGUUUGGAUUCAACACUUCGUUCAGACAUAUGGUUUCCUAUUGAAAGGUUCUAGCUCUAGUGGGUUUUCUUUGAGCCAUUUUCUUGUAAAAUAAAAUCAAUCAUUAGUAUCAUCAACAUUAUUAACAAUUACUUGUCUACUUAACCAAUCUUCUAAUAUAUUAUCCUUUCCCUUAAUAUGUUCAAAUUUAGGUUUAAAAUCAAUUAAAGAGUUUUGAAACUUUAUCCAUCUUUUGGUGGACAAUUUUGAAGAGUUUUUAUUUUCAAAAAACUUUUAAAUGUUCUCACAAUCAGUUCUUAAGGUAAAUUGUUCUUGAUUUAGAAAUAGUUGAAUUUUUUCUAAGACUAAGAUUAUUGCUUCUACUUCUAAGUCUGAAAACUAAGGUUCUUUUAAUAAUCAUUGAAAGUUCUACUACAAUAUCUACAAAACUUUUCUUCUCCAAUAUUAGUAAUUGCUAAAAGCAUGCCUCCCCAUUCUAUUUGACUAGCAUCAGUUUGAACUAUUUUGUAUUCGCUUUCUAACUAUUAGAAACAUAAAAUGUGAAACACAGCCAAACAAGCUCUUAAAGUUCAUUUCUCUAUGUGAAACCUUAAUGUUGGGACAGAAUCUGUAACCAGGAAAAAUAUGAAUUCUUAAUGUAAGUCAUGAACACAUAAGAAGAACAAAUGAGAAUAUUUAUCCCUUGAAACUUGAUACAACCGAACAUUAAACCACAUGCUUCUUUAUUGAAGAAAUUAUUAUUAUUAUUAUUAUCAUUAUUAUUGAAGUAACCAAUAGAAUUGUUGAAGUUUAUUUUCCAUUCUAAGGAGCAAGGCUAUAUAUUUCUACAAGAAACUAAAGUAAAGCUCAUAAAAAUAUGGGAGAAUUGUGUUUUCAACCCCGCUAGGUUGGGUAAUUGAGGUAAGGUCCUCCUAUCACUCGUGAUUAAACCAAAAACCCAAUGAAUGAGUAAAAAUUGAGAGGAAGGAUAUUGUCUUUAAAAAAUCCCUACAAAACCCUUGACUAUUAAAUGAAAAAACUAACUAAUCACCUCACAUUUCUCAUUCUCUCUUUGACUCUUUUACCCUUCUCUCACCUAUUUAAUAGUGGAACCAAGUUGAAUAAUUUUUCUUCAUCAAAUUGAAUAUGAAAUAUGGUUAAAAAUUAUUAUUACCAAAUGCAUUUUUGAAAUGAAUAACUUUUAAAUGCCUCAUCAAAUAUUAUUCUUUUUUCAAACUUACAUAAUAUAUAAUAAAUAUUUUUAAAAUAUGUUGAAAAUUUACAUAAUAUAUAAUAAAUAUUAUUCUUUAUUUCAAACUUAUAUUAUUUCUCAUAUAUAUUAAAUAAUUUUUAAACACCUCAUAAAAUAUUAGUAUUAUUUGUUUGUUCUAACUUGUAAAUUAUAUAUCAUCAAAUAUUUUUUUUUAUUUUUUAUAGAACAUAUAAUUUUUAGACACAUGAAAUACCUCAUGUGUCUAACUUGCAAAUUAGACACAUGGUGUUUAUUAUUUCUCAUAUUAUUUCGAAAAUAAUAUAAACACUCACAUGCAUAUAUAUAUAUAUAUCUAUUAAUCAAGAAGACAAUAUUUAUUUGAAUAAAGAUUUAAAUAUUUAAAACCAUUAAAAUAAAUAUUUUCUUAUUAAAGCAAUUUUUUCAAAGUAAUAAGAUAAAAAUCAUGCAAUCUUCAAAACUAUAAUUACAACAAAUAUUUUUAAUUUUAAAACUAAUUUCAUAAUUUAAAUUAAUGAUUUUAAAAAAUAAAAAUGUUAUAAAAAUAUUUUUUGUUUAUUUUUAAUUCCAUUUAAAUAUGAUUUUUUUAAUCUCUAUUGAUAACAAUGAAAUUAUGUUUAUAAAGACAAAAUAGUAAAAAUAUAUAUUUCAUUUAGUUUACUUAUAAUGAACAAUUCAAACACGAUUGAUUUUAAUUUUAUUUCCUAUAUGUUAAUUUUUGUACGGAAUGUCUUAAUGACAUAUUUUGGUAAAAAAAAAAAAACUAUCAAUAAUUGUCUUAAUGUCAAAUUCAAGUUGUUUAAAAUUGUACAAAACCUAUUAGGAGCCUUGUACACCCUUGUACACUUGGCACAUUUUCCUUGUACAGUUAGUGUAAUAUCAUUGUAUAAUGACACAAAUUUUAUAUUUCUCCUAAGUUAUAUGUCCAAGUAGGUGUACAUAGGUGUACAAUCCUUGGGUGACAAGGAAAAUAAAAAAGUGGUUUAGAAUUUAUUAAAAUCAUUCACAAAGGAUAAUCUUGUACACCUUUGUACAAUUAAUACAUUUUCCUUGUACAAUUAGUAUAAUACCCUUGUACAAUGACAUGAAUUUCAUAUCCCUUCUAAGUUAUGUGUCGACGUAGGAGUAUUUAACCAUGUUUCCAAUGGUUUAGUUGAGAAGAUGGUGGAUGACCUAAGGUUAAAUUUUUUUUUCCCCAUAUAUCAUUAUUGGGGAAAGUAUUGGAAUUGCCAUGUGGGAAUUAAAUAAAGUGCAUGACAUAUGUGUACAAUUCAUGAGUGAUAAGAAAAAUAAAAGAAUGACUCAUAAUCAAUUAUAAUAUUUCACAAAUGGUAGUCUUGUACACCUUUGUAUACUUAGUACAUUCCCCUUGUACAGUUAGUAUAAUACAAUUGUACAGUGGCACAAUAAAUGAAUAAAUGAUUUUUUUUUUUCAUAUAAAAAAAUAGUACUAAACAAGGUUUUCAAUUUUCAUUUUUAAAAAUAAUUUUCAUUUUUUUAAAUAAUUUUCAUUUUUUUAAUUAAACAUAUUUUUCAAAAAGAGACAAUAUAGAAAAUAAAAAUUAUUUUUAAAAAUAAAAAUAAAAAAUAAAAAAUAAAAACUAGAAAAAUAUUUUAAAACCAAACUCAAAUAUAAUCUAUAUAAUUUUUAACUAGUUGUUUUCAUUUAAAAUAAGUAAAUAUGUCUUUCAACCAUUUUAUAUAAGAAAAAUUCAAUUUUACUAUGUAUUGAUAUAAUCCACUUCUAAAAUUAGGUCAUAUGAAAAUAUUUUAAUUGAAUACUUAAAAUAAAAACUCUUCAUCCAUCCUCUUUCUUUCUUUUCCUUUUUCUUAUUUUAAUAAAUUUUCAAUUAAUUCAAACCAUUAAAAAAAAAAAUCCUUAGUAAACAAAUUUGUAACAUUUCAUAUAACUUAUAAUUAAAAGUCAUGUUCAAAAAGUUAUUAAAAUAAAGAAGGAAGAAGAUUAAAAAAAAUUAAACUUUUUAUUUUAUAAUAGUAAAAAUUUAAAAUACUUUUUAGUAUAAAAGAAAUUAAAAUAGUAAAUAUAUUUAUUUUAAACAGUGUUUUAAUUAUUAAAUUAUUUACUUCUAAAAUGUAAAAGAUAAAAAUAAAUGUAAAAGAUAAUUUUUAUUUAUUUAAAUUAAUAUUUUUUUAGAAAGUAUUUUCCAAAAUAGUCUGUGAAUCAUUAAUAUAAUUUUUGUUUAUUUAAAAUUUAAAAAUAAAAAAUAAAUAUUGAUUUUUCAAUUAUUUAUAAAAGAGUUUAAACAAAUAAUGAAAAAACUAAAAAUGGUUAAAUAAGAAAGAAUAGUGGCAUGUGAAGAAUGGUAGAAUAAAGACAAAAAUGAGUCAAAUGGGUAUUUUUGUCAAUUACUAUCUUAUAUCCUUGUAAUCAAUUAUGGGUGGUUGGAGGACUUUACCUUAAUUAUCAAACCUAUAUGGUUUGAAAACACAAUUGUCCCUAAAAAUAUUACCACAUAUCAAUGAGAAAUAAAAACACAAAAAUGAAACCUUGUAAUUUAUGGCUUUGGCUGUAAUGGGGGGAAAAGCGAUCAGAAGGGAACACAAAAGAUAACAAGCAUAUAUGCUUGAACAUCAAACAGAUAUGGCAAACAACUUUCAUUAUAAAAAUAUGACUCACAGAGAUUGCAAAUUUGUAAGCUGACCAAGCUGUGGAACCAGUUGACCGGAUAAAUUUGCAUUUCCAAGGUCACUGUGAGUAUACAGUUGGAAAAAUGUCAAUAUAACAGCCGAAAAAUAACAUAUAAAGACAACAUUGACUCCAAAUAGCAAGAAACAUUAUGGUUAUGUUUGGUUCCCGGAAAAUACUAAGGAAAGAAAAAAAAUACAAAGGAAAAUGAUUUUUUUAUGUUUGGUUGUCCUAUGAAAAAUAUCAAAGAAAAUCAAAUAUGAUUAAAACUAAUUAAAAACUUAUAUAUUUUUAAAUUAUUUAAUCUUUAUAUUAAUGAGUUAAAAUAAAUAAAAUGAGUUUGAAGUAACAAAAAAAUUAAUUUAUUCACUUUUAAUCUAUUUUUUUAUUUUCCUUCACUUUUUCUUUCCUUCUACUUUUCCUUUGUAUUUUCUUUCCCUUGCAUUUUCCUUCAAAUUUUCUGGGAACCAAACAUAGCCUAUAACUUGUUGCGUUUGGGUGAAAAAAUCUAACAAAAGUAAGCAUCUUACACUCUUGUAACACUUUUGUCACUGUUGCAUGUAACAUGAUACCAUCUGCAAGGAUUGACAAGGGUAGCAUUCCAACUUUGCAAAACAUUGUUAGGAUCUUCUAAAUUUGACUUCAACGCAUUCAAAGCAUCACCUGGUUCACAUGCAUGAGGCAAACAUCAGUCUGCAAGUACUUCAGACUGAAGGGAAAUUAUAUACAACACUCAGGCCUGUUCAUCAGAAUAAAGGGAAAUUUGGAAACCAAAAAAAAAAGGGUUCAGAUGGUUUUUUUUAUUUUAUUAAUUAGGAUGAAAAUUCAGCUGAAAAGGUGAGGAAUUUCAGAGCUUUGGAAAAAAACAUGUAUUAAACAUGAGGAACAUGUUUGCAAAUUUUGGAUUCAACUUCAAGUUUUAGACAAGUACAUGUUAGCAAACACACAAAGAAACAUAAAAAUAAGUAAAUAAAUAAAAAUUAAAAAGGGAAAUACACAUAAAUUUACGAAUUACAAGUCUGGUCAAUUGACCAAGCAAGUUAUUUACUAACAACUACCUAAAAAACUAGCCUUGCCACAAACAGGUCCCAAAGAAGUGGUUUUAAACUGCAGAAAAAGCAUUGCCAAACAGGGCUUUAGUGUAUUGCAACAUAAUUCUCAACCAAACAAAGUUGUCAACCAUGGAUUUUCCAAAUUCGAUUCCACAGCAAUCAAUAUCAAAUAUCCAAUAAAGAAAACAAGCAAACAAUUCAUCGCAUAAUCAUCUCCUAAAUCAAUUAAAACCUCCAAAUCUCCCUCAAAUUCACUAAAAAAGGAUGAGAGAACACACCUUCGGCAUUACCAGAGACCCUCAGAAACGCAGAGAACACUAAAAUCAAGGAAACAAAAACCGAACCGAAGAUCCCCGGCUCCAUAACCGCCACCUCUCCGCAGCUAGCACCCCAAACUCUUCAUCAACCACCCUCUGACGCACAAGCACUUUGUGGGUCAACCCAAGUCAACACUCACCCAACAGAAAGUCCUCAGACCAAAACUCCCCAGAAUUUCCCAGGAAAGGGAAGCCAUUUCCUUGAAUUUGAAUGCGUUGGAGAGGAUUGGCGGUGCCGCGGAGCAUAGAGGGAGACUUUGGUUACACUGGCCGAACAAACAGUCCCAGAUGAAAAAGUCCGGGGAUUUCCCGGGAAAAUGAAGCUAUAUUCGUUGAAGUUGAAUUUGCAGGAGAGAUUUGGGGGCGGGAGAGGGGGAGAUAGGAGAGGAGGAGAGUAGUGGUUAGCAAUGGCGGAGAGGGAGAGUCCAAGGGGGCAAUGGUGGCGAAGGGUGGAGGAAAUGG
This 292339-nucleotide long non-coding RNA is filed under the name Vitis vinifera (wine grape). RNAcentral describes it as "long non-coding RNA (VVIN_LNC003846)". Lineage: Eukaryota; Viridiplantae; Streptophyta; Magnoliopsida; Vitales; Vitaceae. The record is from RNAcentral.